Molecule: long non-coding RNA, 200449 nt
Filed under: Eucalyptus grandis
Lineage: Eukaryota; Viridiplantae; Streptophyta; Magnoliopsida; Myrtales; Myrtaceae
Description: long non-coding RNA (EGRA_LNC005024)
Source: RNAcentral
ACCUGCAAACCUCCGGCAGCUCCUCCGGCGACGGCGGGCUCGGCGCCAUGUAGCAGAAGAAGGUGUCCCUCCAGUUCGCCACCGCCGCCGUGUACAGGUCGAAAUUGCUGUUGUACACCACCUUCCUCGUUACGUCUCGCGUGUAGAACGCCUUCUUCGCCUCGUCGUCUUGCUCGUAGAACCGCCUCACCCCCUCCUUCAUCUCCUCCAUCGCGGCCGCCGGGACCCCGUGGUUCACCACCUGGAAGAACCCCAGCGUCUCCGACGCGCGCCGCAUCCCCUCGAUCGCCUCCUUCCUCUUGGCCGGGUCGCGGUCGAUCCCGCCGAGGUCGAUGACCGGGACGCUGAGAUUCUCGGUGCCGCCGCUCGAUCCGGAGCUGUCUUCGGAUGUCUCGUCCGGUCGGAUGAAGAUUCUGGGGACUUCAGUGAUCCCGGCGUCGACGAGGCCUUUGACGCCGGCUUUCGAGUCGUCGAACGCUUUCAGCUCGCUCGCUCUGUCAUAGCUCUGCUCUCCCGAGGCCAAAUCGAUGGUAGGCAAUGUGAAUGUGAAUUUGUUGGAUAUGAGCUUGAAUUAUGAAUUGAAUGUUGGGGAGACAUUGCAAUGCGUGAUAUGAGCAGCUCUUCUUUUAUAGAUGAGAGAUGGAGAUAAGAGAAGAGUGAAAUCACAUUGGGAGGAUCCAUUUGACUUCAGAAUAAUGAGGUCCACAAAAAUGGAAGGAGAAAGUCAUAGCUUAUGAGCUACCACUUGCUUAGAAAAAUGACAAUACUGUUUAAUAAUGGCUGAUUCUUUGGGGGACCAGGUAGCUAGUACACAAGUUUUGCAAUUUAUGGAUAAGAUAUCUGUUAGGACAGAGUUGACCAUUCAUAGAUGACAGGACAAUUAAUUGUCGUCUAAGCGUAUGUAGAUUUUUGCCUUGCGGUUGAUUCUGGUUGUCGUUGAGCAAGUUGAAGGCUGGCAAGAAUUCCACUUUUAAACCUUGCCGUCAAUAUACAUAGUGUAAGUCGAAUCUGAACCAAACAUAAAUGUUCCCAAAAGUGCAGAUUUUUCUCGUGGUAGAUUAGUGUUUUAACUGACAUACAAGCAUUCAACAUAGGUUUAUCUAAAGAUAGCAUCUUUCUUUCCAUUUGAGAGGGGUAUGUGUUAAUCUUCCUCUCCCCCUAUUUUUUGUUCUUUUUCAGGUUCAGCUUUUGUUUGAAAAGGAUCUUUGUUUUUUAGAGUUGCAUGGGUGCUAUCAAAUGAAGCAAUAUAAGCAUUAGCGAAAGCAGUGAAGAAAGGCAAUCCUGUUCUUUGGUAGUUUUACAUAGAUGAACAUCUGGAUGGACUUUUAUUUUCAAAUACAAACAUGAAGAAGACCACAUAAAAAAGUAGCCCCUCCGCUAAUAGAGCUAAUGAAGGGAAAUCCCACCUAAUACCAUGAAUAUCCUCUGCCUGUUAUCUUCUCAUCUUCCUGUUUACAGAGUCUACAGCUUGAAAUGAGGAAGGGCAGAAGUUCCAUAUACGCCCUUGGAAAUGUAAUGGGCAGUGUAGUUUGGAAGUGUAGUCUCCUUGUAGAUUGGUGCGUUGUCUGCUGAUGUUAAUUCCUUGAUGGGUCCAUACAGCCUUGAAGAUGGCUGGGGAGUGUGGCCGAAAAAGCACGCCACCGACACUCUCAGGCCUCUCUUGUUUGCCACAACUCGGUGCUUGACACUCUUAAACUGGUCGCUCAUUAUGAGCUGCGAAUGUAACAAUUAGUGAAUCAUUUUUAGUAAGGAAUGAAUAGAUGUAGUUUCUAGAUACUGCAAUGAUUUCAAUCUUCAUGUUGAUGAAUACAGAAAACUGCAGAAUUUCUAGGACCCACAUAGACCGCUCCUGUGAAAAGUGCUCUACACACAUCCCUCUCAUUUAGACAAUUUUGAACCUGUCAAAGAGAGGCUAGCAUGAUACAACUAAGUUAGAAUCAAGUUUGGAUUAGUCAAGUUCAGAUUAUGAAGACAUUAUGUUAUUGCUACAGGGAAGAUGCCAUGGUAAAUUGUUGGGCUCUUUAACUGGCUUAGCAUAUGAGAAAGUACAGAAGAAGGACGAGAAGAGGAUUGCAGUUUGUCGACCAAUCAAAACAAGGUUUCAGAGAAGCUCAGAGAUGAACGAUGAUAUCUGGCCAAAUCUACUUACUUGCAAUAGAUCUCUGAUGUUGAUCACUAGUGCUCCAGGAAUUGGAGGAACGUUGAUCCACUGGUUCUCAUGAAGCCCUUGAAGUCCUCAAAUUUGAUCUUGGAGGAGAAUUGUGAGGAAGUCAUUGUCCGAAUUCUUUGUCACACCCAGGGUCAACUCAGGUUGGGGGCAUGGCGGAUAGUAGUGGCACAUGAUCGAGUGUCCUUUUCCACACUUGCUUUGAGUACAACAUUAGCAUUUCUCUGCCAGAGAAUUUUUUAUGCAUCAGAAAACCGAUGCUGUAAAAGUAUGGUUGGACAGAUUCCCAGAGAACACCAGAAAGUGUAAUGGUCUGUAUCAAUUUGGGAACAAAAGCUUGGUAUCGCUAUCGCUAGAAUGCAAAUAAAAUCAACCACCGAGGAACAUCCUAUUUCUGCUCAAAAAGAAUGAAACAACCACCUCCAAGGUUCCCGUCAGUGAAAAUGAUCAAUCAUUGAGGGUCAUCUGACUGAUCCGUCUCAUUGAUUGAGACUCGAUGCAAGCUUAUAUGCUAUGACAUGUGCAGCAGAACUCAGGUGGGAAAUGUCAUACAAAUUCAGCGGUAGCAAUUUUUCUAGCCAGCCGAACGAAGGACUGGACACUUUCAUUUCCUCAGUGUUCAUCCCCUAUUCCCACAGUUAUAAUGGAAACGUAUGCGAAUCACUCAAGUAUCAUGUACUUGCUAGUUUAGCCCUUGAUUAAAGCAGUUGCCUUGCAAAGUAUUGUACAGUGAAAAGCGGUUGCCUUCCACCUGUAUGAACUACUGCAAUUCUUUCGCAAACUAUCUUUGUCAAUUCACUUUGCGAAUUUGUUCAUGAAUUUUCCCUUUUCUGAAAGGUGAAAAAUGCAAGAGAGGCCAUCGGCUCACCUGCAAGCUUCGGGCAACUCCUCAGGCUGGGGAGGCUCUGGUCCCAUGGUGCAAAAUAUGCUGUCCCUCGAAUCAGCAGCUACAAUUAUAAAGGGCCAUGCUGCUGUUGUGUAGGACCCUCUUUGUAAAAUCUCUGGUGUAGAAUCCUUUCUUGGCCUCCGUCUCCUGCUCAAAGAACCUGCGCGACCACCACACCCCCCCCACAUCACCUCCUCCAAGAGGGUCUCAGGGACCCCAUGGUUGAUCACCUGGAAGAAACCCCAUUUUUCCAAUGCUUGCCCGAUAUUCUGCACCGUCUCCUUGUGACAGGCGGGCCUGCAUUCGCGCAUCCUAGAUUAAUCACUGGGUUGUCCACGCGAUCCUCACUACAGGCCAUGCUGUCAGGCGGCCGGACAAAUAUGUGGGGGACUUGCGUGAUCCCGGCAUCCACAAGGCCUUUGACUCCAUCCUUAGUCUCAUCGAAUGCUCUCAAUUCGCUCACUCGGUCAUGUUCGGUGUCUCCGGUGGUGACCAUUGUGUGUUCUGUCACGAGGCCUUACCGUAUUUGGGCAAGUUGGGUCUUGAUGAAGUUCACUUUACGUGGUUAUAUAGUGGUCAUAUUGGAUAUCCACCAUUUUUUAUUUAGAGAAGAAGCUAAACACAAGGGACAUGAAGGUUGUCGAGAGUUUUCUUUUUUUAAAUGAAAUUUGGCCCAAGAAGAUGUCAAACGCUAGGAGUUGGCAACUUAAGAAUUCCUUGCUUCUUGACUAAGAAAGUGUUUGUCGCCACGACCAUAAUAGCACAUGUUAACGGUAUCUUCAAGAAGAUUAGGGAGGGAAAACGUUUUCCAAUUGGGAUUAUUACAUGGUUGGAUAGAUAGACUUUGAUAGUUACUUGUCCAAAUCUUGUGCAUUCUCCUCUUUAUAUAUAUAUAAAACAUGAUUAAUUGACCUGGGGGCUAUGUAAAGAGCUCACAAAUGUUUACUUAACUAUUGAAACAUUAUUUUUAAUAAAAUGAAGAAAUGAGGAGAAAUAAGAAGAGAUAAACUAAUUACUUAAAUAUAUUAAUUAAAAAUCAUAAGUAAUUAAUUAAUUUCCUAACAAGAGGAAAUCCAAUAUUAUUUCAUUCAUUCCUUACUCGAGAGUUCUUUUUUCGCAUUUAUGCAUAAACAUGAUUGAUGCAAACAAUAUGGAAGAGCUUGUAAAUUUUUACUAAACUAUUGAAACAUUAUAUUUAAUAAAAUGAGCUAUCGUGAACAAUAAAAUGAGAUUAAUUGAUUAUUAAACACAUGAAUUAUAAGCCAUAAGUAAUUAAUCGAUUUCCUAGCAAAUAAAAUUUAUUUUCAUUCAUUCCUUCUUUUUUCAAAUAUAUGAGAGAACGUGAUUGAUGCAAACAAUAUCGGAAAGGCUCAUGAAUUAAUGACUAAUUAUAUGGUGACUGGUCACUAUUUAAAACUCUAAACAAAGCCAAACAUGGAAAUAAUAAAUUGCGAAAGAUCAGGUGACACGUAUGCUAUUUUCCCCACAUAAGUUACCCCUGACAAAAGAAUUAGAAGCAAAAUAAUGUAAUUAGUAUUUAAAUUUUGAUACUCUUUGUCAGCGGCCCUAUAUUAGAUAUUAUGACAUAAAAACAUAUAAAAAAAUCCAAUUAAUGUACAACCGCAAAAAAAAAAAUUAAAAUAAUCACAAUGUUGCAAUACUAUAUAUGCAGUGUACAAAAAUGUCUCAAAUUAUAAGAAUAUGUACACUGGAAACUACUUAGAGAUUCAUUACUUAAAAAUGAGCAUUGUAAUAUUUUCACCUUUGUUGAUGUCAUAAAUAUAAAAGCUUCAUUAAACUUAAAUAAUUUUACAAAAUACCAACUAAAUUACACCAAAUAUACUUCAACUGGUUCUAAAAUAUUGAGACUAAAAAAAAAACAAAAAUAGUACAAUAUAAUAUAGAUAACGCCCCCAAAAUUUGAUAAAGACCUCGGCUUCUCUUUACCUAUGGGUUGGGCUGGACUGACCCAAAUAAUCUUUUGUUUCCACCACCCUUCACCUCAUCGCCAUUUUCACGCCACCAUCCAUAACCCUACUCUCAAAGCCAACUCGGGCCCUCUCAUUGUCUCAGCAAGCCAAUCCACAAAGUCGCCCAUUCUUCGAAAGCAACAAUUUAAGAAGAAAAAGUGUUAGGAAUUGGAGACUAAAUCAGGUCUGGUCUGGGUUGAGUCUGAGUUGGGUCGGCUAUGUUUGAGGGCCUAUGUUUAAGCCUCAUUCGUCAGCAAUUAAAGGGAAAUCGUCGUCGCCCGGGCAUUAGCUUUUGUCUCAGUUGUCAGUUCUUUGAAUGAGAGUAAGAGACGCUCAGGCGAAAAUAAUUGUAAUGUGUUUUCUUCCCAUGGUUCUUUAUUUUCUCCAAUGGUUCAUUGGCUCGUUUUACUUCAUUUAUCGUUAGGAAGAGGUUUCUUUUUUAUCCUCUGUAAUUGAGAGAGGCAGUAUACCAUUGCUGUAGCUAAAGAUUACUCCAAGAAAGGACCUUUAAGGUCUUUAGUUAACCUAAUAUUUUUUAGGUUGACAAGAGGAAACCUAAAUUUGCCGUGAUUAAUGUUUUUUUGGCGGACUCAUUGAGCAAUUGGUGGCCUUUUCUUAAGCUCUAAAACAGGGAAAAGAACCAAAAAUGCUCUAAAUCUAUUGCAUUAAUACCAAUUUAGUCAUAUAAUUUUCAACUUAACCAAUUUAGUCCUAAACAUUUUAAUAUUAGUACCAAUUCAGCCCGUCCUGUCAAUUUAGGCCGAAGUCACUGAUGUCGAUGCCGACCUCCUACUUGGCAUGGUUGGCAGUAGAUUUAGGACUAAAUUGGUCUAAUUAAAAGGUUUAUGACUAAAUUGGUACUAAUGUAAUAAGUUUAUGACUUUUUUGAUAUUGUUCCUCUCUAAAGUUUGGAUCAAUAGUAAAUAUAUUGGUCAUUUUUGCUUCAGGAGUUUAUUAUAAGAGGUGUAGUUUGUACGUGGACUAUAAAGAAAUUUCAAUUUAUGCGGGGUGCUUGAUAGGGUCAUUAACUUCUCUGUUUACUUGUGAUGGACUUGAGGGUUAGAAGAUCCUAUAGUCAAGGUUAAAGAACUGCCAAAAAAUGAGAUGAGAGGCUGACAUUGAACUUUGGAUAUGAGGUUGAUCUGCACGUAUCAAAAUCAUGUUGUCAUCUUCUUCCCACCUAAUUUUGGAAGUACUUUAUAUUCUUCAGUUGGCAGAGCAUCAGAGUAAUAUUGCAAUAUGACAUUUUCUAUUGGAAAGAACAAGAUAGAUUACUUGUGAAAAAGUUAUUAAAGGUCGCCACCCCUGCAAAAAAUGAUUUUCAAUAAAUGACCUCUCUCAAAAAUUCAAUGAGUUCUGAAGUAAACGCUGUGUUUUGCUCCUUCUAUAAACAUCUAACAUUCUUUUCUUUAAAUCAGCAAUAAUACUACUGGAGGAAUGGAAUCUUUCAAUCUCUUCUUCUCCUUGCUUUUGCUAGCAUGCAUUCUUAUCCAUGCCCGGAGUUCAUUUGAAACUUAAGGAAUGAUUGGAAUCUUAAGAAGGACCUUAACUAGCUAGGAUCUUUAUAUGGUCCCAAUCCUAAGCUAAGAAAAAUCAUCAGAUUGAUGCGAUCCUAUUGAUCCCAUUGACCCAACUUUGACAUACUUUGACCUUCAAAUAUGUAUAUUUGAUAUUCAAGUGACAAAAAUACUAAUAUUUCUUGUACAUGUGGUAAAUAAACUAUAAAUUCACGCCAUUUUGAAGUUUUAAUGUCGUGCGACAUUCAUAAUUAACAAACUUCCUAGGACUAUCCAAGAUAUUUGUAUCGUUGGUGUGAUUUCUGGGAUCUUACGGUCCACCAUUUGAUGUUACAAUCCAAUGCUUUAGACGCCUUCAUUGAUAAUAAGUUGGAUCUCGCUCCUAACAACCUUGUUCUUGACUGCAGAAAACUCAGCCAAGAAAGUACCAACAGUUAAUGAUUGUUCCUAACAUCCUUGUGCCUAACAACCCUAGGGCAGACUGACAAAAGUGCCUAGGACCAGAAUCAAAGCCGUUCAGCUUGUUACUGAUUGUCAAAAUGCUAUUCCAAACAGCCUUCUUGUUCUAGGGAAAGAAAGCCACUCUUUGAGGUACUUCCUUUACUAGAUUGCCUCCAUGGAAAAUUAGCCUUCUCACUCAUAUUUGUCUCGGAAAUGACAGAUCGAAACAAUUGAAAAUACCUAUCAAUAGACAAAGACCAAAUGAUGCUUAUCUUCAGUGUGAUCCACACUCUCAAUAUUGUAAAGAAAAAUGAAGGAAUACCACAUUGUUCCCAUUCCCAAUCUUGGAUUAGCUAUCCUUUUUUAACAACUUCUACUCUAGGAGUGCUCCUGCUCACUUCCAUCAUCCACAUUAUGCAAGAAUUUGUGUUUUCUUAGAUAGUUAAACUUGUAGAAUGUGGUUUAGCUUUAGUAGUUAAAUAGUUCUGGGCUUAUCCCAUUUAUUGAGCUGAAAUUCUGUAGGCCUAGUCAUGUUGCUGAUGGAAGAGGUAAUUAUCUAGAUUCUCUGAUGGAUUCUUCAUCCUUAGUUAUGCUUUUUGAAAAAUACUUCUAUAGCAUGAAAUUGUGAUUGCAACAUCAAUGGAUGAAGGAUGAGUUUCAUUUUAUUGAGGUUGUUUCACAUCAAUUAUGGAAAAGGCUGGUGGUUGGUUUAUAAAUGUGAGAGAAAAUCUCCCUGCUUUGAGCUAGUAUAUGAGGUGAGAGAGGCUCAAGACCAACCAACACUGGUAUCAGAAUCCAAUUGCCAAUAAAUCUAGACUCAACAAUCUCAUGGGAGAGUUACGGGUUGUCCCUACUCCAAUUCAAGAUCUAAUGUGUGAGGGGGAGAUUGUUAAGACUGUUUCACAUCAAUUUAUGUGCUCUAAAUACAUCUUUUGUCAGGUACAGCAUAAAGGUCUUCUAUGGCAACAUUUCUGCAAACAGCUUCCCUUGUUUUCUUGUAAGUUGAGCUUUAUUGCAUUAAUGCAUGUGUCCAGAAUCGACAAUCAAAUAAAUAAAUAAAUAAAUUGUGAAGAAGUAAAUAAGCUUGUGAUUUUAAGCUAAGUCCAUUCCGUGAUAUGAUACCGUCUUCAAUGGAUGAUUACUUUCAAAAAGCCAUGUCCACUCAAUUAAUGGAGCAAAAAGUUGAUAUAUUAAAGAAUAUACAGCCACCAUCUUUUUUUAAUCUAAGGCGUCGGCCUUUCCCUAAAACUAAAUAAUCAUGUUACAUGAAUCAGAUGCUCUUCGAUCAACCCUUGAUGAAUAGGCCUAAAUAUUAUAAGAUGAAAAUGCGUCAUUAUGUUAUGAGGUUAACUCCCUUUAGUUCCUUUUUUUAGUCAUAUGAUGCUAUUAUUAUUGGCAUCAGAAAUGUUGCCCAGAAAUGUCAUUUGGGGGCCUCCUUUCCUUUUGGUUCUAUGCACUUUAUAUGAGGAAUCCAAUGUACCCUGAAAUGCUCCAUGCAAUCAUCUCAAGGAUGGAACGCGCAUGCUGUUUAUGGUGAAAACGAUAGGCAAUCGAGACCACCAUAAACCGGAUUAGGAUUUAAUGGGCAAGACUCAUUCAAUUUCACGUUUGGUUCAUGUUUAAAUUAACCUUUCAGAAACAUGCUACGUGCGAUGUAAGAUCAUUAAAUACCAAACAAGGAUGAUUGAACCAAACAAGAGUUGGUCACCAUUCAUCUUGUGCUUGGAAGAGUUCGUCAUAAAGGUUUAGAUGUGCAAAAUUCUUAAGCUAUGACUUAUGAACAGUGCAUGUGAGAUAGAGAAUUCCAUUAGGACUAAAAUUUGUGCACUUCUGGAUUGAGCAAAAUGAGUUGUAGUUUUUUGUUUAACGCUGCAUAUGAACUAUGUGCAUGUCUUCAAUGGGUUUUGCAAUCAAGAACGCACCCUACUUUUGUGUCAUGGAAAGGUGGAACAAUAAGAUAAGCAUUGUAUAACAUUCUCUCACUUUUUCUCUAUAAGAAGAUGAAUUUUGUCUAAGAUUUUAUACAUUUAGUGAGUUGAAUAUGACUCAUUUCCUAUGCCUAAUGGAAAAUUGAGAGCUGUUUGAGUGAGAAAUUCUGUUGUUUUUUUUUAAUUAUUAAACUAUGCAAAACAUAUUCACCACCAUCUCUUUUUAUUGGUGAAUUUUAAUGUCAGUGAAAGCAGUUAGUAAAAGUAGACAUUGCAUUUUCAAAAAGUACGUGCCUUUUUGAAAAGUGACAUCUUAAAGACACGGAAAAACUUUUUUAAAUAGAGACAUGCCAUGUUUCCAAGUUAAUGUGAACUCUUCACAUGGUGGUGAUUCUUUCCUUAAGUCAAACCUUGUCAUGGUCUCUUAAAUAGUGUAUCGAAGUACUCGCUAAUUUAAAAUUUUUCCCCAAUGUUGAUGUCCAUCAUUCAAAUUUGCAACUUCUUAUUGACGAGCUUGCUUGUUUCAGGAAGUUGUAGCCUUUCUUAAGUGGUCCUCGCGCUAUUAAUUUUGAGUACAAUCCAUGGAAUUGUUUGGUCAAAUCUGGUAUAACACUAGCUUUUGAAAGAAUAUUGUUGGGAGCGUUUUGACUGGCUAAGUAUUCCUUUUUUUCUGUGACAUGCUUUGUUCUUAAGAGAAAUUAGCAGUUCUUGAUAUUGGUUGAGACGCUUGGAUACAUUGCAUGGACUGGUUUCAGAAUGGAAUCCAUGUUGGGAGUAGCGGAAAGUACGAGGACUCUUCCCAGAUUUUCCUUAAUAAGAACUGAACUUAAAUUCUUGAAAGGUAAAACAACUGAGGCUUAUGGCUACUUCCAUUAAAUUGGUCUGCUGAUAUGCUCUCAUUAUGACUUGCAGGAUAUUCUAAGUUUAUAUUAGCAUCUCGCUGCUGGAUGUUGGAAACUGCGUUUGAAGACGUCGGUUGCUGAUCUUUGUGGGUCUAAAUACACUUCUGUGUCUACCAGGCCACAUCAAAUGUUGAAGUUUUAGAUCAUUUUCACUUGCACGAAGAUUGUAGCAGGUGGCUUCCCCUUCUACGUGAUCCACGAGUCAGGUCAUAAACCUGCUGUUUUUGGGUCUAUCCUCUUUUUUCUCUUUAGCCCCUUUUUUGUGGACCCCCCUGUCUUCGACACCACCAAAUGUUUCUACGCGCUUGUCCUAUCCUCUUUUACUUUUUAGUCGAUUCCAUUUCCACCUGCUAGAUCUCUAUCACAAGAGAAAAUGAACAAAAAAUGUGUGCUCCAUCCCCGUUUUCCGAUAUGAUGAUCACGUGAUGCUACAUCAGCAUUACAUAUCUGCAAAAAAAAAAAAAAAUUGUCAAAUUUGCAGAGGAAAUCAUAAUCAACAUUACAAGAAAAAAAAAUAGUGUAAUGGUCCUCAGCGAUUCCAAAUUAUGGGAGGAAAUCAAAUUACCGCAAGUGGGAUCGGAAUUGACCCAAUAAAAAGAUAAAGCAGGUGCAAUUAUUUAGUGACGUGAAAGAAAGAGGCGUGGGGUCCUUGUAAAUGUUGGGUGGCGUGAAAGACCUCUCAAAGUCAUCGGGAGUUCAUUUCAAUCAACCUCCACGGCAGUAAGCCUAUUCAUGCACAAUGAUGGUUUUGAAGAAAAGAAAUGGGAACACUCACUCCUGCUUGGGCUAAGUGGCCUUGUUAUGUUGAACUUCUCUUUCCAUUCCAUGGAAAUUAAAACAGCAAUAUUUCGUUACGUGUGCAUAUAUUGAUGAAAAAAUAUUCAUGUUCUUUGACAUGUAAAGCUACUCCUAUUUCUUCUUUUUUGUUUAUGUUUUCUCCCUUUGGAAAGAGUGAGUACUUAACGGGGCAUAAGUAAUUGAUUUUUUUUUUAAAUGAAGGGGAACACCCUUGUUUGCAUUGUUUAGAAUACAAAGAUCAAACCGACAAGUAGCCUAUAAUCACAUCUCCAAUUUGGAAUAUUUCCGUAUCGAUGACAACUUCCACGGUUAAUCUAAUUAUGUUGCAUUUUUAUGUAGUUCAAAAUUUACAAUAAAUUUUUUACUGUUAUCGUCAUCCUACCACUUCCUAAAUUUCAUUUUAUUGGUGAAUUAUUAUAGCGGUAAAGGCCAACAAAAUUUUUUCAAAAAAUAUGUGCCUUUAUGAAAUAUGGCAUGCUUCUAAGACAUGACAUUUCUAUAUUGAUGCAAAUUUGUCACGUAAUGAUGAUUCUAUCUUCAAAUUGAACCUUUUCAUGGUCUCCUUGAUAAUGUGUUUGAACACUAGCUAACUUAAUUUUUACCGAUAUUGAUGUCCAUCAUUUAAACUUGCAACUUCUUGUUGAUGAGCUUGCUCAUUUCAUGAAGUUGUUGCCUUUCUUGAGUGGUCAUCACGCUAUUAAUUUGUAGUGUAAUCCAUGACAAUUGUUUGGUCAAAAUCUGUUAUAACACUAGCUUUAUUGCUAGAGUGUUAAGCAUUCCUCUUUUACUGUGGCGUGCUUUGUUCUUAACAAAUAUUAGGAAUUCUUUAUAUUGGCUGAGAUGUUUGGAUACAUCAUGUGAAAUGGUUUCAGAAUGGAAUUCAUGGUGGGAGCAACAGAAAGUACAAAGACUCUUACUAUGUCCCAGCACAAGCAACAUGCUAAAUAAAUUCUUGAAAGGGAAAACAAUAAAGGUUCAUGGCUACUCCCAUUAAAUUGGUCGGCUGACAUGCUCUCAUUAUGACUUGCGGGAUAUUCUAAGUUUAUAUGAGCAUCUCGCUGCUGGAUGUUGGAAACUGCGUUUGAAGACAAAGAUUGCUGAUCUCGGUAGGUCUAAACACACUUUGUGUGUCUACUAGGCAGCAUCAGAUGUUGAAGUUUCAGAUCAUUUUCACUUGCACAGGGGCUGCAGCAGGUGGCUUCCCCUUUCUACGUGAUCCACGGGCUAGGUCGUAAGCCUGCUGCUUUUGGGUCUAUCCUCUUUUCUCUUUAGUCCCUUUUUUGUGGACCCCGCACGUCUUUGACACCACCAAACAUUUGCACACGCUUGUCCUAUCCUCUUUUUCUUUUUAGUCGAUUUCAUUUCCACUUGCCAGAAUUCGAUCACAAGAGACAAUGAACAAAAAGUGUGUUCUCCAUCCCUGUUUUCUGAUAUGUCGGUCAUGCAGUGCUACAUCAACAUUACAUAUUUGAAAAGAAAAAAAAACAUUAGUCAAAUUAGGGGAGGAAAUCAUAAUCAACAUUACAAGAAAAAAAUCAGUGUAAUGGUCCUCAGCAAUUCCAUAUCAUGGGAGGAAAUCAAAUUAUCGCAAGUGGGAUUGGACUUGACCCAGUGAGAAGAUAAAGCAGGUGCAAUUGUUUGGUGAUAUGAAAGAAAGACGCAUGGAUCCUUACAAAUAUUGGCUUGCAUGAAAGACCUCCACGCCCGGCAAUCUCAAAGUUGUGGGGAGUUCACUUCAAUCAACCUCCACAGCAGUAAGCCUAUUCAUGCACAAUGACGGUUUUGAAGAAAAGAAAUGGGAACACUCACUCCUACUUGGGCUAGGUGGUCAUGUUUCGUUGAACUUCUCUUUGUAUUCCAUGGAAAUUAAAGCAGCAACAUUUCUUUCCUUGUGCAUAUAUUGAAGAAAAAAUAUUAUUGUUCUUGACGUAUUAAGCUACUCUUAUUUCUUCUUUUUUUUGUUUCUACUUUUUUUUUUCCUUUGAAAAGAGUGAGUACUUAACGGAGCAUGAGUAAUUGAUAUUUUUUUUUUCCUAAAUCAAGGGGAGCAACCCUGUUUGCAUCAACCUAUUUGGAAUACAAAGAUGGAGAUCUCCAGUAAUUUUACUUUUUUAACAUCCGGAUAUUUCUCUAUCAAUGACAACUUACGCGGUUAACCUAACCAUGUUGCAUUGUUUUGUAAUUUGAAAUCUACAAUAAAACUUGUUACUGUCAUCGCCGUCAUUAUCAUUUCCUAAAAAAUUCAUUUUCUUGGCCAAUGAUUAUGGCAGUAAAGGCAGACAUAGCGUUUUCAAAAAGUGUGUGCCAUUCUGAAAUAUGGCAUCUCAAAGAUAGAGAAUAGCUUCUAAGACGUGACAUGUUUCCAUGUUAAUGCAAACUCGUCACAUAAUGGUAUUUCAAUCCUCAAUUUGAACCUUGUCAUGGUCUUUUAGAUAGUGUGUUUGAACACUAGUUAACUUAAAUUUUUUCACCAAUCUUGAUGUCCAUCAUUUAAACUUGCAACUUCUUGUUCAGUGAAGUUGUAGCCUUGAGCGGUCAUCACACUAUUAAUUUGCAGUGCAUUUCAUGACAAUGGUUUUGGUCAAAAUAUGAUGUAACCAUAGCUUUUGAAAGAAUAUUGCUAGGAAUGUUAAGUAUUUCUCUUUUAUUGCAGCAUGCUUUGUUCUUAACAGAUAUUAGGAAUUCUUGAUAUUAGCUAAGAUGCUUGGAUGCAUCAUAUGAAAUGGUUUCAGAAUGGAAUCCAUGUUGGGAGCAGCAGAAAGUACAAAGACUCUUACUCUAUUCAAGUACAACUGUACAAGUAACAUGUUAAAUAAAAUCUUGAAAAGUAAAACAAUUGAGGCUCAUGACACUCCCAUUAAACUGGUCAGGUAUUUGAUCAGAGUUUAAACAUCUGUAUGAUCCUUCCAAUUUUGCCUUCAAGUUUCCUUGGCGCCCUCGGCAAGAGUAUAUCUUCGUCUAUGUUUGUCACUUCAUUUGCUUGGUGUUAGAAAGCAAAAUGUUAGAGCAUAACAGUGGUAUGUGGAUCUCAGUGGUUGGCUUUUACCUUUCCUGUUUGAGUUACAAAUCAAAGUUUCCACAAAAAUCGACCAGCUCGUCAUCAAGUAAUUUCUUCGCCCUAUCCUUCUUUUUAAGCAAACAGAAGUAGAGCAGGACUAAAAUCUUUUGGGUGCAAUGAAAUUUAACUUCAGCUUUUCUAUCGAGUUACAGUCGAUAUGGACGAUUCUUGCUUUUCCUUCGUAUUUUGCCACGGCAAUGAAGCGUUUCAUAUGCAUUCAUGGAAACCCCAUUAAUGUGUAUAUUUUCAGGGUUAUUAGGUAAACUUGUAAUAGCAAAACUUGAAACUCAAUGUUUGGAAAAAUACUUUGCCAAGAAUGAAUGUUUGUAUAAUUUACAUCAACAAAACGAAUGAAAAUUAUAUUUUUCAUCGAUGAAAAUAUUAGGCAUAAAUUGUUAAUAAUGAAAAAAUUAAUAAAAUCAACAAUUUAGAAAACACUUUCGUGAAAAAUGAUUACUUAUACCAUUUACAAAAAUAACUUUAAGCAUAAAAGGUCGUUGAUUAUGAAAAUAUUUUUUAUUGAUUAAUUAUUCUAAGCGAUGUAAACAACUAUCUGUCAAUGAAUCAUCCAUUAUUUAGACACAGAUAAAUAAUUAAUGUGAAAGUUUGUUAAUUUCUUUUAUGGAUAAUUUACACUAAAAAGAUAUAGUUUCAAUAACUAUCGAUCAAAUUUGUCAUAUCAUAUCCGAAAUUUACGCAAUUUUGGGAUUGAUGCAACCGCAAUUUUUCGAUCCAUCCUCUUUUUUCUCAUUUAAUCUCUUUUUUCUGGUCCCCACGCGUCCUUUCCCUUCACACUACCAAACGUUUGGGCAAUUUUUGGGUCUAUCCUCUUUAGGUGGACCCUACGUGUUUUUCUUGCAUCCCACCAAACAUUUGCACCUGUGUUAUCUUCUUAUUGGGUUGAUUCCAUUCCCACAACGGAUCGAGAAAAAAUUUCCAUUCCCAACUUAGCAGAUUCGAUCUCAAGAGAAAAUGAACAAAAAGUGUGUCGGCGCACCCUCAACCCCACCCCCACCCCGUGCUCCCCUUCUCUCCCUCCCCCCUCCCUUUUCCUCUCCUUUAUUGUUUUCCAAUCUUUUUCCAAUAUGGCGGUGUGGUGUUGCAUUAACAUUGUUUGUCAAACAUAAGAGAAAACGUUAGUCAUAUUAAGAGAGGAAAUCAUAAUCAACAUUACAAUAAAAAAACCAAGAGUAAUGGUCCGCAGUGGUUCCAUUUGCACAAAAGUCGAAAUCUUGACCCUCAUUCGUUGUAUGUUGAUGGGAGGAAAUCAAAAUUGUGGCAAGUGCAAGUAGAAUUGACCCAAUAAGAAGAUAACACUGGUGCAAAAAUUAGGUUAUAUAAAAGAAGAGACGCGUGGGUUCUUGCGAAUGUUGGGUGUCAACCUCCACGACAUGGCAAUCUCAAAGUUGUUAGGAUUUCACUUCAAUUGACCUCCACAUCAGUAAGCUUAUUCAUGCACAUUGGUGGUUUUGGAGAAAAAAAUGGGAACCUCACACCUGCUUGGGCUGAGUGGCCAUGUUACAUUGAACUUAAAGUUACAUUCCAUGGAAAUUAAAGCAGUAACAUUUCGCUCUUUGUGCAUAUAUUGAUUACAAAAUAUUUAUGUUAAGCUACUACUUCUAACAAGUAGCUUAUGAUCCAAUCUCCAGUACUUUGACUUGUUUACAUUUGGAAUAUUUAUGUAUUUAUUACACAACUUGCGUGAUUAACCUAAUCAUGUUGCAUGGUUUUGUUGUUUGAAAUUUACAAUUAACAGGACAAUAGCGAUAGGAGUCCUUGUGCCAUUGACAUAGUUCUCAAACUUUUAUUUUGUUCAUUUAAGAAUUAAAACUUGCUUUAAAAAACAUUUGAGAGAUUCCGUUUGCUCCAUCAAUUUCUUAGGGACAGAAACCAUAAGUGCCUUCUUUAAUUCCUAUAGACAUAAUAACAGAUUGCAUGAGAAUAUGUCUAAAUGAGCAUGAAUUCCCAUAUGCAAAAGAGAAACGUAAUUUAUUAAUUAUCCUUUUUUUACUAAUAUAAGUGAUCGAAAAAUUUAGAAUUAACAUGUGAUAUCAUUCAUUAAAUUAUCUCUUUUAUUUUAUUGUUACAAACGUGAAUGAUACCAGAAUUAAUCAUUUCGAUAAGUCUCCCAACUAUAAAUUUUACAUGUAUUCUUACAUAUAAAGGUAAUUAUGAAGUUAUUUUCUUAUUGAUCAAAAUAAGGAUCCUCAAAUAAUAUCGUGUAAAAUUUACUUCCAAAAGGUAUUUGUAUGAAUCGAUAUUUAUAGAGAGUGCUACAUAUUUGAUUUUUUUUUUUUAAAGACUAAAAGAGGUGCAAUGUCAAUUUUUUUAGAGAAACAAAAAGAUUGAGAAUGUUUUAGUUGUUAAAUAUCAGUAUUCUCUUCAGCCGAAAAAAAAAAUUAGUAUUCUCUUACUUAUCUUCUUCUUUGCAUAAGAAUUUUCAUUUCUACACAAGAAAGAUAUUACAAGUUUUCAUUAUUUGAGGGAAUUUGGGUUUUCGUUCGGAAACUGCUCUUAAUACGUGACCGAAGGCUUUUUCAAUACUAUUUUCGCGUUCAAACGAAAACGAAAACGAAAACAAAGAAGCGAGAAAAUUUUCUCUAAACGAUACUGGGCAACCUGUUUUUCCCAUACGCUUUUGGCCUUUCCUCUUUCCUCCUCCUUUCUUCAUUUCCUUUAUUGUGGACCCCACACUUCUUUCACACACCACCCAACAUUUGCACGCGCUUCUCUUCUUUUUGGAAAAUUAUAAUGAGGCACUACCAAACCAUUGUUAACCAACAAAAGCAUCAAUUCUGCAACCUCCUCUUUCUAGCCCAGAAAAAAGGAAAACUCUGCAACCUCCUCUCAAGCACUCCUUAACCCCUGCUUUUGCCUUUUGGAGAUGGCAGAAGCAGUGCUUUUCACCCUCACCAACGACAUACUAAAACUCGCCGGUACCAACAUCUUUUCGAAGAUUCAACUUGUACGAGGUGCGAGCGAUGAUCUCAAGGGUCUCAAGUACACCGUCAAGACCAUCCAAACUAUGCUUUUGGAUGCCGAGAAGAAACAAUGGGACAGAGCAGGUCAAGCUCUGGCUCAUGAGGCUGAAGGACGUGUUGUACGAUGCACAUGACUUGCUGGACGAUGUCGCAACCGAAGAUAUGAGGCGGAAGGUCACUCCCGACAACAAGAUGUCGAAAGCGGUAUGCUUUUCCUUCUCCAAAUCAAAUCAGCUAGCACAGCCCUACAAAGUGGCUAAAAGGAUUCAGGAAAUUAGGAAGAAACUGGAUUUGAUUGCAAAAGAUAAGGAGUUCCGUUUAGAGGAGCAUCGGAGUGAGGCAACUGUUGCUAUUGUGAGGAGGAGGACAACUGACUCUUUUGUGCGGAAGGAUGAGAUAGUUGGUAGACAAAUUGAUGAGGGGAAGAUCAUCGAAUCUUUGCUUGAUUCCUCUUCCAGAGAGAGUGUUUCAAUUGUUUCCAUAGUCGGUAUGGGAGGACUUGGAAAAACCUCGCUUGCUCGGCUGGCGUACAACAAUGACAAAGUUAGAAACUGCUUCGAGCUUGAGAUGUGGGCGUGUGUAUCCGACGUCUUUGAUCAGGAUUUUCUCAUCAAAGAAAUACUGAAAUCUGCCCGAGGUACGUAUCAAUGGGAUUCUCAGAUGAAGAAAGAUCUGGAAGACAUUGAUAAAAAGUGUAAGGACGAAUUGCAAGGGCUUCUUCGUAAGGCACUUGACGGGAAGAAAUACUUGCUUGUUUUGGAUGACUUGUGGAAUGAAGAUCGUGCAAGAUGGUUGGAGCUUCAACGUUUGCUAAUGGGUGGUUCGGGAGAGAGCAAGAUACUCGUAACCACACGUAGUAAGUCAGUCGUGCAUGCUACAGAUGCAAAAUCAGUUAUCCAUCAUCUAGAUGUCUUAUCUGAAGGUGAGUCGUGGGAGUUAUUCAAAAAAACAGCUUUUGGAGAUGGGGAGGAAUCAUUAAACCAGAAACUAGAGAUAGGUCGAGAUAUAGUUAAAAAAUGCGGGGGUGUUCCCCUUGCCAUCAAAACUAUAGGCAACCUUUUGUAUGCCAAAAAGGAAAAGGAGUGGCUUUAUUUUAAAGAGCAUGAAUUCUCAAAAAUAGAUAUGUUGAACACUGGAAUAAUGGAAGUCCUCAAAAUCAGUUACGAUCAUCUUCAGCCAGGGCUAAAACAUUGUUUUGCAUAUUGUGCAUUGUUUCCAAAAGAUUACGUCUUCGAUAAAAAAGACAUGAUACAGUUGUGGAUGGCACAAGGUUUUAUUGAGUCAUUGGAUGAGAAUGAAGAGCUAGAAGAGAUUGGGGAUGAUUUUAUCUCAGACCUACUAUGUGGGUCGUUUCUUGAAGUUGAGAAGGUCGAUCCUAACACUGGUAAGGUGGAAAUGUUCAAGAUGCACGAUCUCAUGCACGAUCUUGCCGUGAAAGUUGCGGGAAAUGAGUGCAAGAUGGUCAAUCUCAACAAAGGUAAAGGCAAUAUCGAUGAAGAUACUCGACAUGCAUGUCUUGAUUUACAAUCGCCCUUAUUGCCGCAAGAAGUGACUUCUCUACUAGAAGCGACCAAUCUACGGACAUUUCUCACUUUGGAAGGAACAAAGGAAUUGUCCCAAAAUGAAUGGCCUUGGAUUUUAUCCGAGUUCAGGCAUUGCGGAACAAUGGAAUCGUUCCGAAAUGAAUGUUAUCGGAUUUUCUUCAAGUUCAAGUAUUACCAAAUAAAAUACGAGUUCAGGCAUUGCCGAACAAAGGAAUUGUCCCGAAAUGAAUGUCAUCGGAUUUUCUCCAAGUUCAGGCAUUGCCGAACGUUGGGAUUGAAACAUUUAAAUUUUUGCUUCCAUCCUUUGUUGGGAAGUCAGUUGAAGCACUUAAGAUUUCUUGAAGUUUUUAUGAAUCUCUCCAUCAAUAGUUUGCCGAAUUCAAUCACGGAUUUGCUGAACUUGCAGACCCUUAAACUUUAUGGAAGUCCGUAUCUUAAAACAUUGCCCAAAGAUUUAAGGAAAUUGGUCAACUUAGAUAUCUUUUUAUUGCUGCUUGUGCCUCAUUGAGCGACCUACCCCCCUAAGUGAACUCUCUUCUCUAAGGACUUUGAGUCUCGUGUCCUUGACGUCAUUGGAGUUUGACCCUCUUCAACUGCAAUCUUGUACUACACGGCCCUUCUUCCCAUCUCUUGAGAGUUUGACCCUCUUCAAAUGCAGAAAGUUGAAAAAAUGGUGGAGAAGAAUGCAAGUGAUGAUAGCAUAUCAAAAGCAUCAAUCAAACAAUUCACGGUCAUUCUUCCCAAAACUACGGUUUGUGGAAAUAAGAAAGUGUCCCGCCUUGGACUUCGUGCCACCAUUCCUCCAGGUGGAAUACUUGGAGAUAGAUGACACUAAAAUCUUGGAAGAUUGGUUGACUAGUCUAGAUUGCCCAUCAGAGCAAGCGGUGGGAUCCACAUUCAUCCCUUUCUCUAAACUAAAGCAUCUAAGUCUUCAUGGUAGGAAUAUGAAUACCUCGAUACUCAAGACUCUACUUCAAUUGGCCAGUAAUCUUGAGUCCUUGGAACUCCAUAUGUGCAACCCAAGGGAUAUCUCUCAUGGCAUGCAGCACCUUUCCUCGCUUCGGGAACUCAGCAUUUGGGGAAGUGCAUAACUCAAUUUAUUGUGCCACGAAGAUGAGCAAGGCACCCAAUGGCAAUUCCUUACAAAACUUCAUGUCCUUAAAAUCUCAUACUCUUCGGAUUACAUGCCAUCAUUCGAGUGGAUUCAACAUGCCACAAAUUUGCAAUCUCUCGAGUUUUUUGCAUGUGAGUUGCUGACAAGUUUGCCCAAAUGGAUUGAAAAUUUCUCUUUACUUGAAAAGCUUGUAGUAUCUGAAUGUUUAAGUUUAGCGAGUUUACAAUUUGAGACACGCAACCUCACACGCUUGAAGGAACUGAGAAUCAUUAAGUGUCCCCAGCUGGAAGAGGUGCCUAAUAGAUGCGCACGUUCCGGUCAUUUUUCGGGAGGGGAUGAAUCGGAACGAUCAGUACAGUAGAGGUACCAGAAAAGACUAAUAUCACCUAUCAAUAGCGUUCCUUUUUCAACUAUUUUACCUUCUUUAUUAUUUAACUAAUUUCUCUUCACCAUAUUAUUGGCAGCGCAAAUAUUUAUCAAGAGGAAGAAAGCGUCCCUCCACUCCAGUUCGCCGCCGCCUUCCUCGUCAUGUCGCGCAGCGUGUAGAACAAACACCACCCUUUGCUUCCUCGUCUUGCUCGUAUAACCUCCUCACUCCCCCACUCCUUCUUCCCCUCCAUCACCGCCGCCGGAAGAACCCCAGCGUCUGCGACGCGCGUCCCAUCCUUUCGAUUGCCUCCUUCCUCUUGGCCAGGUCCGCCGAGGUCGGAUUCUCGGAUCCGCCGUUCGAGUCGGAGCUGCCUGCCUUCGGAUGUCUCGUGCGGUCGGAUGAAGAAGUCCUGGGGAUUUCGGUGAUCCCGGCGUCGACGAGGCCUUAGACGCCGGCUUUCGAGUCCUCGCUCGCACUGUCGUAGCUCUCUGCUCGCCGGAGUCGGAGGCCAAAUCGAUGGUAGGCGUUGUUCCUGUCUGUCUGUCUGUCUGUCUCUGUCUCUCUAUCUAUCUACUGCAAUAAUGUGUUAUAAGUUUCGAUUAUGUAUCGAAUGUUAUGGAGACAUUUGGAUUAUGAAUUGAGUGUUAUGGAGACAUUACAAUGUCAAUGCAUGAUAUGAGCAUCUUCUUUAUAGCUGAUUGAUUGACAGAAGAGAAGUGAAGAGAACAACGACAUCCAUGGCGAGGUUCCGUUUGACUUAUGAGGUACCCCUAGCUGAGAAAAUUACAAUGCUGUUUAAUAAUGGCUGAUUCUUUGGGGGAUGGGGCGGCUAGUACACAAAGUUUUGCAAUUUAUGAAAACAAGAUCUGUUAGGACAGAGUUGAACAGUGAUAGACGGCAGGAAGAUUCAAUGGGUGCGUUUGGGAGUAACUUUGGAAGGGGCUUUGGGCAUCAAAAGCCCUUUGAGGCAAAAAAUGGGUGUUUGGGAACCAGCUUUCGAAGUCCCUUAAUGGGAAAGCAAGUACUUGAGAAGGCUGAAAGCCCAAGGCAGCCCUGAGGCUGCCUUGGGCUUUCAGCAUUCUCGGCAUGCUGGGAGUCACUGUUCAUUUAUUUUUUUUCCAAAAUUGUCCUCACGAAUUUUUUGUUUUUCCGGUGCGUGCCCUUGCAUGAGCACUGUUCAUCUUCUCCGGGACGCCGCGAGCCUCAGGGUUGGACGACUUCCAGCGAGGAUCCGCCGGAGGUCGCAGGUCAGCCGGAGGUCGCAGGUCAGCCGGUUAGCCGGAGGUCGCAGGUCAGCCGGAGGUCGCAGGUCCUCGCGGCGACCUUGCUGCGACCUCUGUGCAACCAGAUCCGGUCGCCGGAGGUCGAGCGACCACGCGGUGACCAGAUCCGGUCGCCGGAGGUUGAGCGACCUCGCAGCGACUAGAUCUGGUCGCCAGACUGGUCGCCGCGAGGUCGCGCGACCUCCGGCGAACAGAUCUGGUCGCGUGACCUCCGCGCGACCUCCGGCGACGCGCAGAGCUCGCGCGACCUCUGCGCCACCAAACCCGCCUCCCGCGACCCAGAUCCGGGGUCGCCAGAGGUCGCGAUGGCGUCGCGCGACCUCGCCGGCCCAGAUCCGGGGUCGCCGGAGGUCGCCGGAGGUCGCCGGUGGCCGCUGCCCUUGCCGGUCAAUUUAUUUUUAAUUUUUCUUUUGAUAAUUUUUUUUACAACAAAACUCCUUUGCAAAUGUAAUUCCCCAAACACUAUUUUGUCCAAAGCACUUCACAAAGGGCUUUCAAAGUAUAAUUUACCAAACACAGUUUGCAUUUUGAAAAACACCUUUAAGUCAAAGGUCUUUGCAUUUUCCCAAAGACUUUCCCCAAAAGUGGUUCCCAAACGCACCCAAUGUUGUCUUAGCCCAUGACUUCUUCGCAAUUACUGAAAUCUAUAUGUAGAGGAAUCUCUGGUUUUUAGCCCUCUCUUUCUCAUCACUUUAAGAGAGUUUCUGGACUUCUCGGGGAAACAUAACUAUUAUCUACGAGCUGGGUCCAUAAGAUCUAGUAAGCAUAUAGAAAUCUCAAUGUUCAUCUUAGUGAAACAGACAACAACUUGGUGAAUCUUGGACAACCUUGAUUGAUGCAGAGGCUUGCAAUAGUUUUAUAAAUCAUUUAAAAUUGGACCCUCUGCAUGUAUAUUUGGUGUAGAUGAGUUUGGAUUAUGAAUUGAAUGUGAUGGAGACAUUUGGAUUAUGAAUUGAGUGUUAUGGAGACAUUACAAUGCCAAUGCAUGAUAUGAGCAGCUUCUUUAUAGCUAGUUGAUUGAGAGAAGAGAACAAUGACAUCCAUUGCGAGGUUCCAUUUGACUUUAGAAUUAUGAGGUUCAUAAAAAAGGAAGGAGAAAGUCAUAGCUUAUGAGCUACCACUAGCUGAGAAAAUGACAAUGCUGUUUAAUAAUGGCUGAUUCUUUGGGGGAUCGGGUGGCUAGUACACAAGUUCUGCAAUUCAUGAAAACAAAAUCUGUUAGGACAGAGUUGAACAAUGAUAGAUGACAGGAUGAUUCGAUGUUGUCUUAGCCCUUGGAUCAAUGCUUGUGUCAUCUUAAUGCGAUGCUAACUCGAUUAGAUCAAUUAGGUUUCAGAUAUGUCGCAUCUUAAUGCAAACCUACUGUUUCUUAGAAAAUCUAGGGAAUGUACAUAAAUUUUUGCCAUGCGGUUGAUUCUGGUUAUUGUUGUUGAGCGAGUCGCAAGCUGGCAAAAAUUCCACUUUUUAUCCUACCUACUAAUAUACAAAGUGGAAUUCAAAGUUGAACCAAACAGAAAUGUUCCUGAAACUGCAAAUUUUCCCGUGGUAGAUUAAUGCUGUAACUGUCAUACAAGUAUUCAACACCGUUUCAUCUAAAGAUAACGUACUUCUUUUGAUUUUAGAGCGGUAUGUAUUAAUCUUCCUCUCCCUCUAUUUUGUGCUCUCUUUUUGGUUCCACUUUAAUUUAGAGAAUGACUUUGUCUUUUGGAGUUGUGUUGGUGCUCAUCGAUCUAUCAUUUGAAGCGAUAUAAGCAUUAGAGACUGAGCACUGAAGAAGCGCAAUCUUGUUCUGUGGUAGUUUUACCUAGUUGAACAUAUGGACAGACUUUUAUCUUUAAGUACAAACAUCAAUAGGACCACAUAAAAAGGUUCACACGGUCUACAGCUUGAAAUCAGGAAGUGCAGAAGCUCCAUACAGGCCUUUGGAAAUGUAAUGGGCAGUGUAGUUUGGGAGCGUAGUCUCCUUGUAGAUUGGUGGGUUGUCUGCUGAUGUUAAUUCUUUCAUGGGCCCAUACAAUCGUGAAGAUGGUCGAGGAGUGUCGCCGAAGAAGCACGCCACCAACACUGUUGGGUCUCUCUUGUUUGCCAUGAUUCGGUUCUCAACACUCUCAAACCGGUUGUUUGUUAUGAGCUGCAAAUGCAACAAUUAGCGAAUCGUUCCUCAGUAAGGAACGUAAUUUCUAUCUGAGAGUGCUAGUAUGAACAAUAUAAAGGAGUUAAGGAAGAGAAUAAGAACACGAGAUUUAUAGUAGUUCGGCUUAAUCCAAGCCUACGUCCACUCUCCCACGAUAACAGCCUUCUUGGCUGGAUUCCACUAUGCAAUCAACAAGAGAUUACAACUUCGAGUGCAAAUACUUAGUAGAUCACACUAUCUCACUAAGUCACUCUCUUGGUAUUUCUCUCACGAUUACAAACGUUUAAGCUCUCAAGAGACAAGUAUAUGAUCUAAAGUCGCUCAGACUUUGGAAUUAUAAAUUCUACGCUCCGUCUCUUACUUGCUCAUCGGUCCAUGAUCUUCUUAAAUACUCCUCCACUUCCAAACUACCGUUGGACAGUAUCCCGGAGAAUCGUCUUCCAAUAUACCCAUUGGACAGCUCUGUAUCUAGAAGAUUUGGUAGCCGUUGAGUGACAAAGGUAAAAUCCCAAAUUGAUUCCGAUCGCCCAUACAAACGAAAUCUUGGUUUCCAUAAGUAAAGCUUCUUCGUAUAGAAAGUUCUUGUCUUCAAUCAAAUCAAUCUUGAUGUGGAAUCCAAACCAGAUCACUAGCCGUUGUAUGAUUGGGCUUGAGUUACGAUUCAUUGAAUCUGGAUGUAAAGUCUGAGUCUUUAGACUUUACGAUAUGAGUCUUGAGACUUUACAAUCUGGGUCUGUAGACUUUACAAUCUGAGUCUGUACCCAGUUCAGCUUCAGCAUAGAGUCUGUCUUCUGGUUCAUCAUUCACGUUCAGUCUGGAAUUUGUCAGAGUGAACAGACUUCUGAUGUAGAACAGACUUUGACACUAAAGUCUGGCAGUCUUCAGACUUUGAGUCUAGAGUCUAACAGUCUUCAGACUUUGAGUCUUGAGUCUGGCAGUCUUCAGACUUUGAUAAUAUCCUCUACAUGUUCUAACAUCUGCAUGGCCUAUUACUCAACCAUCAAAUAUGUUAGUAGCCUUUGAUUUAUUUUGUCAUCUUCAAAACAUCAUAAGGGAUUUCCCUAACAAUCUCCCCCUUUUUGAUGAUGACAAAACAAUCUCUGAAUAUGCAGAUUUGUAAACAUGCUUUUAAUUUAAAUCAAAGGAUAUCAGAAGAUAGCAAAUAAAUUGAGCAUAAUAAUAUAUAGAAAAUAAUCACAGCUCAAUAUUAUGCAAUAAAUAAUAUAAACCAAUUAGCACAUAUGCAUAUUCAUAUCUUCUCCCCCUUUUUGUCAUAAUCAAAAAGCGAUAAUAAUGGAUUCACGUAGAGAAUGAUAACAAAUAUCUUGCAUGAAUCACAAUUUCGAAAAAUCAGCUUUUAUCGAAUAUUAAAGAUAUGCAAUAUAGCUCACUUCGAUUAUAUCAGCAAAUAUCCAAUAAAAAUCACGGAUGCAUCAUAAAAUUCACGUACCAUUUUUGUCAUAAUAAAAUGAUAAUAUCAAUAUGAGAUUUGUUAAUGACAAAAGGUAAUAAGAGAUGCACUGACCGGAUUUUGUAGAAUAAAUUCUGACACAAUUACCUUUCCUUCCAUCCAUAAUAAGAUCACGAUCAAUCAAAAAAGAUUUUUCCAUAAUUGAUCAAAGCUCCCCCUCAAUUUGUUGCCUUUUUGAGAUGAUCACGAUUCUUUUCCUUUUCUUUUGGAUUUGCUUUCUCCCCCAACUUCUUCUUUUCCUUUAUUUCCUUGAUUUCCUCAUCGGAUUCUGAGUCUGGUUCUGAAUCAGACUCUGAUUCUGAGUCUCUGUCUGAGUUAGACUCAGAUUCUGAAUGUGCCAUCAAGCAUAGAUUUCUUUGCUCAUCAUCUUCUUUCAUGAUUCUUUUCUGGCCAUUAUGCUUGUAUUGACUUCUUCCACUGAAUUUCCUUUCUUUUCUACUCAGCUUUUUGAAUUUCUCGACCAUAAAGGCAAAUUCUUCAUCGGCACGGCGAAGGCCGGCGACCGGCCAGGCGAGCCUCGAGCUCGCCGGCGUCGGGCGAGCUCGAGCUCGCCGGAUCUGGCGAGGCGGAGGCCUCGCCGACGCCCGGCGAGGCUCGAGCCUCGCCGAUCUGGCGAGACUCGAGCCUGCUGGCGUCGGCAAGGCUCGAGCCUCGCCGAUCUGGCGAGCCUCGAGCUCGCUGGCGUCGGGCGAGGCUCGAGCCUCGCCGAUCUGGCGAAGCCUCGAGCUCGCCGGCAUCGGGCGAGGCUCGAGCCUCGCCAGUUCCGGCGAGGGGCGAGCUCGAGCUCGAGGCUCGCCUGUGGCCGGUCGCCGGCCGUCGUCGUGGCCGGCGGCCGGCCAAAGAUGAAGAAGAAGGAGAAGAAAAAAGAAAAAAGAAAAAAGAAAAAGAAAAAGAAAAAGAAAAAGAAAAAGAAAAUUAUAUUUUAAAAAUAAAAUAAAAAUAAUUAAAAAUUUAUUUUUUUUAAAAAAUAAUUAAAUUUCGAUUUUUUUAAAUAAUUAUUUUAAAAUUUAUAAAAAUUGUCCAUUAAAUUUAUAUUGUAUAAAACUAUUUUAGCAAUACAAUUUUUAAAAAAAUAAUAUAUAUAUAAAAGCUUGGAAGUAUUUUAAUAAUAUAAUCUUUAAAAAAAACAUGGGAAUAAGUUUUUCUAAAUUUGUUAAAUAUGAAAAUAUUUUAUUAAUAUGAGUUGGGUCGGGUCGGGUUUGGGUCGAAAAAUUUACAUUAAACAUUAAUGGGUCAUAAAUGGGUUAAUGGGUCAAUUUGGCCGGACCCAUUAAUGACCCGACCCAAACCCGACCCGACCAACCCGUUUAACGGCUCUAAUGUACACUAACGUAUUAGAAGCUACCUAGAGAUGCAUCACUAACAAAAUUUCAUUUUAUCUUUGUUUGCAUUGAUAUCAGUAAUACGUAGUUUUGUUAAAUUUGUAUACUCUUUCAAAAUUCUAACGAAAUCAUAAACAAAACUGUAUAUAAAACCCGUGCAAAGCACCAAAGUUCAACUGGUAGUAUGAUAUGCAUAACACCCUAAAAAUUAAUGGUGAAAUAUCUAAUUUUGUGGCUAGUAAAUUCGAAUUUCGAAUCAGAGUCGUCACCCAAGUUGCGUCUACCAUCCCCGUGCGUGGAUGGAACCUUAAUUAGUAGAAGCUGAUGUGUGUGAUUCACAAAUAUUCAUGAAGAUUAGUCUAAUAAAGGAUUUCAAUUCCUUGUGUUUCAAUUUUCUUGAGGAUAUUUAUUUCGCAUAAAAUGAAUCAUUUAAAAAACGUCUUCUUAAAUGUCAUUUUUUGUGUCGCUUAUAAAUAUUUAUGAGUAAGAAAACAUAUUUAUUAUCCACGGGAAUGUUUAGUCAUAAACUAUUGUCGAUUACGAAAAUAUUUUUAAUUGAAUAUUUAUUUUAAGUGACACAGACGAUUAAUUUUAGAAAAUUAUUUUUAAAAAAUAAUUUAUUUUUCACGAAAUAAAUAAAUUCGGGACUAAAAUCACAAAAUGCGACAAAGAACUUGGCGCUCUUUCUAUCACGCAGCCUCUGCCUCUGGGUUAGGGUGGACCGACCCAAAUAAACUUUCUUUACUCUUGCGUUUAAGCCUCGUUCGUUAGCAAUCAACAGCAAAAUCGUCGUCCCUCUGGCAUCAACUGCUUCUGUCUAAUAAGUCGCCAGUUCUCUUUCGCUUUCGGAGACAGCGAGAGACUCUCGCACGAGAAGCUCUUCGACCUCGCUUCGCUUCAGCCAUGGUGAUCAUCUCCUCUCUCUUCUCUCCUGAUGUCUGCUUGAGUCGUCGAGCUUAUUCACUGAAUCUCUUGCAAUUUCAUUUUUUUUUUUUUUCAGAAUUAUUUGAAGACGGCGAUCCCUUCGCAGCUAAUCUCGGAGAGAGGCUCCAACCUCGUCGUCAUCAACCCUGGUACUCCUCCCACCCACUUACCCUCCCUCUCUCUUAUAUUGAAUAGCUCGACGCGUUGAAUUCUGUAGCUUGAACGCGGCUCGUUUCUUCCUUUGCUUUUUAUAGGUUCUGCGAACAUCAGAGUGGGCCUCGCUCAGCAGGACGCGCCUUUCGUCGUUCCUCACUGCAUCGCCCGAUACACCAGCCAGGUCCCCAAGCGAAACGUGCAAGAUCGGGUCCCACAUUGUUCGCGACUUCCCUUUUCUUUUGUUCGGUUUUCCGUGUGUGUUUGGGUUUAGCUUUGCGGGGUUUCCGUUGAGCUGAGCGUUUUCUGAAUUCGCUGGGUUUCCUUCUGCUUCGUUGUUGUUGUUUUGGAGUUUUUAGAUGCUCAGUUCUCAAGUUACCUCGGCACAACACAUGGAGCGAGAGAAGGCGUAUUAUAUCGCGAGUUUACUUCAGCUGCCUGUCUUUAGUUGUGACAAUGUAAACUGCUUUACAUUUUCUCGUUAUUAACAUGUGGAUUAGUGUAUCUCAGAUGGCUUCAUUGUUGAAGAUUCCAUUCUCGGACGAGGAGGUCGCGAACUAUGGCUCUUUCCAGCGCAAGGUCUGUAAGCUUUUUGGAAAAAGGUUGCCCUUAGUUCUUCAUCGCCUGAGUUGAGCUGCUUUCUCGAUCCUACUUGAUCUUUACAAUGAUAUGGAAAACUUAGAGGAGGGCUUUUGUGUGAACUUCACUGGUUUCAUCGUCCAGUUAUCUUUUUAUUCUGUCAGUUGAGUGGGCUACUUGAAGGUUUAGUAUUUAAGCAAUUCCCUCAGCUUGCUUUUUGUUUAAAGUAUUUUCGUUUCUAUGAGCGUAUUGUCCUCUGAGGAAGUUUUGUUUCUCUGAUGGUUAGUAAAGGACUUGAAUUAUUUUAAUGUCUUUUCCUUGAUAACUUAGUAUUUUCUCUCUACUUGUUCUAUGUAAAUGUAUACUGCAUCGUUAUCCAAGAGGAGACUCUGCUGAGGCACCGCCCCCUGGAUGUAGUAUAUUCUAGAACAUAAGUACUGUCAGCUCAUUUCCUGCCCCCCAAAAACAUACACAUUUACACAAACAAAUUAAUAAAUGAUCCAUCCAGUGCCACCCAAAAAGGAAAAAGAAGUGCAUCCAAAGUGCUUGGAUGUCUAUAUGUCAAUGUAAGGACGUGUAUUUGAAUGGCCCUUGCUUCCUUUUAUUUGUAUUGUUUUGAAGUCUUCAGUUUCUAAUGCAUCAUGAUAUUUGUUAUUGGAGCUCGUCUAUGAUUGUGUCGGGCAACCCAUUUCCUUGUCAGUGUGUUUCUACUGUGAAAGAAAAACUGACAUACUUGUUAUACAGAUGGGAUGCGUUGAUGUUUAUAAUCCACAGAAUGUUAGGAAAGACUCAGUCUUUGCUUGAACAGAUUUGUAUGACAAGCAAAGUUCACUCUGGUAACAGGUCUAUAUAUAACUAUUAUUUCCACUUAGUGGGAUAAUGAUUCUUUUGAGUUUUUUGUCAUCACUUUGGCUCAUACCUUUUACCUUUCUCUUUUUGCUAAUGUUAUCUGCUUCUGCUAAUUGAUAUGUCAUAGACUCAGAAUUUAAAACCACUCUGGCAGAUCAUGGACCCGGUCGUCUAUGCAAAGAAAAUUGGCAAGAUAGAACUUUAUAAGAUUCUUUGCUUUUGUCUGCAUUGGAGCAUGUUUUCAAUAUACUAGAUAACUAGGAUAGCGACACUCUGCCACGAAAAAGUGAUCAUCUCUAUGUACAUUUUGGAACUUAGUAGAGAAAUUAUAUAGUAGAUACAAAAUAAAAAUUCCAAAUGAUUUUCUUGUUUCUAAUUUGGAGUACCAGGGAUGUUAAUUAGCUUAGAUGAUUAACAUGCCACGUAAUGAAAACUGUCAUUAAAAAUCGUAGAUAGCUGGCAGGAUGGUGCAUUCUGUCAAUGUUAGGAACUUCUGACCGUCAACCUUAGAUCAUGUCUGAAGUUGAUUUUACACGCAAAUGCUUGUUCUGAUUUUACACGUCAACCUUAGUUCUGCCCCCUGUACAGAAGAGUUUGUACCAGCUUAUGUUUUCGAGCAGAAGCAUCCAGUGUCAACAGCCCUAGCCUGUAGUCAGUCUACUGAAAUUGUUCUGUUGGGUGCAUAGUGCGUUGUUUUGUUUAAGGAUGUGUGGAGUUGACAAGGAGAUGGGUUGUUUUCAUUUUAUUUCUUGCUAUUCGAUGAUAUGUGGAGUUGGCUCCCAGCUAGAGCAAAGGAUAAGUAAUCAAGGUUGCUAAAAUGACCUGCAGAGUUCGUGGAAGCAUAUCUCUUUCCCCUGCAACUCCAUGCCAUCUGCAUCUAUGAUUGCCGAAGUAUAUGAAUAAUCAAGUUUACAUUUUUUAUACAAUGGUUGCAUAAUGCAAUAUGAUUUUUAUGCUGAUAUAGAAAUCUGCAGCAUGUGCUUCUUUAUAUGACUUUCAAAUUUGCUUUGCAGAUAGCUAAAAGGAAGCUCUGAAAAUAUGUGGCGAGGAAGCUCUGAAAAUAUCAUCCAUAGAGCCGUGCUGCUUGCACCGUCCUAUCCGAAGUGGUCAUUUCAACAUUGGGCCACGCUAUUUCCACCCUGGUUUUUGCUUUAAAACUCCUUUUUACAGUGUUUUCCUAUAUAUUCCCCUGCUGUUCCUCUUUUGUUUUGACUGCUUCCUUUUAUUUCCUUGCCGGUCCCACGUUCUUCUUUCUUCUUCUCUUCGUUUUCUCUCUUUUCAACUCAUGGUGAUGUUGAUCUAAAGGAACCUAUGCCCGACUGCAGAUGCCGGCUUCACAACAUUAUAUUCCUUCUUUCAAAAGGAUCCAAUGCUCUGUAAUUGAUAUCCUGUUAAGGUGGUGCUUCCUGACUGUAAUGCUUAGAUAUGCACCCUGCAGAUGCAAUUUUCUUACCAAAGAAACUUGUGCGAGUCCCUCAACCGGCUUGCCAGCAAGAUCCCACGGACUUUGUCAGGAGGAUCCCAAAUUCUCCUUCAAAGAGUUCGCCGGCAAGCCGGAGUCUGUCGUGCUGAUGAACCAGGAUGAGAAGUCGUUCAAUGUGAGCCGAACCUCUUUUUCAGGAAUUUUAAAUGUGCGCAUUUUGAACAGAUGUUGUAAGAAACCUCAAAAUGAAAGAAACAGAUGAUUGGAUUUUCAACAAAGUCUAGUCUUGGAUUAUGCACAGAGAAUCAAGACGGUUGAUUUGAUCACAUCUGAACUAACUUGUGAAACAGGUGAGAAAUAUUGUGGUCCAAUUAGUGCAGCCUCAAAUUGACUUCAAAUGGCAUCUUCCUUUUUCCUAUGAAAUUACUAAAACAUAAGCACGAAUCAUAGUUUUCCGAUGAUAUAAAAUUUUCUGGUAAAAAAAAAUUUGCUACAUAAUUUAAAUUGGUCAUUCCCUCAGAUGCAUUCCCUCGGAUUUGCCACAUUUCCUCUUCAUCAUCUAAGGUAUCAUAGGUCGAGACAUCCAAUGUUUCUGCAAUGAAAGUAGGAAUCUGACUGUCAUUUUUUUCUUAUUUAAUCCUAAAACAUACAUCAACCAUAGACUUAGAUGGACAAUAAGAAUGCAAUAGGUAUCAGAGUGAUAGCCAAGAACAAGCUCUAUGAAAGGUUAACACUUACCACAUGAUGCGACAAAUGCAGAAUAGUCUCGAAGAUAUCUUUAGCGAACUUAAUUACGUCUUCAGCUGAUUCCGCCUAUGGCUUUGCCAAGAUUUGCUAGGAUCGAGACUUGUUUGAGGUAGUCGACGGGAUCAACCUCGAUCCAAGGCCACAAGGGCUCAGUAGCAGCCUCUAUUUCCAAUCAUUGGGAGGUACCGGCAAUGCUGAGAUAUGGAAGAGAGAGAGAGAGAGUGUUGGCUGGGUCCACCUUCAUGUGGGGCCCAGCCAGCAUUAAAAAAAAACAAAAAGAAAAGAAAAGAACAAAAAGAAGUGGAAGUUGUCGUGCGUGGGGUGUCCGUCGAAAAGUGAAGAGAGGAGAGAGAAAAAGAAAACAAAAACUGCACAAGGAAGGAAGAAGAAGGAAGAGGGCUGCAACUUUGCGGUUUUGAUUGGAAGGCUAAAUAUUGACGGAAUCGGCUCAAAUUUCAGUAUGUUGUUUGUGAGACCGAGGGCUAAAAGUUGAUGGUUUUUGUUCGUAGAGAACCAUCUCCGAAUUCUCCAGUUGCGGUUAAGGUUUUCUUGCUCCCAACUUGUUUGUCUACCUAUGUAGUGAGAAAAGAUGAUUGUAAUGUUGAUGUUGAGCCUCUAGUUGUGACUAGAGAAGAAUACUUUGUGUAUCCUGCUAUUCUUGGUGAUUAGUGGAUGUUUUUGGGCGGUCCGUGGUUUUUCCCGUAUCGGGUUUUCCACGUUAAAUCCUUGGUGUUGUUAUUUGCUUUGUCUACUUAUUAUUUCGGCGUUAUAUUUGUAUUUUGUGAGGCUAUACAUUGCUGGUUGUUGCUGGGGGUUAAGAAAUUUUUAGUUGAUUUUGCUUUGGGGGAGAAAUUGAUCCUGGAUUGCGUUUGGACGUGGUGAAUUAUUGUACCCGAGUUCUCCCCAACAAGUGGUAUCAGAGCACGGUUGAAUUUUAGUGUUAAAUGGAAGAAACCAGCAGCACCAUGUUUAAGUUAAAUGCCUCGAAUUAUUCUAUUUGGAAGCCUCGGAUGGAAGAUGUGUUAUAUUGCAAAGACUUAUUUGAUCCUAUUGAGGAUGAUGAAGCCAAAGGAGAUAAGGAAGAUAAAGAAUGGGAGAGAAUGAAUUGGAAAACAGUUGGGUUUAUCCGACAAUGGAUUGAUGAUAGUGUGUUUCAUCAUGUUGCUCAAGAAACGAGGGCAGACACUUUGUGGAAGAAAUUACAAGAUCUUUAUGAGAGAAAAACUCCACAAAAUAAAGUUCUUCUAGUUAAGCGACUUGUGAAUUUGAUAUACAAGGACGGGAGUAACAUGGCGGAACACUUGAGUGAAUUUCAAGAUGUUGUAAAUCAAUUGACAAAUCUUGAGAUUGAUCUUGGUGAUGAAUUGCAGUCAUGCUUGUUACUUGGUACUCUUCCUGAUAGUUAGGACAUAUUGGUUGUGGCAUUAAAUAACUCGACUCAUUUUGGUGUGCUUUCUAUGAGCAUGGUUAAAGAAAGCUUGUUCAAUGAAGAAACAAGAAGAAAAAACUUGAAUUAUGCUUCUACAUCGGAUGCUCUUGUUAUAGAAAACAGGGCGAGAAGUCAAUCAAGAAGGUUUCAAAGAAAUGAUACCCGAGGCAAGUCAAGAGGAAGGUCGAAAUCGAGACCGAGGAGGAGUGUCAAGUGUUAUAAUUGCGGCAAAAUGGGACAUUAUGCAAAAGAGUGUUGGUUGCCAAAGAGAGAUAGAUUCCAUGAUAGAAAUGGAGAUCAAAAGAAAGAAGAGAAACAAGCUACAACGGCGGUUGCAUCCGAUAAAGAUAUUGUGUUUGUAUGUGAUGACGGAUAUGUGAAUUUUACAUGCCAAGACUCUAUGUGGGUUGUUGAUUCCGCGGCUUCUUUUCAUGUCACCUCACGGCGUGAUUACUUUGCUUCUUAUUGCGGCGGCGACUUUGGUUGCAUAAGGAUGGGAAAUAGUGAUGUUUCCAAGGUUAUUGGCAUGGGAGACGUUUAUUUGGAAACUGAUGUCGGAUGUAAUUUGCAUUUGAAAAAUGUGAGACAUGUUUCGGAUAUUCGACUUCACUUGAUCUUUACGGGUGCCUUGGAUGAUGAUGGUUAUUGUAAUUCAUUCUUUGAUGGCAAAUGGAAGUUGACUAAAGGUUCCAUGGUAGUGGCAAAAGGUAAGAAGACAGGCUCUUUCUACACCAUGCAAACUGACUUGAUUAAAGAAGAGGUAAAUGUAGUGGAGGAUUCCUCAGUUGAUUUAUGGCAUAUGAGGCUGGGUCAUCUUAGCAAGAAAGGACUUGAAACUCUUGCUAGAAAGAACCUUUUACCUUUGAAAGAGAAAAAUCUAAAUGAAUGCACUCAUUGUUUGACUGGUAAGCAACAUAGAUUCUCAUUUCAUAGUUCCUCUCCACACACGAAAUCAAAUGUACUUGAUUUAGUUCACACUGAUGUUUGUUGCAUGGAUGCUAGAACUCUUGGAGAUGCAUUAUACUUUGUGACAUUUAUUGAUGACUGUUCUAGAAAAGUGUGGGCUAUUGCUUUGAAAUCUAAAGAUCAGAUACUUGAGGCCUUCAAGCAAUUUCAUGUCAAUGUGGAAAGAGAAACAGGGAAGAAGCUAAAAUGUGUCUGGGCUGAUAACGGUGGUGAAUAUAGAGGCCCAUUUGAACACUAUUGCAGAGAUUAUGGUAUCAAGCUUGAGAAGACUGUUCCAAAAACACAAAAGCAUAAUGAAGUGGCAGAGAGAAUGAAUCGGACAAUUAAUGAUCGGAUUCGGUGUAUGCUUUCUCAUGCGAAGUUGCCCAAGUCAUUUUGGGGUGAAGCGAUGAGAACAGCAGUAGACUUGAUAAAUCUAUCUCCAUCGGUUCCUCUUAAGGGGGAUGUUCUGCAAAGAGUUUGUGCAUGUUCCUAGAGAUGAAAGAUCCAAGCUUGAUGAUAAGUCUAAACAGUGUAUCUUCUUAGGUUAUGGACAUGAAGAGUUUGGCUACAGGUUAUGGGAUCCAGUUGCAAAGAAAGUCAUUAGAAGCCGAGAUGUGGUGUUUUGUGAGUAUCAAACUAUUGAAGACAUUGACAAGGUGGAGAGACCAAAGAAUACAGCUUAACGUUCAGUUAGUUUCAGCCCAAAUCCUUCUAAUGUUGAUAGAAAUCAUGGGGGAGAAGUGCAUGGAAGUCAUGAAGAUGGUGAGUCCUCACAUAAUGUUGAUUCUUCAGCUGAUAUAAGUGAAAUAGCUAAGCAAGAGCAAUCUAUCUUACCUCAAGUUAGAAGAUCUGAAAGAGAGCGUAGGCCUUCUCAAAAAUAUUUACCGCAUGAGUAUGUGUUACUCACUGAUGCAAGGGAGCCAGAAACUUAUGAAGAUGCUAUAUCAUGUGAACGAAAGAAUGAGUGUCAUGAAGCCAUGCAAGAGGAGCUUAAAUCCUUGCAUGAGAACCACACAUUUGAAUUGGUGAGGUUGCCUCAGGGUAAGAGAACACUCACAAAUAAGUAGGUGUACAAGUUGAAGAUGGAAGAAAAUAGUUUACAACCACGAUACAAAGCUAGACUUGUUGUGAAGGGGUUUCGUCAAAAGAAGGGCAUAGACUUUGAAGAGAUUUUUUCACUGGUUGUAAAGAUGUCUUCUAUUCGAGUUGUUCUUGGGUUGGCCACCAGUUUAAAUUUAGAAAUUGAACAACUUGAUGUAAAGAUGGCUUUUCUUCAUGGAGACCUAGAAGAGGAGAUAUAUAUGGAGCAACCAGAGGGUUUUGAAGUUGAAGGCAAGGAGCACCUUGUAUGUAGAUUGAGAAAAAGCUUAUAUGGUCUCAAGCAAGCGCCUAGGCAAUGGUAUAUGAAGUUUGAGUCAUUCAUGGAAGAACAAGGAUACGGCCAUUUCAAGUUGAGUAUUAAUGAGUGUCCUUCAAGUGAGAAAGAGAAGGUUGAGAUGAUGAAAAUUCCUUAUGCAUCGGCCGUGGGUAGUUUGAUGUACGCCAUGGUUUGUACAAGACCGGAUAUUGCUCAUGCAGUUGGUGUUGUGAGUAGAUUUCUCUCUAAUCUAGGUAAGGAGCAUUGGACCGCUGUUAAAUGGAUUUUGAGAUAUCUUAGAGGCACUUCUACACUUUGCUUGUGCUAUGGAAAUGCAAAGCCUGAGUUGAGUGGCUUCUCGGAUGCGGACUAUGCCGGUAAUGUUGAUUCCCGAAAAUCCACAUCGGGUUUUAUAAUAAUCUUUGCAGGGGGAGCUGUUUCAUGGCAAUCGAGAUUGCAAAAAUGUACCACUUUGUCUACAACUGAAGCGGAGUAUAUUACUAUUACUGAAGGAGGUAAAGAACUUUUGUGGAUGCAAAAAUUCCUACAAGAGUUGGGCUUGAAGCAAUAGAAGUUUGUUCUAUAUUGCGAUAGCAUGAGUGCCAUCCAUCUUAGCAAGAAUCCGGUGUUUCAUUCAAGAUCGAAGCAUGUUGAUGUGAAGUAUCAUUGGAUCCGAGAAAAGCUAGAAGAGAAGCUCUUCCUACUUGAGAAAGUUCAUACCGACAACAAUAAGUCCGAAAUGAUGACCAAAGCCUUGCCCGUGAUGAAGCUUGAUGCUUGUAGAAGAAAAGCGGGCAUGACGAAUCUUCCCACAUGAGGUGGAGGGGGAGAUUUGUUGGCUGGGUCCACCUUCAUGUGGGGCCCAGCCAGCAUUAAAAAAAACAAAAAAAAAACAAAAAGAAAAGAAAAGAACAAAAAGAAGUGGAAGUUGUCGUGCGUGGGGUGUCCGUCGAAAAGUGAAGAGAGGAGAGAGAAAAAGAAAACAAAAACUGCACAAGGAAGGAAGAAGAAGGAAGAGGGCUGCAACUUUGUGGCUUUGAUUGGAAGGCCAAAUAUUGACGGAAUCGGCUCAAAUUUCAGUAUGUUGUUCGUGAGACCGAGGGCUACAAGUUGAUGGUUUUUGUUCGUAGAGAACCAUCCCCGAAUUCUCCAGUUGCGGUUAAGGUUUUCUUGCUCCCAACUUGUUUGUCUACCUAUGUGGUGAGAAAAAGAUGAUUGUAAUAUUGAUGUUGAGCCUCUAGUUGUGACUAGAGAAGAAUACUUUGUGUAUCCUGCUAUUCUUGGUGAUUAGUGGAUGUUUUUUGGCGGUCCGUGAUUUUUCCUGCAUCGGGUUUUCCACGUUAAAUCAUUGGUGUCGUUAUUUGCUUUGUCUACUUAUUAUUUCGGCGUUAUAUUUGUAUUUUGUGAGGCUAUACAUUGCUGGUUGUUGCUGGGGGUUAAGAAAUUUUUAGUUGAUUUUGCUUUGGGGGAGAAAUUGAUCCUGGAUUGCGUUUGGAUGUGGUGAAUUGUUGUACCCGUGUUCUCCCCAACAGAGAGAGAGAGAGAGGGGCGCGCACUACGGCCUUCGCUGCCCCUGGCUCCGGUCUCGCCGUUCUCAAUCAACUCACUCCUGGCUUCAAGAGUCGAGACCUUUUCCGACUCUUUGAUGCUCGUCGUGACCUUUUUCCAACUUGACAGGGUAAACUGUUACCCCCUCGAAUAAUUGGGCAGAGCGUCGCCGGCAUCAUCCUCGUCAUGUCGCUGGCAUCGUCCUCUCAACUGACCACCAUGGCCAGAUGUUGUUCAGUGAAAUUUCCCAGCUGUAGCCGCAUGCACCGCGUCAGACCUCGCAUCUCCAUGUCUCGCUUUUCGUCUUCAAAUUCAUUCAAGCAAUUACAGCGGCGUGGGCUUAGAGGUUGUGCGGAUGAGGACAGAGGCGCACACCCGAGGGGCGGGCAGAGAAUUGUGCUAAACCGCGAUCUUCCUGUAAUUCCAAGCGGAGUAGUACUCACCAUUGAUCACAAUGAGCUUCGCUUUCGUGUCGAGAGCCUCCUUUGUGCAUCUGAGAGCAACAUCACAUCAAAAUCAGUUCCAAAAAACCUGAUCAAAAGAAAUCGUUAUCGUUCCACGCUUGUAUGACGCUUCUGAUCUUGCAGAGGAGGACAGGACAGAAGUGAAAUGGGCUUGAGCGGCUGAUGCUGCUGUAUCCUCCCGGUUUGGAGCUGUCCGAGCCUGGCCAUGCAUUUUUUUUUUUUUUUCCGGCGGAGAGGGAGAGAGGAAGUGUGAACUUGGAACCAAAGGGAGGCUUAAGGAUUAAGGAAGCUGCUGAACUUGAAACUGAGCCUUCUGAUCAGACAAAAUUGAGAGAGAAACGUGGGACCCAUGAUUUUAGUAUUUCUGUCAUUCUGACCAUCAAGGGUGUGGAUGAAGCCGAAGGAGGGGUGGAUUUAGCGCCGCACCUUGAAAUUAUUCCAUGAAUAUGUACUUUGGGCUUUUCACGAAGAAAAAAUGUUCACGCUAUUCUUUUUCUCUUUUGCAAGUUAUGCUAUUUCAUCCGGUGGAUUAACUGAGCAUGAAGUAAGAUGGAGAUGCAUUUGGCCUUGCUAUAUAUUCGUGCCUGAAGUUGAUCGUGAGGCACCACCAGACCAUUGUUUCACCACAAAAGCAUCAGCUCUGCAACCUCCUCUCAAACACUUCUCAGCCCCCGCGUUUGCUUUUGGAAAUGGCGGAAGCGGUUCUCUUCAGCCUUGCCACCGACAUACUUAAAAGCCUUGCCACCGAAAUGGUGAAACCUGGAGGUUCCUUCGCUUCUCAAAAGAUCAUGUUGCUCUGCUGUGCCAAGGACGAGCUCCAAAGCCUCAAGGGCACCGUCCAGACCAUCCAAGCUUUGCUUUUGGAUGCUGAGAAGAAGCAAUGGCACAACAACCAGGUCAAGCUGUGGCUCACGAGGCUCAAGGAUGUGUUGUACGACAUACAGGACUUGCUCGACGAUGUUGCAACUGAAGAUUUGAGGCAGAAGGUCACUCUCGGCAACAAGAUGUUGAAAGCGGUAUGCAUUUUCUUCUCUAAAUCGAAUCAGCUUGCACACCGCCUCAAAGUGGCUAAUGAAAUUCAGGAACUUAGGAAGAGACUGGAUCUAAUUAAAAAUGAUAGGCAAUUCCAUUUCGAUGAGCAUCGUGAGGAAUCAAUGGCCAUUGUGAGAGGAAGAAAACCUGAAAAUUUAUCACCCGACAGAGAAAUAAUUGGUAGGGAAGAGGACAAGGAAAAUAUCAAACGACUUUUGUUUGAUUCCUCCUCUAGCCAGAGUGUGUCAUUUGUUGCCAUAGUUGGUAAAGGAGGUAUUGGAAAAACCGCACUCGCACGACUAGUGUACAAUGAUGGGGAAGUAAAAGAACAUUUUGGGCCUCAUAAGAUGUGGUGGGUGUGUGUAUCUGAUGUCUUUGAUGUGAAUUUGAUUAUCAAACAAAUUCUUAAAUCAGCAAAGUGUCAAGAUCUUGAUAAUAAGCCUGAAGACCAAUUGGAGAGUCUUCUAAGUACAAACAAAUACUUGCUUGUUUUAGAUGACUUGUGGAAUGAAAAUCGGCUUGAAUGGUUGAAGCUUGGAGAGUGGCUAAAGGCUGGUUUACAGGGGAGCAAGAUACUUGUAACCACUCGCAGCCACAAAGUUGCAACAGUCACGGAUGCGAAAUCAGACAUCCAUGUUCUCGGUGACUUGUCUGAAGGGAAGUCAUGGGACUUAUUUAGGAAGAUGGCUUUUGGAGAUGGGGUAGAAUUAUUAGACCCAGAACUCGAGAAGAUGGGUCGAGAUAUAGUUAAAAAAUGCACCGGGGUUCCCCUUGCCAUUAGAACUAUAGGAGGCCUUUUGUACGACAAAAACAAAGAUGAAUGGGUCCGUUAUAAAGUGCAUGAACUUCCAGAAAUACCAGAAAUUUAUGUGGAUGGAGGAAUUAUGCAAGUCCUCAAGUUCAGUUACGAUCAUCUCCCGUCAUGCUUGAAAAAUUGUUUUGCAUAUUGCUCAUUGUUUCCGAAAGAUUAUGUCUAUGAUAAAGAUAUGAUGAUUCAUCUUUGGAUGGCACAAGGCUUUAUUGAGUCACACAACAGGGAAGAUAACCUUGAAGAGGUCGCCGACAAUUACUUGUCAGAACUACUAUGUAGGUCAUUCCUCGAUGCUGAAUCCACAACAAAAAAUGGUGAUGUGGUCCUACAAUUCAAGAUGCAUGAUCUCAUGCACGAUCUUGCUCUUGCCCAAAAAGUUGCUGAAGGUGAAUGCAAGAUUGUUCAUUUUAAAGAAUCAGACAAUGAUCAAGGAAUUCGACAUGCGUCCUUUAUUUCGGAGAUACUCUCUAAAGAGAAAUUGGUGUCUCUGCUCAAAACAUCCAAAUUGCGGACGUUUCUCUAUUUGAAAGGUGAAUCCUCCGAACUUUUUUUUGGUCGAUCAUCCUCCAUACUCAAUAAUAGUCACAAAGUUUUUUCCAGAUGUGGACAUUGUCGAGCGUUGUGUUUGCACCAUGCAAAUAUUUCUCUCCCUCCUUCCUCCUUAGGAAAGUUGAAGCAUUUAAGAUUACUUCAUAUUUUGAUGAAUGAAUCCAUCCAGAAUUUGCCAGAUUCAAUCACUGAUUUGGUGAACUUACAGACCCUUAAACUCUCGGAUUGUAUGUGGCUUCAAACAUUUCCUAGAGAUUUGAGGAAAUUGGUCAAACUUAGACACCUCUUAAUUGAAUACUGUAUCUCACUAAGCCAGCUACCACCCCUGAGUGAACUCCCUUCCCUAAGGACGUUGAGUCUUGUGUUCUUAAAUGCGUUAAAGUUCAUUCAACAGACAAGUGACCCAAAGCCGUCUAAUACCACAAUCCCCUUCUUUCAAUCUCUUGAACGUCUGACUCUCUUCUGCUGCGAACAGCUGGAAGGAUGGCGGGGAAGAAUGCAAGAAAUGGGAGCACAUCAAAAGCAUCGGUCAGACAACUCAUGGCCAUCCUUCCCGAAACUUCAGUUUGUGAGUAUAAACGAUUGUCCCCACUUGAAUUCUAUACCAUCAUUCCCCCAGGUGGAACACUUGUGGAUAGAUGGCACAAAAAUGUUGGAACAACAAUUGCUGGCCAAUCCAAAUUGCCCAUCAGAAGGAACAGUGGAAGCCACAUUCAUUCCUUUCCCUAAACUAAAACAUCUAACAGUUUCUAAACGUUAUAUGAGUGAAGAGCCCUUGAUGCUUAAGACUCUACUUCGAUCGGCCAGCAACCUCGAGUAUAUGACAAUCAUCGAUUUCAACCUAAGGAGUCCCUCUUGUGAGAUGCAGCACCUUUCCUUGCUCAAGGGACUCAACAUUCAGCGUUGUCAAGGACUCGAUUUUUUUUUCCAAGAAGGCGAGCAUGGCACCCAAUGGCAAUGCCUUACGAAUCUUCGUGUUCUUACCAUCAAAGGUUCAAAUUUGGUGGCAUUACCUAAGGGGAUUCAACAUGUGACAACUCUGCGAUCUCUCAAGAUUUCAGAAUGGAUGAAGCUUAGAGGUUUGCCGGAAUGGAUUGGAAAUUUCUCUUUACUCGAAGAGCUUAAAUUAAUUGGCUGUUAUAGAUUAAAGUAUAUACCAUUUGAGAUACGCAAUCUCACACGUUUGAAGAAAUUGGUAAUUCAUGGUUCUCCCUUAUUGGAUGAAGGGUGCCUAGCUGAUGUGCACAUGCCAAUCAUUGAUUGGAAGGAUUCCUACUACGAUUCGGAUUAGCAUUAGAGGUACGAGAAAAGACUUACAUCACCUAUCAAUAGUGUUCCUUUUUCAACUAUUUUACCUUCUUUAUUAUUUAACUAAUUUCUCGCCUCUUCACUGUAUAUUCACAGAUCGCAGUGCAAAUAUUUAUCAAAAAGAGAGAUAGCGUCUCUCCACUCACACUUCAGUUCGCCACCGUCUUCUUCGUCAUGUCGCGCGUGUAGAACAAACGCCUCCUUUGCGGUCUUGCUCGUACACCUCCUCACUCGCCCUCCCCUCCUUCAUUUCCUCCAUCACUGCCGUCUGAAGAAACCUAGCGUCCCCGACGCGCAUCGCAUCCUGUCGAUCGCCUCCUUCCUCUUUGGCCGGGUCCGCCGAGGUCGAUGAUCGGGAAGCUGAGAUUCUCGGAUCCGCCGCUCGAUUCGGAGCUGCCUGCCUUCGGAUGUCUCCUGCGGUCGGAUGGCGAAAUUCUAGGGAUUUCGGUGAUCGCGGCGUCGACGAGGCCUUUGACGCCGGCUUUUGAGUCGUCGCCCGCUCUGUCGUAGCUUUCUGCUCGCCUGAGUCGGAGGCCAAAUCGAUGGUAGGCAUUGUUCCUCUCUCUCUCUCUCUCUACUGCAAUUCAAUUUUCACUCUGAAUGUGUAAUAAGUUUGGAUUAUGAAUCGAAUGUUAUGGAGACAUUUGGAUUAUGAUUUGAGUGUUAUGGAGACAGUACAAUGUCAAUGCAUGAUAUGAGCAUCUUCUUUAUAGCUGAUUGAUUGAUUGAGAGAAGAGAAGUGAAGAGAAUAAUGACAUCCAUUGCGAGGUUCCGCUUGACUUUAGAAUUAUGAGGUUCCUAAAAAAUGGAAGGAGAAUCUCAUAGCUUAUGAGCUACCCCGAACUGAGAAAAUGACAAUGCUGUUUAAUGAUGGCUGAUACAAAAUCUGUUACAGAGUUGAACAAUGAUAGAUGACAGGACAAUUCGAUGUUGUCUUAGCCCUUGACUUCUUCGCAGUUACAGAAAUCUAUAUGUAGAGGAAUCUUUGGUUUGUAGCCCUUUCUUUGUCAUCACUUUAGGAGAGUUUCUGGACUUCUCAGGUAAACAUAACUAUUAUCUACGAGCUGGGUCCAUAUGAUCUAGUAAGCAUAUAGAAAUCUCAAGGUUCAUCUGAGUGAAACAAACAACAGGUUGGUGAAUCUUGGACAACCUUGAUUGAUGCCGAGGCUUGCUAUAGUUUUAUAAAUCAUUUAAAAUUGGACCCUUUUGAAACUAAGUUACUGAGCUCUUUGAGCAGGCAAUUUAACAAUUAUAUGCCUCUGGACAUGAGAAGCUGAACUGCGAAAAGAUGUGGUUCUGAUGUUACUGAUUAGAGGAAAAACCCUUCUUGCCUUCUUUCUGGAUUCCAUGCGUUGAAAAGUCAUGUUAGGAUGGGGACUUGCCUUUGCAUUGUUUCAUAAGGUGGGGCCAUCCUCUCAAGCGAUACUCGAGAUAUUGCGAUGCAUUAGAAAACUGAACUAGAGUUGCUGUAAAAGUAUGGUGGAGGCCUAAGGCUUCUGAUAAGUGCUCAAACAGACAAGAGUCCAUUCUCAUCACAUGCUUUAAGUACUCCAGCAUUUCUCUGCUAGAAUGUUGCGAUGCAUUAGAAAACUGAACUAGAGCUGCUGUAAAAGUAUGUUGGACGGAUUCCUAGAGAGUACAACAAAGGGUGUUGAUAGUUUAUAUCAACUCAUGUGCAAAAGUUUGCUACUGCUACCGCUAGAACGUGAAUAAAGUCAACCGUCAAGGAACAUCCUUUUUUUUCCCUGUAAAGAACGGAACGACCACCUCCGAGGUUCCCAUCAGUGAAAAUGAUCAGUCAUUGAGGAUCGUCUUACUGAUUCAUAUCAUUCAUUGAGACUAGAUGCAAGAUUAUAUGCUAUGACAGGUAGUGGAAUUUAGGUGAGAAACUUUGUACAAAUUCAUCGGUGGCAGUUGUCUUCGCUGGCUGAACAAUUUAACUGGGCACUUUCAUUUCAUGAGUGUUCAACAUCUAUUCUGGCCGAUUCAAUGGAAAAGUAAGCGAAUAACUCAAGUUUCGUACGCUUACUAGUUUAGCCCUUGAUUUGUUGAAGAAAAUAGAAAAGGCCAUCAAGUAUCAUGCUGUGAAAACCAUUUCCUUGCAUUCCAUGGAAACCAUAGCGGCCACAUCUCAUCCCUUGUGCUUAUAUUGAUGAAAGAAUAUUUAUGUUCUUGACAUGUUAAGCUACCACUCUUUCUUCUUCUUCUUGAAAUAGUGAGUACCUAGCACGGCACAGGUUCACUUUUUUCUCUAGAUGAAGGGGCAGCAACCCCCAUUUGUGUCUUCCUUUUUGGAAUACAAGGAUCAAGCCGAAAAGUAACCUACGACCAAAAUCUCUAGUACUAUGACUUGUUUACAUUUGGAAUAUUUCCGUAUUGAUUACAACUUGCGCGGUUAACUAGGGGUGAGUGCGGUUCCUGGUUCUUAAGGGACUGGUUCUGGUUCCCGGUUCCCUUUUUCUGGGAAUCGGUGAAUCGGCAGUUCCGGUUCCUAUGGGAACGGAACCGGAACCGGAACCGAAACCGGAACCGAUUAGGGCUCCAAAAAAAAGUCCCCAAAUCAGUUCACCCUUAGAUGACACUUUCAGUCUUUCACAUCUUCUCUUCUUUGAGUUUCUCUCAUUCUUACUCGACGCCACUGCCGCUCACCCUUAACGCCAUUGUUGGACGUUGCUCGCCCUCAACGCUGCCGCCGGACGCCGCUAGACGCCAAUCGCCCUGCGUCGCCUCGCCCUUUCCUCCCUCGACGCCAUCACCCCUCGCCCGCCUCGUCGCUCAGUCGCUGCCGGAUGCCGGUCGUCCUGCUGGACACCAAUCAGCCCGCGCUUGCCCUGUCCUUGCCUCCCUCGACGCCGUUAGCCCUCGCUCACCUCGUCUCUCAACUGCUCGCCGUCAAUGCCGCCGGUGGAUGCCGCUCGUCCCCUCGGUGGAGGCCACUCGCCGCUCGCCCAGCCGCCCCCAACACUGCUCGCCCGGUCGCCCCCGAAACAGCUGUUGUAUAGGAAGUUGUGCAUUUAUACAGAGGUUUUUGCUAAGUUGAUGUUAAGUUACUUUAAUUAAGUUUCCUUUAUUAUCAGAGUUUUAUUUCCUUCUUUUAUUAUCAAAGUUUUAUUUCAUUUUUUACUUACAUAAGGGUAUUAUUGUCAUAUACAAUUUAUAUUCAAUAUAAAUACAAUGGGUGUAGAGUUUCUGUUACUACAGAAAUCUACAGCUCCCUCUUUGUUUCUUUCUUUUACAUUCUCCUUCUCCUCUUCUCUAUUCCUUCUCCCUUCUUCUUUCUCUCUUACUAUUUGUUGCAGUUUCUCUAAUAAGUUUUGUGACAUGGUAUCAGAGUAGGUCUAACUACCUGAUUACUUGAUCCUAUUGCUGGUUUGAGAGUCCCCCAAUAACCCUACUUCUUCUCUAGUGCACAGACACCUAAAGCUGUAAUUUUUAUCUGUUUUCUCUUCAAGUCUUGAUACAUAUGAGUUCAGAAGAUAUCAUAUUCAUCAGGUUCGGUUUGUGAACAUGGAUUACAACACUUACUGAUAAAUGGAUUCAAGAAUUGGAGUACUUUAUUGAUUAUGGUUGACUAGUCUUGCUGGGUUUCCGUCAAGCAUAUAAUUAUUUGAAUCGAGAUUUCUGGUCAGAUAUCUUCUUCUAUACAGCAGUCUAUAUUUAUGAGUUUUCAGCAUCCCUUUGGUUAAUUGAUGGAGCCAAUUACAUCUGAUUAUACAUCAGUGUUGCUGUUGUUUUAUUUCUCGCACUAAAGUUUCAGCCUACUUGAUUAGUGGUGGAUAUAUUUAUAUUGAGAUUAUCGUCAGUGAUACUAAGGCUCCUACAGAUAGUGUCAAUGUUCAAAUUACCACUAUUAAGUUAAAUGGAUCCUCCAAUUACUUAUUAUGGGCUCAAGCUGUGAAGGUCUAUAUUAAUGCCAAAGGGAAACUUCAUUAUCUUACCACAGACCCACCUACUGAAAAUUCUAGAGACUAUAGUGAUUGGAUGAAAGAGAAUGAUACACUUUUGGUGUGAUUAUGGAAUAGCAUGGAACUGUCCAUCACUGCUAAUGUCACGUUCCACACAACUGCUAAGGGAGUAUGGGAUGAUCUUAUGGAGAGUUACUCACAAGACAAAAAUAUGUCUAGAGUUUAUGAACUAUAUGAGAAGAUCUUUAAUUUUAAACAAGGAGACAAGUCUCUUGGAGAGUAUUAUAGUGCUUUGAAAAGUAUGUGGGAAGAACUCAAUCUUUAUCAGCCCAUCACUACUGAUCUUGAGACUUAAGACACAACGAGCUGAAUUUCAAGUGGCCAAGUUUUUAUCUGACCUGAAUGCCGACUUACAGCCUAUGAAGAGUCAUCUUCUUGCUGGUGAGAGAGUUCCUUCUAUGAAUGAAGCAUUUUGUCGAAUUCAGCGCAUUGUCCCUCCGUCUUCUAAGUCAUCUAAAGACAAUUCAGCAUUUGUGGCUAGUAAUGGUGGUCGUGGUUGUGGUGGAUUUUCCAAUAGAGGUCGUGGUUUUGGGGGAGGUCAUAGUCAUGGUGGUGGACGUAGUGGACAAAGUUUUGAUCAAGAUAGCUGUCAGUGUAUAUAUUGCGGCAAAUCCGGUCAUAUUGUUGACACUUGUUGGGCCAAGCAUGGCAAGCUUGAGUGGGCUCAACAAUUAGUUACUGCAAAUACUGCUGUGUGUGAAGGGAGUGCUCGAAAUGUGUCUUAUAGCGACAUGAACCCAUCUAUCCCACCUGGGGGUAGUUCUUUUGAGUCUACGGCUCGAGAUGAUAUGGUUGCACAACUCAUCAAGUGUGUCCAACAACUAGAGGCUUCCAAUUUCUCAUCCACGGCCACUCUUGCAUGUACAAGUAACAUGGCCUCCUUCUUUACUUUGUCUCCUAACACCUCCUGGGUCAUUGACGCAGGAGCUUCUAGUCAUAUGAUGGGUAAGCAAGAACUAUUUUCUUCCAGCCAUAACUCUAGUCCUUCAACAGAAGUUGUUUUAGCUAAUGGUUCCUCGACUCAAGUGGUUGGAUCAGGGACUGUUUCACUUACAUCUUCCUUAUCUUUGUCCUCUGUUUUACAUGUUCCCCUAACUUCCUUUAAAUUUGUUAUUUGUUAGUCAGUUAACUAAAGCUCUUAGUUAUUUAGUUACAUUUUACCCAUCUCAUUGCAUUUUUUAGGACCUUUAGACAAAGAAGAUGAUUGGUGGAGGGCAUGAACGUGAUGGACUCUACUAUCUAAAUGGUGUCUCCACUGCUGACACUAAUGGUCUAGCUGCUAGUUCUAUUACCCCCUAUUAUGGCAUUCUCGUUUAGAGCAUUUAUCUUUAUUUAAGUUACAACAAAUAAUUCCUGAGUGUAAAUCAAUUUCUACUCUUGAGUGUGAGGCUUGUAAACUUGGGAAACAUCAUCAUAGUUCUUUUCCUAGUCGUAAUAAUUCUCGUGUAUCUACUUUACUUGAACUUGUUCAUUCGGACAUCUGGGACCUUCCCGUAUUGCUAGUAGAAAUGGUUUUAAGUACUUUGUUACUUCUAUGGAUGAUUAUUCUCGUUUAACGUGGCUCUAAAUGCUUCAUGACUGUUUUGAAUUUUUACAUGUUUUCCAAUUAUUUCAUCGUGAGGUUACUAAUCAGUUCAAUACAUCCCUUAAAAUUCCGCAAACAAAUAAUGCUUUAGAAUAUACACAGAAAUCAAUUUCUUUGUUUUGUUCUAAUCUUGGCAUUAUACAUCAAACAAGUUGUACUUAUACCCCUUAGCAGAAUGGUGUGACCGAGAGAAAGUACCGUCACCUUCUAGAAGUUGCUCGUUUACUCUUAUUUCAUAUGAAUGUACCAAAAUCAUUUUGGAGUGAUGCUGUCCUUACUGCAUGUUACCUUAUAAAUCGUAUGCCUUCCACUGUCCUCAAUCAUCAGUCACCAAUCAGUGUUGUAUUUCCUGAAAAGCCGUUAUUCUCUCUUACCCCGCGCAUCUUUGGGUGUGCCUAUUUUGUUUAUAACCUACGUUCCGGUUCUGAUAAACUAUCUUCUCGUGCUACUAAAUGUAUUUUUCUUGGCUGUUCACGUACACAAAAGGGAUAUCAGUGUUAUGAUCAUACAACUUAUACCCAAUAUGUUAGUGUUGAUGUUACAUUUUUCGAGGGCACACCUUACUAUUGUACUGAGGGUAAAGAGUUUUCAACUGACAUUGUAGCUGAUCCUCCUAUCCCACAACAAAUCCCCCUAGAUUCUGUUAGUCAUUCUCUAGUAUCUCCUCCCUUGCAGGUGUAUCAGCGGCGAAAGCAGUCUACGACGCCACCAAUCUCCAGCUCUUCCAUGCCCUCCAAUCAAUCUUCCUCCUUGUCUCCUGGUCCGAACGAUCUUUCAAUUGCCCUUCGCAAAGGUACUCGGUCUUGCACACAAAAAUCCUCUUUGGCUUACCCUAUUGAGCGUUAUGUGUCUCUCUCACAUCUUCCUUCUCCGUUACAUGACUUUGCUCUAUCAUUACAAACUCACACAAUUCUUACUUCUACCACUGAGGCUUUGUCUCGCCUUGAGUGGAAGAAAGCUAUGAAUGUGGAAAUGGAAGCUCUGGUGUCUCACCAAACGUGGUCAUUGGUUGGGUGUACACUAUCAAGUACAAUUCGGAUGGCUCAAUCGAGCGUCUUAAAGCUCGACUCGUUGCUAAAGGUUUUACUCAAACUUAUGGAGUGGAUUAUUUUGAGACUUUUUCUCCUAUGGCAUGUCUCAAUUAUGUUCGUGUUAUUAUUUCUCUUGCUGUAAAUUUUGAUUGGCUAUUAUAUCAAUUGGAUGUCAAGAAUACUUUUCAUUAUAGUGAUUUUUCUGAAGAAGUAUAUAUGGAGCAACCUCCUGGGUAUGUUGCUCAGGGGGAGAAUUGUAGUAAAGUAUGUCAGCUACAUAAGGCCAUUUAUGGGUUGAAACAGUCUCCAAGAGCAUGGUUUGAAAAAUUCAGUUCAGUGAUUUCCAAAUGUGGUUUUCACCAAUGUUAUUCUGAUCAUUCUAUUUUUGUUCGCAAGAAGGAAUUGGGAGUGGUCAUUCUUGUGGUAUAUAUGGAUGAUAUAAUUGUCUCCGGUAGUGAUAUGACCGGCAUUUCUGAGGUUAAGUCCUUUCUUCAGCAGCAAUUUCAAAUUAAAAACUUUUGAACUCUUAGGUAUUUUCUAGGUAUUGAAGUUCUAUAGAGUAAAAAAGGUAUUAAUUUGUCUCAAUGAAAGUAUGUUCUUGAUCUUUUGUUUGAGAUAGGUACACUAGCUGCCAAGCCAAUUGAUACUCCUAUGGAUCCAAAUCAAAAGUUUGGAGUUAAUGAUGGAAAUGAAAUUGAAGACAAGUAUCAAUAUCGACGUCUAGUUGGGAAACUAAUUUAUCUUAUUGUUACACGUCCUGAUAUUUCUUUUGCUAUUGGUGUGGUGAGUCAGUUUAUGGAGUCACCUAAGAAGGCUCAUUGGGAUGUUGUAUGUCGCAUUUUUCAAUAUCUUAAAAGCUCUCCUGGUAAGGGACUAAUUUAUAAAUCUAAUGGUUCUUCCACUCUGGUUGGCUAUUCUGAUGCUGAUUGAGCUGGGUCAACAUAUGAUCGACAGUCUACAAUUUGGUUACUUGGAGAAACAAGAAACAGACUACCAUUGCCAGAUCUAGUGUAGAGGCUGAAUAUCGUGCUAUGGCACAUACUGUGGCCGAAUUGUUGUGGUUGAAAUCUCUUCUUCAGGAGCAUGGAUUUUCGAUUAAUCAACCUAUUGAUAUGAUGUGUGAUAAUCAAGCAGCUAUUUAUAUUGCUGGGAAUCCUGUUUUUCAAGAGUGAACUAAGCAUAUAAAAGUUGACUGUCACCUUGUUUGGGAUGCUGUGAAGCAGAAGUUGGUUGCUACUCCUUACGUUGCCUCUAGAGAUCAGUUUGCUGAUAUGUUUAACAAAGCAUUAUUUCGUCCUGCUUUUAUUGCUGGUUGUUCCAAGCUAGGCAUGGGUGACCUUUAUGCUCCAACUUGAGGGGGAGUGUUAAGUUACUUUAAUUAAGUUUCCUUUAUUAUCAGAGUUUUAUUUCCUUCUUUUAUUAUCAAAGUUUUAUUUCCUUUUUUACUUACAUAAGGGUAUUAUUGUCAUAUACAUUUAUAUUCAAUAUAAAUACAAUGGGUGUAGGGUUUAUGUUACUACAGAAAUUUAUAGCUCCCUCUUUGUUUAUUUCUUUUACAUUCUCCUUCUCCUCUUCUCUAUUCCUUCUCCCUUAUUCUUUCUCUCUUACUAUUUGCUGCAGAUUCUCUAAUAAGUUUUGUGGCAGUUGACUUGUUGCAAUGUUUUCAUAUGAUUUGCCUUUCUUCUGCCCUCAUUGGACCUUAGCUAUCACGUUCCUUUUUUUUUAAAAUUUUUUUUACAAUUUCCCGGUUGCCUUGUGUCUGACAUCUUUUCCUUUUAAUGUACUCUUUAGAGUUCAUAAACCUUGUGUCAUAUGAAUCAAAUGAAGUUUGUAAUCGAGAGGAGAAAAGAACGAUUACUCCUGAGCAUGUACUCAAGGCAUUAGAGGUAAUGUUCUUGUUCUUGUUCUUCAUUGAACAUACUCCUGAGCAUGUGAUCGAGAUUGAGUCAUGAUAGGCUGGAAUUUUUCGAUUUAGUAAACAUCUGUCUCGAAGGUUUUAAAUAGAAUGCACUGCUUUCAUAUAUGGUGUCCCUUAGUUGUUAUAUAUUGUCUAAUGUGCAGGAUAAUGGCCUUUUGCCCAUUUUUGAACCUAAGAUUCUUCUUGAUGGAGACCACCCUACUGAGAGGACUUUUGAAGUGGCAGAGAAGGUUUGGUCUGAGGUCUUUUUCUAUUUGGCUGAGAACAAUGUUUUGUUUGAGGGUAUCCAGCUUAAACCCAGCAUGGUAACUCCUAGAGCUGAGCAUAAGGAGAAGGCUUUGAUAUUGCUAGUAUAAACACCUAGAGGGGGGUGAAUAGGCGCACAAACAAUUUUUCUCAAAUACGGAAGCAACAGAUUGAAAUACGAUCGAUGUAGAGAGAGUAAGGAAGAGAAAAUCAAACACAGGAUUUAUAGUGGUUCGGCUUAUUCCAAGCCUACGUCCACUCUUCCGCACUGACAGCCCACCGGCUGGAUUUCACUAUGAUCAAAAGAGAAGUUACAGCAAAGCUUUGCCUUGAUUCCACAGUGUAGAUGUUCUAUCACACUUCCUCAAGGUCUCUCACAAAUAUAGACUCUCUUUUGUAUACAAGUAUUCGCUCAAGAGAUUUAUCUAAAACAAAUAGGAGCUUCAGACUUUGGAAUUUUUCUAUCGCGCACACUUCUUAAACAACUAAGAACGUCUUCCUUAUAUACUCCUUUAUGCCAUCAUACCCGUUGGCACUUUCCAAAGGAAUUCCUCCAAUCUACCCGUUGGACAGAAUCAAUUAGGAAGAUCGUUCGAGCUAUAAAAGGAACGUGUUGAUAGCCCAUCAAUCCUGUUCGCCCAUACAAUCAGGAUCUCGGUUUCCAUAAGCAGAACCUUCCAAUAAUAUUUAGACAAUCAUCGAAUUUUCAGUCAUUGAAUCAAUCUUUGAUCAAUUAAAGGAUUCUGAUACGUCUUCUCCAGCCACGAGACCUUCUCCAGAUGAUAAGGUUAAAUCCUGAACAAAGCAUCCAGUUCGGGAUAACCUUUCUUCAACGGAUCAGAGACUGUCAAUGAGGAUAGACUUUGAGUCUUGAGUCUGGCUGUCCGGAAGUCUUCAGACUUUAACUAACAAAGUUUGCAGACCUUCAGACUAGACUGACGGAAACAUUUUGUCAACUUCAAAACUCUUCACGAGGAUUUCUCCAACAAUCUCCCCCUUUUUGAUGGUGACAAAACUUUCCUGCAGAUUUGGAUAACUUUGACCUGCAAAACAUUUCUCAAACACAUAUGCAUAUAAAUGGCUAAUAGAAUAACACUAGAAUCUGCAACCACAGAAAAUAGGUUAGUCCAAUAUAUGAUUAAGCCAUUCAUAAGAUAUCAAUAUUGAUAAAUAGAAACAGUCAAAUCCAAGUCUAGGCAGUUCUUAUCCAGACACAAAACAAAGUCAAAGUCUAUCAAAAACAGACAGAUAAACACAAUCCAACAAACAGUUAAAAAGAUUGAAAGGUUUUUGAUCAAAUCAGCAUCUCUCCCCCUUUUUGUCAUCAUUUAAAAAGGAUGAGAUGAAAUCAAGUUUGCUUGGGAACGCGGACAAGCUGGAAAUCUUCCAUAGACUGAACAAUGCCUUCCAGCCUCUUAAAGUCUUCCUUAAGCUGUACAACCUCCUCACUCUUGGCAUUGGCCUGAUUCUGAAUAGAGAGGGCUUGCAUCUUUUCAUUUAAAGAACAGGAAGAAGCUUGACCAUCAUUCUUCAAGCUUUGAACUUCGCAUCCCAAGGCAUAAAUCUGACCUUUCAUCUCCAAGAGAAUAUCCAUAAUUCUGCGAAAAUCUGCUCCAUUAUUAGUCUGAGUACUUGCUUCUGCUCGUUCUGAUGGAGUAAAAGCAGACGAUGGUGGAUCAGCAUAAUCUCGCAGGUUGGGUGAUGAAGCUUCAUGACCUUCCUCUGGAAAUUGAGAUGCAUAAACAUCUUCUGGGUCUGCAGGCGAGCGACUGACUCCUUCACUUGCAUCUGGAUGUGAAGACGUCACUCCUUUCUCCUGAUCUCCCCCUGUUUCCAUGCCUACAGGUGGAGAAGAGAUUUCCUCAGGUUCUCCUUCUCUUCUUUCUUCUUCAGGUCUUUCUUGCUCUGCUUCUUGCUCUGUUUCUCUUUCUUCUUCUUCCUUCUCCUUUGCUUCUCUUUCUUCUUCUUCCUUCUCCUUUGCUUCUUUCGUCUUUUGUUCCGAUUCUUUCUGUGGAACAGGACGACUCAAGUUCUUCAAAGCCAUUGCGAAGAUGGUGAUGUCAUCGUCAUCAUCUUCAUCCUCAACGAGGAGAGCUCUUCUUUUCUUUGAUGGAGCAGCCAUGGGCUCCUUCCCUUUUCUCUUAGCAGCAGAAGAGGGUUGAUGAGACUUGGCAGGAGUCUUCUCCUUGAAUUUCUCCAAUUCCUUGCUCAGUUCCUUCAGACGCAUUUUGGUCACCAUUUUCAGUCCUACCACCAUAUGAUCGCAUGAUCGAACACAAAAGAUUUGCGGAGGCUGAAUAUUCAGAUGUUUGAAUAACUUCGUAACAAGGCUUGGGUAAGGGAGUUGACCUCUGUCCUUCAUCACUGCUCUAUACAUGUGAAACAUGACAGUAUGAGGAAGAGAAAACUUCUUUCCACAGAGGAUAACAUACAUCAACUUUGCCUCAGAGCUUGAAACAUCAGUUUUGGAAGUUGAUUUCGGCCGAAGGCAAUUAAUCACAGUCUUGUGAAGCAAGAUGUUGAAUGCGUUCAUCCUUGAGUAGGUGAUCUUCUCUUCUGUUCUCCUGUCCUUCACCAAUUCAAGUGUGGCCCGAGCAAUGGAAACUUUAAUCGGUUGAUAUCUGCCUCUCUCAACUUCUAACACAUCUGCCAGCAUAUCCAUAUCCACAACAUAGUCUUGUUCUUUGACACUAAAGGAAAAUCUAUUCGCAUCUAAAAAGCUAAGAUUUGAAUAGAAGUAAGCGGUCAAUUCAGCAUAAGCCUCAGUUGAGUCAGAACAGAAUUUUUCAAGUUGAAGAUAACUGAACUUUUCUCUCAAGUUCACUUUCACAGCAUCCAGAAAAUCAAAGUCCACACUCCUAGGGUUUAUUACCCCACGCUUCAGCAAUUUCGAGUACAGAUCCUUUUGUUCCUUUGAUCUGAACAAAUCUCCCCUUUUUCCUUGAAUUUCAGCCGCAAUACCCAUUUUCGGUUGAAAUAGACUGAACAGAUUGUCAUCAUCAUUCCCAUCUACAGGAUUUGGCCCCCAGUCACGAGGAUCACUUGGGAUAUUCGCAAGGGUUUCCUCAGCCACCCCUUUACGAGCGAUUCCCAAACUUUCCAUUCUUUUCAGAAAGAUAUAUUCGUUCCUAUAUCCUUUUUCUUUAACAAAAUCAUCAACAUAUUUCAAAGGAGUACGAAUUCCUUUUAAAGCACGAUAUAGCUUGUAGAUAAAAGCAGGCUUUUGAACUCUUACGGGGUCUGCUUCCUCGAUGAUUUCUUCCUGAUGAACAACGCCUUGAGGACUAGAUGAUGGAGAAUGACGCUGCUGAGAAUGUUGUGGGCUCGGUUGCUGAUCUGGAGAAACUUCAUCUUCAGUAAGAUCGAAGUGCGUAGGCCCCUCACUCAUUCUCUGUGGUCCCCUGCUUGCGAUUCUUGACGACUUUCGUGAAGAAGACAUCUUUAACAGUGUUUGGAAGUUUCCUUGCUUGACUUUCAUAGAAAAGAUGACAACUUUCUGAAGAUUUAGCGAAUAAGACAAACGGGAAUGGAGGAUUGAUGCUUUCUAGGGUUUUUGAGAGGAAAGAGAGUAGAAAAGUGAAGAGAAAUCGACAGUGCUUGUUCGGUUAAAAAGAAGGAUAAACGAACCGUCACAAAGGAAAUAAAAAUAUGCCUUUUCAAAAUAACUGUUUUUAUUCGCAAAAAUAGCUAUUUCAAAAAUAACUUCCCUUUUGAAAAUGAAUCGAUGCAAUACUUACGUUAAUUAAAUAUAGCAACAAUUUAAACAAGUCUGAUGAUCGUACCUUUUCAAAAUAAGAUUGGAAAGAGAAAGACUUACAGUCUGAAGGUCGAGACAAGACUGUAGAUAAAGUCUUGUAAGCCUGAGUCUGAAAGUCUUUAGACUUUGAUAUCUUCAUACCUCAAAAUAUUGAGUCUAGUCCGAAUAGACUCAAAUUGAUUUUUCUCCAAAGGCUUCGUGAGUAUAUCAGCCAGCUGAUUCUUUGAGUCAACAAAUUGAAUUGAAACAUCUCCAUUUUGAACAUGAUCUCUAAUAAAGUGAUGUCGAAUCUCUAUAUGCUUCGCUCUUGAGUGGAGAAUUGGAUUUUUGGUGAGGUUGAUAGCGCUGGUGUUGUCGCAAUUAAUCUCUGUGCAUGAGUCUUCAAUUUCAAAAUCUCUUAGCUAUUGUUUUAUCCAUAGAAUUUGCGAACAGUAGCUUCCAAGAGCUACAUACUCUGCUUCUGUUGUUGAAAGAGACACAGUACUUUGUUUCCUUGAAAACCAAGACACUGUUAUGUUUCCAAGCAACUGGCAAGUUCCUGAAGUACUCUUUCUAUCAACUCUGCAACCGGCCAGAUCUGCGUCUGAAUAUCCCAGAAGUUUAAAGUCUCCCUUCUUAGGAUACCAAAGACUGAUGCUUGAUGAUGAAGCGACGUAUUUAAUGAUGCGUUUGGCAGCACUGAGAUGGGAUUCUCUAGGAUCUGAUUGAAACCUAGCACAGAUGCAAACACUCAACAAAAUAUCAGGUCUAGAGGCAGUAAGAUAAAGAAGUGAUCCAAUAAUGCUCCUGUACAGCUUUUGAUCAACUUUCUUCCCUUCUUCAUCUUUGUCUAUCUUUAAAGAACUUGACAUUGGUAUGUCUGUCUUUUUGCAAUUUUCCAGUCCAAACCUUUUGACAAGAUCAUUAACAUAUUUUUCUUGAAAAAUGAAAGUUCCUUUCUUCAAUUGUUUUAUUUGAAGACCAAGAAAGAAUGUUAAUUCUCCCAUCAUACUCAUUUCAAACUCAUCCUGCAUAGACUUUGAAAAUUUCUUGCACAGACUUUCAUUGGAGGAUCCAAAAAUAAUAUCAUCCACAUAUAUUUGAACAAGUAAGAAACUUUUAUUUUCCUUCUUGAUAAAUAAAGUUGUAUCUACUUUACCUUUGACAAAACCAUUUUGUAAUAGGAAAUUACUUAACCUGUCGUACCAAGCCCGAGGUGCUUGCUUUAAACCAUACAAAGCCUUUUUCAGUCUGAAGACUAAGUCUGGCUUCUUUGGGUCUUCAAACCCUGGCGGUUGUUCCACAUAAACUUCCUCAUGGAUAAAUCCAUUUAGGAAGGCGCUUUUGACGUCCAUUUGGAAUAACUUGAAAUUCUUAUAACAAACAAACGCAAGUAAUAAUCGAAUAGCUUCUAACCUUGCCACUGGAGCGUAAGUCUCAUCAUAGUCUAUUCCUUCUUCUUGCGUAUAUCCCUUGGUCACGAGUCUUGCUUUAUUUCGUACGACUUUCCCUUUCUCGUUCAUCUUGUUUCUGAACACCCAUUUAGCUCCAAUAACAGUUUUACCUUUUGGGUUGGGAUCUCAAUUCCCAAACAUCAUUUAUGCUGAACUGUCUGAGCUCUUCUUGCAUAGCUUCAAUCCAGCUUUCAUCAGAUAAAGCUUCUUCUAUGCUCUUUGGUUCAAUUUCAGAAACGAGUGCCACAGCACUAGACUUUUCUCGCCUUUUAGAUCUGGUGCGAAUUCCUUCAUUCAUUUCGCCGAUUAUAAGAUCUUUGGGAUGACUGGACUUAUGCUUCCAGUUACUUGUUGAUUUGUCUGGUUGAUGAUCUCUUUCUUUAUUGGAUCUUCACUAACAACCUGAUGCUGGUUUUCAAGAGUCUGAGGUGCUUCUUGAGUUGUAGACUUUGGAGGGUCUGGAGUAGAUUCAGAUUCUUCUUGAUGAGUCUGACUUGAUUCAUCUUGCAUUGAGUCUUGAAAUUUGACAUUCAUUGACUCCUCUACAGACUGGCUCUUCUUGUUAUAGACUCUGUAAGCUUUGCUUGAUGUAGAAUAUCCAAGGAAGAUACCUUCAUCUGAUCUUUCUUCAAACUUACCAACUCGAUCUUUUGCAUUUUUCAAUAUAAAACACUUGCAACCAAAUACAUGAAAGUAUGAAACAAUAGGCUUCUUUUCUUUGAAUAACUCAUAAGAGGUUUUCUGAAGAAUAGAUCUUAAGAAGACUCUAUUGAUGAUAUAGCAAGCUGUUGAAACAGCUUCUGCCCAAAAUCGAGAAGAAAUUCUACUUUCAAUUAAAAGAGUUCUAGCCAUUUCUUGAAGAGAUCUGUUCUUUCUUUCCACAACUCCAUUUUGCUGAGGAGUAUACGGAGAGGAAAACAUAUGCUUACAGCCAGAUUCAUCACAGAAUUUUGUAAAAUCUUGAUUUUCAAAUUCACCUCCAUGAUCUGUUCUUAUACUGGAGAUAACACAACCUUUUUCAUUUUGAACCUUUUUAGCAAAAUUUUCAAAAUACGAAAAGGUUUCGGACUUACUUGAAAGGAAAUAUACCCAAGUAAAACGGGAGUAAUCAUCAACAAUUACUAGGCAAUACUUUUUACCCCCAAUACUCAGAGUUCUGGUUGGUCCGAAGAGAUCCAUAUGCAGCAACUGUAGAACAUGAUUAGUAGAGACAUGAUUUAUUGGCUUAAAAGAAUUUUUUACCUGUUUUCCCAGAAUACAUGGAGUGCAUGAAUCAGUCUUUUGGUAUGGCAAUUUUGGUAGACCUCGAACAAGCUGCUUUGAUGAGAUUUUGGCUAAUUUCUUCAUAUUGACAUGUCCAAGCUUUUUGUGCCAUAAGCUUGCUUCGUCUUGAAUUGAGAUAAGACAUUGCGAUUCAUUUGGUUUCACAUCCAGAAGAUAGAUGUUUCCAUGUCUUCGACCUAGAAAAGAUUGAGUAGAAUCUUUACUGAUUCCGGAACAUGUUCCUUCUUGAAAGGAGAUCUUGAAACCAGUAUCACACAAUUGACUAAUGCUGAGAAGAUUGUAAUUGAGUCCUUCAACUAAGGAAACAUUACUUAUUGUGAGAGUUCCAAUUUUCACGGUUCCAAAUCCCACAAUACUUCCUUUGCUGUUUCCUCCAAAUGAAACUUUUCCACCAUUUACUUGAGCAAGCUUUAUAAAGCAAUUUGAGUCUCCUGUCAUGUGUCUUGAGCAUCCGCUGUCAAGAUACCACUUUACCUGUUUCUUGAUGGAGACCUGCAUUUAACAAAGAGUCUCAAGCUUUCUUUGGUACCCAAAUUUUCUUGGGUCCUUUGGUGUUAGUAAGAUAAACAGUAUUAGCCCAUACUUUCUUAAUAGGUUUCCAUACCAUAGGACACUCUUUUUCAAAGUGAUCUGGACUGUUGCACUUAGAACAUCUGAGAGCAUUUCUACCUACAGGUUUUACAAAGACUUUUUUGAAGUGAUUUUUGUAAACCUCAUUCGAAAGCAUUUUCUUAAUUCUUUCUUUUACUUUAGGAAAAUCAAUCAAGGGAAUUGUUUCUUCUGUCAUACCUAGACCAGACUUAUUAAAGUAAGGUCUUUGUGCUGAAAGAAUUUUCUCAAGUUUUUCAGAUCCCAUAGAAAAUUUCUUUGAUAUAUUAGAUAAAUCUGUUUUUAAGAAAGCAUUUUCUUUUAAAAGAUUUUCUUCAUUUUCUUUAAGAUUGGAAACAGACAAGUCUAGACUUUUAACUUUUUCUGCUAAAACAUUUUCCUUUUGCUUUAGAGCUGAGUUUUCCUUUUUUAGUUUGGAAAUACUUUUGAGAGAAGUCUUAAGACUAAAGCAUAGUUCCUCAAUAUAUUUAGAAACUUUGACAGGAAUUUUAAAAUUACUUGCCUCAAAUUCACUGUCUGAGUCUGAUCCAGAGUCUGAGUCUGAUUGUGCCAUCAGACAUAGAUUGGCAUAUUCAUUAUCACUUUCUUCACACUCAGUAUCACUCCAGGUUUCAGCUUUGAGAGCUUUUCAAAAAAUUUCAGCUUUUCCUUUCUUUUUCUUCAAAAGAGGACAGUUGGGUCUGAUGUGUCCCUUUUUCUUGCAUUCAAAGCAGACUACAUCUUUGUUUGGUUCCUCAUCAUCAACAGACUUGGUCUGCUGUCUUUGAAAGCCUUGUUUCUUUGAGUUGAACCUUCUUCCUUUUCUGUUUAGUUUUCUGAAUCUUCUUAUCAUGAGAGCAAGCUCCUCAUCGUCCAUAUCUUCUUCAGAAUCUGUAACAUCAGAAUCAUCAUUUGAUUUUAAUGCAAUGAAUUUCUUACCUCUUGGAUCUUCAUCUUCAUUGAUUCUUUCCACUUCAUAGGACUGAAGAGUUCCAAUCAGCUCAUCGACAGAUAAUGGCAUAAUUCUCUGCGUCUCUCUUAUCGAAGUCUUUAUGUGAUUCCAAUCCUUGGAGAGUCCACGUAGUAGCUUGUUUACCUUCAUGGGAUCAGAAGUUGGUUGACCUUGAUUUUCAAGACCAUUUACAAUAUCUGUAAAACGACUAAACAUGUCAGAUAUUGAUUCUCCUGGUUUCAUUCUAAAGGCUUCGUAUUGACCGAAAAGAAUGUUGAUUCUUGUUUUCUUCACUCGAUCUGUUCCUUCAUAGGUGAUAUGCAAUCUGUCCCAAACUUCUUUUGCUGUACCACAAGAAGAUAUUCUAUUAUAUUCAGUUGGUGAUAAAGCACAAUAUAAGGAAUAAAUUGCUUUUGCAUCGAGUGUCUGUCUGUUGGUUAUUUCUUCCUGAGACAUUCCAUUGGAUUCUUCAGUUUCUUUUCCUCUUUCAGAGACUGAUGCAGUGGUAGGAGUAAUUCCUUUUUCUACAACGUCCCAUUCCAGAGGAUCCUUUGAUCGUAGGAAAGCUUUCAUCUUGUUCUUCCAGAUGUUGUAAUCCUUUCCAUCAAAGUAAGGUGGUCUGGUAUUGCUUUGCCCUUCCAUCAGCCCUGGUGCUAGCAUACUAGCCAUGGAUCUUUUACUAUGAAGUAAAACACUUCAAAUAAAGUAAGUACACAGGCUCUGAUACCAAUUGAUAUUGCUAGUAUAAACACCUAGAGGGGGGUGAAUAGGCGCACAAACAAUUUUUCUCAAAUACGGAAGCAACAGAUUGAAAUACGAUCGAUGUAGAGAGAGUAAGGAAGAGAAAAUCAAACACAGGAUUUAUAGUGGUUCGGCUUAUUCCAAGCCUACGUCCACUCUUCCGCACUGACAGCCCACCGGCUGGAUUUCACUAUGAUCAAAAGAGAAGUUACAGCAAAGCUUUGCCUUGAUUCCACAGUGUAGAUGUUCUAUCACACUUCCUUAAGGUCUCUCACAAAUAUAGACUCUCUUUUGUAUACAAGUAUUCGCUCAAGAGAUUUAUCUAAAACAAAUAGGAGCUUCAGACUUUGGAAUUUUUCUAUCGCGCACACUUCUUAAACAACUAAGAACGUCUUCCUUAUAUACUCCUUUAUGCCAUCAUACCCGUUGUCACUUUCCAAAGGAAUUCCUCCAAUCUACCCGUUGGACGGAAUCAAUUAGGAAGAUCGUUCGAGCUAUAAAAGGAACGUGUUGAUAGCCCAUCAAUCCUGUUCGCCCAUACAAUCAGGAUCUCGGUUUCCAUAAGCAGAACCUUCCAAUAAUAUUUAGACAAUCAUCGAAUCUUCAGUCAUUGAAUCAAUCUUUGAUCAAUCAAAGGAUUCUGAUACGUCUUCUCCAGCCACGAGACCUUCUCGAGAUGAUAAGGUUAAAUCCUGAACAAAGCAUCCAGUUCGGGAUAACCUUUCUUCAACGGAUCAGAGACUGUCAAUGAGGAUAGACUUUGAGUCUUGAGUCUGGCUGUCCGGAAGUCUUCAGACUUUAACUAACAAAGUCUGCAGACCUUCAGACUAGACUGACGGAAACAUUUUGUCAACUUCAAAACUCUUCACGAGGAUUUCUCCAACAGGCUUCUCCUGAGACAAUUGCCAAGUACACUCUUACAAUGUUGAGAAAGAGAGUUCCACCUGCUGUUCCAGGAAUCAUGGUAUGUUUAUGUUAACAUUUCUACAUCUUUGCAGCCUGUUGUAGUACAUAUAAGCCUAAUGAUUUGGCAGGCUGGCCGUGUGUUGUCAUGAGAGUUCCUUGUUCUUUCCUGCUGCAAUGUGUCUAAUUGUAAUGUUUCUUUGCAUGAUAAAAAUAGACGAUCUUUCAGCCUGUCUGCUUAUUGUUAUAUUGUCUAGUCUUCUCGGCAUCAAUGCAAUUGUAGCUUUGGAUGGGACACUGUUGUUAGAAGAACUAAUCUAAGCAAAAGAGGUUAUUAGCUUUCUGUAUCAUGUUCUCUGUAUUGAAGGAGAAUAGGAAUCGCAUUCUCUGCUUUGACUUCCUUCUUUUUACCUUUUGAUAGGUUUGUGUUGAUUCCUUAACAACUUUGCAUUUUGCUUCUUUGAACUGUUUAUGGUUUGAUGCUUGGCAAUUUUUAGUUUCCUAAAGAAAAAAAAAAAACUAAUUUCCAUCAAUUUGGUGGUGAAGGAACUCUAAAAUGGAAGGAAAAAGAAUCUCCUUCUUGCGCUUGAAAAAGGUCUAGACAAAGCAUCUAUUGAGGAAUCAACCUCUUCUUGCCUAACAUAGCCCAAGUGUGGCAUCCCAAAAAUUCAAAGUCAAGUUAUAAGGUGUGUUAAAGCCUCUAAUUAGGUAAUGAAAUUUCCUAUGAUUUAUGCUUUAGCCAUUAGUCUCUUUUUAAGAUUAGGUGAUUUGUGCUUGUGUUUAUGAGAUUUUAAAUUAGAUAGAUUAAUGAUAAUAAUCUAUGCUUGGCCAUGCACCUUAUGAAUUAAAUUCCUCUAAAUAAAAUGUCACAAGACUUUGGCCAUGUGGAAUUUAAAAUUUAAAAUUCAUAGAAGAAAUUAUAAAAAGGAAAAUUUAAAAUUUAAUUAGGUUGGGCCUUAGGCCCAUUGGCCUAAGCUUUAGUGGGCCAAGCUAGUCGGCCCAAUUAGGCCCACGAAAGGGGGCUGUCGACCGGCCUAAGAGGAGGCCCAAGAGAAGAAGGCCCAAGCCCAUGCAUGAGCUUUGCCAAGUGGCAAGAAGGAGCUCAUGCAUUGGCCAAUUGAAAGGCAAUCUAAUGAUUGCAAAUGAUGAGGUUUAAGGGGGGAAUAAAAGGGAAGAAGAGGAGAGAGAGUGGCCGGUUGCUUUGUUCGGCCAAGGGAGAGAAACCGUGCGAGAGAGAGGGAGAGAGUGGCCGAGAGAGGAGAAGCCGAGAGGGAGAGGAAGGAGUCGUCGCCGUUCGCUGCUGUGUGCCGCCGUGUUCGCCGCCGUGUGCCGUCGUCCGUUCGGUCUAGAGGCAAGUUGGGGUCCUCUUGCUGCUCUUGCAUGUGUGUGUGUUACAUGUAUGUUGUAGAAAAGUCGAAUUUUGGGUGAAUAGGAGGGGGAAACCGAAGCUUGGAUGACUUGUUCUUGAGUGGUGUUGCUGUUUUCGCUUGAACCGCCUGAGUCAGAAAUUUGUAAGAGCUUGCAUGUAUGUUUGGAGUUUUAUUUUGGCUUCUAUUUCUUCAUGAAAGUUGUAGCUAACGUCUUAAAAUACAACAUAAUAAAAUUUGGUGGAAAAUUAUGGAUAUUUAAGGGGUUAAACUCUCAUCCUACGGAGACCUCAGAUCUGGAACGAUUUCACUGACCUUUUGAUGGAUUUGUGGUUGCAUGUUGAGUUGUGCUAAGAAUCUCUCUUUUAUUUAUUCAUGAAAGUUGUAGGGGACAUCUUAAAAUACAACAUACUCAAAUUUGAGGAAAAAUGAACAAGUAUAACCUAGUAAAUCGACUGAAUCUAGGAGACGGUAAUUCUGGAGAUGUAGUACAGGACACCCGAGACUUCAUGGACCUAAACGACGACUAUAAUCUGGAGUUUUGACUUAUAUCUAUUCAUCAAACAUGUAGAAAACAUCUUGAUGUAAAACAUAUCCAAAUUUCAGAGGAAACGAAGAAGGAUAGGUAGGUGAAAACUCAGUAUUUCGGAGAAGCAUGCACUGGACGUUUCGGUGUUGGAUCCAGAAGCUUCGUGAGACUGUAUAAAUUAAUCUGAAAAUAAUUUGGCUUAGAAGUCUUCAUGAAAAAUGUACUUUAGUGUCUUGGCUAUAAGUCGAUAAAAUUUCGUAAUUUUUGGAGGUCGUAUGGAUAUUUUAAUCAAAUUAUUUUGGAAACUGUGCAUUCUGAUUUCAUCCGAAAAUUUCAUGCUAUUUUGUGUGAAUUAUGGAAUUGUGUGGAAUUCUAUUUUGGCCAUGUAUUUUGCAUGAAAUCAUUAUCCUAUUGUCUUGAUUAUCACUUGCCUUAAUUUCUAUGAUUUUGAGAAUUAUAUAGAUAUUCAAUUUAAUAUUUUUAAAAGUGGCACAAGCUGGAAUUUAAAUAAAUGUAAAAAGGGCAUGAUAAAUGGAUUAUUUUAAUUGUCAAAAAUUCCAUAAAAUUUUAUUUCAUAAAUAAUUGUACCAUGUAGCAUGUAUGAUGAGGUCUUGAUGUAUGCAUGACAAUAAAUUGAGAUGCAUGUAUGAAUUCCAUGCUGAAUAAUGACUUUGUUUGCCAUCACAUCAUAUGCCAUGUUAAAUUGAGACCGAAAUUGGUGAACAUGAAUAAUGUUAAAUGAGGAGAUUGUUGUGGCGGAUGAUAAUGCCCGGAGUGUAUAGAGAUAUAUUGCCGGAUGGCCCGGGGAGUUUCAGGAUGCCCGGAAAGUUGGGGGUGCCGGAAGCCCUGGAGGUUUGUGCCCAGGGGGAUGCCUCACGAUGCCAGUUGGGAUGCGGGAUACUCGGCUAGGGAGUGUAAAUGCCGCAAGCCUCAGAGGUCUUUGCCCGAGGGGAUGCCUCGUAAUGCCAGUUGGGAUGCGAGAUGCCCGGAAUGUGGGGGGCCAGAUGCCCGGUGGCCUGGAAUGGCUGAAUGCCAGAGGGUUUUCUCGCGAUGCCAGGAUGAGGCGCGAGUGUAUAAUAUGAGAUGAAAUUGGUGAUCCGAGGAAUGGUGAUGUGGUGAUCGAAUGGAAAGUAAAAAAGUGGAAAAUUGAACCAUGCAUGAUAUGAUAUGACAUGAUGAUGAUGAUCACCUAUGGCAUGAUGAUAUGCAUGAUAUGAUGAUGAUGUGCACAUAUGAUAUGAGACAGCAUGAUGAUGAUGAUGAUAUGCACGUAUGACAUGAUAUGAUGAUGAUGAUGAUGAUGAUGAUAUGCAUGAUAUGAUGAUGAUGAUAUGCACAUAUGACAUGAUAUGAUGAUGAUGAUGAAGAUGAUGAUGAUGAUAUGCAUAUAUGAUAUGAUAUGAUGAUGUCAUGAUGACGAUGAUACGAGUAUGACAUGAUAGUAUGCAUGUAUGUGUUAUGAUUGUGAUGAUGAUGCAUGAUAGUAUAUGCAUGGCUUCAAGAUAAGUAAUGCCUGGAAUGCAUGUAUGAUUUGUAUGAUGUUUGAAGUGACUAUUGGAUUCCUUUACCUGCUAAGUGGUUGUACUCACCGCUUUUGGGGACCAACAUUUCAGAUUAGCAACAUGCCGCUCCCUGCCGUCACGCGGGGUUUGUUUUACGGUCUACCAUCUGAUGUCGAGGUCGAGUGCGAGGAGUUUGGCUGUCCUUCUGUUCCUGGAUUGACGUAUAUUCGAGUGCGCUGUUUAGUCAUGUACGACGUAGGCCUGGCUGGGGGCCCGGUUGUCCAGGAGUUCAUCUCCGUCCACAUUCGUCAUGAUGGGGUGAUGCGAGGGAUGUUGCCGCCGUCACCGCCUGAUGCACCGGGUUGGGUGUGAGGGCCCGUGCAUGACGAGUAGGAGCUGGAUUUUUGGGGAUAGUUAGCCGACACUGAUGAUGGGGAUUGUUGCACGUGAGUUUUAGCGGGUCGAGGGUUCUUUUUGGGGUUUUAGGCCGGACAUGGCUGAGUCCUGGCUUUUCCUUUUGAUGUAUCGACCCAAAGAAAUCCCAUCUUGAAAAUAUAUGUAAAUAAAGUGUCGUGGCUUGUCUAUUAAUCAUGGUGAUUAGUGGUGUGUAUUUGUAUCAUGGUUGGUAGGGGGAGAGAUGGUGAUGUUUUAUUUUGCUUCCACUAAUGAGUCGCGCUAGGACCGUUUUUAAAAAGAAAAAAAAAAUGUCUAUGAAUUACGACGCUUCUUCUAGAGAGAGGUAGUAAGGUGUAACGUUGGUGCCUGUGGCGACCCUUGAAGGGUUCGGGGUGUCACACCAAGAAAGCAAACAGACUUGAAAUCACUAAUGAAAAGUUGCUUAUAUACGUCUCUUUCCUUCUACUUCAGAUAUUAAAUUGGGUUUAUAAAGAUAAAUUUUAAGGCUUUCUAUUUUGCAGCAUUUGAGGAAUCAAUAUGACGAACUUUUUCCUGCAUUGUGUGAAGAUCACCCUGACAUAUUUCCUCGAGAGCUUUAUGUAUGGGAACAAUUUUUAUGGGCUUGCGAACUUUAGUAGUCUAACAGCAUGAAAAUUCAGUUUGCUCAUGGAGCACUCAAGACUUGCCUAAUCCCCAUUGCUGGAUUUCUUAACCAUUCAGUAUGUUGUUUGACUAUUCUCAUUUUAUUGUCAUGAUUUCUUAGGUCUCGUGAGCAUUUCUCAACAUGUUUGUUUACUAUUUUGAUGUGGCUAUCUUCCAAUGGGUAUCAGUUUAGUCUGACUGAGACUCUUUUCUUGGAUCUGACCUCAUCGCAGUAGCAGAAUUACCAUUAAGUAAACAGAUGAUGAACACCAACUUUAUGAUUCGCAGAACUUUCUUGAGCAUGACUUUCUUCUUGAGAAACUAUCUCGUGAAGCUCCAAUAUAUGUCAUCAUGGAAGGAAGUGAACCACCUUUCUUCACGCGCUUCUUCUCAUGGGACUCCGCAAAAUCUGCUGUAGGUAAUUGUAAUCAUUAUACAUCUGAGUUUUUGCUGUCCUAGAAUUCUGAUUGAUUUUUUUUUCCUGGUGAAGAUGCAUGGGAACUCAUUCCACGAGAAGCUUACAAUUGUUAAGCAUGGUGGUACACCAACUAUUGAUGUAAGACUUACGUACUUCGAAGCUUCUAAACAUGCCUGCUUGAAUGAUUCUUAGCUGUUUAGGACUAUCGUGCAUAUCCACUUUUAUCAGCUUAUUUAUGCUUGUAUGUGGAUAUCUUGACUCUUUAAGGAACUCAUGCUUGGUCCAAGUUUGUUGCUUGUAUCAGUGAUUUUCUUGUGUUUGUCACAACAAAAGUUGCUAAGUUGCCAUCCUUUUUUUUUUUUAUCUUGGCUUGAGCUAACAUAGAAGUUUUGGUUUGUCUCUCUCCUUAUUCAUUAUAGUUCAAAUCUGAAAAUGAAACCACAAAAAAAAAAAAACUCGUUGGAACCUGGAACCGACCCUGGAACCUGUGACAAGGUAGGCUCCAGGUUCUUGGUUCUAAUGGGUAGGUUCCAGGUUCCAAAAAAUGAGGAACCUGUACCCGAGGGUAGGUUCCAGGUUCUAGAUGAAACCGAACCGAAACCUGGAACUGCUCACCCCUACGAUUAACCCAAUCACGUCGUGUGAUUUUGUAGUUUGAAAUUUACAGUUAGCAAGAUUAUAACAAUCGGACUCCUUGUGCCACUUCCGUAUUCGAGUUCUCAAUCUUUUUUUUUCUGUUCAUUUAAGAAUUAAAACUUGCAUUAAAAAGUAUUUGAGAGAUUCGGUUUGGUCCAUCAAUUUCUAAUGGACAGAAAGCAUAGCUGCCUUCUUUAAUUCCCUAUAGACAUAAUGAUAGAUAGUAUGUGGAUAUGUCUAAAUGAUCAUGAAUUCCCAUGUGAAAAAGUCGUAAUUUAUUAAUUAUCCUUUUUUUUUGUAAGGAUUAAUUAUCCUUUUUUACUAAUACAAUGAUCGAAAAAUUUAAAAUUAAUAUGUGAUAUUUUACUAAAUCAUCUCUUUGGUUUUAUUGUCACAAACAUGGAUGAUCCCGGAAUUAAUCAUUUCAAUAAGUCUCCCAACUCUAAAGUUUACAUGUAUUCUUAAAUAUAAAGGCAAUUAUGAAAUUAUUUUUUCAUUGAUCAAAAUAAGGAUCCUCAAAUAAUAUCAUUUAAAAGUCACUUCCAAAAGGUAUUUGUACGAAUUGAUAUCUAAGUGAGGUGCAAUAUCAAUUUUUUAGAGAAACAAAAAAAUUGAGAAUGUUUUAAUUGUUAAAUCUUAGUAUUCUCUUAUUCUUUGGAUAAGAAUUUUCGUUUCUACUCAAGAAAGCCAUAACGAGUUUUCAUUAUUUGAGGGCAUUUGGGUUUUCGUUCGGAAACUACUCUCAAUACGUGACCAAAGGCUUUUUCAAUAUUAUUUUCGUGUUCAAAUGAAAGCGAAAACAAAAAAGCGAGAAAAUUUUCUCUAAACAAUAGGGAGCAAACUGCUAUUUUGACCCAUUAGGCUUUUGGCCUUUCCUCUUUCCUCUCUUUUUCUUCAUUUCCUUUAUUGUGGACCCCACACGUCUUUCACACACCACCCAACAUUUGCACGCGCUUCUCUUCUACUGGUUGACUGAAAUUUAUAAUGAAGUAGAUCAAGAGGCACCACCAAACCAUUGUUAACCAGCAAAAGUCAACUCUGCAACCUCCUCUUUCUAGCAAAAAAGAAGAAGAAAAAACUCUGCAACCUCCUCUCUAGCACUCCUUAACCCCUGCUCUUGUCUUUUGGAAAAGGCGGAAGCAGUGCUCUUCACCCUCACCAAGGACAUACUGAAUCUCGCCGGUACCAACAUCUUUUCGAAGAUCCAACUUGUACGAGGUGCGAGCGAUGAUCUCAAGGGUCUCAAGUAAACCGUCAAGACCAUCCAAACUAUGCUUUUGGAUGCCGAGAAAAAACAAUGGGACAGCGAGCAGGUCAAGCUCUGGCUCAUGAGGCUGAAGGACGUGUUGUACGAUGCACAGGACUUGCUGGAUGAUGUCGCAACCGAAGAUCUGAGGCAGAAGGUCACUCCCGGAAACAAAAUGUCAGAAGAGGUACGCUCUUUCUUCUCCAAAUCAAAUCAGCUGGCACAGCCCUACAAAGUGGCUAAAAGGAUGCAGGAAAUUAGGAAGAAACUGGAUUGGAUUGCAAAAGAUAGGGAGUUCCGUUUAGAGGAGCAUCGGAGUGAGGCAACUGUUAGCUAUUGUGAGGAGGAGGACAACUGACUCUUUUGUGCGGAAGGAAGAAAUAGUUGGUAGACAAUCUAAUGAGAGGGAGAUCAUCAAAUCUUUGCUUGAUUCCUCCUCCGAAUAGAGUGUUUCAGUUGUUCCCAUAGUCGGUAUGGGAGGACUUGGAAAAACCACACUUGCUCGGCUGGCGUACAAUGAUGACAAAGUGAGAAACUACUUUGAGCUUAAGAUGUGGGCGUGUGUAUCCGAUGUCUUUGAUCUAGAUUUCCUCAUUAAAGAAAUACUGAAAUCUGCCCGAGAUAAGUAUAAAGGGAAUCCUGAGAAUCUACGAGACAUUGAUAAUAAGUGCAAGGAUGAAUUGCUGGGGCUUCUUCGUAAGGUACUAGACGGGAAGAAAUACUUGCUUGUUUUGGAUGACUUGUGGAAUGAAGAUCACGGGAAAUGGUCGGAGCUCCAACGUUUGCUGAUGGGUGGUUCAUUGGGGAGCAAGAUACUUGUAACCACGCGCAAUCGGUCGGUGGUGGACGCUAUAGGUACAAAAUCAGAUAUCCAUUAUCUAGAUUUCUUAUCUAAAGAUGAGUUGUGGGACUUAUUCAAGAAAACGGCUUUCGGAGAUGGGGAAAAAUCAUUAAACCAAGAACUGGAGCAGAUAGGUCAAGAUAUAGUUGAAAAAUGUGGUGGUGUUCCCCUUGCCAUCAAAACUAUAGGCAACCUUUUGUAUGCUAAAAAGGAAAAGGAGUGGCUCUAUUUGAAAGGGCAUGAAUUCUCAAAAAUAGAUACCUUGAACUCUGGAAUAAUGGAAGUCCUCAAAAUCAGCUACAAUCAUCUUCAGCCGGGGCUAAAACAUUGUUUUGCAUAUUGUGCGUUGUUUCCAAAAGAUUAUGUCUUUCAUUAACAAGACAUGAUACAGUUUUGGAUGGCACAAGGUUUUAUUGAAUCAUUGGACGGGAACGAGAAGUUAGAAGAGAUUGGGGAUAGUUAUGUCUGGGACCUACUUUAUAGGUCAUUUCUUGAAGUUGAGGAGGUCGAUCCUUACAUGGGUGAGGUGAAAAAGUUUAAGAUGCAUGAUCUCAUGCACGAUCUUGCCUUGAAAGUCACAGGAAAUGAGUGCAAGAUGGUUAGUCUCAACAAAGGCAGUCUCGAUGAAGAUACUCGACAUGCUUCAUUUGCUUUACAAUCAUUCUCAUCGCUGCAAGAAGUGACUUCUCUGCUAGAAGCAACCAAUCUACAAACAUUUCUCUCUUUGGAAGGAAUGUCAUCUAUACGAAAGUUGUCGCCAAAUGAAUGCAACGGAUUUUCUCCAAGUUCAGGCAUUGCCGAAUAUUGCGAUUGAACUAUGUAAAUUUUCGCAUCCCUUCUUUGUUGGGAAGUCAGUUGAAGCACUUAAGAUUUCUUGACAUUUUUAAGAAUGACUCCAUCAAGAGUUUGCCGGAUCCAAUCACGGAUUUGUUGAACUUGCAGACCCUUAAAAUCUCUACAUGUGAGAAACUUAAAACAUUGCCCAAAGAUUUGAGGAAAUUGGUCAACCUUAGACACCUCUCAAUUGACCAUUGUGGCUCACUGAGCCGCCUAGACAGCCUAAGUGAACUCUCUUCCCCAAGGACUUUGAGUCUCAUGUUCUUGGAUGCAUUGGAUUUUGACCCUCUUCAACAAUCUAGUACUACACGGCCCUUCUUCCCAUCUCUUGAGAGUUUGACCCUCUUCAGCUACAGAAAGUUGAAGGGAUGGUGGAGAAGAAUGCAAGUGAUGAUAGCAUGUCAAAAGCAUUAAUCAAACAAUUCUCGGCCAUUCUUCCAAAACUACGGUUUGUGAAAAUAAAAAAACUGUCCCAGCUUGAAUUUCGUGCCACCAUUCCCCCAGGUGGAAUACUUGGAGAUAGAUAACAUAAUAAUGUUGGAACAACAAUUCUUGACCAAUCCAAAUCGUCCAUAAGAACGAGCAGUGGUGUCCACAUUCAUCCCUUUCUUUAAACUAAAGGAUCUAUGUCUUCAUUAUGGGAAUCUGGAGCCGAUACUUGAGACUCUACUUCGAUUGGCCAAUAAUCUCGAGUCCAUGAGACUAUCAUUGCAACCUAAAGGGUCUCUUUUGUGGCAUGCGGCACCUUUCCUUGCUCCGGGAACUCGACAUUAGGAGUUGUGAAGGACUCGAUUUAUUGUGCCAAGAAGACGAGCAAGGCACUCAAUGGCAAUUCCUUAUAAAACUUCGUGUUCUUAAAAUCUUCGAUCUUCAUGAUCUGGUGGAAUUGCCUAAGUGGCUUCAACAUGCCAUGACUUUGCAAUCUCUUGAUAUUUCUUACUGUCAGAAUCUAAGGAAUUUGCCGGAAUGGAUUAAAAAUUUCUCUUUGCUGGAAGAGUUUGUAAUACAUGAUUGUCCAUAUUUGCCAUUUGAGAUCGCUUGAAGAGAGGGGCCUAACAGAUGGGCACGUUCUGGUCAUUAUUGGGGAGGGGAUGAAUCGGAACGAUUAGCACAGUAGAGGUACGAGAAAAGACUUAUGUCACCUAUCAAUAGUGUUCCUUUUUCAACCAUGUGACCUUCUUUAUUAAUUAACUAAUUUCUCUUCUCUUCACUAUACAUUGGCAGUGAAAUUAUUUACCAAAAAGAAGAAAGCGUCCCUCGCACUCCAGUUCGCCACCAUCUUCCUCGUUAUAUCGCGCGUGUAGAACAAACACCACCUUUGUCUCCUCGUCUUGCUCAAUCCCUCCUUCAUCUCCUCCAUCACCGCCGCCGGAAGAACCCCCGCAUCCUCUCGAUCGCCUCCUUCCUCUUUGGUCGGGUCCGCUGAGGUCGAUGAUCGGGAAGAUGAGAUUCUCGGAUCCGCCGCUCGAUUCGGAUGUCUUGUGCGGUCGGAUGAAGAAAUCCUGGGGAUUUCGGUGAUCCCGGUGUCGAUGAAGCCUUUGACGCCGGCUUUCGAGUCGUCGAACGCUUUCAGCUUGCUCGCUCUGUUGUAGCUCUCUGCUCGCCGGAGUCAGAGGCCAAAUCGAUGGUAGGCAUUGUUCCUCUCUCUCUCUCUCUCUCUCUCUCUCUCUCUCUCUCUCUCUCUCUCUCUACCUACUGUAAUUCAAUUUUCACUGUGAAUGUGUAAUAAGUUUGAAUCGAAUGUUAUGGAGACAUUUGGAUUAUGAUUUUGUGUGUUAUGUAGACAUUAUAAUGUCAGUGCAUGACAUGAGCAUCUUCUUUAUAGCUGAUUGAUUGAUUGAGAGGAGAAGUGAAGAGAACAAUGACAUCCAUUGCGAGGUUCCGCUUGACUUCAGAAUUAUGAGGCUCAUAAAAAAUGGAAGGAAAAAAUCAUAGCUUAUGAGCUACCCCUAGCUGAGAAAAUCACAAUGCUGUUUGAUAAUGGCCGAUUCUUUGGGGGAUUGGGCGGCUAGUACACAAAGUUUUGCAAAUCAUGAAAACAAAAACUGUUAGGACAGUUGAACAGUGGUAGACAGCAGGACGAUUCGAUGUUGUCUUAGCCCUUGACUUCUUCGCAAUUACCGAAAUCUUUAUGUAGAGGAAUCUUUGGUUUGUAGCCCUCCUUUGUUAUCACUUUAAGAGAGUUUCUGGACUUCUCAGGUAAACAUAACAAUUAUCUACGAGCUGGGUCCAUAUGAUCUAGUAAGCAUAUAGAAAUCUCAAUGUUCAUCUGAUUAAAACAGACAACUUGGUGAAUCUUGGACAACCUUGAUUGAUGCCGAGGCUUGUGAUAGUUUUAUAAAUCAUUUAAAAUUGGACCCUUUUGAAACUAAGGUACUGAGCUCUGUGAGGAGCAAAUUUAACAAUCAUAUGCCUUCGGACAUGAGAAGCUGAACUGCGAAAAGAUGUAGUGAUUAGAGGAAAAUCCCUUCUUGCUUUCUUUCUGGAGUCCAUGCGUUGACAAGUCGUGUUAGGACGGGGAUUUGCCUUUGCAUUGUUUCAUAGGGCGGGCCAUCCUCUCGAGCGUUACUCCAGAUGUUGCGAUGCAUUAGAAAACUGAACUAGAGCUGCUGUAAAAGUAUGGUGGAGGCCUAGGGCUUCUGAUGAGUGCUCGAACAGACGAGAGCCCAACCCCAUCACAUGCUUUGAGUACUCCAGCAUUUCUUUGCCAGAGAUGUUGCGAUGCAUCAGAAAACUGAACUAGAGCUGCUGUAAAAGUAUGGUUGGACGAAUUCCUAGAGAUUACAACAAAAGGUGUUGAUAUAUAUUAUCAACUCAGGUGCAAAAUUUUGCUACUGCUACCACUAGAACGCAAAUAAAGUCAACCGUCGAGGAACAUCCUUUUUUUUCACCCAAAAAGAACGGAACGACCACCUCUGAGGUUCCCAUCGGUGAAAAUGAUCAGUCAUUGAGGAUCUUCUUACUAAUUCGUAUCAUUGAUUGAGACUAGCUGCAAGAUUAUAUGCUAUGACGGGUAGCGGAAUUUAGGUGAGAAACUUUGUACAGAUUCAGCGGUAGCAAUUGCCUUCGCUGGCUGAAUGAAGUAACUGGUCACUUUCAUUUCAUGAGUGGUCAACAUAUAUUUUGGUCGAUUCAAUGGAAAAGUAAGCGAAUAACUCAAGUUUUGUAUGCUUGUUAUUUUAGCUUUGUUGAAGAAAAUAGAAAAGGCUAUCAAGUAUUAUAAAGUGAAAACCAUUUACUCUGCAAUUGUCUGAACUACUGCAAUUUUUUUGCAAACUGUCUUUUGUCUGAACUAUCCUUUCCUGCUCAACAAUCUCCCCUUCCUCACUCCAGUUAGCGCCCUCGGCUAAGUACACUGGAGAGUGAGAAUCGUCCUCAAGCUUAGGAUCCUUUGCAUCCACCACCGACCCAUCUUUAGGAUCUAUUAUCCCCUUCUUGAAUGUUGCCUCCAAAACGUACAAAAGUAUAUCACCUUCCGGUAUGGGACCCUCUCUUCGCCCAUCAUGGUAGUGACGAUACCACGACCGAUACUCGUGGGGCAUUAUGUCGUCUUUGCCCACAUCAAUGCAGAUGGUGGAUUUCACCAAAACAUACUCUAGUUAUUCCGGGUGGGGGUGUAUCGGAAAGUGAUAUCCUAUCUCAGUGAUCUCUUCGGGUAUACCAAAAUGCAUAGGAGAACGAGGAGGUGGAGGUGCUGCCAUGUAAGGACUUGAAAUGUUAUCUCGCAACGGGGUGAGACAACAUCUCAACGAGUUCUACCCCUAAGAUUCGAUUAGAAGGCCAAAACGCCGUAAGGGCUGCCUAAGCACAAAAUGAGUCAGAGGACUUACCUUGGUCUCAAUUCCUUCCUGCAAGUCAGUUCAAUUUCACAACUCGAAAUCAUAACACUCAAUCAAUUUGGAUCGACUCAUCAAUCAAUUGACUCAGUCGAAUACAUGUCAUCACGACCCCUUUAUUUGGUCGACUAAUCUCAUACUAUCUACUAAGUCCAUUUAUAUCUGGACAGCUCUUUAUUAAGCUGAUAAAUAGAUAGUAUAGCUCGCUUAUGAGAUAAUCAGGUAUACUGCUCUCUAUUUAAGCUGUCAUAUCACCCUUAGGCCGAUAUAGUAUACUGAUAUUGCUCAAUCUAAGCUGAUAAGGUAUACUGCUCUCUGCUAAGCUGUCAUAUUGCCCGUAGGCUGAUAUAGUAUAUCAGUAUAUUGCUCUCUACUAAGUUGACAUAUCGCCCAUAGACUAAUAUAAUAUACCCUUCCAAGGGAGAUUGGGGUGAGGACGAUUUCAUUUCAGGAGUAGGUUUCGACUCCCAUGCCUUGGAAAGAGGCAAUGGCAAAAGUCUGAGAGUGAGUGUUAGAGUAGAUUAGAGUAGGACCGACCAAAAAAAAAAAAAAACAUACAACCAAUUCCACAUUUUUACCAUUUCCGAUAAAAUAGCCGUGUGUGGGUACACGGUCGGCCUUAAUCAAAAUACUAUAAUUUCCUUUCCACAAAUCCCACCGUUUUCUAUAGUCCACCAAAAUAUUUUUGGCGCUGUCAACCGACGCCCGGUUAUUUUUCAAUUAAUUACCAAAAUUAAUUAAUUUAGGAAUUAAAUCCUUAAAUCACAAUUAAAUCAAUUCAUCACAAUUUAGCACUCAAAUAAAUAAAUAGACUACACCACGAUAAUCAGCAUAAAAUUCCGGUUACCGGCUAUUCAGGUCUAAUUUCUGGAAAAUAAAUAAAUAAUUAAUUAAUUAUGAAAAUUAAUUAUUAAAUAACAAUAAAUCCAACUUAGGCUCGUAAUGCCUAAUUGGAUGCCGAAACGGAUCCGGAAAAAUUCCGAGACUUGUUCAAUAAAUACUAGAGUUUAUAUACUUGCUAAUGGCUACAACUAAUCACCUAACAUGUACCGAUAAAUCUCUAAUUUAAUUACUCUAAUCUAAUAUAUCCACAUAAUCACACUUAAUUAAAUCUAAUCAACCCCUAAGCAUCAUUAACCUACUAAGCGAGGAUUAGUGAGUUAAACUCACUUGUUUGACGAGCGGUUCAAUGCAAAACGACGAGAACGUCGCGGAGCUCGACUUUCCUCAAGGCGGGCCUAGCAAUCGAGGCUCGGAACACCUCAAAAUGGGCCAUAAAGCUGCUGGAAACCCACUGCAUUUUGCAUCUGUUUUGAGCUGCAAAAGAGAGAAACCAAAGCUAGUUUGGCGAAGCAAGACCGGCGGAGGCAAAUGGGCGGCUGAACAAGGGUCUACGGCAGUCGAAUAGGAUUUGGCUUGGCUCCACAGGUCACGGGACAGUAGCUGGACUGGUGUGAGGGCGAGAGGAAGGUGGAGGAGCGGCUGGACGAGCGCAGGCAGCGCGCACGGCGGCGGCACUCGUGACGGCUACGGCGGUGAGGACGUGCGAUGGUGGGUGGCUUUAGCUACUCUGGUGGCUUCCUUGGCUGCUGUGGGGUUUGAAAUUGCACAAAGAAGGCUGAGGAAGGGUGGUUGGUUGCUUGGAGGGAGAAGGAGGAAGAGAUAGGGGACAAAGGGGGCCUAACUUGGCCAUUUUUUCCAUUCAUUAGUCUCAUUGACCAUUCCCAAACAUGGCUGGCUUCCAUGGACACCAAUCAGCCACCAAGGCCUUCAUCUAGAAGCUUGAGAUGGUCCAAAUGUUGUGGGGAUGGGGGACAUAUGAAUUUCAUGGGUUUUGGUAUCAAAUAGACACUAAUUGCUUCUUAAAUCAAAUCCCCUUUGGCCCUCACAAAUUCAAUUGGUACCUCAAUUAUCAAAUUGGUAUUUUUCCUCACCAAUUGAUUCUACUUGUUUCUUCUUAAUUGCGCGAUCAAAGACGGUCCCGGCGUUUUUUCGGCAUUAGGACGACUUUUUCCCAAAAAGUUUCAGGUUGUAGAAAAAAUGCCCCUAAAAUUUUUUGUGACAUUACAUAAUCUUCAAUUUCUAAAUCGGACUCAAAUACGCGGUUAAUUUCCAUUCGGUGCGUUUUUAGUGUGACUAGGCUACCGAGUAACUUUCAGAAAUUUUUAGUACAAAUGACCCGUGGUCAAUUUUCUUCGAGCCACAAUGAACUCACUCGACACAUUGGGGACUCUCGGUUGUUGUGAAAAUCUCGAUGAUUCAAAUACGGACACAUGGUACAAAAACAAUAAGAAAAUCAGUCUAGUGCCAGUCGACAAGAAUUUUCUAAUUUAGUGGUGUCAUCGACACGUCUCCGUUGAACCAACCUAUCUCUGAUCUCAAAUCGAUUUUUAAUUGUGCCGUAAUAGCCUCUAAAGAUGAACACAGUUGAGAAAUCGAUUCCUAGUUGCAUUCUCAAGUCUAUUGCCUUAAAAUUCCGUAAUGACUUCUCCAGAUAGUCUAGUUAUCUCGAGAGUGAUCAGUUCUGAGAACAGCCUUAUAAGCGCGUCAAUGAAAUGCCAAAUUUAUUCAAUAGAAAACAUGAUCGAAAAUCUGGGAUGUCACAGACCAUCUCCUUGUGCUUGCUGAAAUCUUCAUGAACUCCUUCCAAGUCCACGAUCAGAAUGCCGAAGAUCGGAGUGGUUGGGCGAUCAAGGCUGGCGGUCGAUGAAGAUAUAAGGGAGCUUGGAGACUCUAGAGCCAACAAGGUCUUUCACACCGGUCCUUGAGGUGUUGAAGGCUUUCAAUUCGCUCUCGCGAUUGUAUCUCGGCUCUGCUUGGUCGGGGGCUUUGUCCGAGUGGGUCGCUGCCAUGUUGAUCGGUGAAAGUAUGUGAGUAACAGUGAUGUUACAUGGAAGGAGCUGCAGUGCAGAGGAUAUUGGAGACAACCUCCACCAUUUUUUAAAAAAAUGUGGUCGGCCCAACGGUCACGGUCACUUACACAGUGACUUGGAAGUUUGGCCGACCACCUUCGCCACUUCAAUUUCUUCACUCCUGGCUACUUAGGAACCCACCUAUGACGAGACAUGACAAUUAGAUGAUUAUUUGUGAAUUGAAGUGGCGAUAGUGGCCCACACCCCUUCCUGAGGGGAUGUCGACAUCCCUUCCCUCGGCAAAACUUUAUAGCUAACUCUGACGAGGAAUGAACUUAGGACGAUGCGGCGCAGGCUUCACAGCUAACUCUGACGAGGAAUGAACUUUGGACGAUGUGGCACAGGCUUCACGGUGUCGAACAUCCAUUGAUAAGCAUGAAGUUGGUGGCAUGCACGGUUUGUAGGAAAAAGUUAUUCACGAAAUUCGGAGGUGGGACUGGCCAUCUGAGGAAGCACCAAGAUAAGCAUGAAGCUUUAAUGUCCGAGCUCAAUGAGGGCGGUCAAUACUUUGACAUGUCGGACAAAGAUUAUCUUCAGACAAUGUCACUGUGGCAAACCUGUCGCUGGGACCUUGUUCAAACGGUUUCGGCCAGUAUGCGACGUGUUUUUGGCCAUGCACGAUGCCAUGUAUCACGUCAAGUAAUCUCUUCGUGCAAGGUGGAGUGCAUGAAUUUUGCACACAUCGUAUACAGAGGUGGGCCAAGCAUUGGCAUCAGGGGUACGACACAUGGGCUUGUUGUGCAUGCAAAGUGGAAGGGAACACGAGAAACUGCUGCUGCCGGCAGAUGCGAAAAUCAGGUGGAAUUCUACUUAUUUGACGUGGAAGAAGGCAUGCGAUCACCCUUAGAUGCUGGCAUUGAUUUUAACCUGCUAUCACAUGACUACCAAGCUACAGCCAUUGAAACUGUUAGGGUUCAAUGCACAAUCACAAAGUAAUAGACUAAAAGCGAGGAAAAAAAAAAUAGAGUGGAAGUGAGGAAAAAAAAUUGGGACACAAGCUUCUAUCAUGCUUCACUCUUAAAUUAGAGCUACAUCUAAUAGAAAAUUCUACAAUAAUUAACACAUCACACAUCUCUAUUACAUCUAUCAAUUUUAAGAAAAAGAGAUUAUACAUUGCAGUAACUCUUCAUAAGCUCAAACUCAAACUAUCAAGAAAAUAUUAGCUGAAACUAUAAAAUCCCUCUGGCUUCACAAAAGCCCUACCCCUCACAACCCCACCCGAGAAGCUCAAGUUCAGCAUAAAAGCUUUCUUCGAUGUGUGAUAUACACGAGGUCGAUGGGCACUACCCUACAAACAUAUAAUUUAUCCUAUCUAGCUAUAUCUAGAUGCUUUGCCUAGGGGAAAUGCAAUGAGAAACUGCAUAGAUCAGAUGUGUACGACUGUCAUUCCAUAGCGAAGACCCUCGAAUUCUCAUGUCCAACAUAAUUCAUAGCUUGAAAUGUUCAAGUGCAAAUGUGCUAUCAAGUCCUUUCACAUAAUAAUGAGUGACCAAGUCCUUCAUCGCGAUUUCCCGAUAAAUUGGGGGAUUUUCUUCUGAUAGCAACUCCUUAAUCAGGCCAUACAACCUUGAAAUAUUCUCCGAGGGAGAUGCCUGAGGAAGUACGCCAUUGAACUCUGUGACUAACAUUUACGAACUUAUCUAUCGUUCGAGAUCAGCUGCAAGAUGGUGGAGGAAAUAGUGAAGUGAUUAUGAGAAGAUCAAAAGCCAAACACGCUCUAAAACAACAAUCUACUAAUUGAAAUUGGAUCGCCAAAGCAAGCCCCUUUUCCGCCUUGAUGUCCAUUAAAAGACUAAAUUGUCAAAUCAGCCAAGACGGAGAAGCGCUGAUGAGGCUAUAAAUGCAUCGGCUCAUGCAAGAACAUAGGAAUAAGAAACUCACCGAUAGAAAUGGAAAUUGCAAAUCUCCUGUCUACUGAUGUAAAUCGUUGCGGAAGGAUCGUUCUAUGAAGGCCCAGAUGGUGCGAAUUGCAAACCUUGACCUCCAAUCAAACAUGUGAUUGGCAACCUCGGUAUGAACGUAACCUGUUGACGAGGACGUGUCAACCAACCAACGUUAUAAACGCCACGAGUGAAAGAAUUCGCUAUCUCGCUCGAUAAGUCGAAUUGACCGUCACAAGAGAAUCUUGAUUAAGUCAAGUCCUCAAAAUAACAGUAAAAGAGAACCUCUCAAUUUUUUUCCUCAAAAAUAAAAUAUAUCUGUCCCCAAAGAAAUUUGGCAAAUCGUUUAUAUAGGCUGCCACACAAACCCUAAAAAUCAACUCUAAAAAUCUAAUACGUCAUAUUCUAGAAUAUUCUUAAAGAAGAAUAUAUAUAAAUUAACUUGGUCAAUUAUUUGGUGACCAGAUAAUUAAAUUGUACCAAGAUUUCCAAGAUUUUUCAAGAUUUGAUCCAAGGUCAUUUUCACGCCAAAGAUCACGAACCAUGAUGCCAACAGCUUGCCUGAAUUGUUUGGCCCGCACUCGAGUAAUCGAACCAAUAGAAAUAGACAAUGGGUCCCUAGCACCUCCUCCUCGAUAUGACUCGAUGUCCACAUCAUUCCCUCCCCCGUGCAAAGGAUUUGUCCUCAAAUCAUCACUGGCAUAGAAAAGAGUCAAGUAAAAAACAUUAAAUGUGGCACUAACAUCAUACUUACCUGGAAGAUCAAGCUUGUAAGCAUUAUUGUUAACUCUUUCCAAAACCAUGAAUGGUCCAUCCCCUCGCGAUAAUAACUUAGAAUGUCGCUGCUUAGGAAAUCUCUCUUUGCGCAUAUGAACCCAAACCCAAUCGCCCGGUUCAAACACCACUUCCUUGCGCCCUUUGUUGGCUUGCCUUGCAUAUUGCUCAGUCUUGCGCUCAAUAUUUGUGCGCGUCUUCUCAUGCAACGCCUUGACAAAUUCAGCUUUCUUUGCUCCAUCUAAAUCCACACGCUCAUCAACAGGUAAAUGGGUUAAAUCUAACGGAGUUAAUGGAUUAAAACCAUAGACAACCUCAAAUGGUGUAAAUUUAGUAGCAGAAUGCAUGCUCCUAUUAUAUGCAAAUUCAACAUGCGGGAGACAAUCUUCCCAAGAUUUUAUGUUCUUUUUAAUAAUAGCACGCAACAAUACCCCUAAAGUUCUAUUAACUACUUCGGUUUGACUAUUCGUCUGUGGAUGACAAGUAGUAGAAAAUAACAACCGUGUUCCUAGUUUUUUCCAUAAUGUUUUCCAAAAGUAGCUAAGAAAUUUAGAAUCUCGAUCUGAAACAAUUGAUCUAGGCAUGCCAUGCAAACGUACAACCUCCUUAAAGAACAAAUUAGCAACAUGAGAUGCAUCAUCAUUUUUAUGACAAGGUAUAAAAUGAGCCAUCUUUGAAAACCGAUCAACUACCACAUAAAUAGAAUCUCUAUCAUACUUAGACCUAGGCAAUCCUAACACAAAAUCCAUAGAAAUAUCAAUCCAAGGAUGUGUUGGAAUAGGUAAUGGUGUAUACAAGCCAUGAGGUUUAGUUGUAAACUUCGAUUGCUUACAAACAAUGCAUCUCUCACAAACACGUGUGACAUCUCUCUUCAUAUGUGACCAAUAAAAAUAUUCAUGCAGCACUUCAUAAGUCUUAUUAAUGCCAAAAUGCCCCAUUAAACCACCACUAUGUGCUUCUCGCACCAACAAUUCACGCAAAGAACACUUAGGCAAACAUAGUUUGUUUUCACGAAAAAGAUAACCUUCAUGCCUAUAAAAGUUAUCAAAUGCAGCGUGUUCACAUGCUUCAUACACUCUCCCAAAAUCAUCAUCAUUAGUAUAUAAGCCCUUGAUAUGCUCAAAACCUAGACACUUUGCUUCUAAAAUAAUUAGAAUUGCAUACCUUCGAGAAAGUGCAUCGGUACCACAUUCUCCUUACCUUUCUUGUACUUGAUCACAUAUGGAAAAGUCUCGAUAAACUCCAUCCAUUUGUGUUGACACCCAAAAUUUUCGUCGACAUUUUAAUCAUCCAUUUUGCAAAAAUAUAAAAAAAUAAAGAGCCAAAAAUAAAUAAAUAAAAAGAAAACAAAAGAGAGAGAGAAAAAGAAAAAAAAAAGAAAGAAAAAAAAUAAUAUAAAAGGGGAUCGGGGGGUUCUCACUCGGCGGCUCUCUCACGCUCUCUCUCUCUCUCUAAAAUGCUCGGACGCUGAUUCUCUCUUUGGCUCUCUCUUCAUCUCGAUCUUUCUCCGGUUGUUCUGCGGUAACAACCUCCUCUCUCUCUAUCUCUUCCCCAUCGCAGAGGCCGACGAAAAGCCCUUCGGCACCGGCCAUGACUCCGCUCUCUGCCUUGACGGUCGCCUCCAAGUCUCGCCGUGCUCCUGUUGAGAAGUAGUGCGCUGGAUCCGACAUCCUCACAAUCGGAUACUCUCUCUCCCGAUCAACUCUAGAAGACGGGAGCAACUAUUGAUCGAGGAACUUGUGGUGCAAGACUCGAAAUCGUGCCGAGUUGUCGGAGAUAUCAAUUUGGUUCUGAGGGUAGAGAUCCGAAGGCGGUGACAUCGGCGGUCGGAGAUCAGUGCUUUCUCUCGGUUGGAGCUCGAUCAGUUAGGGUUUUCCUUUAUUGGCGUGAUCGGAGGUGCGAGAGCUCGCCGGAUCGGACUCUCUCUCGAUCGAACGCUCCCCAGCUCUUUCCCAGAGAUCUGACGCUCGCUCAUUCGAUCAUCAACUCUCGAAGACGAAGUAGCUGCCAGUGGAAGAACUCAAAGCGACGAAACUCGAUUCGAACUCCUCUGUUCAUCCACUGAAGUUGCAGAUUCAACCGAGGUAAGAAAAACGAAAAUCCUUUUAAUAGCAUCCGAUGAGGCAAGGGGUUCUCGUGUCGAAACACACUCCCGACAACGAAAGUUGGGGGCCAGGAUGCAUUGCAAUCUGAAAUGAUUUUUGAACUUGGAUGGGCUUUGUUCUGCAAUUUCGUAUCUCUGACCUCUUUACACAUAUGCUUGAAAAUGAGUUUGUAUAUGUGCUUUUUGGUGCUUGAUUCCUUCAUGAGAGUUGAAGAUGGUUCGAUUAGCUUUCCAACGAGCUAUAGCACGUCCCGAUCCGAUAUCAUUACCUACCCGAAAUCCUUUUAGAAAGUUAAGACGGGAUUCUGGAAAACUGAUACAUAGCAGUUUACUGUUAUACAUUGACUCGGCCUUGUCUGUUUUCCGAUUCUCUACUGAAUUUGGUGCUUGAAAUUCCUGGAUUGGUGCGGCAUGAAAGUUGCUUGAACUAUCCUUGGCUACAACAUACAGAUUUUUUAGAAUUUUUGGAGUUGAUUUGAUUAGGAAAAUGUUCAUUAAAUCGUCCUUUUGUCCUGAUUGUGGCUUGGUUGUUGUUUGUCUUGGAUGAACUGUUAAACAUGCUCUUUUAGUCUCGAGAUCUCUCUGAAAGUCAUAGUAUAUUCCAUGGGCUUUUCAAUAAUAUAAAUAUUGCAUCAAUCGACCUUUGUUCUCCCUAUCAAUUGCAUACUUGAAACUAUGCUGCAAUCUGUCAAUGUUGCUGAAAUAUUGAUCGCUAGAACGACAGAUUCAGCUUACUUUUUUUUUUUUUUUUUUGUGUGAGUUUCUCUGUAUGGAUUUUGAAUAAGAUGUUUGAUCCUAACACUGAGACCUAAAAUUAGCUGCUUUAUUCCUCUUUUCGGGUCUAUCCUAUACAUACUGUUAAUAUGAACUGAGAGUAUUUCCAUGUGAUUGAGUUUCUACUGAUAUGCUGGAGCUGGUCCCUUCUGUGCAAAUGACUUGAUAUGAGCUGGUUUUUGUGGUUUUCUGUGUUCGAAGUCUUCAUGAAAGUUAAAGAUGGUUCGAUUAUCUUUCUAAUGAGCUAUAGAAUGCCCUAAUGGGACUUCAUUAAAUAUGAUUUUUGUCUGUCUAAAGUCUGGUCCAGAAUCUGCCAAAUGUUUGUCUCUCUGUUUUGGAUGACCUUCUGUGCAAAUCACUUGAUAUGAACUGGUAGAUGAUGUUAUUAGGACUUAAUGUCUUCUAGAUAAUUGUAAUAGGCAUCUCAAGCUUUAAAAUGACAUAUUGCAUGCCUGAAUCGACCAUCAUUUGCCAUGUUUUACAUUUUUUUUUCUAAUCCAUUCUGAAAUCUGGAAUUUGCCUUGGUCAGAAAUGCAUAUUCUGUUUUUGGGUGUGCCUGAUUGUCUGCCACUUUCCUACGAUCUUUUGAGCAUAGAUUUUGAGGUUGAUAAUACCAAAAAAGUAAAUCACGUGUGGGAUGGUCUUGCUCUAUUGUUCUCUCUUUUAGCAAAGUUCUGUUGUUUGAUAAUUGAUAUUAGAUAUCCACCAUCAAACCAAUUUCCAACACUAAUCACUUUGCCCAAUAGCUUAUUUGUGUUCUACCGAUCCAAACUCUGUGUGUUUUUGUUUGUAAAGAUGUCUAGAGUUAUGUUGUUCUUUAGUAUCGAUAUUUCUUUGCUUGCUGUUCAUAUGUCCCGGUGUGUGUGAAAUUGUUUAGUUGUGUCAUUGAUGUGCUGUUUUUGCUGUUUCUUUGUGUAUUGAUUUUGCUGGUUCUUUGUUUUAAGGGCCAAAUCAUGCGUCAUUGUCUUCUUGACAUUUGAAACACGUGUUACAAGUUUCGCAUCAAUGCAUGGCAUAUCAUAUUUGAAUCUCGUUUGAUGUGAAUAUCAUGCAUCCAUUUGGCUAAUUGCAAUUGAAACUUGUCAUGCAUGACAUUCUUAGUUCUAAGUCACUUUGCAAUGUUAAUGACUUGUGUGAUUUCUUUGCAUUCUGAUUUAGGGUUAAAUGUUUACCCAAACUUUUUUUUCGCAUUCAACAUUAUGUCAUGUGCAAGUUUCACAUUUUUGUGCAUUGUCUAGGUGGUCUUGCGAACCAUUAAACAUGCAUUGUAUUUUGUCUUGUUUGUGGCUGACAUGCGCAAUUUCACAAAUAUCAAUUUUUGACCAUCAAUUAGAUCUUGAUUGGACUUGAACCCUAUUAGGAAGUCUUAAGAUUCAUCUUACUCUUUCAGAUGAUGUUAGUUUUGCAUCGUUUACAUAUAUUUGAUUUAGAAAUGUGUUUCUUUCAUUUGUUUGCAUCUAGUCACCCAAAUUUCUUAGAUUAGGUUUAAAAUAGGAUCUUGAACAUGGAUAAAGCGUGAAGAUGGUGGAGGUCGAUGUCCAUUCCGACCAUUGUCUUGUACUAUUUGUUUUCCCGACAUAUGUCUCGGGUUCUAUGCAUUGUAUAAAACCCGAUGAGUUGCGGUUUUCCUUUCUUUCUCAAUUGUCUUCUCUUUUAUAUUUUAAGAAUUGCAUGAUUAGGUUUAACUGCUUUUCUUGAUUGUUUACUUCAUGUCUUGCAAUUUCUAUUUCAUUAUUUGUUUUCCUUUCAUUUCUUAGGAAUAGAAUAGAAUGAAAGUAAUCCACCACGCAUAAUCAUUUAGUAUAGAAUUGACGAUCCUGAAAAUAUAAAAAGAAAUGGAUGAACAUAUUAGGAAAAACACAAUAAAUUGUUUAGGUACUGAAAGGUCGCUAAUAGCAAUAUUAGCGUAACCCAAGUCCCCAAACCUAGAUAUCUGGUUACGUAGGAAUCGAGGGAACACUCCCGACCCUCGAUUAGGUUUCUAGCCGACCCUUAAAAUGAGGCUAGUGGCAACUCCUGUCUAUUUUUAGGUUGUUUAAUACCUAGAUCGUAUAAAUAAAUCCGUUGUCGCAAGGGGUACGAGUUUGGGAGAGCUCGCGAUCUCAUGAGGAAACUCUCGUGAUCAAAGUAUCCCUAAACACGACCUUUCCUACCUUGGACUUUUCGAGGGCGGCGAGAUCGGGUCGCGACAGGUUUGGCGACUCCGCUGGGGACUGGUUACUAGGUUAAGAGUACUUGAAGCCGUUUAAAAAUGGUUGUUGUGUUUUAACUAACAUGUCUUAUGUAGGAUCGCCUGCAUGUCAAAGUCACAUGGAAAAUCAGGUUAGUCGCUAACCUCGUGUUAAAUGGUUUUGUAGGUGGGAGUUAUAAGGGGAGGCGUGCUUGUAAACCCUUUGUUUUGCAGGUGGUGUAAGGAUGUAUGAAUGUAUGAGGGUUUAUAUUGAAGUGCUGGAUGUUUAAAUUUAAAUGCAUGUUUACAAGCUUUAGCACGACAUUGCACACACAACCGUGGUCUAAAACCCCGAUCGCCCAAUCUAGGACCUUAGGAGGGUUUAUGGGUGGAAUCUGCGAGUGGAUGCUCGUGGUAAUCCAUUACUUACAUAAACCUGCUCAUCCCAAUCGAUAAAAAUAGCAUUGACCGACGAUAUUAGCGGUGUGUAAACUAUUUUUAUCCUUUGGGAUGAGGACCUUGAGCCUUUAGCACCCUUACCUUAGGUGUUAAAACCUCAGUUUCAUGCGACAUGUGAUUUGUGCUUGUCAUGUGUCUGGUGGGUAAGAUAUCGUUCCUUCUUCAUCAUGCUUAUCUUUUACUUUCCAUAUUUCAAUUAUGCAAUUUUUAUAUUCCAACAGCGAUAUGUUUUAAUCAUGAGUGCCCCUUUAGAUUUAGGAUUAGAUGGGUAGACCCGAAGUGGAUGUGAUCCCUGUGCCUGGAAUCUCAAGACUCUAUGGGAGAAUCUCGACCCAAGACAUCAAGAUUACAUGGAAAGAUUCCCAAGCCUCAAGGAUUUCGGCGAGCUCAUAUUAUCAAACAAGAAGACAUUGCCUUAAUCGAUGAGAAACGCUUGGCCCAUGAUAACAAGUGUCUCCACGCGAUCCCACCUAGUCCUUAGGUUUUCAUUUCAUACACUUUUCUUGUAAAGGGAAUUCAUUUGUGUUUCCCUCUUUUCUAUCAAGGUUUCCCUGUAUUCAUUUUCAUAUACCUUGUAAAAUCGAACUACUUUGUAAGCUUCAAGAAAGCAAGAUUAUGUUUCCCUUGUAAUUGUUCGAUGAAAUGAAUAACAUUCUUGAACAUUUUCAUGUAAUUUUUAGAAAAUGGGCAUUUUGAUUAAAUAUUUGUCGUCAUUCCUUUUCAAUUGUAUAAUUUCUUUUGAAGAAAUUUUGAUAAGAGGAGGUUAUAUGAUACUGGAUCAUAUACACUUCUUAUCAUUAUUUCAUCUCAAGAAAAUAUAAAAUUGACUAGGAUUUGUACUUUAAUGGUUUCUUUUGAUUGGUACUAAUUCGAGUCAUUUUCUUUUACAGAAGAUUUUGAAAAAAACGGUUGAAGAAAGAUUUGUUAUACAAACUCGCCGCCAAACAAAGAUGGAAAAUGAAGAUACCCAAGCCCGUGUCAUUAAUAUGGAGAAUCAAAUGGCGCAGCUGAUGACGUUAUUAGCUGAUCUCUCCAGCCAAGUCAAAAACUUGAUGUCUGUAACUCUUGCUUCUUCCACCAUGAAUAUUCCUACCGCACCCCCUGAAGUGCCGGUAGUAGAACCUGUGGCAAAAGGGCCUGCGGAAGAGAUUCCCAUUGCAAUCCCGAUAGUUAUUGAUCCAGAGCCUCCAUCUAAAGAGAUUCCAACCUCACACUUUGAUGAAGAAAAUGCAAGACGUCUCGCAAAGAUUGAUGAACGCCUUUGCAUGCUGCAAGGCUAUCGGUUGCAGGGGUUUGAUAAAUUGUCACCCUUUGCCAAAGUUACGGUCCCUGAAUUCUAUAAGGAGCCGGAGUUCACAAGAAAAUACGAUGGCAUCGGAUGUCCUAAGACACAUUUGAAGUACUACAUGGGCAAGAUGGCCCGUUAUUCAGAUAAUCCCCCACUCUUGAUCAAUUCAUUUCAGGACAGCCUGGUUGGUCCUGCGUUAACCUGGUUUAUAGAGUUGGACAUGGAGAAAAUCCAUACUUGGGAAGAUCUUGUUGAUGAAUUCCUUCAGCAAUACAAAUUCAAUACUGAAAUUGCUCCGACUCGGGAGGAAUUAGUCCGUGUCGAGAAAAGGAGGACUGAAUCAUUUAGAGCCUACGCUCAAAGAUGGAGGGUCACUGAGUCUCAAGUAAAACCGCCAUUGUCUGAGAAAGAGACCAUGAAGUUGCUGCUUCAAGCUAUGCCCCGUGAUUUUUUUUGAAAAGAUGUACAACCAUACUUGUAUGAACUUUGCUACAUUUGUAGAGUUGGGAGAACGCAUUGAGGGGAUCAUGCGGGAAGGAAGGUUGACGGAGAACACAAACCGUCGAUAUACCCCGAAGAGAGAUAAGGAAUCGACUGUGGAGAUCACUUAUAUACAAAAUUCCUCUUCUCAGAAGCCAUAUAAUCCUCAAGCUCAUAAACCUGCCAUGGAAGUAGGGGGGAUCUUCCAGAAACUUUGAGCGUAAAGGAAAGGUCCCUCAAAGGCAAUUUACUCAAUUGCCUAGACCCAUGUCAUAACUACUUUCAAUGCUGAUCGAAAAUCAUCUUGUGGCGAAAGAAAUCCCGAGGAAUAAUCUGCCAAAGUUUGUCGGAUUCGACCUUAAUAAGACAUGUGAGUAUCAUAUGGGUGAAAAAGGUCAUCAUGUGGACAACUGUUUGAUGCUCCGUUAUAAGAUCUAGGAUUUGCUGGAUAAAAAGCUGCUCACCUUUAAGGACUCAACACCGAAUGUCCAACAAAAUCCCCUUCCAAAGCAUUCUGAAGAUGUCAACAUGGUUGGCGCUAUUGAUGGAAAUGAAGAACCUACAGUUCCCACUGUGUAAGGGAUGUUUCUAGUUCUUGCAUUCAAUUUUUAGUUGUAUUCCAUUUAGUUCUCCCCUGUGAGGGAAUUCCAUUCAUUUCUCCCCUGCGAGGGAAUUCCAUUCAUUUCAUUCAUUUGUGCUUGUAAUAAUCUGGAUCAUAAACUUUCUAGAUCCAAGAUGAUAUACGUUGUAAUGCAAUUUUCGCAUAUCAAUAAAAUUCAUGUUUUGUUAAUAGACGUGUGAGGCCCAAAUCAGUCCUAUGAUGAUGCUUUGAGGCCUGAGCCUCCACAUGAUCUAUAGUUUCAAAAUGUUUUAGUGGAACAAAGAUGUCCAAUGACAUGAGGGCUAGUUCCUGAUAUUUUUUUAAAAUAAAAUAAACCAAAAAACAAUUUGAAUUUGAAAACAAGUUUUUCAUGACAUUUACAUACAUUGCAUUCGUUUAUAUGUAUAUAUACUAACCAUUUUUCAGUUGCAUCUCAGACAUGACAUUUCACAUCAUGAUAGUCAUUUGCAUGGCUCGGAUUCGCAUUCAAAAGACUUUGACGAACCCGAUUAUUCCGACUCAGAGAAUGAAGAUGAUCCUCAAGGUAUUGAAAAAAGAAUGGCACAUACAUGAAGAGUCCAAACCUUCUAUCACCAAACAGCCAGUCACUCUAAAUUUAGGAGAUUUAGAUAACCCUAAAGAAACCAAGAUUGGGGCAGGUCUCUCUCAAGCAAAUGCCAAUGGAUUAAUUGGGCUCUUGAAAGAAAUAUAUGAAGGAGAGUGUGGCACUCAUAUGAACGGUCAUCUCUUGGCUAGAAAAAUUAUGAGGCUCGGUUACUAUUGGUUGACCAUGGAAGCCGAUUGUAUUCAACAUGUGAGGUACUGUCAUCAAUACCAAGUCUAUGGAGACAAAAUCAAUGCUCCUCCUAAUGAGCUACAUCAAAUGUCCGAGUCUUGGCCUUUUUCAAUGUGGGGCAUCGACAUCAUCGGACCGAUUAAUCCUAAAGCAUCGAAUGGACAUCGUUUUAUCUUAGUAGCAAUUGAUUACUUCACCAAAUGGAUUGAAGCCAAUUCUUAUGCCCAUGUUACUGCAAAGAGUGUGACAAAAUUCAUCCGUCGUGAUAUCAUCGCUCGAUAUGGAGUUCCUAAAGCGAUCAUCACAGAUAAUGGAUCAAAAUUGAACAAUAAAGUGGUGGAUGAUUUACUUGGAGAAUUCCACAUUCGCCAUUUGAAUUCUUCUCCUUACCGCUCACAAAUGAAUGGAGUUGUUGAAGCAGUGAAUAAGAACAUCAAGAAGAUUUUAGCCAAAACGGCGGAAAAUUAUUGUGAUUGGCAUGAUCGGUUGCCAUAUGCUUUGUUUGCUUAUCGAACUUCAAUUCACACUUCGACUGUGGCAACACCGUUCUCAUUGGUUUAUGGGAUGGAAGCUGUAUUACCCGUGGAAGUGGAAAUUCCUUCACUGAGGGUACUUUCUCAAAUCAAGCUCUCUGAAGCUGAAUGGGUUCAACAAAGAUUUGAACGACUUAAUAUGAUUGAUGAAAAGCGGGUAAAAGCCUUAUGCCAUGGACAAAGCUAUUAGAAGAGAGUAGCUAGGUCAUUCAACCGCAAGGAUAGACCAAGGCAUUUCGAGAUUAAUGAUCUUGUUUUGAGAAAAAUUUUACCUAUCAUUCUAGAUCCUCGUGGGAAGUUUACUCCAAAAUAUGAAGGUCCAUAUAUUGUAAGAAAAGUGCUACCGGGUGGGGCAUUAAUUCUUGUACAAAUGGAUGGCCAAGAAUUGCCAAGACUUGUAAAUGCUGAUGCUGUCAAGAAGUAUUAUCCAUGAAUAAAGUGAAAGGCCUUUUAGCCAUUUUUUGAUCGAAUCCGAGCCACUUUAGGAUGUUUGCAUCGUGCAUUGCAUGCAUACAUAUUGCAUCUACAUGUUUGUUCAUUUUGCGGGAUCUCUGACGAAGAUUCUACUUGUCCGCAAGAGGUUCAUUUCAAGAGUGCAAAACUUUCAAAAGUGUCCAUUCUUCUUUAGAACUUAGAAGUGACCUUAUCCUUGCCAAAAGAGUCAGUUAGAAUUCUAGAAGUACAGUUAGAACUCUAGAAAUGAACCCAUGUGCUAAGCAAAGCCUAUUCUGUUUACAAAUUUUGUCCAAUCUUACUUCUAAAAAAUCUCCCCGGUAGGGUCAAUGAAACAUGUCCUUUCAGAUAAAAUUUCAUUAUAUUUUCAUUUCCCCAGGGAGUUGAAUUUAACCAAAGUGUGCUUUGGAAAACCUGAAAAGGAUUGUUAAAUAUGCCAAGUGGUAGUGCUUAAAAUGAUGAGAGCCAACCCUUUUACCAAACACGUCCUCAUACACUCUUUGAGAGAAUUGAGUAGAAAGAACCAUGUCUUAGGGCAUAGGAUUCAUUCACGGUGAAUACAUGAUUUGAAAUGAUCAAGGCAUUUCAUUUCUCAAUCCCAAACACUAUUGAUAUCCCUUGCAAGCCACUUUGAACCAAAUAGGGAGCAUUUCAAAAUAACCCUAUCAAGAACAACUCCACAUUAGGGCAAAAUAGGGGGUCUUGGUUGAAAAUUACGGAGCAAAAGAUUAAGAAAGAUUUUAUUGCUUUCACUUGUAUCAAUCUUCUUAUGCUAGCUUCAGGUGAUUUCUUAUCGAAACUCGAAGCAUCCUAAAGUGAUGAAGAGCAUUCCGUUCACUACCACAAACACAAUUAUCCUUUGCUUAGCCAAUUUAAGCCUUAUGCAAUUCUUUCAUAACCCCAGGUGAUGAUUAUCUCCCCACACUGGGGCAAGGCACAUGAUUUACCAACAAAAUUGAGAAUAUUGGUAAUGUUUGUAAAUGCCACUCGAGAGUCCUAGAUACUCAAAAGAGAAUGAAAACUAGGGGGCAUGAAAAAGCAGUGUGCCUGGUAAGAGCAAGGCCAAUGCCCAUGAAAAAAAUGCAAAGAAAAGCAAGAAUGCAAAAAAGAGCGAAAUCCACGAUUAUGCAAAGGAUCAUUCAUUGAAAAACAAAAGAAAUAUCUUGCAAGAGAAAACAUGUAUUGCAAGCAAUAUCAUUAGAACAAAGAGCGAAGCUCUCAUAUCUCAAGACAAAUUACCCAAAGGACUCUCGAGAUAGGUUAAAUUUCAAGAGUUGAAUUUUUGAAAAGUCAUGUGAUGGUAAUGAUGCCAAGAUAAUCACUCACUUUUUAACCCUUUGAUAUCUGAAAGUUUUUCAAGCCUUUCUAAGCCUCACCUGAACCAACACUACAACCCUUAUCCAAAGUCUCUUCCGAUUGGGAUGGUUCGAGUUGAAAUGAGAAUAUCACAUAGGAGCUACCUCUAGAAGGAGUGGAAGUAAUCCUAUCUUAUCUUAUCUUCAAGGUUCUUGACUUGUAAACCCAAUGAAGAUAUUGAUUGAAUUUUCAUUUAUUGGCCUCAAAGUGCAUACCCUUUGUGUAAGCCCAUGACCAAGCCAUCAUUACGGUCCCUUCAAAAGACCUUUUGAUCAAUGGAUUGUAUUCACUAUGAACGUUUCCGAAAACCUUAGACCUAGGUUGAGUGAGAUUUCUCCAGUAAGAUUUAAACAGUUUUCCCAUAUCAAUGGUUGGGAACAAAAGCCCUUUUUGAGAGUCAGUGUGAAAGACCCCUUUUGAUUAGGAUAUUUCCACUUGGCAUAUUUGACUUAACCCUUAGAUGGUUAAUCAAAUCUCAUUUUGUUAAAAUCAUCUCUGAAAGGAUUUGACAAUUGGCAUUAUUUCGCAAGAUUGGCUCUCAAGUAAUCUUGAAACUCUUUUUCAAAAUAUUUGUUCCUUAGUGAACCGGUUUUUGGUCAUCCUAAACCAUAUCAUUGUCUCUUAAGUUCUAGGUUAUCUUAAAACCUUGUCCCCAAGUUCUAGGUUAUCUUAAAACCUUGUCCCCAAGUUCUAGGUCCUCUUAAAACCUUGUCCCCAAGUUCUAGGUUCUCUUAAAACCUUGCCUCUUAAGUUCUAGGUUCUCUUAAAACCUUGUCUCUUAAGUUCUAGAUUGUCUUAAAACCUUGUCUUUUAGGUUCGUGGGUCCAUCCUUAAACCACACUAGGUUCGUGGGUCCAUCCUUAAACCACUAGGUUCGUGGGUCCAUCUUUAAACCACACUAGGUCCGUGGGUCUAUCCUUAAACCACUAGGUUUGUGGGUCCAUCCUUAAACCACACAGUAAGACUAUCAUACCCGGUCAAAGCCCGUUCUUACACGGUAAAACCUUUCUCCUGGUCGAAGUCCGUUCUUACACGGUAAGACUUUUCUCCCAGUCUAAACCAUACGGUUUGAGGCCAUCCUUAAACCAUUCAUUUUCCAUUUAGUGAUUUUAUAUCGUUCAUUCCAUUCCACGAGAGAGAGAAACAAAGAUAGACUGAAUAAACCUCAACAACAAUUCAGAUACCCUCAUGAGCACAGGUAAGUAUCUGGUAUGUCUCUAAUAAACUAUCAUUGCUUUUGUCUUUUUCUAUUUUCAAAAUCGAGUCGACUAAAAAUUUCAGGUAUCAAUUUUCUUUGAGCGGAACCUCUUUGAGCUCCCACCCAAAGAGGGGCAGCUGUUGACAUCCGAAAUUUUCGUCGACAUUUUAAUCAUCCAUUUUGCAAAAAAAAAUAAAAAAUAAAGAGGCAAAAAUAAAUAAAUAAAAAGAAACAAAAAAAGAGAGAAAAAUAAAAAAAAUAAAAGAAAGAAAAAAAAAACAAUAGAAAAGGGGAUCGGGGGGUUCUCACUCGGUGGCUCUCUAACGCUCUCUCUCUCUCUCUAAAAUGCUCGGACGCUGAUUCUCUCUCCGGCUCUCUCUUCAUCUCGAUCUCUCUCUGGCUAUUCGGCGGUAACAACCUCCUCUCUCUCUCUCUCUCUCUCUCUAUCUCUUCCCCAUCGCGGAGGCCGACGAAAAACCCUUUGGCGCCGGCCAUGACUCCGCUCUCUGCCUCGACGGUCACCUCCAAGUCUCGCCGUGCUCGUCUUGAGAAGUAGUGCGCUGGAUCCGACAUCCUCACAAUUGGAUACUCUCUCUCCCGAUCAACUCUAGAAGACGGAGCAACUAUUGAUCGAGGAACUCGUGGUGCGAGACUCGGAAUCGUGCCGAGUUGUCGGAGAUAUCAAUUCGGUUCCGAGGGUAGAGAUUCAAAGGCGGUGACAUCGGCGGUCGAAGAUCAGUGCUUUCUCUCGAUUGGAGCUCGAUCAGUUAGGGUUUUCCUUUAUUGGCGCGAUCGGAGGUGCGGGAGCUCGCCGGAUCAGACUCUCUCUUGAUCGGACACUCCCUAGCUCUUUCCCGGAGAUUUGACGCUCACUCAUUCGAUCAUCAACUCUCGAAGACGAAGUAGCUGCCAGUGGAAGAACUCGAAGCGAUGAAACUCGAUUCGAACUCCUCUGUUCAUCCACUGAAGUUGCAGAUUCAACUAAGGUAAGCAAAACGAAAAUCCUUUUAAUAGCAUCCGAUGCGGCGAGGACUUCUCGUGUCGAAACACAUUCCCGACAACGAAAGUUCGGGGCCAGGAUGCAUUGCAAUCUGAAAUGAUUUUUGAACUUGGAUGGGCUUUGUUCUGCAAUUUCAUAUCUCUGACCUCUUUGCGCAUAUGCCUGAAAAUGAGUUUGUAUAUGUGAUUUUUGGUGCUUGAUGCCUUCAUGAGAGUUGAAGAUGGUUCGAUCAGCUUUCCAACGAGCUAUAGCACGUCCUGAUCCAAUAUCAUUAGCUACCCGAAAUCCUUUUCGAAAGUUAAGAAGGGAUUCUGGAAAACUGAUACAUAGCAGUUUACUGUUAUACAUUUUUUUUUUUUGGUCAGUCCUACUCUAUUCCUACUCUACACUCACUCUCAGACUUUUGCCCUGCCUCUUGCAGGGCGUGGGAGUCGAAACCCACUCUUGAAACUUUCGCGUCCCCACCUCAUCCCCCCUGAGAAGGUGGGGAUUUGAACCCCUCACCUCUUCCUUCCAUGUUGGAAGGGUGGCCACUGGGGCGAAUCCUAGUGGUUACUGUUAUACAUUGACUCGGCCUUGUCUGUUUUCCGAUUCUCUACUGAAUUUGGUGCUUGAAAUUUCUGGAUUGGUGCUUCAUGAAAGUUGCUUGAACUAUCCUUGGCUACAACAUACAGAGUUUUUAGAAUUUUUGGAGUUGAUUUGAUUAGGAAAAUGUUCAUUAAAUCGUCCUUUUGUCCUGACUGUGGCUUGAUUAUUGUUUGUCUUGGAUCAACUGUCAAACAUGCUCUUUUGGUCUCGAGAUCUCUCUGAAAGUCAUAGUAUAUUCCAUGGGCUUUUCAAUAAUAUAAAGAUUGCAUCAAUCGACCUUUGUUCUCCCUAUCAAUUGCAUACUUGAAACUAUGCUGCAAUCUGUCAAUGUUGCUGAAAUAUUGAUCGCUAGAACGACAAGUUCAGCUUACUUUUUUUUGUUUUGUUUUGUGUGUGAGUUUCUCUGUAUGGAUUUUGAUUAAGAUGUUUGAUCCUAACACUCAGACCUAAAAUUAGCUGCUUGGUUCCUCUUUUCGAGUCUAUCCUAUACAUACUGUUAAUGUGAACUGAGAGUAUUUCCAUGUGAUUGAGUUUCUACUGAUAUGCUGGAGCUGGUCCCUUAUGUGCAAAUGACUUGAUAUGAGCUGGUUGUUGUGGUUUUCUGUGUUCGAAGUCUUCAUGAAAGUUGAAGAUGGUUCGAUUAUCUUUCCAAUGAGCUAUAGAAUGCCCUAAUGGGACUUCAUUUAAUAUGAUUUUCGUCUGUCUAAAGUCUGGUCCAGAAUCUGCCAAAUGUUUGUCUCUCUGUUUUGGAUGACCUUCUGUGCAAAUCACUUGAUAUGAACUGGUAGAUGAUGUUAUUAGGACUUAAUGUCUUCUAGAUAAUUGUAAUAGGCAUCUCAAGCUUUAAAAUGACAUAUUUCAUGCCUGAAUCGACCAUCAUUUGCCAUGUUUAACAUUUUUUUUCUAAUCCAUUCUGAAAUCUGGAAUUUGCCUUGGUCAGAAAUGCAUAUUCUGUUUUUGGGUGGGCCUGAUUGUCUGCCACUUUCCUACGAUCUUUUGAGCAUAGAUUUUGAGGUUGAUAAUACCAAAAAAGUAAAUCACGUGUGGGAUGGUCUUGCUCUAUUGUUCUCUUUUUUAGCAAAGUUCUGUUGUUUGAUAAUUGAUAUUAGAUAUCCACCAUCAAACCAAUUUCCAACACUAAUCACUUUGCCCAGUAGCUUAUUUGUGUUCUACCGAUCCAAACUCUGUGUGUUUUUGUUUGUAAAGAUGUCCAGAGUUAUGUUGUUAUUUAGUAUCGAUAUUUCUUUGCUUGCUGUUCAUAUGUCCCGGUGUGUGUGAAAUUGUUUAGUUGUGUCAUUGAUGUGCUGUUUUUGAUGUUUCUUUGUGUAUUGAUUUUGCUGGUUCUUUGUUUUAAGGGCCAAAUCAUGCGUCAUUGUCUUCUUGACAUUUGAAACACGUGUUACAAGUUUCGCAUCAAUGCAUGGCAUAUCAUAUUUGAAUCUCGUUUGAUGUGAAUAUCAUGCAUCCAUUUGGCUAAUUGCAAUUGAAACUUGUCAUGCAUGACAUUCUUAGUUCUAAGUCACUUUGCAAUGUUAAUGACUUGUGUGAUUUCUUUGCAUUCUAAUUUAGGGUUAAAUGUUUACCCAAACUUUUUUUUCGCAUUCAACAUUAUGUCAUGUGCAAGUUUCACAUUUUUGUGCAUUGUCUAGGUGGUCUUGCGAACCAUUAAACAUGCAUUGUAUUUUGUCUUGUUUGUGGCUGACAUGCGCAAUUUCACAAAUAUCAAUUUUUGACCAUCAAUUAGAUCUUGAUUGGACUUGAACCCUAUUAGGAAGUCUUAAGAUUCAUCUUAAUCUUUCAGAUGAGGUUAGUUUUGCAUCGUUUACAUCUCAUUUGAUUUAGGAAUUUGUUUCUUUCAUUUGUAUGCAUCUAGUAAUCCAAAUUUCUUAGAUUAGGUUUAGAAUUGGACUUUGAACACGGAUAAAGCGUGAAGAUGGUGGAGGUCGAUGUUCAUUCCGACCAUUGUCUUGUACUAUUUGUUUUCCCGACUUAUGUCUCGGGUUCCAUGCAUUGUAUAAAACCCGACUAGUUGUGGUUUUCCUUUCUUUCUCAAUUGUCUUCUCUUUUAUAUUUUUAGAAUUGCAUGAUUAGGUUUAACUGCUUUUCUUGAUUGCUUACUUCAUGUCUUGCAAUUUCAUUUUCAUUAUUUGUUUUCCUUUCAUUUCUUAGGAAUAGAAUAGAAUGAAAGUAAUCCACCACGCAUAUUCAUUUAGUAUAGAAUUGACGAUCCUGAAAAUAUAAAAAGAAAUGCAUGAACAUAUUAGGAAAAACACAACAAACUAUUUAGGUACCGAAAGGGCGCUAAUAGCAAUAUUAGCAUAACCCAAGUCCUCGAACCUAGAUAUCUGGUUACGUAGGAAUCGAGGGAACACUCCCGACCCUCGAUUGGGUUUCUAGCCGACCCCCAAAAUGAGGCUAGUGGCGACUCCUGUCUAUUUUUAGGUUGUUAAAUACCUAGAUCGUAUAAAUAAAUCCGUUGUCGCGCGGGGUACGAGUUUGGGAGAGCUUGCGAUCUCGUGAGGAAACUCUCAUGAUCAAAGUAUCCCUAAACACGACCUUUCCUACCUUGGACUUUUCGAGGACAGCGAGAUCGGGUCGCGACAAUGUGGCAUGUCUUUUAUCCAACUUUUGCUGCCCUUUCAAGUACUUCAAGGUCUCAUGGUCGGUGUGGAUCACAAACUCCUUUGGCUAUAAAUAAUGUUGCUAAGUCUCCAAACCUCGCACUAAAGCAUACAUCUCCUUAUCAUAGGUGGGAUAAUUCAACGUUGUUCCACUCAAUUUUUCGCUGAAAUAAGCUAUGGGACCCCCUCCUUGCAUCAACACGGCUCCAAUUCCUAUACCAGAAGCAUCGCACUCUAUCUCAAAAGUAGCACUGAAAUUCGGCAAAGAUAACAAAAGAUCAUUAGUUAACUUAUCUUUUAGCAGAUUAAAUGCUUUCUCUUGCUCUUCUCCCCACGUGAAACCCACAUGCUUUUUGAUAACCUCAGUUAAAGGUGCGGCAAUGGUGCUAAAAUUUCUCACAAAUUGUUGAUAAAAACUCGCCAAUUCAUGAAAGUUACGCACCUCUCCUAUGGUCUUAGGCGUUGGCCAUUCACGGAUUGCUUUGACCUUUUCUUCAUCAACCUGUAUAUCAUUAGCACUAACAACAAAUCCUAGAAAUACUAAUUUGUUGGUAACAAAAGAGCACUUCUUUAGAUUAGCGUAUAAUUGCUCGGCCCUUAAAACCUGCAAGACAGCUCGCACAUGCUCAAUAUGGUCAUCAGGAUUUCGGCUAUAAAACAAGAUGUUAUCGAAAUAGACAACCACAAAUCGACCAAUAAAAGCACGCAAAACAUGAUUCAUAAGUCGCAUAAACGUGCUCGGUGCAUUAGUUAAUCCAAAUGGCAUUACUAACCACUCAUAUAAUCCAUACUUGGUCUUAAAUGCAGUUUUCCAUUCAUCACAUUCUUUCAUCCUAAUUUGAUGAUAGCCACUUUUCAAAUCGAUCUUAGUGAAAAUGCAAGAACCAUGCAACUCAUCCAACAUGUCAUCUAACCUAGGAAUAGGAUGUCGAUACUUUACCGUAAUAUUAUUGAUUGCUCGGCAAUCGACACACAUUCGCCAAGUUCCAUCCUUCUUUGGCACUAACAAAACAGGGACGACGCACGGGCUAAGACUCUCUCUCACAUACCCCCGUUCCAAUAGUUCGCUAACUUGCCGCUGAAGUUCCUUUGUCUCCUCGGGAUUGCUUCGAUAUGCGGGUCGAUUAGGUAAUGGCGCACCAGGAAUCAAGUCAAUUUGAUGUUCUAUGCCUCGAAUUAGUGGUAUCCCUCCAGGAAGUUCAUCAGGAAAGACAUCUUCAAAUUCAUGCAAUAAAGAUACAAUAGGACUAGGCAAACUUGGGUCAAGAUCAUUAGUAGAAAACAAAACCUCUUUGUACACAAGUACAAGCAUUGAUCGAUCUAGAACUAAGGCUCUCCUCACUUUCACUUGAUUUUGCAUAAAAAUUAUUUUGCCUCUUUUCUUUCCUCUCUUCUUUUCCCUCGGUUUUUACCACAAUUUUUCUCUCGGCCUCUCAUUUUCCUUGCGUCUCAGACACACCACGCAAGCCCUCGGAUUUCUCACCUUUUCUCUCUCUCUCUUGGCUUCUCGUUGUAACUUUAAUUGAUCUUGAUACACUCACUAGGUGUCAUCGGUACCAAGGUAUAAAUCUUUUGAUUCAUCAUCAAUGAAUAACAAUUAGUAUACCCAUCAUGAUGUACCUUCGAUCAUAUUGCCAUGGUCUCCAAGUAAGAUAUGACCCACUUGCAUAGGUACAACAUCACACUCUACCUCGUCCUUGUAUCUCCCUAUCUCAAAUGGAAUUCGAACUUGCUUCGAUACUUUCACCUCACCACUAUCAUUUAACCAUUGAAGUCUAUAAGGCCUAGGGUGUUUUGUCGUCUUCAAACCCAACUUAUUCACCAUAAUACAACUUGCCACAUUCGCACAACUACCUCAAUCAAUUAUCAUACUACAGAUCUUACCAUUCACCACGCAUCUUGUAUGAAACAAAUUAUCUCUUUGUUGGUGAUGCUCCUCCUCCUUUACUUGCACACUCAGAGAACGCCUAACCACCAAUAAGUCUCAUUUUAUAGCCACUUCUCCAUCACUACAAUCCUCCAAUGGUGGCAUCUCAUCAUCCUCUUCUUCCUUUUCACUUUCGAACUCAAUAACACCAUGUUUAGUCAUGAUCAUCACCCUCCUAUUAGGGCAUUGAUUCGCCAUAUGACCCCUGCCCAAACACUUAAAACAUUUAAUUUCACGAGUUCUAGUGUUAUGGUUUUCGGUUUUACCUGAAACCGGAUUCAUUCCAACUUUACCGUCCCUCUCCUUCUCGUUUGAGGUUUCGGUUUUGGUGUUGUUUUCUCUCCAAUUUGGCUUCUCAUCUCUCUUUCAAUUGGAUCUACAAUUCUGAUUUGAACCUCCUCCACUCUUGUGAUUUCGGUCCAACUUCAAUUGCCGCUCAACUUUGAUGGCUUUGUCUACCAAUUCCUCCAAUUCAACAUAGUGUUGCAGCUCUACCACCCUUGCUAUGUCUCGGCUCAAACCACUCAAAAAUCUUGAUAUUGUGGCCUCACGAUCCUCCAUCACAUUAGCACGGAUCAUGGCAAUCUCCAUCUCCUUGUGAUAUUCUUCCACGCUCUUAUUGCCUUAUGUGAGGUUUUGUAACUUUUGAAACAAAUCUCGAUGGUAAUGACUUGGCACAAAAUGCCUCCUCAUCACUGCUUUCAUCUCAUCCCACAUCUUUAUCGGUCUUUCACCAUUGCACCUCCUACUAGUCACAAGUUGAUCCCAUCAAAUUAUAGCAUAAUCAGUAAAUUCAACAGCUACAAUUUUUACCUUUUUGAGCUCAGAGUAUCGUUGGCAAUCAAAUAUCAUCUCCAUGCGCUUCUCCCACUCUAUAUACUCAUUGAAAUCAUUCUUCCCUUGGAAGGAAUGAAUCUUCAUCUUGAUGUUGCCAAGUUCAUCAUCUCCUCGGUGUCUAAACCUUUGGCCUCCAUUCCACCUUUCAAAUCGAGCAUCUCGAUCAUCCUCCAUGUCAGCCUCAUUAUCAUCAUAUUGCCGUUGCCUUCUAUGUUGUGUUCUAGAGGCAUCUCACUGAUGUUGCGGCCUUCCUCGGGGUAUCUCUCGGUCACCAUCAACCCUCAUGCCAUUCCCCAUCAUUCGGCCACUAAGCUCCUCCACUACGGCCCUCAAUUGCUGGAUGCUUUCCAUGAACGCUUCAUCCCUUCGUUUGGAGUCAACCUCCCGUUGAUUCACGCUUUCUUCGUGCGACAUAUUUUAGACCUACAAGUAAAUGUUAGUCUAAAAAAUUCUCACCAAUCUCUCCCUCACAUGUUUCUCUCGAGAUAUUUGUCACUCCCCGCGUGUUUAACUCAAGUUUAGGGUUUUUCCACCCUCAAUUAAGCUUACACACUCUUGCCUUCUUCCUCUCGUAUUCUCUUUUCACAAACUCUUUAUUGGUCUCAAAACCUGUCUCUCAACCCCCUCAUGACAAUCAAUCAAACUAAUCAAACAAUAUUAUAUCACUAUUGAUUUUGUUUCAGCAAGUAACAAUUUCAAACCAACAAGUACAACUUUCGAAAUUCCAAUUGAAACGCAUAUCACUACUGAUUUUGUUUCAAUUUGGUCUACUAACAAACGAGUCGCCUUCUUGAUUUGAUUUUUUCUUUCUGUUCGGCUAGUUUUUUUUUUUUUUGCCGAAUCUGUUUUUUUUUCUCUUGCACACUUUUUUUUUUGUGCGUUUUCUUUCUCUUCUUUUUUUUUCUUUUUUUUUUGACGAACUCAGAUACAAUUUAAGAUGUAGAAAAGAAAAUUUAAAACUAACAACAAACAACUACGUAUGAAAGCACAAAAGCAAUCGGAUCCAUAAAUUAGCUAGAACCGAAACCCUAACUCAAUAAAUCUCAAAUUGCUUAAUAUCAACAAAAAAUUAAAGAUAAAUAGACAUUGUAGAAGCAAGCUUUGAUACCAAACCGAUGUGAAUUGUUGCAGAAGGAUCGUUCUACGAAGGCCCAGAUGGUGCGAAUUGCAAACCUCGACCUCCAAUCAAACCUGUCAUUGGCAACCUCGGUAUGAAGGUGACCUGUUGACGAACACGUGUCAACCAACCAAUGUUAUAGACGCUACGAGCGAAAGAAUUCGCUAUCUCGUUCGAUAAGUCGAAUUGACCGCCACAAGAGAAUCUUGAUUAGGUCAAGUCGUCAAAAGAACAGUAAAAGAGAACCUCUCAAUUCUUUUCCUCAAAAAUAAAAUAUAUCUGUCUCCAAAGAAAUUUGGUAAAUUGUUUAUAUAGACUGCCACACAAACCCUAAAAACCAACCCUAAAAAUCUAAUACGUCAUAUUCUAGAAUAUUCCUAAAGAAGAAAAUAUAUAAAUUGACUUGGUCAAUUAUUUGGUGACCAGAUAAUUAAAUUGCACCAAGAUUUCCAAGAUUUUUCAAGAUUUGAUCCAAGGUCAUCUUCACGCCAAAGAUCAUGAACCAUGACGCCAACAGCUUGCCUGAAUUGUUUGGCCCGCACUUGAGUAAUUGAACCAGUAGGAAUAGACAUUGGGUCCCUAGCACCUCCUCCUCGAUAUGGCUCGAUGUCCACAUCAUCUACUGACCUGCAUCAUGUCUCCCAAGUUUAUAAUGAGGGCUCUAGGAAAUGGGGUUACAUUGACCCAUCGAUUCUGGCAGCAGACCUGGAGACCAUUGUUUACACCUAAAUUUUGUCUAAUCAUUUAGUAAUUAGUAGCAUAAAAAAAUAGUAAAAUUACAUUUCAUGUAGUUGCAUUUGCAUCAGUACUAAAAGGGCAACAAGACGCAGUGGCUCGUAGUCGAUUACAUGCACAACAGAAUGGUCUCUCCUUGCUGGUCUGAACAUGCAAAAGAGCGAAAGUCAAAAAAGGAGGAAUGAAGUUCUUGCAUGUCUGUUGUCUCUCCCUCAUUAAUGCAUACGCAUGCAUGCACAAGUUCGGCGGAUGUGCAAAUUCUAGAGGAACCCUCAGAGAAGCAAAAUGAGCCUAUGAUAUAUUAUAUAAUAUGCUCUCUCUCGAGUGUGGGUGUUAACUCUAGUGAAGCAACGAGAAAUUUGCUGAAGAAAGAAGCAAGUAACAAGCAAGAAAACUCAAAAGUUGCGGCAAUCCUAUAGAAGGGAGGGACAAGUAGCCCCAAGCAUAAAGAAGAAAUAACAAUCCAACGUCCAUUUUCUCCCCCCUCAUUAAUGCAUGCACAUGCACGCAUGAAAUGGGAGAUGUCAAAAUUCUAUAGACGCCUGCAAGAAGAUGGACUAACAUUUUUAUAAUAUUAUCCUUGCUGAAGAGCAUAUGGGUAGCCACCAUAUUUGAAAAAAAGAACCGAACGUGAACAGCAAGGAAAAGUUACGGCUGCCUCCUGUUCACCUGUUCACACUAAAGUCGGUUGUUGCCUAUAAAUAAGCAAGGAUCCUCGGCUUAAAAAGGGAGGCUCGAAAAAAAAAUUCCCUGGAGAGGUUUGUGAGAACUAUUAAAAAAAGAGAGCCCGUAGAGACACACGAGUGGGGAGAAAGGAAGAGAUUAAAAAAGGGAGAGACGCUCGUCAGAGAGAAACAAGAAAAAAUGAAGUUAGGUGGAGGAGAUUAAAAAAGAGAUGAAUAGAGAGUCUGUCAGAGAAAAACCAAAAAGAAGGUGAAGUCAGAGAGGGCAACAAAGAGAGAAAGAACGUGAGAAAAAAUAAAAAAGAUGGGUUGUCUUCUUCCCAUGGUGUCUUUUUCCUAAGGGGCUUCAAGCGUCCGUUCUCGUACAUAGCAACCCGCAGCCGACUCCAUCCUUCUGGUGAUCUGCGGAUGUAGACGCUGCAGCAACCCUCUACUACCUUCCUGCUCCCGGCGAGUUUCGAACGCUGCUACCGCUGUAGUCCCAUGCCUCCGCUUGCCCGCCUCCUACAGCUCGAAGCUUUGAGCGACACCUGCAACUCCCCCACCGCAGCUGCUGUCUCGCGGUUGUCGGAGCUCCGAACACCGUCGCUGUUGCAGCCCUCAGCCUGCUUAUCGCCGCACCACCGCAACACCUUCAUUCCGUCUCCUGCAGCAACCCACACCCGAUGUCAACGACUUGCAUCACCUUCGCCCGCCGGUCGUAGCGCAUCUCCGCCCAGAAGCCUACAAGCUGCAACACCCGUCGCUGCGCCCUACCCGUCGCCACACCUCCGCUCACCCGUCGCCACGUCUCCUCCAUCUUCGCCUGGCCCGAGCUGCGCACUGCUGCUUCUUCCCUGCAGGUGCACCAGCGACGACUAGCCAUGUUAAGCACCACCAACUAUGAUCUUUCCCUGCACACGACCCUGACCUACAGUGCCAGAAGCCCCGACGCCCUGCUCCGCCUCUGCCGUCGCCGAUCUGCUGCGACUGCCGGCCCCGAGUCCUCCGCCUGAGCGCUCCUGCUCCACCGGUCCUUGCUGCCCGGCGUCCCCUACUCGCAUGUGUUAGUCUUACACCAGCAAACCGCACGCGACUCCUGCUUUGGUCUUGUCGGAGCUCCUCGCCGGUGUCUUCCCCCUGCCAGAGCUCCGACCAGUGUUGCCCCUCUCAAUUGAUCGAGCAGCCAAGCCGUGCGUGGGAGCAAAACAAAAAGAAAAAAAAAAAAGGAAAAGCAAAUUAGGUAGUUUUUUUUUUAUCUAUUUUAGUUUGUUUUUUAUUUUAAUUUACUUUUUUAGUGGAAUCAUUCCUUAGUAUAAGAUUGAGAAUGUUCGACCUAAAAUAGCUUGUUUGUGAUAGUCUGAUUUUUGCGCCCGAAAUCCGACUCGCAAUUGCUUGAAAAAUCGUCAAUCCAAUCUCACACCCGAGAUUCGAUUUUCGAUUUAUUUAAAAUUGGCCAACCCGAUCUCAUGCGCGAGAUAUGGUUCGUCAAUUUGGAUAUCAAUCUUGCUCUGAUUUGUCGUCGUGCCGUUUAAGUUAAUUUCGCUUUCAUAAAAUAAAUAAAAAAUACAAAAUAAUGUAGGUUAGAAUUAGGUUUAUUGCUGUUUUAGGGUUUGCAUAUUUAGAAUAGGAAUUUUAUUUCGAAUUUAAUAAAAUCAAAAAAUCAAAAAUAAAAUCAAUCAAUUUAGGUUGCUAGUUUUUUAACUUAGGUUUCAUGUUUAAUUACUUGACAAUUUUUAAUUUCGAAAUUAAUACAAAAACAUAAAAUAAAAAUUAGAAUUUUGGCACUCUUCACAUGUCAUUGCAUUUUAGGGUAAAAUUUCAUAUAGUUUAAUUCUAGAUAAUAGUUUUUUUUUAAUUUAAGUUUAGAGAAAUUUUUUAGAUAGAUUGCAUUUUAGGGUAAAAUUUCAUAUAGUUUAAUUCUAGAUAAUAGUUUUUUUAAAUUUAAGUUUAGAGAAAUUUUUUAGAUAGAUUGCAUUUUAGUAAGGAAUUUCUAAAUUACGAUAAUAUUCUAGUUUAAAUUAGGAUUUGGCUUAACCUCAUUCCUAAUACAAAUUAGAUGAUAUUUUAAUUUAGAUAGAUAAAUUUCAUUUUUCUAAUUCCGAAUUUCAUGAAAAAUACAAAAAAUGUCUUAGAAUAAAUUAGUUUUAUUUUCUAGGAUAUAUUGCAUUAAAAAAAAUGUCAUGCACAUGUCAUAUAAAAUUAGGUUCAUGAAAUGCACGUCAUUUAGUGAUUGUUGCUAGGUUCAUUUAAUUGGAAACUACCCGUCAUUAGAAUUAGGUCAUUUUGUUAGUUUAGAUUGCACAUUUAAUUAUUGAACAAUUUUAAUUUCGAAUUUCAUGGAAAAUACCUAAAAAAAUUGUCUUUGAAUAAAUUAAUUUCAUUAUUUAGGAUAGAUUGCAUGCUUAUUAAGAAAACAUAAAAACAUCUCAUUUGCAUCAUGUAACUUAAGCCAUGUUAUUAUGUCAUAUCAUUUCAUGUUAAAUUAGAAGCAUUGCAUUGCAUAUGGACUAUAUCCUCAUUAAAUAAGUGAAGAAAAAAAAGAAAUCGCGUGUUAAUUAGAAAUCAUAUCUUGGAUUGUUGAUGUGAAUUCUGAUCUAACAACGCAGAUACUUUCGUUGCUAUGAGGUAAAUCUUGUAAUUUAUUUACUGCUUUAUCCGGGUGUUAAAUUGGUGGUUUGUACACCCGUAUGAUCACCUCAUAUGUUAGGGAAAUAGAUUUAAAAUCAAUUCAAGCUUUCUGCAAAAUAUUUUUUUUUUUUUAAAUAAAAGAGAAAUGUACCGAAAGGGCAUUAGAGAAGUCUAGUGUAACGAAGUACCCGAACUCAUUUAAUCUCUAGUUCGUAGGAGUGAAGUAAUUCUCCCAUUACUUUACUUGGUUUCUAAUCGACUCACCAAAAAUAGAUUAGUGGCGACUCCAUGAUAAAAAUCAUUUGCAUAUUAAGAACUUAAACCCUAAGUUGCGAAUUGGUAUGGGCUUGGGAGAGCUUGAGCUAAGUCUAGGCUUAGCAAUCCAUUAGCAGAACCCUUAGGUGGUCCAACCCGCUUCGAGGAGGUCGCGACAACCACCAACAUGGUCUUGAAGAAGAAUGGAGAUAAAGCUAUUGUCUGUAUGAUCACCAGACCACCAACAUGGUCUUAAAAUAACUUUUUUCUUUAACACUAUACAUAUUAGCUUUCUAGAAAUGAGAAAUUUCCAGAAAAUCUUAUUCUUUUUCAAGUUGCCAAGCAAAUUUAUGGAUUAAUUAUAAGAAAAUCAAAACAAAUUUGAGCAUCAACGGCUUUUUAACAUUAUAAAAUUUUAUUUGUAUUGUGCAUAUUACCACUGAGCUAUCUGACUUUUUAUAUACACAUGAUGAAUUGUUCAGAUGAAAUAAAGAAAACACUCUUACAAAGAUUUGUCAGAAUAAAAUUGCUACUACACUCCCUAAUGCAGAAUUUAAUAGAUGAAAAAUAAUUAAAUAAAAAAUUUGCAUGAAAUAAAAGGUCAAAAUGACUUUUACAUGUAAUUCGUUUUGGACGAGGAGUUUACGAGAAAAAUAUCAAGGUGUCUACAAAAGCAUUUUACAUCGUUGUUUUUAACUACUUUUUAGAUGCUCUUUUCACUCUCAUGAUCUAUGCAAAAACUAUGUAACUAAAUAAUAUGAAAAAUUAUAUAACAUAUAAAAGGCUUGAUUAUGUUUUAAAACUAAUCGAAAAACAAAUUCACCAUGAAAGUUACCAUUUGAGGUAGAAAUGAUGAAAAAUGGAUAAGUUGCGAUAAGAUUAAUGAUGAUGAGUAAGAAGCUAAUCUUCAUUCUCUAAGCAACCAAAUUUUUUUUUUUUAUUAAUGGUCGAAAGCAACUAUAAACUUUCUAAGCUAAAGGAAACUGUACAAAUAUAGAUAUUGUCAAGAACGAUUUUGUCUGUCUAAUGAAAAUAAAAAUGGAUUUAAUCAUCUAAGGAUGGAAAUUAGCCCUCUCUAAAUCUUAUUGUCAAGGCAGGGGUUAUUUAGGCUACAGCUUGUGCGCAUUCUUUCUUUUCUUCUGCUGACUUGCUAUUAUUCCAGAAAAAAUAAAAUAAAAGAGAAACCGUUUUGGAACCUUCGCAAACGGUCACAGACACGUGCACGCAAAAACACGUACACAUCGAUCCCCGACAGAGACACGCACAGACCUUACCGACAGACGGCAGCAAACUUCUUAGGAUCCGGACCACGAGGAGCCAAGGCGCAGGUCAGCGUGUCCAUCCAGUUCGCCGCCGGAGCUUGACACAGGUUGAAGUUGCUGUUGUACGCCACCUUCCUUGACCCGUAGUCUCGCGAGUACCACUCGCGCUUCGCCUCGAGGUCCUGCUCGUGGAACCUCCUCACCCCUUCGACCAUCUCCUCCAUUAGGGAUGCCGGCAUGCCGUGGUUCACCGCCUGGAAUCUCCCCCACCUCUGGCACGCCUCCCGGACCCGGUUGAUCAUCCUCUUUCGCUCACUAGGGCUUCAAAUUCGGCCAAGGCCUCGAAAGUCUAUGACAGGAACGCUCAGGCUCGAUUCUCGUGAUUCCGAGGCACGAUGUAGCCUGAGCUUCAGGUAGCAAACAACGAAGAUUCUGGGUACUUUGGUCAAUUUGGCAUCGGCGAGUCCCUUCACACUGGCCUUCGAGUUGUCGAAUGACUUUAGCUCGGCUUUCUGAUCGUAACCACCAUCGCAAGUGGACUCUACAAAUUGAGCAGUUAUAAGCACAUGGGAUAUGUGAAAGUGCUAGUACGAGCACCUAGAGAGAGGUGAAUAGGUGCGAAAACAAAAUUUGCAAAAUAUAGUGUAAAAUUUUACUUUUAACCUGAGUCUGGUUGACAAUAGACUUUGCAGAGGAAAUCAGACUCUAACAAUUAAAUAGAGUUACGAACAAAAUAAAAGAGUUUAGGGAAGAGAAAAAGAACACAAGGUUUAUAGUGGUUCAGCUUAAUCCAAGCCUACGGGGGUGUUUGGUUGGGCAUUUUCAAGGGGCUUUGGGCCCCCAAAGCCCCUCGGGAGAAAUCUUGAGUGUUUGGCAAAAUAUUUGAAAGUCCCUUUGCCCAAAUAUGAGCAUUCUGAAGGCCGAAUGCUGAAAGCUGGAGAGGGGCGGCAUUGGGCAUUCUAGAAAUGCAAAAAUCACUAUUCAUUUAUCUUCCACCUUCGUCUUCCUUCUUCACGGCGUCUUCUUCUUCCCCGCUCAUUGGGCUUCUCCGGCAGUUGCCACCGCCGCUUGAGGGUCGUGCUUCCCCGGUGACCACCGCCUGGGGGUGGCGUGACCCGCGACCCAGGCGGCAUCGCCUAGGUCGCGCGAACCUCAGGCAGCGUCGCCUGGUGUGCGCGAACCAGGCGAUGCUGCCUGAGGUCGCGAGGACCUAGGCGGCGUCGCCUGGUUCGCGUGAACCAGGCGACACCGCCUAGGUUCGUGUGACCUUAGGCCACUAGAUCUGGCCUCAGGCACCUGAGGUCGCGCCGCCUGGGUCCCCGCGACCUCAGGCCGCCAGAUCUGACGGUACGGAGGCCAGAUUUGGCCUCUACGCCUCCAGGCACCUUAGGUCGCGCCCCCAAGCGGCCGGACGGCUAGAUCUGUCCGCCGGAGUUGGCCGGCGGUUAGCCGGCCGCCAGAUUUGAUUUUCAAUUUUUUUUUAAGUAAAAUAAAAGCAAAAGCCCAUUUGUAUGUAAAAUUUGCCAAAUGGUAUUUAUGCUAAAAUUGCAUUUCAAUGCCAUUUGAGACUACAAAUUACCAAACGGUGUAACAUUUCGAAAAACGUCUUUAUGUCAAGGAUAUUUGCAUUCUCCUAAGGGCAUUUCCCCAAAGCCGAACCAAACGGGCCUUACGUCCACUCUCCUACACUGACAACCCACCGGCUGGAUUUCACUUUGAAUCAAAAGAGUCAUUAUAGUAUCACGUCCUUAAUUCCACAAUGUAGAGACUCUGCUACACUUCCUCAAGGCCUCACAAAUAUCUAAACUCUAUUUUGAGUACAAAUUUACGCUCAACAAUUGAAUCAGCAAAGAAUAAGGAGCUUCAAACUUUAGAAUUUAUCUAUCGCGCACACACUCGAAUAACUAGAGCGUCUUCCUUAUAUACUCCUCCAUGCCUUCAUAUCCGUUGGCACUUUCCAAAGGAGUUCUUCCAAUCUGCCCAUUGGACAUAAUCAAUUAGGGAGAUCUCGAGAUACUUAAGGAAUGUGAUGAUAGCCCAUCAAUCAUGCUCGCCCAUACAAUCAGGAAUUAGGUUUCCAUAAGUAUAACCUUCCAAGUAUACUUUGCCAAUCAACGGAUCCAAAUUACUCGAAUUAAUUUCAAAACGAAUAAUAGAUCUUGAGAUGUUAUCUCCAACCGUGAGAACUUCUUUAGCCGCUCGAAUUAAAACCUUAAAGAAAUACUCGCAUCUGGAUAAGUCUUCUUCGUCGGUCUAUAAACUGUCAAUGAGGGCAGACUUUAAAUCUUGAGUCUGGCGAUCUUCAGACUUUUACGAAAGAGUCUGCAAGUCUUCAGACUAGACUGAUGGAAACAUUUUGUCAGCUUCAAAACAAAUAAUGAAGUUUUCUCCAACAAUCUCCCCCUUUUUUAUGGUGACAAAACUUUCCUACAAAUUUGGAUACUUUUGACCUGCAAGAUAAUACUCAAGCAAACAAGGAUAUCUCAUAAAAAAUAAAUGGGUUAGGAUAAAGAUAGUAUCGAAUAUGCAUCCAUAGGAAAUGAGUUAAUCCUGUAAAAACAACUAUCUUUGCCAUGAAUACCAACAAUGCUUAAGAUACUGCAAGUAUUAAACGAUCAAAACACAAUCCAAACCAAACCAGUCACAACCAAACAAAAAUAAAGUCACAAAAAUAAAAUCAAAUCUAAAAGUCAAAUUUGCACCAACUUCUCCCCCUUUUUGUCGGCAUUAAAAAGAUAGAGACGAAAAAGAGAAUUUGAUAAAAUUAAGAUUGUUUAGGAAUGCGAACAAGUUGGAAAUCUCUCAUUGACUUGACAGUCUCCUCUAGCUUUCUCAGAUCCUUCUUCAGUUGCGCUCCUUCCUCACCCUUGGCAGUUGCUUGAACUUGAAGAUUAAGGGCCUGAACUUGAUUGAGCAAUGAAACUGAAGUGGCUUGAUUGGCAUUCUGCAUAUUCUGAAAUUCGCAUCCCAAAGCAUAAAUCUGACCUCUCAUCUCCAUAAGAACAUCAAGCAACCUUCUAAAGUCUACGGAGUUGUCAGUUUGAGUGCUUGCUUCAGCAUGAUCAAUUUGUGGAGUGUUGGCAGAUGAUGGUGUUGGAGAAAACUUCCUUGAGUGUUUUGAAGUUGACAAAACAUUUUCAUCAGUCUAGUCUGAAGAUUUGUAGACUCUACUAUCAAAGUCUAAAGACCUCCAGACUGCCAGACUCAAGACUCAAAGUCUAUCCACAUUGACAGUUUCUAGAUCGUCGAAGAAGGCUUAUCCAAAACAGAGUAUUUCAUUAAUGAUUUGAUUCUGUCGACUAAAGAAUAUCUCUUGGCUGGAUAUAGCAUGUCAAAAUCCAUUAUUCAAAUCAAGAUUGAUUCGAGGAUUUUGGAUUCGUUGAUUGGCGAAGUAUACUUGGAAGGUUCUACUUAUGGAAACCCAGAUCCUGAUUGUAUAGGCGAGCAUGAUUGAUGGGCUAUCGUCAUGUUCCUUUAAUAGCUCGAAAAUCUUCCUAAUUGAUUCUGUCCAACGGGUAGAUUGGAAGAAUUCCUUUGGUAAGUGCCAACGGGUGUGAUGGCAUGAAGGAGUAUAUAAGGAUUGUAUAGGCGAGUAGGAUUGAUGGACUAUCAUCAUGUUCCUUUAAUAGCUCGAAAAUCUUCCUAAUUGAUUCUGUCCAACGGGUAGAUUGGAAGAAUUCCUUUGGUAAGUGCCAAUGGGUGUGAUGGCAUGAAUGAGUAUAUAAGGAAGACGUUCCAGUUGUUCAAGUGUGUGCGCGAUAGAAUAAUUCCAAAGUCUGAAGCUCAUUGUUCUUAGUCAAUUAAAUUGUUGAGCGAAAUCUUGUACGCAAAAGAGAGUCUACAUAUUUGAGAGACCUUGAGAAAGUGUAGCUGAGUCUCUACAAUGUGGAAUCAAGGAAGAGCCUUAUUGUAACAAUUCUUUUGUUUAAUAGUGAAAUCCAGUCGGUGGGCUGUUAGUGGGGAAGAGUGGACGUAGACUUGGAUUAAGCCAAACCUUUAUAAACUAUGUGUUCUUAUUCUCUUCCCUGCGCUCUUUUACUUAGAUCGUAACAAGUUUUAUUUACAGGAGACAAAUUUCCUUUUCAUAAUCUAUUGUUGAUUAAGUGCUACACAAUUAUCUCUGAAAUUUGUUUCUACACCUAUUCACCCCCCUUUAGGUAGGGGUGAGCAGUUCCAGGUUCCGGUUCGGUUCCGCCUGGAACCUGGAACCUACCCUGGGGUAUAGGUUCCAAAAAAUUUGGAACCUGGAACCUACCCGUUAGAACCAAGAACCUGGAACCUACCCUGUCAUAGGUUCCAGGGUCGGUUCCAGGUUCCAACAGGUUCUUUUUUUUUUCCUUCAUUUUCAGAUCUGAAUUAUAACGUACGCGCAUAUUAUCGGAAUCUUCAGCACAGUCAAGAUGCUGGCUGUCACCAAUCUUUCUUCUCAAACCAUAUGUUUUUAUCAAAACAUGGAAAUCCUUUUUGUAAGUCUCUGAAAAAGUUCUGCUAUGCUUAACCUGUUAACAGCAGGUUCAUAUUAGGAGCAAAUCUACCAAAAAUCAUGCCGGUGCAUAUUUCUGUUUUCAAGCACUUAAAUAUCACUAUGAACACAAAAAAACCUAAUCCAAUCCUUAGAACAAAAGAAAACGACAAACUUAGAAAAACGUAGAUUGGAGCAGUAGAAUGAUGUAAGCACAAUCUUUGUCUCCUUUGACAUGCAAAGGCGUCGAAUAACAUCUUCUUGAACAUAGUUACUAGCAGUAGCAGUCAAAGCCAUUAGUGGGAUGUCAAAUUUCAAGAACUUCAUCUUGGAGGUGCUGAAGUUCUCUCUUAACACAGAUAGUUUCCUGAAACGUGAAAAAACUUCAAUCAGGAAAGAAUCCUUACCAUAAUCUUUAAUCAUCGUAAUUGUCCCCUCUAUCGACUAGGAUAAUUAACAUGCAAAGCUGAACCAAUGGUCAAAGUCAUGGUAAAUAACCGAGCAACAGGUAAGGAUAAAGGAUGUGAAACCCCAAUCGCUCUCUCUAGCAGUGAAAAUGUGUUUUGUCUCUGCAAGAUCAGCGGGAGUUUAGUGGUUGCGAAGGAUGUAGAUCAUAAAUAGAGUGUGCAUAUAAUAAUAUAGACAUUUACCAUGUUAUGCAGGAGCGACAUUCGCCAGCAGAUCAAACAACUGGAGUAAAGUUGAAACAUGUUUGAAUAAAAGAUUCAAAACACAGCACCAAAAUGUUCUAAUUUACUUCAGCAAAACAGAUUCAAAACACAGCACCAGAAUGUUCUAAUUUACUUCAGCAAAACAUCAAUUUGGUCCUUCAGAUUUCUUCAGCUUCAAAUCUACACUCGCCAGCCACUUUCAACAUGGUGAAUAUUCACUCCAAAACUAAUCUGGGUGUCUAAAGAGGGGUAGAGUGACAAAAUCACAUGUUUCCUGUUACUUGAAUUUUAUACAUCUUACAUGAACCAACAAAAGAACUCAGAUCAUCACUUAUCAUCCUUUCAGAAAUAUAUUAACGGCAAGAUUAAAUAAAAGAACCAUCUAGCCGGGGGAAAAGGAGGCCCUGGAGUAGACAAUUCAUACCCUUUCUCUUUGAAGAACUAGGAUUUAUCUAAUUAACCAAAGUCAAUUUGAACAGUGCAAAUCUAGACCAUCUGUCUGGAAGUCCUGUAGGAUCGGCAACACUCAAAUAUAGUGCCAAAGAGUUAGUUCUAUUGCCUUUUGGGUAGAUCAACAAGCACCUGCUCAGAAUCAAGCCAAUCGCCUAAGUAGAUACAUCAUUUUACAACCGCUGAAAAUGAAACAAUGUUUACCAGUCGUGGCCGCCAACUGUGAAUACUUGAGAGUAGUACCUGACUGAACUUAAGCUAUUGAAGUUGGUGAUUUUCCAUAAGUAUUUCCAUGAGGUUACAAGUUGUUCACCCACCAUUUCCUGCUUCCCCAUUGGCAAGAGUUUUAGCAAAACAGAGUUUCAUGAAUGAUCCUCUAACAUUAAAAUCACGCCAUAAAUAUACUUCCCCAGCUAUGAAAACAAUAAAAGAAAAAGAUAUGAUGUUCGACUUCAUGUGAAAUUAGUUAUGACUGCAAGUCGGAGACAAACUUGGGACUUCUGACAGAGAAAGAACACGCACCUCUCCGUUUGAACAAGGGACGAGCUCAGAUUCCUCAGUUAUUGCUACAAUAGUCCGAGGAAGAGAAGGUAAUUCGCAAAAGAUAUUUCUGAUAUUCAUCGUGCUUUUCAGCAGACCACUUUGCUCAGAUCAGAAAAUUGCACUUAAUUGCAUUAUUAAACACUUGGGUGGACGCGGCUUAGUUGACCAGAGACAUCAAGUAAACCAUGCAUUAAACUUAUCAAUGGUGACAUCACAACAACCACCUUCCCAGUCAAUAGGGCUAGAACCUGGAAACACGGUGAUUUACCUGCAAAAAAAAUUUACGUUUGAGAAAGCCUGCAAGUCCUCUAAGUCAUAAACAGGUGAACACGUAAGUAAUCUGGACUCACAGAAAUAACAGGUGUACAUGGGAUAGAAGAAUCGUUCCUUAUCAACAACAACAAGAGAAUCUGUGGAACAGUAACGAACCCAAAAGAAAGGAAGAGACAGUCAUUCGAUUCUUAAAAUUAUAUCAUGGUGAGGAUCUCAGCUUUUGCAUCAAAAACCAUCGAAAUCCGCAACCAAGCAAAUCCUAAUUCCAACAAACAUGAAACGAACAAGAAAAGAAAUAAUAAAUGACAGGCUUAUGCUUUUUGGCAUGUUGGGCUUCUGGUGCGAGCAAAGGCGGUGGGUCGCGAGCGGAGACUAGCUCGGCUCAGAUCUGCCGGCGUCGGGUAGUCGCGGCAGGCAAGAGUUAGAGCGGCAUCAGUGACAGGCAGAGGUAGAGCACGGCAGCGACUGGCGUUGAGCGGCGAGGGUUCGCGCGAGCGGCGACAGCAACUGGCAUCCAGCGGCGUCCGGUGGUGGCGGCCUUGAAGGCGAGCCGCGUCCGGCGGUGAGAGUCAGAGCGGUGUCGGCGACGGGCAGAGGCAGAGCACAGCAGCGACGGGCGUCGAGCGACGAGGGUUCGCGCGAGCGACGUCGACGACUAGCAUCCAACGGCGUCCGGCCGCAGCGGCCUUGAGGGCAAGCGGCGUCCGGCAGCAAGACUUAGAGCGGCGUCCGACGGCGUGAGUUCCAGAUCUGAAAUCAUAGUAGGGAUUAGAAAAUAGAAAGGGAGUCUCAGUGCUGAGCGAGGGAGGGGGAGCGAGCGGGGGAGGGGGGUAUCCUCUUGGAGCCCUAACCGGUUCCGAACCGAUUCCGGUUCCGGUUCCGCGCCGGUUCCGGUUCUGGUUCCGGUUCUAAUAGGAACUGGAACCGGAACCGGGAACCGGAAUCGGUCCUUUAAGAACCGGGAACCGCGCUCACCCCUACCUUUAGGUGCUCGUACUAGCUUUCACAAUUGGUAUCAGAUCCUGUGUACUCACUUAAGUUGAAGUGUUUUACUUCAGAGUUAAAGAUUCAUGGCUAGUAUGUUGGCUCCUGGACUGGUUGAAUGGCAAAGCAAUACCAGACCGCCUUAUUUUGAUGGAAAGGAAUACAGCAUUUGGAAAAACAAGAUGAAGGCAUUCCUAAGAUCAAAGGAUCAUCUAGAAUGGGAUGUGGUAGACAAAUGAAUCAUUCUGAAAGCUGCACCUGUCUCAAAAAGAGGAAAAGAAGCCAUUGAGUCUCGUGAAAUGACUCAAGAAGAGAUAACUAAGAGACAAGCUCUUGAUGCAAAAACAAUUUAUUCUUUAUAUUGUGCAUUAUCACCUACUGAAUAUAAUAGAAUAUCUUCUUGUGAUACAGCUAAAGAAGUCUGGGAUAGAUUACACAUCACCUAUGAAGGAACUGAUCGAGUGAAAGAAACCAGAAUCAACAUUCUGCUCGGUCAAUACGAAGCAUUCAAAAUGAAAUCAGGAGAAUCUAUCACUGACAUGUGUAGUCGUUUUACAGAAAUCAUGAAUGGUCUUGAAAAUCAAGAUCAACCAAUUUCUAAUCCCAUGAAAGUAAACAAGCUACUGCAUGGACUCUCUAAGGAUUGGAAUCACAUAAAGACCUCAAUAAGGGAAACACAAAGAAUUAUGCCACUUUCUGUUGAUGAAUUGGUUGGGACUCUUUAGUCUUAUGAAGUAGAGCGAAUCAACGAAGAUGAAAAUCCUAAAGGUAAUGAAUCUAUUGCAUUAAAAUCUAAUGAUGAUUAUGAUGUCACAUAUUCUGAAGACGAUAUGGAUGAUGAAGAGCUUGCUCUCAUGAUAAGAAGAUUCAGAAAGCUAAACAGAAAGAGGAGAAGAUUCAAUCCAAAGAAACAAAGUUUCAAAAUCAACAAUCUAAGUCAGUUGAGGAUGAUGGAUCCAAUAAAGAUGUAGUCUGCUUUGAACGUAAGAAAAAGUGACACAUCAGACCCAACUGUUCUCUUCUGAGGAAAAAGAGAGGAAAAGCUGAGAAAUAUCGAAAGACACUUAAAGUAGAAACUUGGAGUGAUACAGAAUGUGAAGAAAGCGAUGAUGAUUAUGCCACUAUUUGUCUCAUGGCACAAUCAGACUUAGAUUCAAACUCCGAGACAGACUUAGAUUCAGACAGUGAAUUCAAGGUAAGUAAUUUGAAUAUCCCUAUUAGAGUCUCUAUAUAUAUUGAUGAAUUGUGUCUUAGUCUCAAAACUUCUCUCAAAAUGAUUUCUGAACUUAAAAGAGAAAAUUCUGCACUAAAACAACAUGAAAAUGUUUUGAACGAAAAUGUCAAAAGCUUAGACAAAAAUGUUACUACUUUGAAAGAAAACGCAGACAAUCUUUCGAAAGAAAAUGCAUUAUUGAAAAAUAAUAUCUCAAGCAUUUCCAAAAGAUUUUCUAUAGGAUCUGAGAAACUGGAAAAAAUUCUUUCAGCUCAAAGACCUUACUUUAACAAAUCAGGUUUAGGAAUAACUGCCGAAACCAUUCCUCUAAUUUAUUUUCCUAAAGUAAAGGAAAUAAUUAAGCAAAGACCUACUAGAGAUGAUUACAAAAGUCAUUUCCAAAAAGUUUUUGUAAAACCAGUAGGUCGUAAUGCUCUUAAAUGCUCUAAGUGCAAUAGUUCAGAUCAUUGUGAGAAAAUAUGUCCUUUGGUUUGGAAACCUGUUGUUGACACCUAAUUUUGGAAAAAUAAAAUUGCAUUUUGAACAAAUAAAAGGAAGAAAAAAUAAAAAUGGGGAAGAUUGAUUUGAUUGAUUAUGCAUGGAAGUUUGAAAUUCUGAUGAGUAUUCAGAUUUUGAUAAAUGUAGAAACAAUUGAAAAAUCUGGCGAACAAAGGGCAAGGAUUUUAAUAAAAUGAAAGCCAAACCCAAAAUCGGUGAGGAUAAUGAUCAGAUUGAUAAAUCAAAAGGAAAGUAUCAAAAAUUAUACUCAUCAGAUGAACCGUUUGCAAAAAUGAAAACGAACCUGGAUGCGUUUUUUGGUAAAUGAGUGAAAAACCGAAAUGUAAAUUUGCGAUGGCAAAUCGGGGCUAAAAUUCUGUAAUUCCCGCAAUCAAGGAAGCGCAACUUUCUAAAGAUCAAUAGAAGUUUUCACUAUAAAAGGGCUACAGUUCGUGAGAAAUAGGGGGAUUUGGAAAAAUCAGGAGGGAAUUCGAAAAAAAAUUCGAGAGAAAAAUUCGUGCGAGGAAAAAUCCUUCGUCUGUCUUGGUCAAAGGAGAAGCCAUUUCUCUUUUCUUUCUCUGACAAGAAAAGGGAAAAGUCAGGAAGAGGUACAGAGAGGACGUGAGGGAGACGUGAGAAGAGAGAGAAAGAAAUAAAAAAAGAGAGAGAAGAACACUGUUUCUUCUUCGUGCGGGUGUUCUUCCCACCGCCGGCCUCCGUUCGUGACUACCUGCGCAGCUCGCCAUCACCCGCGAGCACCAGCAGCAGCCUGCUCGUCGUUGCUGAUCGCCCAGCACCGCUCGCCCGACGACCGCGCUGCUGUCCCCUGCCGCCGCUGCACCAACGCUCGACGUCUGCAAUUCACCCGACGCCGCAGCAGCCCGCUGCUCCCGCGCCUCCACAGCCGCGAGCACCCUCGCCCGCGCUCCCGACCUCGUCGUGCCACCGCGCCGCUCUCCUCAGCCCAGCAUUCGGUGCCUUCGCCGCCCAUCUCCGCUCACCGGACGUUGCGACCGCGAUCCGGACGACCGCGCUCCCGCCCUCGCCGACGCCGCGCCAUUUCAACACCUCUGCUCCACCCGCGACGCCGCCCGUCGAUCUCCGAGCUCCGCCGCGCCUCCGCACCGCCACCUCGCUGGUCCCCUCGUCGCCGCCCAGCUUCGCCGGAGCUCCGACCGCAACGCCCUUGCCAGACCUUCGAUUAGCCACCCUUGGCCGAGCCCCACGGCUGCCAAGCCCAAUUUUUGAGAAAAAAAGAAAAAAGAAAGAAAAAGAAAACACAUUAGGUAGUUUUCUUUAGUUUAGUUUAUUUAUUUUAUCUUGUUUUUUUAGUAUAAUUAGUCUUUAGUAUAUGAUUGGAAAUUCCAACAUAUCACCUGAUUCGCAACCACGCCGGGAUUUUUUAUUUCAUCUAUAAGGCCUUAGAUGAAAUAAUUAAUUAAGCGGGAAUAAAAUUGAUAUUUUGAUCUUUAAGGUUUAAGAUCAAUUUUUCGAUUUUAUCAGCGAAAUAUUAUCCCUUGAUCUGAAUGAUGUGUGAUAUCCUUGGUUUAGCUUGUCAUGAUCGCUUUGUUUAUCUUCAAAUGUCUUCGGGUUAUAAUGUUGCAUAUUUUAGGGUUUACACAUUUAGAAUAAGAAUCUUAUUUCGAAUUUUAAAAUCAAAAACCAAAAAAAUCAAAUCAAUCAAUUUAGGUUGCUAGAUUUUUAAUUUGGAUUGCAUGUUUAAUUAUUUGGCAAUUAUUAAUUUCGAAAAUUAAUUAAAAAAAACAAUAAAAAAAUCAUCAUGCAUAUGUCAUGUAGAAUUAGUGCAUAUUUUGUACGUCAUUGCAUAUUAGGGUUAAAUUGCACUUAGUUUAAUUCUAGAUAAUAUCUUUCUUAAUUUAUUAUGAGUUUAGAUAUUUUGCAUUUUAGGAUUAUCUAGGUUAAGAUAAUAUUUUAGUUUAAAUUAGGAUUUGGCUUAAUCUAAUUCCUAAUUCAAAUUAAAUAGAAUCUUAAUCUAGUUAAAUAAAUUUUCACAUUUUUCCUAAUUCCGAAUUUUCAUGAAAAAAAAUACAAAAAAUGUCUUAGAAUAAAUUAGUUCUAUUCCCUAGGAUAGAUUGCAUUUUUAGGAAAAACAAAAAAUAUCAUUGCGUAUCAUUAAAAGCAGAUUCAUGAAAUGCAUGUCAUUUAGAUAUUGUUAUUAGGUCCAUUUAAUUAGAAAUUGCGUGACAUUAGAAUUAGGUCAUUUAGUUAAUACUGCAUUGCAUAUUGCAUGAUUUUAUUUAAGUGAAAAUAAAAAGAAAUCGCAUGUUAAUUAGAAACCAUAUCCAGGGUUGUUGAUGUGGUUUUUUUUUAACUUAACAUUGCAGAUGCUUUCGUUGCUUUGAGGUAAGUUUUUGCAAUUUAUUUAUUGUUUAUCUAUGUGUUAAAUUGGUGGAUUGCGCACCCGCAUGAUCACCUCACAUGUUAGGAAAAUAGAUUUAAAAUCAAUUUUAGCUGCCUUCAAAAAACAUUUUUUUGAAAAUAAAAGAAUGGUACCGAAAGGGCAUUAGAGAAAUCUAAUGUAACCAAGUCCCCGUACCCAUAGUCUCUGGUUCGUAGGAGUAAAGUGAAACUCCCGUUAUUUUACUUGGUUUCUAAUCGACCCACCAAAAAAUAGAUUAGUGGCGACUCCUGAUUAAAAAAUCAAUUGCAUGUUAAAAAACUUAAACCUUAAGUCGUGAAUUGGUAUGGGCUUGGGAGAGCCCGAGUUAAGUGUAAAAACUUAGCAAUCCAUUAACCUAGUUUUAAGUGGUACACCCAAAAAAAUUAGGUCACGACACCUGUUAAGAAGGUAUGGGCAAAGACCGCAUAUUGCACUAACACCAAUGGACCUAAGAAAAUAUGGGUACCAAAGAAAGCUUGAGUCUCUUUUCUAAAUGCAUGUCACUAUCAAGAAAAAUGUUAAAUGGUACCUGGAUAGUGGAUGCUCAAGGCAUAUAACAAGAGAUUCAAAUUGCUUCAUAAAACUUGUUCAAGUUAAUGGUGGAAAAGUUUUUUUUUGGAGGAAACAGCAAAGGAAGAAUUGUGGGAUUCGGAAUUGUAAAGAUUGGAAGCCUCGUGAUCAAUAAUGUUUCCUUAGUUGAAUGACUCAAUUACAAUUUGCUAAGUAUCAGUCAGCUGUACGACACCGGUUUCAAAAUCAACUUCCAAGAAGGAAUAUGUUUAGGAACCAGUAAAGACUCUUCUCAGUCUUUCACGGGUCGAAGACAUGGGAAUAUCUACCUCUUGGAUAUCAAACCAGAUGAAACCAAAUGUCUAAUCUCAAUCCAAGAAGAAGCAAACUUAUGGCACAUAAAACUUGGGCACAUCAACAUGAAACAAAUAGCCAAAAUCUCAGCAAAGAAGCUUGUUCGUGGACUACCCAAUCUGUCAUACCAAAAUUCUGAUCUAUAUACACCAUGUGUAUUGGGAAAACAUGUAAGAAACUCAUUCAAACCAAUAAAUCAAGUUUCCACUAAUCGUGUACUGCAGCUCUUGCAUAUAGAUCUCUUUGGACCAACCAGAACUCAGAGCAUUGAAGGUAAGAAAUAUUGCUUAGUGAUUGUGGAUGAUUUUUCACGAUUCACUUGGGUAUACUUUCUGGCAAGUAAGUCUGAAACAUUUUAUUAUUUUACAAAGUUUGCUAAAAAAGUCCAAAAUGAGAAAGGGUAUAUUAUUUCGAGUAUACGGACAGACCACAGAGUUGAAUUUGAAAAUCAAAACUUUACAAAAUUCUGUGAUGAAUCUGGUUUUCAGCAUAUGUUCUCUUCACCAUAUACUCCAGAGCAAAAUGGAGUAGUAGAAAGAAAGAAUAGGUCGCUUCAAGAAAUUGCUAGAACUCUUUUAAUUGAAAGUAACAUUUCUUCUCGUUUUUGGGCUGAAGCAGUUUCUACAGCAUGUUAUAUUAUUAAUAGAGUCUUUCUAAGGCCUAUUCUGGAGAAAACUCCCUAUGAAUUAUUCAAAAGGAAGAAGUCUAUUGUUUCAUAUUUUCAUGUGUUUGGAUGUAAAUGUUUUAUAUUGAAAAAUGCAAAUGACCGUGUUGGUAAGUUUGAAGAAAAGUCAGAUGAAGGUAUUUUCCUUGGAUACUCUAUCACAAGCAAAGCUUACAGAGUUUACAACAAGAAGACUCAAUCUGUAGAGGAAUCGAUGAAUGUCAAAUUCCAAGACUUUAUGCAGAAUCAAUCGAUUCAUUCUCAUCUCGAAGAAUCUGAAUCUGCUCUAGACUCUACAAAGUUUAAAUCUCCAGAAGCAGUUCAACCUUCAGUAGAUGAGCGACAAAUGAUCAACAAAGAUUCAAAUGAAGAAAAAGAUCAACAAUCUGACAAAUCAACUAGCAACUGGAAGCAUGAGUCUAGUCAUCCCAAAGAUCUCAUUAUUUGCAAUAUUAAUGAAGGAAUUCGCACGAGAUCCAAAAAGCGCGAAGAGUCUAGUGCUGUGGCUCUUAUUUCUGAAAUAGAACCCAAGAGCAUAGAAGAAGCUUUAACUGAUGAAAGUUGGAUUGAAGCUAUGCAAGAAGAACUCAGGCAAUUCAGCAUCAAUGAUGUCUGGGAAUUGACUCCUAAACCGAAAGGCAAAUCCAUCAUUGGAGCUAAAUGGGUUUUCAGGAACAAGAUGAACGAGAAAGGAAAAGUUGUAAGGAACAAAGCUAGACUCGUGGCCAAGGGAUAUACGCAAGAAGAAGUGAUAGACUAUGAUGAGACUUAUGCACCAGUAGCAAGGUUAGAAGCAAUUAGAUGGUUACUUGCUUUUGCUUGUUAUAAGAAUUUCAGGUUAUUUCAAAUGGACGUCAAAAGUGCUUUCCUAAAUGGAUUUAUCCAAGAGGAAGUCUAUGUGGAACAACCACCCAGUUUUGAAGACCCAAGGAAACCAGACACUAUAUUCAGAUAGAAAAAGGCUUUAUAUGGUUUAAAGCAAGCAUCUCGAGCUUGGUACGACAGACUAAAUAAGUUUUUAAUUCAAAAUGGUUUUGUCAAAGGUAAAGUAGAUACUACAUUAUUUAUCAAAAGAGAAAGCAAAAGUUUUCUACUUGUUCAAAUUUAUGUUGAUGAUAUUAUUUUUGGAUCUUCUAAUGAAAAUCUAUGCAAGAAAUUCUCUAAGUCUAUGCAAGACGAGUUUGAAAUGAGCAUGAUGGGUGAACUCACAUUCUUUCUCGGGCUUCAAGUGAAACAACUAAAGGAGGAAACUUUAUUCAUCAAUAAAAAUAUGCUAAAGAACUUGUCAGAAAGUUUGGUCUAGAAAAUUGCAAAAAGACUCAUAUACCAAUGUCAAGUUCUUUAAAGCUGGACAAGGAUGAAGAAGGAAAGAGAGUUGACCAGAAGCUAUAUAGGAGUAUCAUUGGUUCACUUCUUUAUCUAACUGCUUCUAGUCCUGACAUUUUAUUUAGUGUUUGUAUUUGUGCCAGAUUUCAAUCAGACCCUAAAGAAUCUCAUUUAAGUGCUGCAAAGCGUGUUAUCAAAUACAUUGCCUCAACUUCAAAUUUAGGUCUCUAGUAUCCUAAAGAACGAGAUUUUACUCUUCUUGGAUACUCAGACGCAGACCUAGCCAGAUGCAGAGUUGAUAGAAAGAGCACCUCGAGCACCUGUCAACUACUUGGAAGAAUGACAGUAUCUUGGUUUUCAAGGAAGCAAAUUAUAGUAGCUCUUUUUACAGUAGAAGCAGAGUAAGUAGCUCUUGGAAGUUGUUGUUCACAAAUUUUGUGGAUAAAACAACAGCUAAGAGACUUUGGAAUUGAAGACUCAUGCACCGAGAUCAAAUGUGACAACACCAGCGCAAUCAAUCUCACCAAGAAUCCGAUUCUUCACUCAAGAGCAAAACAUAUAGAGAUUCGACAUCAUUUCAUUAAAGACCAUGUUCAAAAUGGAGAAGUUUCGAUUCAGUUUAUUGAUUCAAAGAAUCAACUGGCGGAUAUAUUUACAAAGCCUUUGGAGAAAAAUCAAUUUGAAGUUAUUCAUUCUAGACGCAAUAUCUUAAAGUCUGAAGAAGUUCAGACUUAGGACUGAAAGUCUAAAGGCACUCAGACUCAGACAAUCAAAAUAUACUACUGUAAGUUCUUUCUAUUUUAGAAACUUAUCUCUCGGAUCAAAACUUGAAAAUGUACGAUUAUCUGUCCGAAAUUGAUUGGUGCUAUUUUCGUGAUUGUUGCAAUCCUUCCUUUUCGAAAAAGAAGUUAUUCUUAAAAUAACAGUUAAUGGAUUUUUGAAAAAGACAGUUAUUUUUUUAAAAGGCAUUUUUAUAUUUCCUUUUUUACGUCGUUUCAUAUGCCUCGCUUCGACUGCCUUAUAUACUGUUGGUUCCUCUUCGUUUUACUCACAAAAACCCUAAGAGAGCACAGAUCGUCCACUUCUGUCUUCUUCUCUUGUUUAAUCCUCGAAAAGUUUUCAUUUUUCUCAGGAACCAAGCUUGGAAUCUCUCAAAGAUUGUGAAAAAUGUCGUCUCAUAGAAAGUCUUCGAGGAUCGCGAAUAGGGGACCACAGCAAAUGCGUGAGAGGCCUACGCACUUUGAUCUCACAGAGGAAGAAGAAUCUCCUAGAUAGCAGCAGAGCCCACAUCAUUCUCAGCAGCAUCCAUCUCCUCCUUCUAGCCCUCAGAAUGUUGCACAUCAAGAAGAGGAAGAAAUCAUCAAAGAGGCAGAACCCGUAAGUACUCAUAAGUCCUCUUUUAUCUACAAGCUUUACCGUACUUUGAAGAGGAGUGGUACUCCGUUGAACUACAUAGAUGGAUUUCUUAAGGAUAAAGGGUAUAAAAAUGAGACUUUCUUCUUACGCACAAUGGAACAAUUAGGAAUUGCCCCUGCGGGAUCGGCAAAAGAAGCUAUGGCGAAUAUCCUAAGCGAUCCACAUGUUAGAGGACUGAGUCAACCAGAUGGGAAUGACGAUGAUAGGAUGUACAGUCAGUUUAAACCUAGAAUGGGUGUUGCGGCAAGAAUUUGUAACAAAAGGACAGACUUGUUUUGUUCAGAGGAGCACAAGAAAUUGUACUCAAAGUUGCUAAAGCGUGAGGUGAUAAACCCUAGAAGUGUGGAUUUUGAUUUCCUUGACUCUGUGAAUGUCAAUCUGCGAGAAAAGUUCAGUCUUGUUUAACUUGAAUAGUUUUGUUCUGAACUGACAAAAGCUCAUGCUGAACUUACUGCUUAUUUCUAUUCGAAUCUUAGCUUUUUGGAUGCGAAUAGAUUCUCUUUCAGUGUUCGAGAUCAGGACUAUGUAGUUGACAUAAAUACAUUGGUUGAUGUGAUUGGGGUUGAAAGAGGGAGAUAUCAACCUAUCAGUGUGUUUGUUGCUCGUGCAACGAUUGAGCUUGUUCAGGAUAGAGAAGCGGAAGGAAAGAUUUCCUAUUCAAUGAUGAAUGCGUCCAACAUUUUGCUUCACAAGAUAGUGAUUAACUGCCUCAAACCAAAAUCUACUUCAAAGACCGACGUUUCAAACUCGGAGGCAAAACUGAUGUAUGCCAUCAAUGCUGGGAAAAAGUUCUCUCUUCCACACACUAUAAUGUUUCACAUGUACAGAACAAUGGUAAAGGACAUGGGUCAACUUCCGUACGCAGCUCUUGUGACCAAGUUAUUCAGACAUUUGAAUGUUCAGCCUCCUCGAAUUCUUUGUGUUCGAACAUGCGAUCAAAUGGUGGUGGGACUGAAAAUGGUCUCUAAAAUGCGUCUGAAGGAACUUAACAAGGCGUUGGAGCAGUUCAAGGAGAAAACUCCUGUCAAGACUCAUUUAAUCUCUUCGGCGGCAAAGCGAAAAGGGAAGGAACCCAUGGUUGCUUCAUCCAAGAAAAGAAGAGCUCUCAUCAUUAAAGAUGAAGAUGAUGAGAAUGAUGUCACCAUUUUUGCAAUGGCAUUGAGAAACUUGCGUCGUUCUGUUCCAGAAACAACGGUGAGACAGGAAAAAGACAAGGAUGAAAUAGAACAGAGGACUGAAGAGAGAGAAGAUUUGGAGAGAGAAGCAGAGGAGAGAGCAGCAGAGGAAGAAAAAGAAGAAGAAGAGGAGAGAGGAGAUCAAGCAGAAGCAGAGCAUGAGAAACACUCUUCUCCACCUGAAGGCAUGAAAACUGGGGGAGAUCUUGAGAAAAUAGGAACGUCCUCAUUCCCUGCCACCGGUGAAGGAGUAAGUCGUUCUCCAGCAGAUCUAAAGGACAUCUUUGCCUCUCAAUUUCCAGAGGAAGGACAUGAUGUUUCAUCGCCCAAUCUACGUGAUCGUGCUGAACUGCCAUCAUCUACCAAUACUCCAUCUGAUCGUGCAGAAGCCAGUACUCAAACAGACAAUUCGGCAGACUUCCACAUAAUUCUUGAUGUUCUUUUGGAAAUGCGAUGACAAAUUUAUGCUCUGGGAUACGCAAUUUAGACCUUGCAUAAUGCAAAACAAGCCUCUUCAGUGUCUUUGGAUGAUCAGAUCAAUACCCUUGCUCUUCAAGUUCAAGCAAAUGCUAAGGGUGAAGAUGUAGCGCAACUGAAGGAGGAUCUGAAAAAGCUGGAAGGGAUUGUCCAGUCCAUGGGAGAUUUCCAGCUUGUUCGUGUUCCCAAGCAAUCUUAAAGACAUUCCCUUUUCAUCUCUAACUUUUUAAUGAUGACAAAAAGGGGGAGAGAUGUGCAGAUUUGAACUUUGAACUCUUAACCUUUUUUUUUUUAACAUUUGUGACGAUUUUGUUUGUUUGACUUGACUCUUGUGUUUGGUUGUUUGGAUGUGGACUGGAUUUGGACUUUGACUGUUUAAACGAUUGUCUAUCUUCUGUAGAUGCAGAUUCUGAUGUUAAGCUAUUUAUCUUUUGUGAGAUAUCCUUAUUUGCUUGAGUAAUGUUUUUGCAGGUCAAAGUUAUCUAAAUCUGCAGGAAAGUUUUGUCACCAUCAAAAAAGGGGAGAUUGUUGGAGAAAACUUCCUUGAGUGUUUUGAAGUUGACAAAACGUUUCCAUCAGUCUAGUCUGAAGACUUGCAGACUCUACUAUCAAAGUCUGAAGACCUCCGGACUGCCAGACUCAAGACUCAAAGUCUAUCCACAUUGAUAGUUUCUAGAUCGUCAAAGAAGGCUUAUCUGAAACGGAGUAUUUCGUUAAGGAUUUGAUUCUGUCGACUAAAGAAGAUCUCUUGGCUAGAUAUAGCAUGUCAAAAUCCAUUAUUCAAAUCAAGAUUGAUUCGAGGAUUUUGGAUUCGUUGAUUGGUGAAGUAUACUUGGAAGGUUCUACUUAUAGAAACCUAGAUCAUGAUUAUAUGGGCGAGCAUGAUUGAUGGGCUAUCGUCAUGUUCCUUUAAUAGCUCGAAAAUCUUCCUAAUUGAUUCUGUCCAACGUAGAUUGGAAGAAUUCCUUUGGUAAGUGCCAAUGGGUGUGAUGGCAUGAAGGAGUAUAUAAGGAAGACGUUCCAGUUGUUCGAAUGUGUGCACGAUAGAAGAAUUCCAAAAUCUAAAGCUCCUUGUUCUUAGUCAAUUAAACUGUUGAGCGAAAUCUUGUACGCAAACGAGAGUCUACAUAUUUGAGAGACCUUGAGAAAGUGUAGCUGAGUCUCUACACUGUGGAAUCAAGGAAGAGCCUUACUGUAACAACUCUUUUGUUUCAUAGUGAAAUCCAGCCGGUGGCUGUCAGUGCGGAAAAGUGGACGUAGGCUUGGAUUAAGCUGAACCAUUAUAAACUCUGUGUUCUUAUUCUCUUCCCUACGCUCUUUUACUUUUAUCGUAACACGUUUUAUUUACAGGAGACAAAUUUCUUUUUCAUAAUCUAUUGUUGAUUAAGUGCUGCAUUAUCUCUGAAAUUUGUUUCUACACCUAUUCAUCCCCCUCUAGGUGCUCGUACUAGCUUUCACAGAUAGAACUUCAGCAUGAGCACCUAUACUUGGAGAUGAAACCUCAUUACCUUCUUCAGGAAAUUGAGAAGCAUAUACAUCUUCUGGAUCGGCAAAAGAACGACUGACAUCAUCACUAGUAAAAACAAGUGAUGGAGUACCUCUUCUAUCAGAAGCUCCCCUUGUUUUAAUGCCUUUAGGUGGAGAGAAGUACUCUUCAUACUCUGUCUCUUCUUCAAUGACACGAUGACCUUGUUCUCCUCUUCGCUCUUCUUCUGCAGUUCUUCCUUCCUCUACUUCUUUCCUCAUCGUUUCCCUCUCUUCACUCCUCUGCUCUGUUUCCUCUUUGACUUGGUUCUCUCUAUCCUUUGUCUCUAGAAAAAAACGUUGUAAAUUCCUUAAGGCAAGAGCAUAAAUGGUGAUGUCUUCCUCAUCUUCUUCAUCCUAUAAGACGAGUGCUCUCUUUUUCUUAGAUGGGGCUGUCAUAGGCUCCUUGCCUUUCUUUUUUGCAGCCACAGAGUCUUGACGAGUCUUGACAGGAGUCUUCUCCUUAAAUCUCUCUAAAGCCUUGUUUAGCUCCUUCAGAAGCAUCUUUGAAACCAUCUUCAAUCCCACCACCAUUUGAUCACAGGUUUGAACACACAGAAUUUUGGGAGGCUGAAUUUUAAAAUGUAUGAAUAGCUAAGUAACAAGUGCUGAAUAAGGAAGUUGGCCCUUGUCCUUUACCAUUGAUCUAUACAUGUGAAACAUGAUAGUGCAUGGCAAAGAGAACUUUUUACCAGCAUUGAUAGCAUACAUCAGCUUUGCUUCUGAAUUUGAGACGUCAGUCUUUGAUGUGAAUUUUGGUCAAAACAAUUAAUCACAAUCUUAUGAAGCAAGAUAUUUGAAGCACUCAUCCUCGAGUAUGAAAUCCGACCUUCUUCCAUUCCAUCUCGGACAAGCUCCAGAAUUGUGCGACCAAUAGACACACUAAUUGAUUGGAACAUCCCUCUCUCUACUCCAAUCACAUCAGCCAGAGUGUCCAUAUCAACAACAUAAUCCUGGUCUCUAACACUGAAAGAAAAUCUAUUCGCAUCCAAAAAGCUUAGAUUAGAAUAGAAAUAUGCAGUAAGUUUUGGAUGAGCUAUAGUAUUCUCAGAGCAAAAUCGUUCAAGUUGAAGCAAAGUAAAUUUCUCCCGCGACUUCAUGUUCAGAGAGUCGAGAAAAUCAAAAUCCGCACUCCUUGGGUUCAUCACCCCUCGCUUAAGCAACUUAGAGUAAACUUGCUUAUGUUCCUCAGAACGAAACAAAUCUUCUCUUCUUCCUCGAAUGUUCGCAGCAACACCCAUUCUAGACUUAAAAUGAGUGAACAUCUUUUCAUCAUCAUCUUUUCCAUCAGUUUGACUGAAUCCUCCAACACGUGGAUCACUUGGGAAAUUUGCAAAAGCUCUUUCUGUCGAACCAGCAGGAGCAAUUCCCAAACGUUCCAUCAUUUGUAAAAAAUAUGUUUCAUUUAUGUACCCCUUUUCUUUCAAAAAUUCAUCAAUAAAGAUCAUUGGAGAACCUCCAUCCUUUAAGGCAGAGUAGAGUUUGAAGGUAAAAGCAGGCUUAAGAGUCCUUAUAGGUUCGGUAUCCUCAAUAAUUUCUUCCUCCGCUUGUUGCUGAACAUUCUGUGGUCUAGCAUGAGAAGAAUGGCGCGGUUGAGAAUGUUGUGGACUAUGCUGUUGCCUUGGAGAUUCUUCUUCCUCGGUCAGGUCAAAAUGCGUAGGACCCUCACGCAUAUAUUAUGGUCCCCUGCUUGCAAUCCUUGAGGACUUUCUUUGGGAAGACAUUAUCACAGUCUUUGAGAGAGUUUCCAAACUUGAUUCGCGAGAAAGAUGAAAACUUUUAGGAUUAAACUAGAGAGAAAAAGUAAGAAAGCGAAGUUCUUUGCUUCUAGGGUUCAUGAGUAAAAAUGAAGAAGAAAAACAGUAUAUAAAGCAAUCGAAACGAGGUAUAUGGAUCGUCAUAAAUGGAAAAAUAAAAAGUGCAUUUUCAAAAAAUAUCUGCCUUUUUGAAAAUAUAUAACUGUCAUUUCAAAAAGAUAACUUCCUUUUCAAAAAAGAAUAAUUUCCAUAAUUUCAAAAACUUGGAAAGAUAACAUCAAUCAAUUGUAGAUUAAUAAACAAUCGUACAUUUACGAGUUUUUUUUUUAAUUGGAAAGAUAAAUUGCUAAAACUGAAAUAACUUAUAGUCGUGAUUUUUGAUCUUCUGAGUCUGAGCAUCUUUAGACUUUUAUCCCUGAGUCUGAGCUUCUUCGAACUUUAAGAUAUUAAGUCUGGAUCAAAGAGACUCAAAUAGACUUUUCUCCAGUGGCUUUGUAAAAAUGUCCACCAGCUGAUUCUUUGAGUCAAUGAAUUGAAUCAAGACUUCUCCGUUUUGAACAUGGUCUCUAAUAAAAUGAUGUCGAAUCUCUAUAUGCUUUGCUCUUGAAUGAAGAAUUGGAUUCUUGGUGAGAUUAAUCGCGCUGGUGUUGUCACAUUUGAUCUCAAUGCAUGAGUCUUCGAUUCCAAAGUCUCUUAGUUGUUGUUUUAUCCAUAAGAUUUGAGAACAACAACUUCCAAGAGCCACAUACUUUGCUUCUGCCAUUGAGAGAGUUACAGUACUUUGCUUCAUUGAAAAGCAAGAUACUGUCCUGUUACCAAGCAAUUGACAAGUGCCCGAGGUACUCUUUCUAUCAAAUCUGCAUCAUGCUAAAUCUGCGUCGAAGUAUCCAAGAAGAGUAAAGUCUCAUUUUUUAGAAUACCAAAGACCUAACUUAGAGGUUGUUGCAACGUAUUUGAUUAUGCAUUUCGCUGCACUUAGAUGAGAUUCUUUGGGAUCUGAUUGAAAUCUGGUACAAAUGCAAACACUAAACAAAAUGUCAGGUCUAGAGGCAGUAAGAUAAAGAAGUGAACCACUGAUACUCAUGUACAACUUCUGGUCAACUUUCUUUCCUCCUUCAUCUUUGUCCAGUUUCGAAGAACUUGAUAUUGGUAUAUCAGUCUUUUUGCAAUUCUCCAAACCAAACUUUUUAACAAGUUCUUUAGAAUAUUUUUCUUGGUGAAUGAAAAUUCAUUCCUUCAAUUGUUUCACGUGUAGUCCGAGAAAGAAGAAUAGUUCACCCAUCAUGUUCAUCUCAAAUUCAUCUUGCAUAGACUUAGAGAAUUUCUUGCACAGAUUUUCGUUAGGUGAUCUAAAAAUAAUAUCAUCAACAUGAAUUUGAACAAGUAAAAAGUUUUUACUUUCUCUUUUAAUAAACAAAGUAGUGUCCACUUUACCUUUAACAAAGCCAUUUUGGGUUAAAAACUUAGUUAACCUGUCGUACCAAACUCGAGAUGCUUGCUUUAAACCAUAUAACGCAUUUUUCAGUUUGAAUACAGAGACUAGUUUCCUUGGGUCUUCAAAACUAAGAGGUUGUUCCACAUAGACUUCCUCUUGGAUAAAUCCAUUCAGGAAUGCACUUUUGACGUCCAUUUGGAAUAACUUGAAAUUCUUAUAACAAGCAAAAGCAAGUAAUAAUCUAAUUGCUUCUAACCUUGCUACUGGUGUGUAAGUCUCAUCAUAGUCUAUCCUUUCUUCUUGCGUAUAUCCUUUGGCCAUGAGUCUUGCUUUGUUCCUUAUAACUUUUCCCUUUUCGUCAAUUUUGUUCCUAAAAACCCAUUUAUCUCCAAUAACAGAUUUACCUCUUGGUUUAGGAGAUAAUUCCCAAACAUCGUUAACACUGAAUUGCCUGAGUUCUUCUUGCAUAGCUUCAAUCCAGUUUUCAUCAGUUAAAGCUUCUUCUAUGCUUUUAGGUUCUAUUUCAGAAAUAAGAGCCACAACGCUGACUCUUUAUGCCUUUUGGAUCUUGUACGAAUUUCUUCAUCAAUGUCACUAAUAAUGAGUUCUUUGGGAUGACUAGACUUGUGCUUCCAGUUGCUGGUUGGUCUAACAGACUGCUGAACAUUUUAUUCAUUUGAUUCUUCAAUGUUCGUUUGUUGUUAACCUUCUGAAAUCUAAGCUGACUUUGUAGAGUCUAAAGCAGGUUUAGAUUCUUCAGGUUGAGUCUGGAUCGAUUGAUUUUGUAUAAGGUCUUGAAAUUUGACAUUCAUCGAUUCUUCCACAGAUUGAGUCUUCUUGUUGUACACUCUGUAAGCUUUGCUGGUGGUUGAAUAUCCAAGGAAGAUACCUUCGUCUGAUUUUUCUUCAAACUUACCAAUUCGAUCAUUUGCAUUUUUCAAUAUAAAACAUUUGCAACCAAACACAUGAAAAUAGGAAACAAUUGGCUUAUUUCUUUUGAAUAACUCAUAGGGAGUUUUUUCCAGGAUAGGCCUUAAGAAAACUCUGUUAAUGAUAUAACAUGCCGUAAAAACUGCUUCAGCCCAAAAACGAGAAUAAAUGUUCCUUUCAAUUAAAAGUGUUCUAGCCAUUUCUUGCAACGAUCUAUUCUUCAUUUCCACAACUCCAUUUUGUUCGGGAGUGUAUGGAGAGGAGAACAUAUGCUGAAAACCAGAUUCAUCACAGAAAUUAGCAAAGUCUUGAUUUUCAAACUUACCUCCAUGGUCUGUUCGUAUGCUUGAAAUAACAUACCAUUUCUCAUUCUGUACUUUCUUAGCAAACUUUAAGAAAUAAGAGAAUGUUUCAGACUUACUUGCCAGAAAAUAUACCCAAGUAAAUCGUGAGUAAUCAUCCACUAUUACUAGGUAAUAUCUCUUUCCACUAAUGUUUUGAGUUCUAGUUGGUCUAAAGAGAUCCAUAUUUAGGAGCUGUAGCACACGAUUAGUGGAAACUUGAUUUAUUGAUUUGAAAUAACUUCUAACCUGUUUUCCCAACACACAUGGUGUGCAUAAUUCAGAUUUUUUGUAUGUCAGAUUGGGUAGUCCACGAACAAGCUUCUUUGCAGAGAUCUUGGCAAUUUGCUUCAUGUUGAUAUGGCCAAGUUUUCGAUGCCAGAGAUUAGCUUCAUCUUGAAUUGAAAUUAGACAUUGAGAUUUUUCUGGUUUGAUAUCCAAAAGAUAGAUGUUCCCAUGUUUUCGCCCCGUGAAAGUCUGAGAGAAGUCUUUACUGGUUCCCGAACGUAUUCAUUCUUGAAAUUUUUUCUUGAAACCUGUGUUGCACAGUUGACUGAUACUCAGCAAGUUGUAAUUGAGUCAUCCUACUAAGGAAAUGUUGUUGAUUGUGAGACUUUCAAUCUUUACUGUUCUACAUCCGACAAUUCUUCCUUUGCUAUUUCCACCAAAAGAAACUUUUCCACCAUUAAAUUGCAUAAGCUUUAUUAAACAACUUGAAUCUCCUGUCAUAUGUCUUGAGCAUUUAUUAUCCAAGUAUCAUUUGACAUUUUUCUUGAUAGUGACCUACAUUAAAAAAGAAACUCAAACUUUCUUUAGUACCCAUACUUUCUUGGGUCCAAUGGAGUUAGUGCAAUAUACAGUCUUUGCCCAAUCCUUCUUAACAGGUCUCCAAACCAUAGGACAUUCUUUCUUAAAGUGUUUUAUGUUGUUGCACUUAGAACAUUUAAGAGUACUAUGGUCAACAGAUUUUACAAAGACUUUUUGAAAAUGAUUUUUAUAAAAGUCUUUUGUAGGUUUUUGUUUGAUUCUUUUCUUUACUUUUGGAAAAUCAAUUAGAGGAAUGGUUUCAAAAGUCAUUUCCGAGCCUAAUUUGUUAAAGUAAGGUUUUUGUGCUGAAAGAAUCUUUUCCAAUUUCUCAGAUCCUACAGAAAACCUUUUUGAGAGAGAGUCUGCAUUUUCUUUCAGAGUAAUAAAAAAUUUUAUCUAAAUUUUUGAACUUUUCUUUCCAAACAAUCUCAUGUUGCUUCAAUGUAGAAUUUUCCCUUUUUAGCUCGAAAAUCCUCUUGAGAGAGGUUUUGAGACUAAGACACAGUUCAUCAAUAUAUUUAGAGACUUUAGUAGGAAUUUUUAAAUUACUUACCUCGAUUUCACUGUCUGAGUCUAAGUCUGUAUCUGUCUCAGAGUCUGAAUCUGAUUCUGAUUUUGCCAUUAAACAAAUAUUAGCAUAAUCAUCAUUACUCUCUUCGCAUUCGGUAUCACUCCAAGUUUCUACUUUGAGUGCCUUUCUAUAUUUCUCAACUUUUCCUUUCUUUUUCUUCAGCAAGGGACAGUUGGGUCUGAUGUGUCCAUUUUUCUUGCAUUCAAAACAAAUCACAUCUUUGUUGGAUUCAUCGUCCUCAUCUGAUUUAUUUUGAAACUUUUGAGAGCUUUGUUUCUUCUAAUUGAAUCUUCUUCCCUUUUUGUUCAGUUUUUUGAACCUUCUUAUCAUGAGAGCAAGCUCUCCAUUGUCCAUAUCAUCUUUAGAAUCUAUAACAUCAAAUUCAUCAUUAGAUUUUAAAGCAAUAGAUUUUUUACCUUUGGGAUCUUCAUCUACAUUGAUUUGCUCCACUUCAUAAGACUAAUGAGUGCCAACCAAUUCAUCAACGGAGAGUGACAUGAUCCUUUGUGUCUCUCUUAUUGAAGUCUUUACAUGAUUUAAAUCUUUGGAAAGUCCACGUAGCAGUUUGUUAACCUUCAUGGGUCCUGAGAUUGGUUGACCUUGAUACUCAAAACCAUUCACAUUUUUUGUAAAACGACUAAACAUGUCAGUGAUAGAUUCUCCUGACUUCAUUUUGAAGGCUUCAUAUUGACCGAGCAGAAUAUUGAUUUUGGUUUCUUUCACUCGAUCAGUUCCUUCAUAGGUGAUGUGCAACCUAUCCCAUACUUCUUUAGCUGUUUCAUAAGAAGAUAUUCUGUUAUAUUCAGUAGGAGAUAAUGCACAAUAUAAGGAGUAAAUUACUUUUGCAUCAAGAGCUUGUCUCUUGGUUAUCUCUUCUUGAGUCAUCUCACUAGUCUCUGCAACUUCUUUUCCCCUUUCUGAGACUGUUAUAGCUUUAGGAAUGAUUCAUUUGUCUACCACAUCCCAUUCUAGAGGAUCUUUUGAUUUUAGGAAUGCUUUUAUCUUGUUUUUCCAUAUACGGUAUUCAUUUUCAUCACAGUAAGGCGGUCUGGUGUUGCUUUGCCCUUCAACCAAACUUGGAGUCAACAUACUAGACAUGGAUCUUUAAUUCUGAAGUAAAAACACUUCAAUUAAAUAAGUAUAUAGGCUCUGAUACCAAUUGAAAGUGCUAGUACGAGCAUCUAGAGUGGGGUGAAUAGGUGUGAAAACAAAUUUUGCAAAAUAUAGUGUAAAACUUUACUUUUAAUCCAAGUCCCGUUGACAAUAGACUUUGCAGAGGAAAUCAGACUCUAACAAUUAAAUAGAGUUACGAACAAAAUAAAAGAGUUUAUGGAAGAGAAUAAUAAUACAAGGUUUAUAGUGGUUCGGUUUAAUCCAAACCUACGUCCACUCUCCCGCACUGACUGCCCACCAGCUGGAUUUUACUAUGAAUCAAAAGAGUCGUUACAGUAUCACGUCCUUAAUUUAACUAGAGUAUUUUCCUUAUAUACUCCUCCAUGCCUUCAUAUCUAUUGGCACAUUCCAAAUGAGUUCUUCCAAUUUACUCGUUAGAUAGAAUCAAUUAGGGAGAUCUCGAGUUACUUAAGGAAUGUGAUGAUAGCCCACAAAUCAUGCUCACCCAUACAAUCAGGAUCUAGGUUUCCAUAAGUAGAAUCUUCUAGGUAUACUUCCCCAAUCAACGGAUCCAAAUUACUCGAAUUAAUUUCAAAACAAAUAAUAGAUCUUGAGAUGCUAUCUCCAGUCGUGAGAACUCCUUUAGCCGCUCGAAUCAAAACCUUAAAAAAAAUACUCGCAUUUGGAUAAGGCUUCUUCAUCGGUCUAAAAACUGUCAAUGAGGGUAGACUUUAAAUCUUGAGUCCGGCGGUCUUCAGACUUUGAUGAAAGAGUCUGCAAGUCUUCAAAUCAAACUGAUGGAAACUUUUUGUCAAUUUCAAAACAAAUAAGGAAGUUUUCUCCAACAAUAUGUACAACAAUUGCUAAAGGGAAAAUUGCAAUUUUUCCCCCUAACACUUGUUCUACAAAAAAAUAAAAAAAAAUUAAGGGCGCUUUCAAAAUGAUUUACUUAUCAAGAGCACUUCAUGGUGUGUAAGCAUUUUUUUCCUCUUUUCAAAAUUUUAAUAUUUUAAACAAAUAACCGAGAAUUUGGAAAUUAGCCUUUUUUCAUGGUAAUUUUUUUUUUGCAGACAUUAAAUGUUAUUCCUAAUUAACAUAAUAAUUUUUACUUAUUUAAAUUUAAAGUAUAUUAUAAUAUCAAAUGCCGGUAAAUUUAUGUUAUAAUAACAUAAAAAGGAAAAUUGCUACUGAUUAUUUAAUUUCAUACUAUAUAAAGAAUAUGUAAAAUUCUCCAAAACUCUCUUUAGAAAGAGGCAAUUAGUUUCACAUGGAAAAAAUAAUGUUAAUUAUCAGUAGAAAUAUAAUUCUUUAUGAACCCCGAUUUGUGGCAUGUAUGCAUUUCUUUUCUUUUUCUUUUUUUUUUCAAAAAUUUAAUAUUUUAAACAAAUAACAGAGAAUUCAAAAAUUCACCCUUUUCACAGUAAUUUUUUUUUCAGCAGACAUUAAAUGUUAAGUAUGAUAAGAAAGGUUCCUAAUUAAAAUAAUACUUUUUAAUUAUUUAAAUUUGAAGUAUAUUAUAAUAUCAAAUGCAAAUAAAUCUAUGUAAUAAUGACAUAACAAGUAAAAUUGAUACUAAUUAUUUAAUAUCAUACUAUAUAAAAAAUAUGUAAAAUUCUAAGUCUCUUUAGAAAUAGACAAUUAGUUUCACAUGGGAAAAGCAACGUUAAUAUUAGUAGACGUAUAAUUCCUUAUGAACUUUCCUAAUAUAAUCUUCUAGAGGCAUGACUCUAUUUCGAACUCAAAAUAGUCUUCUUUAAAAAAAAAAGACGACCGUUGCGAGAGUCUCCUUCCCCUGACCCGAUCGUCUCGUCAGGCGUUCCUGGCUAUGCUCGCGUUCCUCUCUCUCUCUCUCUUGCGUGACGGGCCUCUGCGAAAUCCUCUUCGGAGAAGGUCAGUCUCUUCUUCCGUUCUUAGUAGUCGAUUGAUUGUUUAUGGAUUGAUCAAACGGUUGAUUGUCGUUUGGUGAAUUCGCAGUGGAUUCUUUUCCCAUUGAGUGAACUGGUCAGUUUGUUUCAUAAAACAAAGCGUUUUUGCUUUUUGGAGGACUGAGGAUCUGCUUCGCCAUUUUUCUUUGGUUGAGAUGAUGAACUAUUAGUAGUCUCUGAUCACCUCCUUUUUUUUCUCUGGGCAAUUAUCGGUUUUGAUUGAUACUUGUUUUAAAUUUUUUUUUUUUUUUUUUUUUUUUUUAACUCUGGGAGAUGAUCAUGGGCUAGUUCCAAUUCUUGGGCUGGAGAAGUGGUGAUCUGUUGCGUUAACUUUGUGAUGUCGAGUUGAUGAUCUCUGACAAUCAGAUAAAGCUACCACAUUUCAAGACAGUUACUGGUUUGAAUGGAGUUUGUUCUUCAGUGCUGUUAUUUUCCGAUUCAUGUGAAAACCAAUUCUCAUUCCUUCAGAGGUCAGAGUUUGGUUGAUGUAUGAACUGUCAUGGUGCUUUCUAUGCAUUGUGUAUGCUCACUUCAGAUCAUUGCUGUCGAAAAUCUAACGCCGGCAUCCUUCCUAGAAAUAGUCCCUCCCUCAUGUCCUCAUCCUUUAUUCUCGUGCUGCAUCUUUGAUUGUGCGUGCAAUUCCUCUCUUGUUUGCUCUUUGCUUGACAUCCUCUGCCGAGUACUCUUCAGAGGAGACAUCGUUACUGAACCGCACUCUUGAUCCUAUUUCUUUGCCUUCUGUUAGUCAUAUUUUGUAUGUUUUUUAGUUGAGUGAAAUUGAAUUAGCAUAACAUUUUCCUGCAGGGGAUAAAAUUUGGUUUGAGGUUUUCACACAUUUGGUGAGUAUGGAGUUCAGUCUGCUUCUCUUUUUAAGCUGUCUAUUUGCUGCAACUGGGCAAAAGCUUCCCAUUUACCCUUUUGAUUCUUAUCAUAUUUUGAUCAGAUGAUUAACAUCUUGGUUAUUUUUAUUUUAUUUUAUCAACGAUGACCAUCACACUCGCUCAAGUGGAAAAGUUGAGCAGGAAGUUUUUACUUUUCCUUCUGAUUUCAUAUGAUAUUUCAAUAUUUGGAUGGUGAUAUUAAUUUGUAUAUUUAACCUAUUUGACACAUCAAGCAUAGCCGUUGAAUCUAUUUAUAAAUAACAUCACCAUUUGCAACAUGACCCUUUUGUUGUAGAUGAUUUGUCUGCCAGAUAAUAUAACUUAUGGUUCUGAAUGCAUCUUUUUUUAUGGGCUUUACAAAGGUGGUUUGUGUUCAUUUUUCUACUAAUUGGAAUUGUCAAACAAUUUCGUUUCAUUUGUUAUAUUGCCUAUGAAGGCACAGAUUUUGUAGUAUCCAAGUGGUCUCUUGCCAGAACAGAAUUGGUUUAGGUCCAUAUGGAAUUUGUAUGAAUGUCUUGAGGUUCAUCGACAUUAUCUGGUUCAAGUUUCCCUCUGAUUAUUCUAAUUAACAAAAUUGCUCGCAUGAAAUGUAUGGACUUAUUCAGCCGUUGACAGGUGCUUGCUCCAGUUUGGAGCAAUCUCUUCAGCUAAGUGUGUCACGUGGAGAUGGUAUAGGAUUCAUUGAUCAAAGUAUUCAAGUUUGUCAAGUGACUGAAAACAGGAGGUUAUGAACCAUUGCAAUCACGUUUAGCUGAGUUGCCGAAUCGUCUUCUUUGUGGAUCGGAGCCAUGAGCUGACAUUUGGAUCCUUCUAAUAUGGAUUGUCUAUAGCUUCUUGAGAACCCUGGAUAGAGAUCUGGUUCUAUCUUCAUUUACAAGGAUUAAAGGAAAUGCGUGGAAUGUGUAGUGUUCUCCUCUUGUAGGUUGGAGUCUUCUUGCUGCAAAUCAUGUUGUGCUUCUCGUCUUUGUCUGCAAAAUUCACUGGAUAAACUACAAUUAAAUUGUGUCCAAAGCUAUGGGUACUUUUGAAUUGUGCUUCCAACCGUAGUUGUUGCUUUCUUGGUCAUUAGGUGGCACACAUUGUUGGGAGUUGUCUGACUAUGUUCCUUAUCUCUAUCAGGUGGUUCAGCCUUACACUUGUGAUGUGGGAUAUUCAUUGCAGUUAUUCACUAAUAUUAUGCCAGAUCAGAUUAUCCAUGUCUACAUUCAAUUUGUUUGGUUCACUCUGUAAUCACUCUCAGGGAGUUCUCUCUUCUGGAUGCUCUUAUUUUAAUCUCCUCCUGAUCUAAAUUUGCCUCACAAAUGAUUUUCUAUGUGUUGUUUAUUGACAUUGUGAAUAACUUGGCCACAAGUUUCCUCAAUCCCUGCACAUGGAUUGCCCAAUUACUCCGCAAAACUUAUCAAGCAGUACCAAUUUCUCCUCAGGACGCUGGCAUCGAUAAACAUUCAAAUUAUAUCUGCAAGAAUCAUGAAUGUGGGAAUUUAGAUGACGUGGAUGGACCUUUUUUACGCCUACUCUUUGAUUGAGAUGGUAUGCUGUUGUUUCUUUUGGCAGGUCGUAUGAUGAUUGAGCUAUGUAUAAGUUAGCUGAUGUUGAAUUUGAGGAUUAACAGUUCUCAAGACCUCACAUAGGAAUUCAUGCUUCCUGCACAGGAUGUGUGGAGCUGUUCCUAUCAAUUUCUUACUUUGUCGAGCAAAUUUUUGUGAUUUUAUAUAUUAGGACAACUACAACAGUUGUGAUUAGCAGAAUAUAGAUCAAGCAUAAUUGUGCAGAUCUUAGGAAAAAAUGUAACAGGGGGGUGGUGACAGCAAAUCCAUCAUAAGUGUGGUUCCUAGAAGAUCUGAGGUCCAGUCUCUUUACACAAUCUUGCAUCUUCCUAGCUCCUGUUGGGUUAAAGUUUUGUCGAUAGUCUUAUUAUUAAAAGGAUUUUGAUUGACUCUCGACGAUCCUGUUGCUCAUACAUCUAUAUGUUCUUGGUUGAAUUUUGACAUAGGCACAGACUUUGAUGAAUUCUAUGGCUGGUCUGUUUAUUCCUCUUCUCUCCAAGGGAAAUGACUUUGACUUUGCUAUUAAAAAAAAAAAAGAAAUUUUGCUUAUGCUAUCUUUUUUUGGAAAAAGUGAUUCACCAACUUAGUGUGGAAGAAGCAAGUUGGUACCUUGUAUCAUUCAUUUUUCAUAUGAAUUUUAGGUUGUUGGAGUAAUGCAAGUAAGAAUUAUUGAAUGAAGUCUGUUUAGUUUUGUUGCCUUCUCCCCCUUUGGGAUUCAAAUUCCAGAUCUAUGUUGAGCCAAAAGUUCUGUCGGGAGGCUGCAACUAUAUUUGUGUGAGCUGCAUCACAACUGGUAAACAAUGAUGCAAUUAAACUUUUUUGGUCACUUCUUACUUGAUUUCUUUUUUCUGUUUAGGUAUGAGGACCUUGGUUGCUUUUUUCCCCAUUUUAUUAUUGAGGUGUUGGAUUCGGAUUCCAGAUCCAUGUUGAGCCAAAAGUUCUGUAAGGAGGCUGCAACUGAAAUUGCAAACCGAUCAUCACAACUGGUAACCAAUGAUGCAAUUAAACUCUUUUUUUUUUCACUCCACACUUGAUUUCUUUUUUCUUUGGUAUGAGGACCUUGGUUGCUUUUUUCCCUAUUUUUGUUAUUGAGGUGAAUGUCAUAGCACUCUCUUGUCAGCCUAGUGGCGGCUUCCCCAUUGGUUGCAGAAGGAUAUCAUUCUAUUUUUCUUCACCCUAACAAUCUUCUGCCUGUUAAAUGGCUUGCAUUACUUUGGUCUUCCCAACUUACAGAUUUUUGUUGGUCUAUUUCCUGUUAUUGAAUGGUGCAAAUCUCUGUAAAGCGUACUUUGGUCUUCUGUAAGGCAUAUUCUGAGCUUAUGGUACUGCAUCUAAAUAAUCCAAUAUAAUCACUAGUUACCAAGUUCUCUUAUUGAAACUCCAAUUAUUGUGCACAUAAUAAGAUUUUAUGGAUGCUCACUCAUUCUUUUACCGAGAAAAGGAAUCAAAUCACUAGUCGUGUACUUAAGCUUAUAGAUUAGAAAUUAGGUAUAAUUGCAAGUCUCCAAUUGGCAGUUUGACUAUGCUAAAAACAAUGGAGAUUGUGCUUUCUCUUCCAAAAAAUCUUACCCGGAAACCUCGAAAACAACUUAAUGAAAUUUUGUACAUUUUUUGUAUGUAAGUGCUAUAUCCAUUCUUGCUGUUAUUAUCUGUUUUCAACAGUGUAUAUCAACUUCCACUAUUGUACAAAUCUAGUUGUUUGUUAUGUCUGUCUAACUUCAUGUUUCACUUUCUUUCUUAGAGGUCUGGAAAGAGGAUCUUUGUGCUCCAACUAUGGAAGUGGGAAGGUUCUCUUGAUUUUGUUUAACUUUGUGGAGAUUGGAUAUUUUUAAAAUAAAUGAGGAGGAAGCGUUUUUUGUAUAGAUCUAUUUGCGUUUCACCUUUUCUAUAUAAGAGUAUUGUCUGAUUCUACAUUUGUUAGGUGUUGGCUGGAUGAUGUUAUAAGCAUCCGCUCCCCGACACUUUGGUUACAUAUUUCUUUUCACAUCUCUUAUUAUCCAAUUUCUUUAUUUCAUUUGUUUUGCAAGUUUAAUCUUUUGCGAUAGUGUGAUAGACCAUCAUAUUAAUAUCAUUACGAUCCUUUUUUUCCAACAACUUCACUUUCGUGGCUUACGUCCUAAUCCUUUGUACUGCUUUUGUUGUUAAAACUUUCAAUAUUGCUUUCUUCAUACAUUUUCAUUAGCAAGCAGUCAUUAUUCCUUGCUCCUUAAGGUUUUUGUCGAUAUGGAUUUCCUUGAAGAGCAUGCCUUUCGGCUAGGAAAAUAGCAUGCCCUUUACCAUUUGUCAGAACUGUUGAAUACGGAUAUCAACUGCCUAAUCUUUUCCCAGAAUAGGAUGCUAGUGUCUAUAAGAAAUGUUUUUAAUCAGAAUAUAUGUCUCUUGGUGGGUGCCUGCUGUCCAGACGAUGGCAAUAACUGUGAUAUGGUGGGCAUUACUUGAUCAAACCAAAUGCUGCCUACACUUGCUUCAUCUUGGCUUAGUAAAUAUUUUUCACCGCAUCGUCUAGUUUUUCCUUUCUAGUAAUUAUUGCUGCCGCAAUGAUGGGAUCUCAAUGCUGUAAUCAGUACAUGCACUACAUCAGUAGCAUACAUGAAUCAAUAGUCAGGUCUUAUCUGGAUGGCCUUUUCCUUUGAUAUUGAAUGUGGAUAUGUAUUUAAUCAAUGGAUGUUUAUUUUAUUGGAUAAAUUUAGAUAAGUGAACUGUGUCUUUUUUUGUUCAGUUUAGUUUUUGAUAUUUGUUUGUUUUCAGUUGUGGGUAGCACUGUGAUUCUUCGUUAGGAACAUUGAUCCGGCAACUGGACAUAUUACGCUUCCUUGCUUCAGUGUUUUGUCUGUGUUUUUCUUUACCAAUUUCUAAUAAGGAAAUUUGUGUCACCUAUACUGAACAUUUCUGGGGUGACAUCCUACUUUAGGAUCCUGCUCAGAUUGGAUGGACUUGGUAGUGUAUUUUGACAUUUUGCUUCUCAUUGAAUUAGAGGUUUAGCCUCAUCUCAUUGGGUUCUCAGCUAUUUGGCAAAGUCCCUUUGUUACCCUGAUCAUCUACAAGGUGAAGAUAGUUUGCAGCCAUCAAAUGCUGGGAUUGCACUUGCUUUAAACACGCAUGGAUUGUACACUUUGCAGUAGCAGUUGGAUGAUGCUCAAAUAUCAUUCAAAAAGGAUUUUAUGGUGGCUUGUUUCUUCCCUCAGUUUUUUUACCUUUUUGUGGAACAAAUACUUUGCGUGAGAUGUGCACAUGACAUGUAAUUGUCAGUUUGCAGGGUGGGAUAUUGUUGCUGGAUGACUUAUAUUGGUGGUUUUCAGCAUGAAAUUGGAAUACAGUAACAAAUAUAGCAAUUGAAGCCUUAUUCAGAGCUUCAAAUGAGUAGUGAACGCUGUAUGAAUCCAUCUAUAACAUGACUAGCAUUCUUGUUAAAAAAAUUUAGAUUUGUGCGUGCAGAAGCAUGGUUUUGGUAUUAGUUAUAGUUUUUGGUUUGUGGCGUGUGUGUUUGAAGACGAAUAGUGCGUACCUUUUCCGAUCCUUGAAAUUCUUCUCGUAGUAUAUCCCAAGACUCUUUUGCAGUCCUUGCUCCAAUUAUUCUCGGAAAUACGGUUUCCGAGAGUGCUUGUUGGAUAAAAUAUAGCGCCCUUGCAUCCUUUUGUAGUUGAUCCUUCGAAACACUUGCACCUUCUGGCGGAGCCUCGUGACCUUUUUCCACGAUGUCCCAUAAGUCUGGGGCCAUCAAGGGAUGGACAAGGGAUGAUAGUUUUUGGUUAGUGAGGUGUGCAAGUGUAUGGUAUAGUUUGUAGAGGAUGGACAAGGGAUGAGAUAUGAUAAUUGAAGGACAAAGAACAUGGGAUAUGGGAAAUAGUUUCAUUAGUUGGAUAAAAUAAUUUUACAAUAGUUGAAGGAGGUGUUGGUGAGGGAGCAUGAUGUGGUUUUUAUGGUUAGCUCCCUUACACAAAACAUGGAGCACUUGCUCCUUUAUAUAGGCUUCCAAAGUAGGUGGAGGAAGUCUCUAGACUUGAUGAAACUUCUAGACACAUAAAACUUCUAGACACAUGAGCUUGUAGACAAUUCUAGAGACUUCUCUUAAAUUCUUUCCUUUUCUUUUUUCUUCUAGAAAAUUCAUCUAGGGAAUUCUAGAGAAUUCUAGAAGUUUACCAACUCUAACAAAUUCUAGAAAAUGGAUCACUAUUUCCAACAAUUCUAUAUUAAGCUCUCUAGGAUCAAAUUCUUCAAAUAUUUUUCAUUGUCUCUUUCCUCAUCUUUUUGGCUCUUCCUUCGUACACACACUUCAUAAAGAAGUUUGUGCUCCGAUGGAAUUGGUUCAAAUCAACAUCUUUGAUUUUCUUUUGCUAGAUACUUGUAAUGCAAUAGUUGUAUUGUCCUGACAUCAGUAAAACCGAUGCUAACCUGAAGUAGUAGCCAAAUUUGUGAUUGUGAUAUAUGGUGGACUUUACUUGAUCAAAUAUUGUCUAUGCUUGCUCUAUCCAUGUUUAAAUCAAGAAUUUUUAAUUUUUUACUGUAGUUGCCCUAUAUAUAUAUUAUUCAUUGGUGCAAUCUUGUUUCCCAGAAUGUGCCGGACAAUAAAUGUGCUCCACUGUUGGCACAUGCUUGAAGCAACUGUCCUGGUCUUACCAGAACUGCUGUCUUACAUUGAAAGUCAAUGUGGAUCUACUUCGUCAAUGGAUGGCUUCCUUGUUGGAUAAAUUCGCAGAAACAUGAAGUAACUUGUUUGUCAUGUUUAUUGUUUGAUAUUGUUAAAAUUUAAACGUAUUUUUGGAUGUGUGCGCUGCGGAAGCAUGGUUUUGGUAUUAGUUAUAGUUUUUGGUUUGUGAUAUGUGCAAGUGUACGGUAUAGUUUGUAAAGGAUGGACAAGGGACAAGAUAUGAUAAUUGAAGGACAAAGAACAUGGGAUAUGGGAAAUAGUUUCAUUAGUUGGAUAAAAUAAUUUUACAAUAGUUGAAGGAGGUGUUGGUGAGGGAGCAUGAUGUGGUUUUUAUGGUUAGCUCCCUUCCACUCAAAACAUGGAGCACUUGCUCCUUUAUAUAGGCUGCCAAAGUAGGUGGAGGAAGUCUCUAGACUUCUCUACAAAUAGCUACUAACUUAAGAUAGAGAAUUCUAGACUUCUCUUGAAGCAUUCUAGAAUUCUAGACUUCUCUUAAAGCAUGGACUUCUCUAGACUUCUCUUGCUUGUUCUAGGAUUUUCUUUGAUGCUUGGCUUUUGCUUGCUUGCAUUCCCAUGUGAAUCUUCUAGAUUCAACUAGCAAUCUCCAUUCUCAACAAUUCUAGAAGGUUCUCACCUUCAUGAUUAAGUUAGUAGUUUCUAGAUAUUUUUAGAGAAAAUGGAUCAUAAUUUCCAACACUCCCCCUUGAUCCAUUUUCGGGAUAAUCCGGACUUGUGUUAUAAAGCCUCGGACGUACCUUGAAAUUUCUCUUGUAAUUUGUCCCAUGUUUGUUAUUCCGUCUUCGUUCCACAAUCCCCUGCAUUCUCUUGUCGAACCACUUGCACUUGCCUCUGAAUAUACAUGUCUUUUCUUCAACGAUGUCCCAUAUGUCUCGAGGCAUCGAAAUGUUCUUAGUUGUAGUUGUUAGCUCGGGCUCGGGCUCUGGCUCUCGUCGGCUCUGGCUCUGGCUCCGGCUUGGUUCUGGCUCCGGCUCCGGCUCUGGCUCCGUUGGCUCUCGCUCGGGCUCUGGCCUUCGAUUUUGGCUCUGGCUCUGGCUCCGGCUCUAGCUCUGUUGGCUCUCGCUCGGGCUCUGGCCUUCUUAGUUGAGGAUGGUGAGGACAAACGCCCAUAACCAUCCGAUAUGCCUAGUUUUGGCUUCAUGGUCCCUUACGCCUGGCUCAGUUACGAACCUGGGCGUAACUUGGCUCUGAUACCAAGUUAAAAAAUUUUGAUUUGUGCGGAGCUCUCGUAGGCUCUGGCCUUUAAUUCUGGCUCUGGCUCCGGCUCUGGUUUUGGCUCUGACUCCGGCUCUGGCUCUCUUGGCUCUCGCUCGGGCUCUGGCUCUGAUACCAUGUUAAAAUUUAAACGUAUUUUUGGAUGUGUGCGCUGCGGAAGCAUGGUUUUGGUAUUAGUUAUAGUUUUUGGUUUGUGAUAUGUGCAAGUGUACGGUAUAGUUUGUAAAGGAUGGACAAGGGACAAGAUAUGAUAAUUGAAGGACAAAGAACAUGGGAUAUGGGAAAUAGUUUCAUUAGUUGGAUAAAAUAAUUUUACAAUAGUUGAAGGAGGUGUUGGUGAGGGAGCAUGAUGUGGUUUUUAUGGUUAGCUCCCUUCCACUCAAAACAUGGAGCACUUGCUCCUUUAUAUAGGCUGCCAAAGUAGGUGGAGGAAGUCUCUAGACUUCUCUACAAAUAGCUACUAACUUAAGAUAGAGAAUUCUAGAUUUCUCUUGAAGCAUUCUAGAAUUCUAGACUUCUCUUAAAGCAUGGACUUCUCUAGACUUCUCUUGCUUGUUCUAGGAUUUUCUUUGAUGCUUGGCUUUUGCUUGCUUGCAUUCCCAUGUGAAUCUUCUAGAUUCAACUAGCAAUCUCCAUUCUCAACAAUUCUAGAAGGUUCUCACCUUCAUGAUUAAGUUAGUAGUUUCUAGAUAUUUUUAGAGAAAAUGGAUCACAAUUUCCAACAGAUAUUCUCUUCUUAUAAAUCCAAUUUGCACUUUUUUUUUAUUAUUUCUAUUGUUAGAGAUUCUUCACCAAGAACAUUGAACUGGCGGCUGGACAUAUUACACUCCUACCAGAAGGGAUUCCCUGAGAUGUUCAGGUCUUAAGCACCCACAAUGGUCUCCCCACACUCUGUGCUUCAAGUUUUGGGUUUUUUUCUUUUUAUUAACUUUUUUUUUUUUUUUUUUUUGCGAUUUCUACUCUGGGAGUUGGUGUCACUUAUGCAGAAUUUUGUCAGAGGUUUGAUUCUUUGGUAGAAUCAUGUUUAGAUUGGCUGGACUUGGUAGUUUUUUUGAUAUUAUGCUUUUAAUUAGUUGACAGCAUGGCUAUCGGAAAUGCCAUUAGAUCUAAAAGUAAGUACUUAUGUCUACUUUCUGGUGCUAUUGACAACCUGUAGUAAUGCAGAGCACUUCCGAGUUUUCGCUAUUGUAACCUCCUAGUUCUUGUUUAAAAAUGAAAGUUCCGGAAGUAAGUGCUUACGUCCAGUUUCUGGUACUAUUAACAACCUGUUGUAAUGCUGAGCACUUCCAUGUUUUCACUAUAGUAACCUAGUUCUUGUUUAAAAAUGAAUGUUCUGGAUUAAAUUUGCUACUUACCUACCACGAGUCAUAUGUAGCCAUAUGAAAGCUAUCUAUGAAAGCUAUAUCUAAUUCUGAUUUUUAAGUAUUUGUUCGUAUUACUCAUUUUCCUUCUUGUUGAUGCUUACCUUGCAAGAAUAUAUCGUUUGCCCCAUCAUAUAUCAAAAGAGGUAAUGAAAAUUGAGAACUAACUGAGAUGCCAGUCAACUUAUAGAUAUUUGUACCAAAGAAGAGUUCCUGGUGUAUCUCCUUCGCUUUCAAGGGACCUGAAUUUGUUAUUGGGAAUUUGUCUGCCUAUGGUUUUUUCUUGACAGGUUGGCCAAGCACGAUAUAAUCUCGACUGACUGUAAACUGUUUUUGCGGCCACAUGUUACUCCACCCUCUUGAGAUUUACUUCAGAUUUUGAAACAUAUUUAGGAUAUACCAUUAUGAUAAUGGAGCUAUCUGUAGAAGUUUGAUGUCUGUAUUUGACUUUUUUCAGAAUCCCUCUCUUUAAUCUGAAGUUUGAAUAUGGUUUUGACUUCCUCUCUGGAUGAUCAUCUCUUUCUUAGGAUGACAAAGUGGAAGAAGAGGGGUGUCUUGCUGAUUCUGACUCUGUUUAUCUGAAGAAACUGGGACUUUCUAUUUGCACAUCCCUUAUCUUUGGGUUGUCUUGCUGAUGUCGAAUCUCUAGCUUGAUGCAUUGAUAUGUGUGUUCACAGCUCCUUCGUUUCUUCAUCAUCGCUGACAAAUAUCGAGCAUUGUUGAUAAUGGAAUGCCAGAGAUUUUGCUCUUCCUUAUAUUUGGUGGCAUAAUUGGGCUGAACUGCAACAAGGUAUUGUCAAUCCAACGUUACUGAACUGUUCGCAAACUUUCUGCAUUUCCAUAUUGCUAAGAUUUGGACAGGUUAGUGAGGUCAUGCUUCAAUCUCAAGUUCACUUCACUUGGCAGAGGUGAGAUUUAGAAUGACACAUGUCCUCUGUACUAGCUUAUGUGCUGUGAUUCUUAUUUUGGAUUUUACAUCAGGUGUCACGUUUGUUUUCAUAUUUAAAAAGGAGUUUCUACGGGAAAAGAAAUUUUUUUGCAGAUUAUGCAACUAUAGUGCCAACCUUAGAAAAAAAUGGAAAAGUGCAGCGAGGAAGGCUAUUCUCAACAAUGGAGUGGCCAUUGAAUUUAAUAGAGCGCUAAUGCUGAUAGGUUGGCUAGAGAGAAUCCAAGUUGUGUGAUUCAAAGAACAAUAUCUGUUGUGGAGCACAUCCUAUCUGUGGUUUAAGAUUGUCUGCUCUUUUUGAACACUUAUGUUUUCUUUUGUCGUAGUUAAGUCACCAAAACAUCUAGAAGAUAAGAGUUAUCAGGCUUUCAUUGUGGUGUGGCCAGAUAAGAGAAGAACCAGAUCCUUUUGUUGCUGCUCAAGUAGUGAUGGAUGCCUUGAGAUUGCAGGAAACGUGUGUUGCCAACAGAGCAAUAGACAUGUUUUUGGCAUCUAGGCGGCAGCCAUAUUGUAAUUCUUGCUUCAUAAUGAUUAUGUGAUCUUUUUUUGAUCUGUGGGUGAAGUUCAUACUGGCCAAACCACUUAACCAUGCUUUGUUUAUAUACGUGUGGUUGGUUUAGGUUUGAUGAAAUGACAAAACAGAAAAAUAAACAAGUCCUUUGGUAGUUGUUCGAACCAAAUUAAGUGAUGAUCUAUUGCCUUUUCUGAAAGGGUGAGUCCGGAUGGUGAACGGUUCCAGUUGAUUCUAUUCCCUUCAAUUUUCAUCAAAGAGGAUGUUAUUGAGUAGUUCUCUUUCUUUUGUAGGUCAGAAUUAACUACGAUGUGGAGUGUCCUUCAAUCCGUGAUGGUUUUUUCUAGCUGGAUAUUAGAGUAAUGAUUUGCUUGGACAAGAUCUUGAUUCUUAGGCAUUUUAAUCUGAGUUCAGUUGGUUUUGGAAGGUCAACAACUAUAGACUUUCUGUGGUUGUAGGAAUUGUUUAGGAGUCUGGAAAGCACGAGGUCCACAUUAGUUCUGGCUUGCUUCUCUUCAUUCUUAUCUCUUAUGUGAGCUGCAAUCACUGAUUGGAUCGCUUGUAAAUUAUGUAGAUAGUUUGUGUAAGUUUUAUUGAUCAUGGUGCUCUUACAAUAGAUAAUUGGAAAAUCUUAGUUUGGUUGGCACUUCUGACUUUUGAUUUAUUAAUUCUCUUAACUGAUUUCGGAUGGGUUUUUUGAAUGCUGUAAGAUAUAGCUCAUGUGCUUUGGCAGAUUAGAGCCUUUCUCUGUGGGAUUGGAUGAAGAACUUUUCAUUGGCUUGGUAGUAUGACUGGUAUGCUUUCUAUCAAUGAUAUUUUGUUUGUUUUACCUUCUUUUUCUUUCAUGAAACUAUUGUGAAUGUUAUUUUUUCACUGAAUUUUUGCUUUUGAUCUUCUUAGGCGCACAUUCACUCAGAAAUACAUUUUUUUGCAUAUGUAUUGACUUGGUGUAAGUCUAUUUGAAUUGAGUGUGGUAAAUUUGGCUUAAUUGAAGAACUUUUGUCUGGUUAUUUAUUGUACUUAAAUUAGAUGAUAUUUGAUAUUGUUGAGUGAUUAAGAUGGCAAUCUUUAAUGCUAAGGUAGUAUGCUGGUGUGACCUACUGCCAUUUUUUUCUCUAUAUUAUUUGGGACUGUGCUGGAUAGGUUUUUUCCUACUUUUUUUUUUUUACACUGUUUUUUGCAUUUACCUGAGUAGUUUGCCAAAUCUUUUACUAAAUGCUGUCAUAUGUAGUGUUUUUCAAUUGUAGUUGAUGUUGUUUGUCCAAUGAUCUCUUUCAUCUUCUAAGGAUGAUAAGUACAAUAAAAGUGGUCAUUAUGCAUUGAAUAUUGUGUUUAGGCUUCUUGGAGGGGAGUGAUGACCCUUUUUUGCAGUCCUGUUUGGUUCAGUUGCUGAGUGGUCUUCAGGAUGGACUAUGGACUGAAAUUGUGAAGAUUUCUAGGCAUUUUCUAGCUUUGAUUGAAAUUCUUCUUCAGUUUAUUAUAUCUAGUUUCAAGUUCUAGUCCUUCUACAGGGGUCGGGUCAAGCCAGGUUAGAAAUGUGGUGAUCUACUGCUUUUUUCUGCGGGGCUAACUUGAUGAUCGUUUGAAAUUGGAGAAGCAGCCACUUCUUGGUUUCUAGGCAGUCUUUGGUUUGAAUGAAGUUCGUUCUCAAGAUUCCGUUUUUUUUUUUUUUUUUUUUAGUGAAGGUGAGACGAUCAGGGCUAUUUUUCCUCCACUGGUAAGAGUUUUUGGUCAAUAUAAUUCUCUUCAGAUUCGAUGGGAAAUGUCUUCAAUCUGGGAUGGUUCUUCCUAGCCUAUAAUCUUUAUUUCUUUAGUCAGGCUCUUCUUUCUUUGAGCACUUCUAUUGGUUUUUGUUUGGGUUUAACAUUAACUCUCUUCCAUUGUAAGGAUUUUUUACAAGGCAGGAAACUUUGAGGCCCGCUAAGUUCUGGCUAGUACCUCUUCUUUCUUAUAUGCAUGAGCAAUAAUUACUAAUUCGAUUGCUGUGUCUAAAUCAUGGAGAUAGUUUAUUAUGUGCAUGCGCAGUAUCUUUCUUAUGUGGGAUUUAUUCAUCUUUGCUUUUUUUCGUUGUUCCAGCUCCACACAAUACCUAGUUUUCUUAGGCUUUCAAUUUAUACGAUCACCGUGUUUUCUUUUGGUACAGAAUCUUUGGUGAAAUGUUUUUAUUAAUCAGAUGAUUUAUGUACUAUAGUUUUUUGUUGAGGAAUGGUCUUGAUCAAAUCUUAGAAGUUUCUGGUUUGCUGCAGAAAAUUUCUUCAUUUUCGCAUUGCCUCUUCGAAAUUCUGCCAGGAUCAUGCACAUCAUUUGUGUUCACGCUCCUUCUAUUUACUUGUUUUGCAAGCUAUUCUGUAUUUAUAAUACAGAAGAUUAGUAGUAGUUACUUUUAUCUUGGAGCAAUCUCUUUGAUUGGAUAAGCUCUUCAUUCUUUGGCACGUGACUUAUCAUCCCAUUUUCUCUAAUCUUAUUUAGCACUGUGGUAACAGGAUAGGUAUUUGCCCCCUUAUGCAUAUAUGAGUUGUUCUAAUAUGUGUGUUGUCUGCUUAUAAUAUGACCGAGAAUGUCAUUACAUCAAGAAUUGAAUGGCUAUCGAGUGUGUCAAGAAACAUUCAUUAUUCAAGAAAUGUUCGAUCGUGUUGUCUGCUUAUGAUAUGAAUUAGAUCUGAGUUACAUCAUGAAGUAAAUGACAUUGAGGGUGACAAAAUGAAAAAUUCUUUAUUCAAGAAUUGUUCAUUCUCCAUUAUCAUACCUUCUCAAUUUGUGUGUAUUUUGUUUUUUACAUUAUGUGGUCAUUUUCCAUGUGCAUGUAUUUGGUUCAUCCCUAAUCACUUUGGUCAUGCUUUUAUGAUAGGGUCUCUAAGGACUAGUUUCACUACGCUUUGAGGGUUUGACCUUCGAUGUAAGAUCUCUAGUUGUCAUUGGAUCGCCACCUAUUUGAAAUACAUGCAACAAGAGAGUACUUUAGUCUUCUUAGUUGAAAUAAGACAAGUGGGUUUUCUUAGCCUAAAUUUUUCACAGCAGUAUGCAAUUUUUUUUUUUUUUUUUGGUGGUGAGGAACAUUGUUUGGGACAUUUUUACAAAUCAAAUGAUUUUGUAGGUGAAAUAGGUUGUUUUGAGUUUGUAGUGCCAACUUGAUUUUAGGUUCUCUUUGAUUGCUGGGACUAGGAAGACUUUUCUGCGAGGACCUUGAUAUUUACUUUGUUGCAGACUGUUGGCAUCUCGUUCUGAAAAAGAUGUACUGGGAGGGGAUGAUGCAGCAUAGCCACUGAAACAUAACUUCCAUUGGCAUUGCUUGCUCUCUGACCAGCUGCUGAUAUUCUCAAUUUCUUAUCCAUCACAAAACUGUGUUGUUUCAUUUAAGUUGUGGUCAGUAAAUGGCUGGUCAGGCUGGGAGGAUCAGACACUGGGUGCUUAGUUGGCAUAUUUGUCAUAUUUUGUAGUUCUUUAAGAUGGGUGAAUUUCUGUUCAAAAAAAAAAAAAAAGAUGGGUGAAUUUGAAGUGGCAUAUGACCAUCCUGCAGGGGAUAAGCUUUGGUUGAGGUUUUAACAUAUCUGGUAAGCAUGAAGUUUAGUCUACUUCCUCUUUGCAUUUCUUAUGAUAUCCUUAUAUACAGAUGGUGACCUUCUACUGCAUACGUAUAGUUUAAUUUAUUUGUCAAGCAUAGUUCUUGAAGCUCUGUAGGGCUUUGAGUUAAUAGAUCUCAAUUUAAUAUACAGUUCUAGAUGUAUCUCUUUCUCAUCAGUUCUAUGAGGUUGUUUGGAGUCAUCUUCCUUGUAAUUGAGAUAUUAAACAGUUGCUUUAUGAUCGAUUUCUUUUGCUUUGAUAUUUUCUUUGAAGGCACAAAUAAAGAUCUGGCUGGGUCUAUUUCCUGAAAAUUGUUGGUGAAUGUUCUGCUUAUAGUCAAAAGGUUUAUCAAACUCAUUAAGGUUUAAGUCUGCCUCUGAUCAAAUCAAUCAGUUUGGUGGCUUCCAGGCUGUAUGGAUUUUUUGAGUCUUUUGAUGGGAGCUUGAUAAAGUUCGGAGCGAUCUCAUUAAGAAUGUUAUGUGAGGAUGCUAAUGUAUCAAGCAAUUAAAGAAUUCAAGUUCUCCAGUUGGUGAAUGUAGGAGUUUAUCAUCUAAUGCAUUUAUGUUCAGGUGAGCUACUUAAUGGUUGAUCUCCCUUGUGGAUUUGGGUGACAAGCGAUGUUGGAAUCUUUCUAUAUGGAUUGUCUAUAGCUGCUUAAACUCCACAAAUAUUUGGUUUAUAAUACGUCCAUUUUUAAGGAUUAGAGGAGACACGACGAAUCAUUAUCUAGAUCUGGUUUAUAGUUCUCCUGUUGUAGGUCGGAGUCUUCUUGUCGCAAAUCAUGAUGAAGAUUUAAUAAAACUAAGUCAUCCUCUUGACAUUCAACUAUUCUAAACCGAAAGGAUGAUGUAUUAUUACUGAGAAAAAAUACGAGAAGCUGAAAAAAUCUUUACGAGAUUAUAUAUAUACUCUGUCAAAAUAGAUGUUACAUAUAUCCUCUAUGUCAUCAUCCUUUAUAAAGAUGUACAACAACAGUUUACACGAGAAUGAGAGUUCCACUAGGUGUUUGAUAUACCGGCCAUCUCUAGGUCUUUUUCUGCCAUAGAAAUCAAGUCUAUGAGAAGGAAAUCUUCAUAUAGAUCUAUUUCUUUUUUACCAGAUUAAAUUGAAUUGUUUUUUUCACCUUGGAAUUUCUGCCUUGAUAGUGGAGGAAUGUUGCUUCCAUAAAUAUAUUUCCCUUUCACUUUUCCCUUGUAUUGGUAGUUUCUGAUUAUAUUUUGUUAAGCGUGGCUGGCUGAAUGUUGUAACCAUCAGUACAUAGAAUGGGUAUUUUUUCCAUUUACCAAGUCUUUUUAUUCGAUCUACAUGCUUUGUUUAUGCUAUGGAACUUUCCCAAGGUUUUACCUCGCCUCCAAGAUUUUGCCAUGGUUAUGGGCAUCAUUAGUUUAUUGUCGAUUCAUUCAUCAUUGAUCUUUUGGUUAAUUUGUUAACGUGCUGAUUCUGGAUUUGAUUAUUUGGUGAAUUGGCAGUGGCUUCUUUCUUCUUGGAGCAUUCAUUUUGUCUGAGGAUAAUUAAUACAAUGAAACUUGGUUAGUUGGCUACGUAGAGUAGGGUACUUGGGCUUUGUAUGGAGGACUGAUGAUCUAUUUUGCAGUCUUUUGAUCGUCAUCAGGAUGAACAAUGUAAUGAAAUUUUGACAACCUUCUGGGCACUUACUCGUUCUUCAGUUUAUUAUCUUUAUGGAGUGUCUAGAUGAUUAUUGUCCAGUUGUAAUUCUUUUAACAGGUCGAAAGUUCAUCUGGAUUUGACAGCUGAUGAUCAGACGUCCUUUAAUGGGGGCUGAAUUGAUGAUUUUUUGAAUGUAAGUUAGGUCCUGCUUAUUGGAUUUUAGGCAUUUAUUGGGUUGAAUGAAAUUUGUCCUCCACUUUUCUAGUUAAGGUAAAACGAUCAAUCAGUUCCAAGUUCCUCUUUUCCUUUGCAAGUCAGAGUUUGGUUGAGGCAACACUGUGCCUCAUGUGAAGUUGCAGCAUAAGCAUCAAUUCAUAGGACAAGCUCUUCUUGCAGAGUUCUUUCUUGUCUGCAAAGGUCACACAAGGUAUGGCUUGUUCCUCUUCAUUCUCAUGUGUGUGCUACAAUUUCAAAUUGGAUUCUAGUAAAUCAUAGAGAUAGUGUAUGUACGAUUGUAUGUGUCAUGCUUCUUUCCCUAGCCUAGAAUUGGCUCCAGCCAGUACCUAGUUUGCUCCUCUUUUGUUUUACACGUCUUCAAUGUCUUCUUUUGGUAUAGCGCAUAAGGUGCUUUCAUGCUUUUUCGGCACGAUUAGGUCCUCGGGUUGGUUGGACACUGUUAAUGGCUAUAUAUGUCUAUUUGUUGGUUUUCUUUGGUUAUUGAUACUAAGAGGACUUGUUGCUGAUAAAAUUGAACGACUUCAGUGCAUGCUGGUGGCAUCUUAUUUGAAAUGUCGAACUUCAGAUAUUUAUCAUGAUUUUUAUUCCAACAUCUUCUUAUUUUGUUCUAUCUGUCAAGCUUGAUGAGCCAAUUACUUUCUUGGUCUAAUUUUAGAAGCAUCUAGCUUAUUGCAAAAGCUUAAUUUCUUUCGUUUAGCAUUGCCUCUUUGGGACUGCCACAGUCAUGGUCAUCUUUACAGUCUACACUCCUUUUAUUAUUCUGUUUAUGGAUUUGUUAUUCAAUGGAUUGGAAGUAGCUUCUUUUCCGUUGGACCCCAUCUCUACUCGUCCGAGGAAGUUUGUGUAAGGCGUCUGAGCUUCGUUUGGGACUGACGACUCCUUUCGAUAAGGGUUGUCGGGUGAUGAAACUGAAAUGACGAUAACCUCCUGCAUGGAUACUUCUGCUCUGACUGAAAUUCAUUCUUAAUUAAGGCUUCAUUUGUUUCACUAAAAAUAUUUUCCUAGGAAAGCUUUUUCCACGAUUUUUCAUUAACCGGAAAAUACCCUUCUAAAACUAAGAAAAUGAUUUAUCGGGCUUCUUUGCGCAUCCUCUGUCUCCUUCUCCAUCUCGUGAUGGAGAGAGAUGGCGAGCUCAUCUCUUCCCUGCAAAUUUAAAGCCCUCUGCCUCAGCGCCUCUUCUUCUCCUUCUUCUUCUCGCAGUCGCAACGCUUUCAAUUCCCUCGGAUUCUCCGCUAGCCUCUUGCACGACGUUUUCUCCGGAGAAAACCUCGACGGCAACCUUCCGAUUCCACAGGCUGGCUUUAUUCCUCAAGUCUGACUUUCGUGUUCGGUCUUCGUUUUCAAGUCGUUUGUUGGUGAGCAAUGGCGAGAAGAACCCGCCCCAUUUCUCUAUCACGUGUGAGGCCACUCCGACGAAGAGGUCGGACUCCGCCGCCAAGAGGGCUCGCUAGGCCGAAAAGAGGCGCAUUUACAACAAAGCUCAUAAAUCUGAGAUUAGGACGCGUAUGAAGAAGGCGUUUGUUUCGGUUAAUUUGAUUACUGUGCGAAGCAUUCUAUAAUACGCGCUACCGGACCACCGUCCUUCGGUGAAGUCGUCCGAAUGAUUUUUGCUGUAUAUGCUGGGGUGGUGGUUCUGCUACAUCGAAUUUUGUUGAUUAGGUUGUGGCUAUUAAAUUUGUCAAAAUGAAUCUUAAACUCAUAUACGACCCAAUUUAAAACGUAAAUGAGUCUUAUAUGAGUCACUUAAUUUUGACAAGACCAUCUUAAAUGGGUUGAGUUUAGAACCCAUUUUCAAUUCAUUAACUCAACCCAUUAGGCUCAUUCACACUUUCUCUUCAUCUUUUAGAGAUAUUUAUAAAAAAAAUCGAAAUUCCUUUUUUUUUCUUUUCUUCUUCCUUCUUCCAUUUCCUUCACUAGUGGCUGGUGACGGCAACCGCUGGCUAGGUGAGCUUGAGCUCAUCGAUCGGGCAAGGCCGAGACCUCUCUGAGGUCAAUCCUCGCCAAUCCAGCGAGAAUUGACCUCGUCGACGACUGGGCGUAGACCUUGCCGAUUUAUCAAGGCUCGAGCUCGACCUCAAAUGAUAGGUGAAGCCUCAUCUGAGGUUGGCAAGGUUUGGCUUGCUAGCCAUCGCAGUGGCCGGUAAUCAGUGAAGGAAAAGGAAAAAGAAAAAAAAAAAAAAAGAGGCCAUCUUAAUAAAUGCAAAAAGGAAGUGGCAUGGAGCUCAUCUUAAUAAAUGCAAGGUGGUCUUUGUGAACUUGAGAAGAGAGGCCAACGUACAAGAUGUCUCUUUCCCAUGUGAGCAUCAUGAAGUGCAGUAAUAAUUAUUCUAUGGUCAUUGCAACCGGAUGAUGGAGACUCACUUCUACAUUAUAAAAGAGAGCAAGAGAUGUGGGACAAGAAUUGCACCGAGGUGGCUUAGAGAGCACCAAGUUCCUUUGGUGGCUAAGAGUGCACCAAGUCCUUGGUGGCUAGAGAGAAGAGAGUGCGCCAAGUUCUUUAGUGGGUGAGAGGGUUGAGUAUUGUUGUAAUUACACCUGAGUAAUUUAGCUAGACAAAUUCUAAAAUUUGUUUAAUUCCUUGAGUGAGGUUUCACUAAAAAUUGUGAGGGGCUAAAUACUCUGAACUUGAGAAGAGAGGCCAACAUACAAUAUGUCUCUUUCCUAUGUGAGCAUCUUGAAGUGCAAUAAUGAUUAUUCUAUGGUCAUUGCCACCAAAUGAUGAAGACUCACUUCUACAUUAUAAAAGAGAGCAAGAGAUGUGGGACAAGAAUUGCACCGAGGUGGCUUAGAGAGCACCAAGUUCCUUUGGUGGCUAAGAGUGCACCAAGUCCUUGGUGGCUAGAGAGAAGAGAGUGCGCCAAGUUCUUUAGUGGGUGAGAGGGUUGAGUAUUGUUGUAAUUACACCUGAGUAAUUUAGCUAGACAAAUUCUAAAAUUUGUUUAAUUCCUUGAGUGAGGUUUCACUAAAAAUUGUGAGGGGCUAAAUACUCUGAACUUGAGAAGAGAGGCCAACAUACAAUAUGUCUCUUUCCUAUGUGAGCAUCUUGAAGUGCAAUAAUGAUUAUUCUAUGGUCAUUGCCACCAAAUGAUGAAGACUCACUCCUACAUUAUAAAAGAGAGCAAGAGACGUGGGACAAGAAUUGUGCCGAGGUGGCCGAGAGAGCACCAAAUCCCUUUGGUGUCUAAGAGUGCGCCAAGUCCUUGGUGACUAGAGAGAAGAGUGCGCGCCAAGUUCUUUGGUGCUUGAGAGGGUUGAGUGUUGUUGUAAUUACACCCGAGUAAUUUAGCUAGACAAAUUCUUGUGAGUAGAAUUUGUUUAAUUCCUUGAGUGAGGUUUCACUAAGAAUUGUGAGGGGCUAAAUACUCUGAACUUGAGAAGAGAGGCCAAUGUACAAUAUGUAUUUUUCCCAUGUGAGCAUCAUGAAGUGCAAUAAUGAUUAUUCUUUGGUCAUUGCCACCGAAUGAUAAGACUCACUUCUACAUUAUAAAAGAGAGCAAGAGACGUGGGACAAGAAUUGCGCCGAGGUGGCCGAUAGAGCGCCAAGUUCUUUUGGUGGCUAAGAGUGCGCCAAGUCCUUGGUGGCUAGAGAGAAGAGAGUGCACCAAGUUCUUUGGUGGUUGAGAGGGGUGAGGAUUGUUGUAAUUACACCUGAGUAAUUUAGCUAGACAAAUUCUUGUGAGUAGAAUUUGUUUAAUUCCUUGAGUGAGGUUUCUUCAAGAAUUGUUAGGGGCUGGGAAACACUGAGAGAAUGUUUGAGUGCUCAAGUGAUUGUAAUCUCCAUUGUCUCACUUGUUUUUUAGUGGAAUUCCAUACUGCUCUUCCCAUGAACAUAAGUUCUGAUAUUCAAACCGUAUCACAUAAAUUUGAUGGUCAAUUUCCUUUCCCUCCUUCCAAAUAAUUUUAUCCUACUCGUUUGUCUAUAUUCACAACAAUUGAUAUCAAAGCUAGUGUUGGCUAACGUGAAGCGAAUUGAUAACGAUGGAGGAAGAAAAGGUGAGAAUCACCGAUUUGACGGGAACGAUUUUGCUUUCUAGAAGAUGCAGAUUGAAGAUUAUCUGUACUAGAGAAAUUUGCACUUACCAUUAUAUGGGGAGAAACCAUAAUCAAUGAAGUAUGCCAAGUGGGAAUUGCUAGAUAGACAAGUGAUGGGUGUUACUCUGUUGAUGUUGGCUCGUAACAUCAUGUUUAAUAUCGUGAAGGGGAAAACCACUACGGAACUAAUGAAAGCCCUGUCAAAUAUGUACAAGAAGCCCUCCGUGAUCCAAAAGGUCUAUUUGAUGCAACAUAUGUUUUACUUAAAAUGGGCAAAGAUACAUUAGUGGUUGAGCAUAUCAAUGAAUUCAAUGAAGUCGUUAACCAAUUGAAUUUGGUUGAAAUCAACUUUGACGAUGAGAGAUGUGCACCGAUUUGGUUGAAAUCAACGUUGAAGAUGAGAUAUGUGCGCUGAUUCUAUCAUCCUCAUUACCUGAUAAUUGGAAUACUACUAUUACUGUUGCUAAUAAUUCAUUUGGGUCAAGGAGCUUGACAUUUGAUGAGGUUCAUAAUUUGAUUUUGAGUGAAGACAUUCUUAGGAAAAAAUUUAGUGAACCUAUACCUAUUGCCUUAGUAGGUGAAAGUAGAAGAACAACUAAUACAUGUGUUAAUAAGAGUAGUAUAAAUACGAAUAGAUGUAGUCAAUUUAGGAUUAUAGGAGUUGUCUAUUGGACUUGUGGCAGGAGUGGGCAUGGUAGAAGAGACUCUAUUAUGCUGAAAAAUGAAAAGGGUAAGAGAAUUAGAGUUGAGUCUAUAGAAUAAUUCUGAUAAUGUAGAUUGUGUCUUGUCUAUCAUUGAGGAUUCAUCAUUUGAUGGAUGGAUAAUGGAUUUUGGUUGUUCAUUUCACGCUACACCAAAUUGGAACUAGUUUAUCACUUAUCAGUGCACGGAAAAUGGUAAAGUCCAGUUAGCAAACAACACUGAGCAUGAUGUUGUGGGUGUUGGUGAUGUUAACAUCAAAAUGUAUGAUGGUAUUGUGAGGACAUUGACCAGAGUAAGUCACAUCCCGAAGUUGAAAAAGAAUUUAAUUUCCUUAGGUUCCUUAGGUUCAGUUGGCUAUGGGUAUUUUUUAGAAGGUGGAAUGUAAAGGUUAUUUGAGGUGCCCUGGUGAUAUUGAGAGGAAUCAAGCACGGAAACAUGUAUGAACUUCAAGGUGAGACAGUGACAGGUUUCAGUUUGAAGACAUCAAAUACAUCUGUUCAAGAGUCUAUCAACUACUUGAUAAAGACCUGGGCGUUUGUACCGAUGCACAAAUUUGAUGCCGUUGUCAGGAACAUACAAUUGAAAACUUUGAUUGAGAUGAAGACUGAUUAGUCGAUCAAGCAUAUGUGAAAUAAUAAUAGCAUGGAAGUUUGCUCAAAGCUAGUAAAUAAAUUCUGCAUGAAGGAAGGCAUAAUGAAACACCGCACUAAUACCAAUAAACCAUAACAAUUUUUUGCAAAAUUGAUUAGCAAAUCAUUAUUAAAGACUGACGGUAGAAUGAUCUCUAGUGCUGGUGUUGGUAGGAGAAUCUUGGCUGACAUGCUUAGUAUGGUGAGCUACUAGGUAAAUACAUCCCCAUCAAUUGCUAAUGAUUGGUGGACUCCCGAAGAAGUAUGGUCAAGUAAUGUUACUAGUUAUUCUAUUCUUAGAAUGUUUAGUUGCGCGUGUUAUUUUCGAGUGAAUGAUGGUAAGCUCGAUGGGAGGGCAAGGCAUAUUCCAUGGCUAUGCAUAAAGCGGGGCAGUCAAUUGUGGUGCCCUGAUAUAAAAUCACCUGUUAAUAGCAGAGAAGUUACCUUUGACAAGUCUCCAAUACUUUUGGCUAAGAGUGUUUGUGGCAGUGUUGAUAUGGAUCUGGACGGUGUUUAGCUCAAGGUGAAGUUACAACCAGAAACUCUUUAGGUAGUAGGUACUAGUAGAAUAAUUGACACAUAUGAUACUAGUAGCGAGAUGGAGUUAGUAAAGCCAACGGUUGCUUUAGUUACUAAAUUUGACAAUGUGCAUGUUUGACCUUCUGUCAAAUACGAAAGCAACGAUGGUUUUGUUUUAUUUGUGGUACCGGAGGUUAUGUCGAAAAUCCUUAUGGACUAGCUAACUAUGCAAGUGGAGUUGGCAUCUUGAUAAGGUCCACGGUUGUGGUAAAAUUUAAGUGUGGCUCAAACUUGGAAGCACUUUGUGGUGGUUGAUCCCAUUGGGGCUGUGGGAGAGUAGUGGCGAGUUUUUCAUUGAAGCGAUUGUGACUUGACUUAAACGUCGAGCCAAGGUGGAGAUUGUUUAAAAUAUGUCUUGAGUUUGAGCAUAUUAAACAAUACUCGAUGUAAAAAAAUAAGACUGACCGACCUUGUGAUUUUGUAAGACUUCUUCUUCGAUCCAGCUACACAUGAUUGCAUUUAUGUUUAGCCCCUACUGUGAUAAGAAGAAAAUUGCGUAUGGAUUUCAUUUUGCAUUUAUCUCUCUACAUGUGUAGAAAGCAGUAAAAAAAACUUGCGUGUUUUAUUGACUCUCUUUCCUCGGUUCUAUGCGGAGCUGUGAUCGAAGUCAAUGAAGAGACUUGCCCAAGCACUAAAUAUGGGAAUUCCUCUAUCUACGUAUGAAAUAAAGGAAUCCCUGUGAAGAAGCACGUGGAGGCUUCAGUCGGAAGAGCAAUUAAAAAGGAAGUUGCUUGGAGCCCAUCUUAAUAAAUGCAAGGUGGACUUUUUGAACCUGAGAAGAGAGACCAAUAUACAAGAUGUCUCUUUCCCAUGCGAGCAUCAUGAAGUGUACAAUGGUCAUUGCCACUGAAUGAUGAAGACUUACUUUUGCAUUACAAAAGAGAGUGACAGACGUGGAACAAGAAUUGUGCCAAGGUGGCCGAGAGAGCAUCAAGUCCCUUUGGUGGCCAAGAGUGCGCCAAGUCCUUGGUAGCUACAGAGAAGAGUGUGCCAAGUUCUUUGGUAGUUGAGAGGGUUGAGUAUUGUUGUAAUUACACCUGAGUGAUUUAGCCAAAUAAAUUCUUGUGACUAGAAUUUGUUUAAUUCCUCGAGAAAAGUUUUACUAGAAAUUGCAAGAGGCUAAACACUGUGAAUUAUUAGGUGUAACUGGGGGCUGAGAAAUACUAAGAGUGUUUGAGAGCUCAAGUGAUUGUAAUUUCCAUCAUAUCACUUGUUUCUAUAGUGGAAUUUCUAUGCCGCUCUCCCAUGAAUGUACGUUUUGAUAUUCGAACCAAACCACGUAAAUCUGGUAUUCGAUUUCCUUUCCUCCCUUCGGACUAAUUUUAUCCAAUUUCUUGUCUAUAUUCACAAUAGAUCUCCUCAUGCUAGAUAACACAGCCUCAUCUUCUCUCGGCCACUCCAAGAUAAACCCCAUCGCUUCUUGAGAUGGAAAGAAGUAGGUGUAACGAUAUUCUUGGAAGAACGAGUUUACAAGAAUAUAGGACUUCCAAGCGUUGACGGAUAAUCUCGGAUUCAAUAUUAGGAUUUGGAUUUAGUUUUCUACUUAAAUACACAUCGUGUGAAAACUGGAAUUUUUCUUAGAUCAAAUUGUUGUUCCAGCCCAGUUCUUUAGUUUAACAGUACUGGCGCAAAUCUAUCUAUGAAGAAAAUCGGUGCUUGGUUUAUAAACUAUGUAGACCAACGCUACAUCAAUCAUUAAUUAUGUGGGUCCGAGAAUGUGAGAUUCAUAUGAUGGACAGCCUUGACAUUGGAUCUCCAUGCUAUGCAUAUUUGGGUAUAUUGAGUAGUCUCUAAAGCACUUACACCAGGUGGCUCGAUCGUAUGACAUAGUCAAAUGAUGAAGUCUCUUUGCAUAUCAAAGCUAAGACAUAAUAUGAAUAAUGAAAAGUAAUACACUAACCAGCAAACUCAUAUAAUGCUCCGGUUUAAUUUCUGCUAAGACAUAAUAUGAAUAAUGAAAAGUAAUAAACUAGCCAGCAAACUUGUAGGACGCUCGGGUUUAACUUCUGCUAAUGUAGGCAUUCCCUUUCCAAUUUGUAGCACCAGAUUUUUGCCACUGCCAAACUCACAGCUUGAACUGCUGCAGAGCUGAAGUCCCAUCGCCUUUCGCAUUCGCGCUGAAGUGGGAAACGUACUCCAUGAUGGUGGUUUCUCUGUACUUUGGUGGAUCGCCCUCGGAAAUCAACUCCUUAAUGGGUCCGUACAGUUUUGGUGAUGGCGGCGUUGCUGUGUAGAAGAAGCACGCCACAGACGCUCUCGGCCCCAUGUUGUUCGCCACAACUCUGUGCUCGGAGCUCUUGAAUAUGUCAUUUGAGAUAAGCUGAAAAAAAUAGUCUGGUUUGUGAUUAGAAGUGCACACUCAACUGCUGGAUAAAGAGUUAAGGCAUAAAGUGCUGUUUGUUGAUUCAUUCGUGUGCCUAACAGGGUCUCUAGUGAUAAAACGUAGGGAGAGAGAGUACGUUAGGUGAGACUUGCCUGAAGCAGAUCACCGAUGUUAACUAUCAGUGCUCCUGGCACGGGGCUCACAUCGAUCCACUGAUUCUGAUAAAGAACUUGGAGGCCUCCGACAUGGUCUUGCAGGAGCACGGUGAGGAAGUCGCUGUCUGUGUGCCUGCUGGUCCCCAGAGUGAGCUCUGGUUGUGGGCAUUUGGAGUAGUACUGGUUCAGAAGGACGAGUCCCUUGGCGCACUCCAUGUCCUUCAGAUGGUUCGGCUUCAACCCCAGCGCCUCCGACAGUAGUUCGAACAAGGUGGUUCCCAAAUUCAUCACUCGCUUCGAGAAUUCCAGCAUUAUGUCACUAGGGUGUUCAAAAAUUUAGUGGGUCAAUUCGUCACAAAUUCCUAGUCCGUUAGAAGCAGACACCCCAACAAGUUAUUAUAAGAGAUUGCGGUUAUAUAUUCUGUGGAAUAGCUUACCCGCAUACCGCUGGCAACUCCUCUGCCUCGAGAGCAUUAGGUGCCAUAACACAGAACAGGGUGUCCCUCCAAUUAGCCGCCUCUGUUUUAUACAGAUUGAAAUUGCUGUGGUAGGCGACGCUUGUCGUGAAAUCUCGGGAAUAGAACCGUCUCUUCUCUUCAGCACCUUGCUCAUGGAAACGGCGCACUCCAUCCAGCAUCUCCUCCAGAACAGUCGUGGGGAUCCCGUGAUUCACCACCUGAAAGAAGCCCCAUGUUUUGGAUGCACUUCGAACUUCAUUUACAACCUCCUUGCGCCGAGAUGGAUCUUUCACAAUAUCUGCGAGGUCAACUAUAGGAACAUGGAAGUGGCCGUUGCUCGAUGCCAGUGCACUUUGCAGGUUCUCCGGGUGAUCUACGAAAAUGCGAGGAACUUCUGUAAUCCCAGCAUCAACAAGGCCCUUGACACCUGCCAUUGAUUCAUCGAAAGCCUUUUUCUCGCGCAUCCGAUCGUACUUCUGUGUUUUUUCAUGCGCUUCAUCUCUGCUGAACACUUCCAUUUUUCUUCCUUAGUGAAAACACUUGAGGGUUCCAAGUCCGAUCUUACAUUAAAUAUGGGAGAAAUCGAAAGACAAAGGUCCUGUGGUAUUUAAUGACUGGAUCCAAAAACAGUUGAGAAGAAAGAAAAAUAUUUAAUGACUGGAUCUAAAAACAGUUGAGAAGAAAGAAAGAGAACAAUUAUGUACAUGGCAUCACAAUGAAAGCGGAAAAAGUAUCAAAAUAGUCAUAAACCUUUUGUAUUGGUACCAAGUCAGUCUAAAACUUUUCAAUUGGACCAAUUUCGUCAUAAACCUUUUCAUAUUGGUAACAAUUUAGUCUAUCCAGCUAAUUUAAGUUGGAAAUUGCAAAUGUGGUCGCCGACGGUCUUAUGUGACCGACCAUCGCUGGCCACAAGCUGGUCGGGGCGAGUAAGACCGUCGGCGACCACAUUUGCAAUUUAAACUUAAAUUAGCUGGACGCCGUCACUUGUGGCCGGCGAGGGCGGGGGCCCCUUGCCUUGACCAGCCUGUGGCUGGUGAUGGUCGGCAGGCCAACAACCUCACCGACCAAGGGCUAAGGAGAAAAGAAAAAGAAAAAGAAUUAGAAAAAUAUAAUUUAAAAAAUUAUAAAAUUUGUCCACGUGGCAUCACAUAAGAUUGCCAGCGACCACAUCAGUAAUUUCUGGCUUAAAUUAGCAAGAUGGACUGAAUUGGUACUAAUAUGAAAAGAUUAAGGACUAAAUUUGUCUAAUUGAAAAGUUUUUAANNNNNNNNNNNNNNNNNNNNNNNNNNNNNNNNNNNNNNNNNNNNNNNNNNNNNNNNNNNNNNNNNNNNNNNNNNNNNNNNNNNNNNNNNNNNNNNNNNNNNNNNNNNNNNNNNNNNNNNNNNNNNNNNNNNNNNNNNNNNNNNNNNNNNNNNNNNNNNNNNNNNNNNNNNNNNNNNNNNNNNNNNNNNNNNNNNNNNNNNNNNNNNNNNNNNNNNNNNNNNNNNNNNNNNNNNNNUUAUUCUCUUGUGCCUCGGCCUCCCCCUCAGCCACCAAGUCCGCCAUAUCCUCCACAACUUCCUCCAUCACUCCUAAUUCCAUUGCUAAUUUUAGAUUGGGACACAAGAGCUGAACUAUCUAUCAUAGAUGUACCCUAAAAAGACUCACGAGAUACUCGAAGAACCCGUGCAAAUGUAUCAAUGAGUAACGCAACAGUCUCUCCCCCAAUGAAACCUAAUAGUUUCAUAUUUAGGGCCUAGAUCUCCUAAAAAUCCCAUCAAACAAUUGAAAAGGGGGUCAUCAUCUUGGACCACAUAAGUUAUGAGGAACAUUAGCCAGCUCAUCUUCUAUACUUGAGUACUUCAACGACUUAAUGAGCAUCAUCUAUAUCUAUGUCCGACCGGCCACAGCCAGUUCUGAAACUGAUGUCCAAGUGUAAUUCCCAUCUGCAAAUUGAUAUCAAAUUGAUUUCUGCAGAUUAAAUCAAUUUGCUUGUUCAAAUAAGAAGUCUAUAGCAACAUAGGCUCUCAAUAUGGUCCUUCGACACAAUGAUAGCAUGAAAAAACAUCCUGUUCCAUACACAAUCAAUACAAAUGGCUACUGAGCAAAUUGAAAUUCUAAAACUUGUACUGACGACACUAAUUGUUCAAGAAGGAUUCUGCAUCUCUUCCUUACAGAAAACAUAGAGUUCACAGCUUGAAGUGUUUGAGAGGGGAAGUUUCAUCAAGGCCAUGUUCAUUGAAGUGGGCAAGAUAGUCCCUCACUGUGGUCUCUUUGUAGAUUGGAGGACUGUCCUCGAACGACAGUUCCCUAAUAGGCCCAAAAAGCUUCAAUGACGACUGGAAGCUCGUGCUGAAAUUGUAUCUACUUUCACUCAAAAGUUAAAAUUAACAAGUUAUGGUCCACCAAAUGACUUACAUCACACGAAUUAUUCAAUGUGGGAUUUCUAUAGCAAAACCAAAAAGUUGGCUUUGUUUAUGUGAAAAACAACUUAUUUUAACUUUGCAGUCUAAAAGGCAUUGUUGCCUCCAGGACCGGGACCGCAUUAAUGGAGUUAAAUCUUUCUUUCUUGCUCUCUCUUACAACGAAGAAUACAAGACUGACAAGCAGGAAUACAAUGAAGAUGUUGCUUGGAGUUGUAGAGGAAGACGCAGCUAAGAAAAGACGAGGACAAGUUAUCUUGAAAAGAAAGAUGAUGCUGGGAAUUUCAGGACCCUCGCAUUGUUGGAACACGAAGAAACAACAAUGGGAGGAUCCUUAAAAAUGGGAGCCCGAGAGGAUUUCUCAAUGAGCAAGUCAUGCUGGUAUUGUGCAGCAAUUGGAAGACUGGGACAGGGAUUCAAAUGGCGAGUUAAAGAUGACGAGCAAGGAAUGUUGAUAAGAGGAAUCUGAUGACUCGUUAGCUAUAUCGAAUACAAGCAAUAAUAAAGCCAAGACGGCGACUGCUCCAAGCUUGAAGUGACUGAGAAACGACGUGGAAUGAGGAAGCAAGUUAAUACAAAGAUAUGCUGAAACUUCAAUUGAAAGUGGCCUUGUAUCAUCCCCUAAACUAUACUUAAAAGAGGGAGAAAAGCAUACCCCAAUGUUACAUGAUCGAAACUGAAUAGAAACUCACCAAAGUGGCGAUUUAGGCUAGCCAAAUGCCCCAUGAGAACGCUCCUAAAAAAGGGUUGUUCUACCGUGUCGUGCCCCUGCACAUGGCAAUCCAUCGUGCCCGAGCUGUAGGCUAACAUAAAACAUUAGUGAUCUAACCAUCAAAAUUGUUAAUGACAUUCAACUGCUAAUAUCGUAGAUAAAGCAUUACACUCUUAGGUAAGAUAGGAAACCCUGCCACAGCUGUGAAAAAUACGUGAAGCACUAAAACACCGAUUUCAAAAGAGUAGUCUUCCUCAUGAUAGUUUAUUUGAAAUAUAAUCCAACUAAUUAUCCACGACCAUAAAAACAAAGCUCGCAAAUGAGCACUUCCAAUUCACACCCCCCCCCCCCCCCCCCCCUUCUUCAUUCAUGAUCUUAAAACAUCAUAGAUCAGUCGAACAAGAUAAUCCUCUACAGAGUUUCACUUUGGAUCAGUAAACUCGGCGACUCAGGCAACUCACAGAUUGGAGGGAUCAACAAGAACAAGUACGGUAAACCUAACCAUGAUUCCCUUUCUUAUUUUUCCUUCGAAAGCAGAAAGCCUCUUCUAAAUGCACAAUAGUUACAUAAGCACGAGCUUGCCAGGCACUACAAACAUAUACUCUAUUCAAUUUAACCACAUCUGGAUGCUUUGCCAGGGAGCUAAUGCGCUGAAAAGCUACACAGAUCAAAUGUAUCCGACUGUCAUUCAAGAGAGAACAUCCUUGAAUUGUCGUAUUUCAUAGCUUGAAAUGUUCCAGUGCAGAUACACCAUUAAGUCCUUUUGCAUAGUAGUGAGUGACGAGGUCCUUCACUGUAGUUUCCCGAUAAAUUGGGGGAUUUUCUUCUGAUAGCCGCUCCUCGAUAGGGCCAUACAACCUUGAAGAAUUCUCUGGAGGGAGAUGCUGCCUCAUUAAACACGCCACUGAAAUCCUUGGCCCGAUUUUCUGGGCUAGAACUCUGUGACUCACGCUAAUGAACUCAUCAUUCGAGAUCAGCUGCAAGAUGGAGGAGGACAUGGCAAAGUGAAGACCAAAUACUCUGGAAUAUGGAUCACACAUAAAUAUAGCAUACGUAAUCAAACUUGUUUAAAAGGGCCAAAUUUUAUCAAGUCAUUCUCACAUGUACUCCUAGCACAGUUGUCAAAAUAAUUAGCUAAGACCAAAAGAUUGUGAAGACAAACAACAUUCACAUAGAAAUAUCAUAAAAACGGAAUUGACUUACCUCAGUUAAUGUUGCAAGAGCUAACUGGAAGUUCCACAGUUGUAAACAGGAUACUCUACAAUCCAUCUGUUAGACCUCUACACCGACUUAGGGAAGUAUUUGGCAUCUCUAACACACUACAAAACAGUUAGGAUAGAAGAACAUAGAUGAAAGAGCUAUCUUCCAUUUCACUUAUUCAGAUUGUAACACCAGAUGUGUGUCCAUGGACUAUGAUAACAAAUUGACUGAAGGACCUACUCGUUAGAUCAGCCACACAAAAAAGCACAGAUUGGGCUAGAAAUGCAUUGGCUAAUGUGAGAACAUUGAAACAAGAAACUAACUGAUAGAAAUGUAAACUGCAAAACUCUGAUAAACGGACCUGCAUCAAGUCUCCCAAGUUUAUUACAAGGGCUCCAGGAAUUGGGGAAACGUCGAUCCAUUGGUUCUGAUGGUGGACCUGGAGACCACCAAUUUGGUCUUGGAGAAGAAUGGUGAGAAAGCCACUAUCAGUAUGAUCACCAGUCCCAAGGGUUAAGUCCGGUUCUGGGCAUGCUGGAUAGUAAUGGCCGACAAAGAAGAGUCCCUCCCCACAGUGGAUAGUUUUCAGGUAGCUAGGGUCGAGGCCAAGAGCUUCCGACAGUAAUUCAAAUAUGGUAUCUGACAAUUCCAGAAUUCUGUCCUUGUACUCAAUUAUUACGUCUCUGCAAGUCGAUUGGUUACAGAGAACAGGUGAUUAGUCAAAUGCCGUGGAACAUCAGAAGAUCAAUCUUUAUCCCACUCUCUCAAAGACCAGGUCUAUUUACUCUGCAUAAAAAAAUCAAGCUUCUAAAAUACAAGUCCAUAAUUCGUGUAACAGAGCAGCCAUUCUUGCAGACCAAAGAGGAAGAACAGAAAACGCAAUUAGUUUUUCCAUUUAAACUGAAUCUAUCGGCACUCCGACUCUGAAUCCCCCAAAGAUCUACGCCCCACAUGAUCGUUUCCUUCAACUGAUCUAUGACCCCAAAGCCCCUUGAGAAAAUGGCAGGAACUCCUGGCACACCAAGCACACGUUUCGCCAGGGCCAAGAAGCAGCUCCAUCUAUUCCGAAAGCCCCAUUUUUUUACUUAAUUAUCAGAUCUUAAAUCUUAUUUAGGAUUGAGCUUCCUGGCUCUCUUUCUUUUCUUCCACUGAAUUGCUAUGCGUCAAAGAAAACUAUCAUGGAACUUUCAAUUCCUCUCACAGGACACAAGUGGGUAUCGCAAGCCUAAAUUUGAAAGCUUUUAUAUCGCUAGUCCCAAAACUAGAAUUAGUUUCAGCCCUUCAAGCACGCACACGCAAAGAUUACCGACAGACAGCAGGCAAUUCCUGAGGAUCCGGACUACGGGGAGCCAAGACGCGGCUCAGCGUGUCCCUCCAGUUUGCCGCCGGGGCCCGGUACAGGUCGAAGUUGCUGUUGUACAGCACCUUCCUCCCGCCGUAAUCCCGCGAGUACCACUCGCGCUUCGCCUCGAGGUCCUGCUCGUGGAACCUCCGGAUCCCUUCCACCAUCUCCUCCGUGAGAGCCGCCGGCACGCCGUGGUUCACCACCUGGAAGAAACUGUUGGAGAAAUCUCAGUGAAAGUGUUUUGAAGUUGACAAAACGUAUCCAUCAGUCUAGUCUGAAAGUCUGCAGACUCUGUUAGUUAAAGUCUGAAGACUUUCGGACAGCCAGACUCAAGACUCAAAGUCUAUCCUCAUUGACAGUCUCUAAUCCGUUGAAAAAAGGUUAUCCAGAACUGGAUGUUUUGUUCAGGAUUUAACCUUAUCAUCUGGAGAAGAUCUCGUGGCUAGAGAAGACGUAUCAGAAUCCUUUGAUUGAUCAAGUUUGAUUCAAUGACUGAAGAUUCGAUGAUUGUCUAAAUAUUAUUGGAAGGUUCUACUUAUGGAAACCGAGAUCCUGAUUGUAUGGGCGAACAAGAUUGAUGGGCUAUCAACACGUUCCUUUAAUAGCUCGAACAAUCUUCCUAAUUGAUUCCAUCCAACGGGUAGAUUGGAGGAAUUCCUUUGGUAAGUGCCAACGGGUAUGAUGGCAUAAAGGAGUAUAUAAGGAAGACGUUCUUAGUUGUUCGAGGUGUGCGCGAUAGAAGAAUUCCAAAGUCUGAAGCUCUUAUUUGUUUAGAUAAAUCCUUUGAGCGAAUACUUGUAUACAAAAGAGAGUCUAUAUUUGUGAGAGACCUUGAGGAGGUGUGGUAGAACAUCUACACUGUGGAAUCAAGGCAAAGAUGUGCUAUAACUUCUCUUUUGAUCAUAGUGAAAUCUAGCCGGUGGGCUGUCAGUGCGGAAGAGUGGACGUAGGCUUGGAAUAAGCUGAACCACUAUAAAUCCUGUGUUCAAAUUUCUCUCUCUCUAUCUCGAUCGUAUUUCAUUUUGUUAAGAAUUGCUUUCGUAUUUGGGACAAAUUUUUUGUGCGCCUAUUCACCCCCCUCUAGGUGUUUAUACUAGCAAUAUCAAUUGGUAUCAAAGCCUGUGUACUUACUUUAUUUGAAGUGUUUUACUUCAUAGUAAAAGAUACAUGGCUAGUAUGCUAGCACCAGGGCUGAUGGAAGGGCAAAGCAAUACCAGACCACCCUACUUUGAUGGAAAGGAUUACAACAUCUGGAAGAACAAGAUGAAAGCUUUCCUACGAUCAAAGGAUCCUCUGGAAUGGGAUGUCAUAGAAAAAGGAAUUACUCCUACCACUGCAUCAGUCUCUGAAAGAGGAAAAGAAACUGAAGAAUCCAGCGGAAUGUCUCAGGAAGAAAUAACCAAGAGACAAACACUCGAUGCAAAAGCAAUUUACUCCUUAUAUUGUGCUUUAUCACCAACUGAAUAUAAUAGAAUAUCUUCUUGUGGUACAGCAAAAAAAGUUUGGGACAGAUUGCAUAUCACCUAUGAAGGAACAGAUCGAGUGAAGGAAACAACAUUCAACAUUCUUCUUGGUCAAUACGAAGCCUUCAGAAUGAAACCAGGAGAAUCAAUAUCUGACAUGUUUAGUCGUUUUACAGAUAUUGUGAAUGGUCUUGAAAAUCAAGGUCAACCAACUUCUGAUCCCAUGAAGGUAAACAAGCUACUGCGUGGACUCUCCAGGGAUUGGAAUCACAUAAAGACUUCGAUAAGAGAGACGCAGAGAAUUAUGCCACUAUCUGUUGACGAGCUGAUUGGAACUCUUCAGUCCUAUGAAGUGGAAAGGAUCAAUGAAGAUGAAGAUCCAAAAGAUAAGAAAUCCAUUGCAUUAAAAUCAAAUGAUGAUUCUGAUGAUACAGAUUCUGAAGAUGAUAUGGACGAUGAGGAGCUUGCUCUCAUGAUAAGAAGAUUCAGAAAACUAAAUAGAAAAGGAAGAAGGUUCAACUCAAAGAAACAAAGUUUUCAAAGAUAGCAGACCAAGUCUGUUGAUGAUGAGGAACCAAAUAAAGAUGUAGUCUGCUUUGAAUGCAAGAAAAAGGGACAUAUCAGACCCAACUGUCCUCUUCUGAAGAAGAAGAAAGGAAAAGCUGAAAAAUUUCGAAAAGCUCUCAAAGCUGAAACCUGGAAUGAUACUGAGUGUGAAGAAAGUGAUAAUGAAUAUGCCAAUCUAUGUCUGAUGGCACAAUAAGACUCAGACUCUGGAUCAGACUCAGGAUCAGACUCAAACAGUGAAUUUGAGGCAAGUAAUUUUAAAAUUCCUGUCAAAGUUUCUAAAUAUAUUGAUGAACUAUGCUUUAGUCUUAAGACUUCUCUCAAAAGAAUUUCGAAACUAAAAAAGGAAAACUCAGCUCUAAAACAAAAGGAAAAUGUUUUAGCAGAAAAAGUUAAAAGUCUAGACUUGUCUGUUUCCUAUCUUAAAGAAAAUGAAGAAAAUCUUUUAAAAGAAAAUACUUUUUUAAAAACAGAUUUAUCAAAUAUAUCAAAGAAAUUUUCUAUAGGGUCUGAAAAACUUGAAAAAAUUCUUUCAGCACAAAGACCUUACUUCAAUAAGUCUGGUCUAGGUAUGACAGAAGAAACAAUUCCCUUGAUUGAUUUUCCUAAAGUAAAAGAAAGAAUUAAGAAAAGGCUUUCGAGUGAGGUUUACAAAAAUCACUUCAAGAAAGUUUUUGUAAAACCUAUAGGAAGAAAUGCUCUCAGAUGUUCUAAGUGCAACAGUCCGGAUCAUUUUGAAAAAGAGUGUCCUAUGGUAUGGAAACCUGUUAAGAAAGUAUGGGCUAAUACUGUUUAUCUUACUAACACCAAAGGACCCAAGAAAAUUUGGGUACCAAAGAAAGCUUGAGACUUUAUUUUAAAUGCAGGUCUCCGUCAAGAAACAGGUAAAGUGGUAUCUUGACAGCGGAUGCUCAAGACACAUGACAGGAGACUCAAAUUGUUUUAUAAAGCUUGCUCAAGUAGAUGGUGGAAAAGUUUCAUUUGGAGGAAACAGCAAAAGGAAGUAUUGUGGGAUUUGGAACCGUGAAAAUUGGAACUCUCACAAUAAGUAAUGUUUCCUUAGUGGAAGGACUCAAUUACAAUCUUCUCAACAUUAGUCAAUUGUGUGAUACUGGUUUCAAGAUCUUCUUUCAAGAAUGAACAUGUUCUGGAAUCAGUAAAGACUCUACUCAGUCUUUCAUGGGUCGAAGACAUGGAAAUAUUUAUCUUCUGGAUGUGAAACCAAAUGAAUCGCAAUGCCUUAUCUCAAUUCAAGACGAAGCAAGCUUAUGGCACAAAAAGCUAGGUCAUGUCAACAUGAAGCAAUUAGCCAAAAUCUCAUCAAAGCAGCUUGUUCGAGGUCUACCAAAAUUGCCAUACCAAAAGACUGAUUCAUGCACUCCAUGUAUUCUGGGAAAGCAAGUAAGAAAUUCUUUUAAGCCAAUAAAUUAUGUCUCUACUAAUCAUGUACUACAGUUGCUGUAUAUGGAUCUCUUCGGACCAACCAGAACUCAGAGUAUUGGGGGUAAGAAGUAUUGCCUAGUAAUUGUUGAUGAUUACUCCCGUUUUACUUGGGUAUAUUUCCUUUCAAGUAAGUCCGAAACCUUUUCGUAUUUUGAAAAAUUUGCUAAAAAGGUUCAAAAUGAAAAAGGAUGUGUUAUCUCUAGUAUAAGAACAGAUCAUGGAGGUGAAUUUGAAAAUCAAGAUUUUACAAAAUUCUGUGAUGAAUCUGGCUUUAAGCAUGUGUUCUCCUCUCCAGGUGUGCGCGAUAGAAGAAUUCCAAAGUCUGAAACUCUUAUUUGUUUAGAUAAAUCCUUUGAGCGAAUACUUGUAUACAAAAGAGAGUCUAUAUUUGUGAGAGACCUUGAGGAGGUGUGGUAGAACAUCUACACUAUGGAAUCAAGGCAAAGCUGUGCUGUAACUUCUCUUUUGAUCAUAGUGAAAUCCAGUCGGUGGGCUGUCAGUGCGGAAGAGUGGACGUAAGCUUGGAAUAAGCUGAACCACUAUAAAUCCUGUGUUCAAAUUUCUCUCUCUCUAUCUCGAUCGUAUUUCAUUUUGUUAAGAAUUGCUUUCGUAUUUGGGACAAAUUGUUUGUGCGCCUAUUCACCCCCCCUCUAGGUGUUUAUAUUAGCAAUAUCAGAAACCCCACGUCUCGCAGGCUUCCCGGACCAGGCCGACCGUCCGCUUCCGCUCACCGGGCUCCAGCCCCGGCCCGCACCUCCGAAGUCCACGACCGGAAUGCUCGGGCUCGGUCUUGGCAACUCUGAGGCGCGGUCGAGCUCGAGGUCGAGGUGGUCGUGGACGAAGAAUCUUGGUAUCUUGGUCAGCCCGGCGUCGGCGAGGCCCUUGACGCCGGCCUUCAAGUCGUCGAAGGACUUCAGCUCGGCUUGCCGAUCGUAACCACCGUCGGGGGCGAGUAUCAGCUCCGGUGCCAUCUCUCUUUUCUUCCGGCACAGGAGUCAGCGGCAGCGCAAGCGAAGUGAGGCAAAGAGAAUGAGAGAAAUCUCAAGAAGACCAUAUUGGAAGAUAAUUUCCGACGGUGGAGUGCUCGGAAAUGCGUCCGCCUGGAGGCUCUUGUCGUUUCUGGCGAACAUUGGUCGAUCCAUGGAACUCCAUUGUCAACUCAAGCUUGCGUAGGCCAGCCAGCCAUAGUGAUCCGCAGGAAAGGGAGGGAAAAUGAUAUAAAAUUUCUGAAUUUUGACUUAAUAUGUAAAAUAAUCUUUAAAAUUUUAAUUUAUUCAAUAUAAAUUAUGAAUUAAAUUAAAUCUAAUUUAAUUCAUAAUUUAAUAUGUAAAAGACUAUAUUGUAUAUUAGGAUAAAAUCUGUAGAUUAUAUUGAAUAAAUUAAAAGUUCAAUGACCGUAUUAUAAAUUAAGCUAAAUUCAAGAUCAUUUAUGUAGUUAUCUCAUAAUUGUAACCAUACAUUCUAUAGUGGAUGUUUCUAGUGCAAUGAAUAUGAGAUUUUUUUAUGUAACGUGAGUGACUAACACCAAUCACCCCUUAUCAUCUUUUUUUUUAUAAUCAAACCGCUGUUGUCGUCUUGUGAUUUUGAGCAUGACAAGAUAUGCAAAAAUUGAGAAAUAUUAAAAAAGUAAAAACACAGUUCGAGAAGCCACUGCUGCUAGACAGAAGAGACAACGCUCUUCAAUAUUCUAUUUUUGCAAUGAUUUGAGAGCAUUUGUCACGUUGUAAAUUGUAAUUCUCGAAUUAUGUAAGUUGAAAUAAGUGGCACGUCUUACUUCCUAAUUUGAAUUUAUGAUAUAUUGAGUAAAAUCUCAUGAAAUACUUGUGUCAAGUGACUUGAUCAAAUGACAUCAUCUCUGUAUUGGAAACACUUAUAUAUACCUAUCUUGAGGUGAAAAAAAAAAAGAAACUUGAGAUAUAAUUUGUAACAUCUAAUUUGCACGUAUAACUGAAAUUAUGCACACGAUUCAGCUAUUGUCUCUGCAAGUUUGCGUCCAGUUCCCUGUGCCACUUAAAUUUCGUGAAGAACCAUGCACUCAAACAACAUUGUCGGGAACUUUUUAAAACUUUUCUAAUUCUUAUCAUUGUCCUAUACUCCAUUUACUUUGGAAAACAAAAGACAUUGUUUAACUAAUGGAUUAGCAUCACCCAAUAACCCAAACUAGUACACAUGAACCAAAUUUAUUGUCACAAGAAUUCUUGAAUCGGUAGUCUUGUGCCGCCGAAAUGGCUCUUCCUCAGGGUUAAAUCUGCACCCAUCUUUCUGCAGUGCGUGAGGACGCAUUGCCAGUCCCGUCUAUAAUCUCUCGGUAGGUCUUGCGGACUUGCAUAACGAGAAGAGGCCUCUGCUGCUUAGAGCUUAUGACACCAGAACGUAGCGGUAAAAACAUAGCUCGCUUUACCCACAAAGGUUGGACCUUAGGACACCAAAGCAUUGCGGCAAUGGAAGCACACUCUUUCUAUUUGAGGUCGUCUUCUGCUUUAACUCUUUAUUUUGUUUUCACCUGAAAAGGUUGGAGCUUAUGACACCGGAGCAUAAACAUAGCAGCAAAACUGAAACAAGCUCUUUUUGUAAUAGAGUCGAAGUACUCCCCUACUCCCCCUCCCUCAGCCAGCCUACGUCGCCGUUUUUGGUGAAAUUCUUGUUUGUUAAUUCAUGUAACGUUUUCCCACCUUUUAACUAUAGUUUUGGAGAUGAUAAGAGAGACCGCUUCCUGCAUUAUAAGAGAUUUUUGCUACUUCUGUGACAAACUCAUUGUUGUUACUUGAUUCAUUGAUCUACUCAUGCUAGAUAACCGUGAUCACUCCGUGAGAUGAAGAAGAAGAAGUAGGGUAACAAAAAAAAAAACAUUGUCUGGGCAAAAAACUGAUAUUUUUGGAAGAACAAGUUCACAAGAAUAUUGGACUUUUAGGCACUGACGGAUGACUAGGAUUCGAUAUUAGAAUUUGGAUUUAGUUUUCUACUUAAGUACACGUCAGGUAGAAAUCUAAAAUAUUGUAGAUUGAAUUGUUGUUCCAACACAUCUCUUUAGUUUAAUAGUGCAGGCGCAAAUCUGUCCAUGGUAACAUGGGAUUCACAUGAUCAUCAGUUGAGAUGGACUUGACAUUGGAGCUUCAUGCUCUGAUCAUAUCGUAGUCAAUUGAUGAAGUAUUUUGCACAUGAAAGCCGAGACAUAAUAUGAAUAUGAAAAGUUACAAACUAGCCAGCAAACUUGUAUCACGCUCGGGUUUAUUUUCUGCUAAUGUAGGUAUCCCCUUUCCAAUUUUUAGCACCAGUUGUUUGCCACUGCCAAGCUCACAGCUUGAACUGCUGCAGAGCCGAAGUCCCAUCACUUUUCGUGCUAAAGUGGGAACUAUACUCCAUGAUGGUGGUUUCUCCGUCUUCAUCGGAUCACCCACAGAAAUCAACUCCUUGAUCGGACCACACAGUUUUGGCAAUGGCGGCGUCGCCGUGUAAAGAAGCACACUGCAGACACUCUCAGCCCCAUGUUUGCCACAACUCUGUGCUCAGAGCUCUUGAAUAUGUCACUCGAGAUAAGCUGAAAAAAAAAAUGGUCUGGUUUGUGAUUAGAAGUGCACACUCACCUGCUGGAUAAAGAGCUCAGGCAUAAAAUGCUUUGUUCAGUAAUUCAUUCAUGUGCCUAACAAGGUCUCUGGUGAUAAGACGUAGGGAGGGAGAGUGAGUAAGGUGAGACUUGCCUGAAGCAGAUCUCCAAUGUUAACUACCAGCACUCAUGGCACAGGGCCCAUGUCGAUCCACUGAUUCUGUUGAAGAACUUGGAGACCUCCUACAUGGUCUUGCAGGAGGACGGUGAAGAAGUCACUAUCAAUGUGUCUACAAAUCAGCAGCAGAGCUCACAACAUUCUGAGCAGCGUCAUUCUCCUCCAUCUAGUCCUCAAGAUGUUGAUCAUCAUCAAAAUGAAGAAAUCAUUGAAGAUGCAAACCCUGUAAGAGUUCAAAGGCCCUAUUUUAUUUAUAAGCUGUAUCGUGCUUUAAAAGGGACUGGUACUCCGUUGAACUAUGUGGAUGAUUUUCUUAAGGACAAAGGAUAUGGAAAUGAAUAUAUCUUUUUGCGAAAAAUGGAAAGUUUGGGAAUUGCUCGUAAGGGUGUGGCAGAAGAAUCCCUUGCGAAUAUCCCAAGUGACCCUUGUGAUUGGGGAGUUAAUCCGGUGGAUGGAAAUGAUUAUGACAAAUUAUAUAGCGAAUUUCAGCCAAGAAUGGGAAUUGCGGCGGAAAAUCGAGAAAAAAUGGGAGAGUUGUUUAGAUCAAAGGAACAGAUGGAUCUAUACUCAAAAUUGCUGAAGCGUUGGCUGAUAAACCCUAGGAGUGUAGAUUUUGACUUUCUGGAUGCUGUAAAUGUGAACUUAAGGGAAAAGUUUGGUCAUCUUCAACUUGAGAAAUUUUGCUCUGACUCCACGGAGGCCUAUCCUCAACUAUAUGCAUAUUUCUAUUCAAAUCUUAGUUUAUUGGAUGCGAAUAGAUACUCCUUCAGUGUCAAAGAUCAAGACUUUGUUGUGGAUAUGGAUAUGCUGGCAGAUGUGUUAGGAGUUGAGAGAGGAAGGUAUCAACGGAUCAAAGUUUCUAUUGCUCGUACUACUCUGGAACUUGUUAAAGACAGGAAAACAGAGGGAAAGAUUUCCUAUUCAAGGAUGAGUGCAUUUAACAUCUANNNNNNNNNNNNNNNNNNNNNNNNNNNNNNNNNNNNNNNNNNNNNNNNNNNNNNNNNNNNNNNNNNNNNNNNNNNNNNNNNNNNNNNNNNNNNNNNNNNNNNNNNNNNNNNNNNNNNNNNNNNNNNNNNNNNNNNNNNNNNNNNNNNNNNNNNNNNNNNNNNNNNNNNNNNNNNNNNNNNNNNNNNNNNNNNNNNNNNNNNNNNNNNNNNNNNNAUUCAGCCUCCGCAAAUUCUUAUGACAACUUCUAUCCAGGUCUUGUAACAAAGUAUUCAGACAUCUAAACAUUCAGCUCCGCAAAUUCUUUGUGCUCGAUCGUGCGAUCAUAAGGUGGUAGGACUGAAAAUGGUGACCAAGAUGCAUCUGAAGGAACUAAGCAAGGCAUUGGAGAAAUUUAAGGAGAAGACUCCAGUCAAAUCUCAUCAAUUCUCUUCUGCAGGAAAAAGGAAAGGGAAGGAGCCCAUGGAUGCUCCAUCCAAGAGAAAAAGAGCUCUCCUCGUUGAGGAUGAAGAUGAUGAGGAUAACAAAACUAUCUCUGCUUUGAAGAAUCUCAGUCAAUCUGUUCCAGAGAAAGAGACAGAACAGCAGACAGAAGAAAGAGCAGAGAAAGAGGCAGAGGAAAAAGAAACAGAAGAGCAAAGAGAUCAAGAAGAAGGAGAACAUGAGGUGCGCUCUCCACCUGAAGGCAUAGACACAGGGGGAGACCAAGAGAAAAGAGGAAUGACCUCAAAUCCUGCAACCAGUGAGGGAGUCAGUCGAUCCCCAGCAAAUCCAGAGGACGUUUUUGCCUCUCAGUUUCCUGAGGAAGGUCAUGAGGUUCUUCGCCAAAUCUACGUGAUUAUGUUGAUCUUCCAUCGUCUGCAUUUACUCCAUCAGAUCGUGCUAAUGCCAGUACGCAGACUGAAAAUUCAGCAGACUUUCGCAGAGUGAUGGAUAUUCUCUUGGAAAUGCAAGGUCAGAUAUAUGCAUUGGGAUGUGAAGUUCAGAACUUGCAGAAUGCAGGACAAGUCUCUUCGGGUUCAUUAAAUGAUCAAAUCCAAGCCCUUUCUCUUCAGAUUCAAGCUAAUGCUAAGGGUGAGGAUGUUGCUUAGCUGAAGGAAGACUUUAAAAGGCUGGAAGGCAUCGUUCAGUCGAUGGGAGAUUUUCAGCUUGUUCGUAUUCCCAAGAAUCCUUGACUUCAUUUUCAUCUCAAUAUUUUUAUGCUGACAAAAAGGGGGAGAAUUUGGUCGCAACUUGAAAAACUUUGAACUUAAACUUUUGGCUUGUUUGGUUUGUGGUUUGUUUUGACUUGACUUGUGUCUGGAUGUGGACUAAAUUUGGGAUUUGGAUUUGACUGCUUAUUAUUAACUACUAUUGAUGUCUUAUGGAUGGGUUUAUAGCAUACUGGACCAACCUAUUUUUUGUGGUUGCAGAUUCUAGUGUUAUUCAUUUAGCCAUUUUAAUCUAUAAGAUAUGCAUAUGUGCUUGAGAAAUGUUUUGCAAGUCAAAGUUUUCCAAAUCUGCAGGAAAGUUUUGUCACCAUAAAAAAUGGGGAGAUUGUUGGAGAAAUUCCUCAUGAAGUGUUUUGAAUUUGACAAAACGUUUCCAUCAGUCUAGUUUGAAGGAUUGCAGACUCUACUAUUUAAAGUCUGAAGACCUCCGAACAGCCAAACUCAAGACUCAAAGUCUAUCCUCAUUGACAGUCUCUAAUCCGUUGAAGAAAGGCUAUCCAGAACUUGAUGUUUCAUUAAAGAUGUGGCCUUAUCGACUGGAGAAGAUCUCUAGGCUGGAUAUGACAUAAUGGAAUUCUAUAUUUGAUCACAAUUGAUUCGAAUAUUAAGGAUCCGAUGAUUGGCAAGGUUUACUUGGAAGGUUCUACUUAUGGAAACCGAGAUCCUAUUUGUAUGGGCGAACAGGAUUGAUGGGCUAUCGACAUGUUCCUUUAAUAACUCGAAUGAUCUUCCUAAUUGAUUCCGUCCAACGGGUAGAUUGGAGGAAUUCCUUUGGUAAGUGCCAACGGGUAUGAUGGCAUGAAGGAGAAUAUAAGGAAGACAUUCUAGUUGUUCGAGAGGGUGUACGAGAGAAGAAUUCCAAAGUCUGAAGCUCCUUAUUUCUAGUCAGUUCAUUUGUUGAGCAUAAUCGUGUAAACAAAAUAGAGUCUAUAUUCGUGAGAAACCUUGAGGAAGUGUGGUAGAACAUCUACACUGUGGAAUCAAGGAAAAGCUGUGCUGUAACUUCUCUAUUGUUCAUAGUAAAAUCCAGCCGGUGGGCUGUCAAUGCGGAAGAGUGGACGUAGGCUUGGAAUAAGCCGAACCACUAUAAAUCUUGUGUUCAUUUCUCUCUUCCCUAUCCUUUACUUUACCUUGAUUGUAUUUUCCUUUCUAUCGAUUGCCUAAAAUCGCUUUCGUAUCUCGAAAAUUUGUUAGUGCACCUAUUCACCCCUCUCUAGGUGAUUAUACUAGCUAUCUCAGAGGCAACACUGUACCUGAUGUGAAGUUGCCGCAUAAGCAUCAAUUCAUAGGACAAGCUCUUCUUGCAAAGCUCUUUCUUGUCUGCAAAGGUCCACACAAGGUAUGGCUUGUUCCUCUUCAUUCUCAUGUGUGCGCUGCAAUUUCAAAUUGGAUUCUAGUAAAUCACAGAGUAGUGUAUGUACGAUUGUAUGUGUCAUGCUUCUUUCCCUAGCCUAGAAUUGGCUCCAGCCAGUACUUAGUUUGCUCCUCUUUUGUUUUACUCGGCUUCAGUGUCUUCUUUUGGUAUAGCGCAUGAGGUGCUUUCAUGCUUUUUCGGCAGGAUUAGGUCCUCGGGUCGGUUAGACACUGUUGAUGGCUAUAUAUGUCUAUUUGUUGGUUUUCUUUGGUUGUUGAUACUAAGAAGACUUGUUGCUGAUAAAAUUGAACUACUUCAGUGCAUGCUGGUGGCAUCUUAUUUGAAAUGUCGAACUUCAGAUAUUUAUCACGAUUUGUAUUCCAACAUCUUCUGAUUUUGUUCUAUCUGUCAAGCUUGAUGAGCCAAUUACUUUCUUGGUCUAAUUUUAGAAGCAUCUAGCUUAUUGCAAAAGCUUAAUUUCUUUCGUUUAGCAUUGCCUCUUUGGGACUGCCACAGUCAUGGUCAUCUUUCCAGACUACACUCCUUUUAUUAUUCUGUUGAUGGAUUUGUUAUUCAAUGGAUUGGAAGUAGCUUCUUUUCCGUUGGACCCCAUCUCUACUCGUCCGAGGAAGUUUGUGUAAGGCGUCUGAGCUUCGUUUGGGACUGACGACUCCUUUCGAUAAGGGUUGUCGGGUGAUGAAACUGAAAUGACGAUAACCUCCUGCAUGGAUACUUCUGCUCUGACUGAAAUUCAUUCUUAAUUAAGGCUUCGUUUGUUUCACUAAAAAUAUUUUCCUAGGAAAGCUUUUUCCACGAUUUUUCAUUAACCGGAAAAUACCCUUCUAAAACUAAGAAAAUGAUUUAUCGGGCUUCUUUGCGCAUCCUCUGUCUCCUUCUCCAUCUCGUGAUGGAGAGAGAUGGCGAGCUCAUCUCUUCCCUGCAAAUUUAAAGCCCUCUGCCUCAGCGCCUCUUCUUCUCCUUCUUCUUCUCGCAGUCGCAACGCUUUCAAUUCCCUCGGAUUCUCCGCUAGCCUCUUGCACGACGUUUUCUCCGGAGAAAACCUCGACGGCAACCUUCCGAUUCCACAGGCUGGCUUUAUUCUCAAGUCUGACUUUCGUGUUCGGUCUUCGUUUUCAAGUCGUUUGUUGGUGAGCAAUGGCGAGAAGAACCCGCCCCAUUUCUCUAUCACGUGUGAGGCCAUUCCGACGAAGAGGUCGGACUCCGCCGCCAAGAGGGCUCGCUAGGCCGAAAAGAGGCGCAUUUACAACAAAGCUCAUAAAUCUGAGAUUAGGACGCGUAUGAAGAAGGCGUUUGUUUCGGUUAAUUUGAUUACUGUGCGAAGCAUUCUAUAAUACGCGCUACCGGACCACCGUCCUUCGGUGAAGUCGUCCGAAUGAUUUUUGCUGUAUAUGCUGGGGUGGUGGUUCUGCUACAUCGAAUUUUGUUGAUUAGGUUGUGGCUAUUAAAUUUGUCAAAAUGAAUCUUAAACUCAUAUACGACCCAAUUUAAAACGUAAAUGAGUCUUAUAUGAGUCACUUAAUUUUGACAAGACCAUCUUAAAUGGGUUGAGUUUAGAACCCAUUUUCAAUUCAUUAACUCAACCCAUUAGGCUCAUUCACACUUUCUCUUCAUCUUUUAGAAAUAUUUAUAAAAAAAAUCGAAAUUCCUUUUUUUUUCUUUUCUUCUUCCUUCUUCCAUUUCCUUCACUAGUGGCUGGUGACGGCAACCGCUGGCUAGGUGAGCUUGAGCUCAUCGAUCGGGCAAGGCCGAGACCUCUCUGAGGUCAAUCCUCGCCAAUCCAGCGAGAAUUGACCUCGUCGACGACUGGGCGUAGACCUUGCCAAUUUAUCAAGGCUCGAGCUCGACCUCAAAUGAUAGGUGAAGCCUCAUCUGAGGUUGGCAAGGUUUGGCUUGCUAGCCAUCGCAGUGGCCGGUAAUCAGUGAAGGAAAAGGAAAAAGAAAAAAAAAAAAAAAGAGGCCAUCUUAAUAAAUGCAAAAAGGAAGUGGCAUGGAGCUCAUCUUAAUAAAUGCAAGGUGGUCUUUGUGAACUUGAGAAGAGAGGCCAACGUACAAGAUGUCUCUUUCCCAUGUGAGCAUCAUGAAGUGCAAUAAUGAUUAUUGUAUGGUCAUUACCACCGAAUGAUGAAGACUCACUUCUACAUUAUAAAAGAGAGCAAGAGACGUGGGACAAGAAUUGCGCCGAGGUGGCUGAGAGAGCACCAAGUCCCUUUGGUGGCUAAGAGUGCGCCAAGUCCUUGGUGGCUAGAGAGAAGAGAGUGUGCCAAGUUCUUUGGUGGUUGCGAGGGUUGAGUAAUGUUGUAAUUACGCCUGAGCAAUUUAGCUAGAUAAAUUCUUGUGAGUAGAAUUUGUUUAAUUCCUUGAGUGUGGCUUCACUAAGAAUUGUGAGGGGCUAAAUACUCUAAACUUGAGAAGAGAGGCCAACGUACAAGAUGUCUCUUUCCCAUGUGAGCAUCAUGGAGUGCAAUAAUGAUUAUCCUACGGUUAUUGCCACCGAAUGAUGAAGACUCACUUCUACAUUAUAAAAGAGAGCAAGAGACGUGGGACAAGAGUUGCGUCAAGGUGACCGAGAGAGCGCCAAGUUCCUUUGGUGGCUAAGAGUGCGCCAAGUCCUUGGUGGCUAGAGAGAAGAGAGUGCGCCUAGUUCUUUGGUGGUUGAGAUGGUUGAGUAUUGUUGUAAUCACACCCGAGUAAUUUAGUUAGACAAAUUCUUGUGAGUAGAAUUUGCUUAAUUCCUUGAGUGAGAUUUCACUAAGAAUUGUGAGGGGCUAAAUAUUGUGAACUUGAGAGGAGAGGCCAACAUACAAUAUUUGUCUUUCCCAUGUAAGCAUCAUGAAGUGCAGUAAUAAUUAUUCUAUGGUCAUUGCAACCGGAUGAUGGAGACUCACUUCUACAUUAUAAAAGAGAGCAAGAGAUGUGGGACAAGAAUUGCACCGAGGUGGCUUAGAGAGCACCAAGUUCCUUUGGUGGCUAAGAGUGCACCAAGUCCUUUGUGGCUAAGAGAGAGUGCGCCAAGUUCUUUAGUAGGUGAGAGGGUUGAGUAUUGUUGUAAUUACACCUGAGUAAUUUAGCUAGACGAAUUCUUGUGAGUAGAAUUUGUUUAAUUCCUUGAGUCAGGUUUCACUAAAAAUUGUGAGGGGCUAAAUACUCUGAACUUGAGAAGAGAGGCCAACGUACAAUAUGUCUUUUUCCCAUGUGAGCAUCAUGAAGUGCAAUAAUGAUUAUUCUUUGGUCAUUGCCACCGAAUGAUGAAGACUCACUUCUACAUUAUAAAAGAGAGCAAGAGAUGUGGGACAGGAAUUGCGCCGAGGUGGCCGAUAGAGCGCCAAGUUCCUUUGGUGGCUAAGAGUGCACCAAGUCCUUGGUGGCUAGAGAGAAGAGAGUGCACCAAGUUCUUUGGUGGUUGAGAGGGUUGAGGAUUGUUGUAAUUACACCUGAGUAAUUUAGCUAGACAAAUUCUUGUGAGUAGAAUUUGUUUAAUUCCUUGAGUGAGAUUUCAUCAAGAAUUGUUAGGGGCUGGGAAACACUGAGAGAAUGUUUGAGUGCUCAAGUGAUUGUAAUCUCCAUUGUCUCACUUGUUUUUUAGUGGAAUUUCAUACUGCUCUUCCCAUGAACAUAAGUUCCGAUAUUCGAACCGUAUCACAUAAAUUUGAUGGUCAAUUUCCUUUCCCUCCUUCCAAAUAAAUCUAUCCUACUCGUUUGUCUAUAUUCACAACAAUUGAUAUCAAAGCUAGUGUUGGCUAACUUGAAGUGAAUUGAUAACGAUGGAGGAAGAAAAGGUGAGAAUCACCGAUUUGAUGGGAAUGAUUUUGCUUUCUAGAAGAUGCAGAUUGAAGAUUAUCUGUACUAGAGAAAUUUGCACUUACCAUUAUAUGGGGAGAAACCAUAAUCAAUGAAGGAUGCCAAGUGGGAAUUGCUAGAUAGACAAGUGAUGGGUGUUACUCUGUUGACGUUGGCUCAUAACAUCAUGUUUAAUAUCAUGAAGGGGAAAACCACUACGGAACUAAUGAAAGCCCUGUCAAAUAUGUACAAGAAGUCCUCCAUGAUCCAAAAGGUCUAUUUGAUGCAACAUCUAUUUUACUCAAAAUGGGCAAAGAUACAUUAGUCUCUAAGCAUAUCAAUGAAUUCAAUGAAGUCGUUAACCAAUUGAAUUUGGUUGAAAUCAACUUUGACGAUGAGAGAUGUGCCCCGGUUUGGUUGAAAUCAACUUUGAAGAUGAGAUAUGUGUGCUGAUUUUAUCAUCCUCAUUACCUGAUAAUUGGAAUACUAAUGUUACCGUUGUUAAUAAUUCAUUUGGGUCAAGGAGCUUGACAUUUGAUGAGGUUCAUAAUUUGAUUUUGAGUGAAGACAUUCUUAGGAAAAAAUUUAGUGAACCUAUACCUAUUGCCUUAGUAGGUGAAAGUAGAAGAACAACUAAUACAUGUGUUAAUAAGAGUAGUAUAAAUACGAAUAGAUGUAGUCAAUUUAGGAUUAUAGGAGUUGUCUAUUGGACUUGUGGCAGGAGUGGGCAUGGUAGAAGAGACUCUAUUAUGCUGAAAAAUGAAAAGGGUAAGAGAAUUAGAGUUGAGUCUAUAGAAUAAUUCUGAUAAUGUAGAUUGUGUCUUGUCUAUCAUUGAGGAUUCAUCAUUUGAUGGAUGGAUAAUGGAUUUUGGUUGUUCAUUUCACGCUACACCAAAUUGGAACUAGUUUAUCACUUAUCAGUGCACGGAAAAUGGUAAAGUCCAGUUAGCAAACAACACUGAGCAUGAUGUUGUGGGUGUUGGUGAUGUUAACAUCAAAAUGUAUGAUGGUAUUGUGAGGACAUUGACCAGAGUAAGUCACAUCCCGAAGUUGAAAAAGAAUUUAAUUUCCUUAGGUUCCUUAGGUUCAGUUGGCUAUGGGUAUUUUUUAGAAGGUGGAAUGUAAAGGUUAUUUGAGGUGCCCUGGUGAUAUUGAGAGGAAUCAAGCACGGAGACAUGUAUGAACUUCAAGGUGAGACAAUGACAGGUUUCAGUUUGAAGACAUCAAAUACAUCUAUUCAAGAGUCUAUCAACUACUUGAUAAAGACCUGGGUGUUUGUACCGAUGCACAAAUUUGAUGCCAUUGUCAGGAACAUACAAUUGAAAACUUUGAUUGAGAUGAAGACUGGUAAGUCAAUCAAGCAUAUGUGAAUUAAUAAUAGCAUGGAAAUUUGCUCAAAGCUAGUAAAUAAAUUCUGCAUGAAGGAAGGCAUAAUGAAACACCGCACUAAUACCGAUAAACCAUAACAAUUUGCAAAAUUGAUUAGCAAAUCAUUAUUAAAGACGGACGGUAGAAUGAUCUCUAGUGUUGGUGUUGGUAGGAGAAUCUUGGCUGACAUGCUUAGUAUGGUAAGCUACUAGGUAAAUACAUCCCCAUCAAUUGCUAAUGAUUGGUGGAUUCCCAAAGAAGUAUGGUCAAGUAAUGUUACUAGUUAUUCUAUUCUUAGAAUGUUAGUUGCACGUGUUAUUUUCGAGCGAAUGAUGGUAAGCUCGAUGGGAGUGCAAGGCAUAUUCCAUGGCUAUGCAUAAAGCGGGGCAGUCAGUUGUGGUGCCCUGAUAUAAAAUCACAUGUUAAUAGCAGAGAAGUUACCUUUGACAAGUCUCCAAUACUUUUGGCUUAGAGUGUUUGUGGCAGUGUUGAUAUGGAUCUGGACGGUGUUUAGCUCAAGGUGGAGUUACAACCAGAAACUCUUUAGGUAGUAGGUACUAGUAGAAUAAUUGACACAUACGAUACUUGUAGCGAGAUGGAGUUAGUAAAGCCAACGGUUGCUUUAGUUACUAAAUUUGACAAUGUGCAUGUUUGAUCUUAUGUCAAAUACGAAAGCAACGAUGGUUUUGUUUUAUUUGUGGUACGGGAGGUUAUGUCGAAAAUCCUUAUGGACUAGCUAACUAUGUAAGUGGAGUUGGCAUCUUGAUAAGGUACACGGUUGUGGCAAAGUUUAAGUGUGGCUCAAACUUGGAAGCACUUUGUGGUGGUUGAUCCCAUUGGGGCUGUGGGAGAGUAGUGUCGAGUUUUUCAUUGAAGCGAUUGUGACUUGACUUAAACGUUGAGCCAAGGUGGAGAUUGUUUAAAAUAUGUCUUGAGUUUGAGCAUAUUGAACAAUACUCAAUGUAAAAAAAAUAAGACUAACCGACCUUGUGAUUUUGUAAGACUUCUUCUUCGAUCUAGCUACACAUGAUUGCAUUUAUGUUUAGCCCCAACUGUGAGAAGAAGAAAAUUGCGUAUGGAUUUCAUUUUGCAUUUAUCUCUCUACAUGUGUAGAAAGCAAUAAAGAAAACUUGCGUGUUUUAUUGACUCUCUUUCCUUGGUUCUAUGCCGAGCUGUGAUCGAAGUCAAUGAAGAGACUUGCCCAAGCACUAAAUAUGGGAAUUCUCUAUCUACAUAUGAAAUAAAGGAAUCCCUGUGAAGAAGCAUGUGGAAGCUUCAGUCGAAAGAGCAAUUAAAAAGGAAGUUGCUUGGAGCCCAUCUUAAUAAAUGCAAGGUGGACUUUUUGAACCUGAGAAGAGAGACCAAUAUACAAGAUGUCUCUUUCCCAUGCGAGCAUCAUGAAGUGUAAUAAUGAUUAUUCAAUGGUCAUUGCCACUGAAUGACGAAGACUUACUUUUGCAUUACAAAAGAGAGUGACAGACGUGGAACAAGAAUUGUGCCAAGGUGGCCGAGAGAGCAUCAAGUCCCUUUGGUGGCCAAGAGUGUGCCAAGUCCUUGGUGGUUAGAGAGAAGAGUGUGACAAGUUCUUUGGUGGUUGAGAGGGUUGAGUAUUGUUGUAAUUACACCUGAGUGAUUUAGCCAAAUAAAUUCUUGUGAGUAGAAUUUGUUUAAUUCCUUGAGAAAAGUUUUACUAGAAAUUGCAAGAGGCUAAACACUGUGAGUUAUUAGGUGUAACUGGGGGCUGAGAAAUACUGAGAGUGUUUGAGAGCUCAAGUGAUUGUAAUUUCCAUCAUAUCACUUGUUUCUAUAGUGGAAUUUCUAUGCUGCUCUUCCCAUGAAUGUAUGUUUUGAUAUUCGAACCAAACCACGUAAAUCUGGUAUUCGAUUUCCUUUCCUCCCUUCCGACUAAUUUUAUCCAAUUUCUUGUCUUUAUUCACAAUAGAUCUCCUCAUGCUAGAUAACACAGCCUCAUCUUCUCUCGGCCACUCCAAGAUAAACCCCAUCGCUUCUUGAGAUGAAAAGAAGAAGUAGGUGUAACGAUAUUCUUGGAAGAACGAGUUUACAAGAAUAUAGGACUUCCAAGCGUUGACGGAUAACCUCGGAUUCAAUAUUAGGAAUUGGAUUUAGUUUUCUACUUAAAUACACAUCAAGUGUGAAAACUGGAACGUUGUAGAUCAAAUUGUUGUUCCAGCCCAGUUCUUUAGUUUAACAGUACUUGCGCAAAAUCUAUCUAUGAAGAAAAUCGGUGCUUGGUUUAUAAACUAUGUAGACCAACGCCACAUCAAUCAUUAAUUAUGUGAGUCCGAGAAUGUGAGAUUCAUAUGAUGGACAGCCUUGACAUUGGAUCUCCAUGCUAUGAAUAUUUGGGUAUAUUGAGUAUAGUCUCUAAAGUACUUACACCAAGUGGCUCCAUCGUAUGACAUAGUCAAAUGAUGAAGUCUCUUUGCAUAUCAAAGCUAAGACAUAAUAUGAAUAAUGAAAAGUAAUACACUAACCAGCAAACUCAUAUAAUGCUCGGGUUUAAUUUCUGCUAAGACAUAAUAUGAAUAAUGAAAAGUAAUAAACUAGCCAGCAAACUUGUAGGACGCUCAGGUUUAACUUCUGCUAAUGUAGGCAUUCCCUUUCCAAUUUGUAGCACCAGAUUUUUGCCACUGCCAAACUCACAGCUUGAACUGCUGCAGAGCUGAAGUCCCAUCGCCUUUUGCAUUCGCGCUGAAGUGGGAAACGUACUCCAUGAUGGUGGUUUCUCUGUACUUUGGUGGAUCGCCCUCGGAAAUCAACUCCUUAAUGGGUCCAUACAGUUUUGGUGAUGGCGGCGUUGCCGUGUAAAAGAAGCACGCCACAGACACUCUUGGCCCCAUGUUGUUCGCCACAACUCUGUGCUCGGAGCUCUUGAAUAUGUCAUUUGAGAUAAGCUGAAAAAAAUAGUCUGGUUUGUGAUUAGAAGUGCACACUCAACUGCUGGAUAAAGAGUUAAGGCAUAAAGUGCUGUUUGUUGAUUCAUUCGUGUGCCUAACAGGGUCUCUAGUGAUAAAACGUAGGGAGAGAGAGUACGUUAGGUGAGACUUGCCUGAAGCAGAUCACCGAUGUUAACUAUCAGUGCUCCUGGCACGGGGCUCACAUCGAUCCACUGAUUCUGAUAAAGAACUUGGAGGCCUCCGACAUGGUCUUGCAGGAGCACGGUGAGGAAGUCGCUGUCUGUGUGCCUGCUGGUCCCCAUAGUGAGCUCUGGUUGUGGGCAUUUGGGGUAGUACUGGUUCAGAAGGACGAGUCCCUUGGCGCACUCCAUGUCCUUCAGAUGGUUCGGCUUCAACCCCAGCGCCUCCGACAGUAGUUCGAACAAGGUGGUUCCUAAAUUCAUCACUCGCUUCGAGAAUUCCAGCAUUAUGUCACUAGGGUGUUCAAAAAUUUAGUGGGUCAAUUCGUCACAAAUUCCUAGUCCGUUAGAAGCAGACACCCCAACAAGUUAUUAUAAGAGAUUGCGGUUAUAUAUUCUGUGGAAUAGCUUACCCGCAUACCGCUGGCAAGUCCUCUGCCUCGAGAGCAUUAGGUGCCAUAACACAGAACAGGGUGUCCCUCCAAUUAGCCGCCUCUGUUUUAUACAGAUUGAAAUUGCUGUGGUAGGCGACGCUUGUCGUGAAAUCUCGCGAAUAGAACCGUCUCUUCUCUUCAGCACCUUGCUCAUGGAAACGGCGCACUCCAUCCAGCAUCUCCUCCAGAACAGUCGUGGGGAUCCCGUGAUUCACCACCUGAAAGAAGCCCCAUGUUUUGGAUGCACUUCGAACUUCAUUUACAACCUCCUUGCGCCGAGAUGGAUCUUUCACAAUAUCUGCGAGGUCAACUAUAGGAACAUGGAAGUGGCCGUUGCUCGAUGCCAGUGCACUUUGCAGGUUCUCCGGGUGAUCUACGAAAAUGCGAGGAACUUCUGUAAUCCCAGCAUCAACAAGGCCCUUGACACCUGCCAUUGAUUCAUCGAAAUCCUUUAUCUCGCGCAUCCGAUCGUACUUCUGUGUUUUUUCAUGCGCUUCAUCUCUGCUGAGUACUUCCAUUUUUCUUCCUUAGUGAAAACGCUUAAGAGUUCCAAGUCCGAUCUUACAUUAAAUAUGGGAGAAAUUGAAAGACAAAGGUCCUGUGGUAUUUAAUGACUGGAUUCAAAAACAGUUGAGAAGAAAGAAGAGAACAAUUGUGUACGUUGCAUCACAAUGAAAGCGAUAAUAAAGCCAAGACGGCGACUGGGACAUGGAUUCAAAUGGCGAGUUAAAGAUGACGAGCAAGGAAUGUUGAUAAGAGGAAUCUGAUGACUCGUUAGCUAUAUCGAAUACAAGUGAUAAUAAAGCCAAGACGGCGACUGCUCCAAGCUUGAAGUGACUGAGAAAAGACGUGUAAUGAGGAAGCAAGUUAAUACAAAGAAAUGUAUUUGCCUCCAAAAUAACUGAAACUUCAAUUGAAAGUGGCCUUGUAUCAUCCCCCAAACUAUACUUAAAAGGAGGGACAAAAGCAUACCCCAAUGUUACGUGAUGGAAACUGACUAGAAACUCACUAAAGUGGCGAUUUAGGCUACCCAAAUGCCCCACGAGAACGCUCCUAAAAAAGGGUUGUUCUACCGCGUCGUGCCCCUGCGCAUGGCAAUCCAUCGUGCCCGAGCUGUAGGCUAACAUAAAACAUUAGUGAUCUUUGACUGCUAAUAUCGUAGAUAAAGCAUUACUCAGGUAAGAUAGGAAACCCUGCCACAGGUGUGAAAAAUACGUGAAGCACUAAAACACCGAUUUCAAAGGAGUAGUCUUCCUUAUGAUGGUUUAUUUGAAAUAUAAUCCAACUAAUUAUCCACGACCAUCAAAACAAAGCUCGCAAAUGAGCACUUCCAAUUCCCCCACAAUUAAAAAAAAAAAAAAAAAAAGUAACUUCUCCACUACUAAUCACUAUCGCCAUCAUGCUGCCAAACAGGAUGAUAAACAUGAUGUUUAUGCUAUUACCAUAUUCAUGUCUAGUGCAACUACAUGUAAUAAAAAGUUUUUGAUCAUGCCAUCAGCAAGUCUUACUCACCCCCCUCCUUCAUUCAUGAUCUAAACAUCAUAGAUCAGUUGAACAAGAUAAUCCUCUAGACAGUUUCGCUUUGGAUCAGUAAACUCAGCAACUCAGGCAACUCACAGAUUGGAGGGAUCAACAAGAACAAGUAUGGUAAAUCUAACCAUGAUUCCAUUUCUUAUUUUUACUUCGAAAGCAGAAAGCCUCUUAUAAAUGCACAAUAGUUACAUAAGUACGAGCUUGCCAGGCACUACAAAUAUAUACUCUAUUAAAAUUUAACCACAUCUGAAUGCUUUGCCGGGAAGCUAAUGCUCUGAAAAACUACACAGAUCAAAUGUGUCCACCUGUCAUUCAAGAGAGAACAUCCUUGAAUUGUCGUAUACAAUAUAUUUCAUAGCUUGAAAUGUUCCAGUGCAGAUACACCAUUAAGUCCUUUUGCAUAGUAGUGAGUGACGAGGUCCUUCACCGUAGUUUCCCGAUAAAUUGGGGGAUUUUCUUCUGAUAGCAGCUCCUCGAUAGGGCCAUACAACCUUGAAGAAUUCUCUGGAGGGAGAUGCUGCCUCAUUAAACACGCCACUGAAAUCCUUGGCCCGAUUUUCUGGGCUAGAACUCUGUGACUCACGCUAAUGAACUUAUCAUUCGAGAUCAGCUGCAAGAUGGAGGAGGACAUGGCAAAGUGAAGACCAAAUACUCUGGAAUAUCGAUUACACAUAAAAAUAGCAUACAUAAUCAAACUUGUUUAAAAGGGCGAAAUUUUAUCAAGUCAUUCUCACAUGUACUCCUAGCACAGUUAUCAAAAUAAUUAGGUAAGACCAAAAGAUUGUGAAGAAAAACAACAUUCACAUAGAAAUAUCAUGGAAACGGAAUUGACUUAGCUCAGUUAAUGUUGCAAGAGCUAACUGGAAGUUCCACAGUUGUAAACAGGAUACUCUACAAUCCAUCUGUUAGACCUCUACACUGACUUAGGGAAGUAUUCGGCAUCUCUAACACACUACAAAACAGUUAGGAUAGAAGAACAUAGAUGAAAGAGCUAUCUUCCAUUUCACUUAUUCAGAUUGUAACACCAGAUGUGUGUCCAUGGACUAUGAUAACAAAUUGACUGAAGGACCUACUCGUUAGAUCAGCCACACAAAAAAGCACAGAUUGGGCUAGAAAUGCAUUGGCUAAUGUGAGAACAUUGAAACAAGAAACUAACUGAUAGAAAUGUAAACUGCAAAACUCUGAUAAACGGACCUGCAUCAAGUCUCCCAAGUUUAUUACAAGGGCUCCAGGAAUUGGGGAAACGUCGAUCCAUUGGUUCUGAUGGUGGACCUGGAGGCCACCAAUUUGGUCUUGGAGAAGAAUGGUGAGAAAGCCACUAUCAGUAUGAUCACCAGUCCCAAGGGUUAAGUCCGGUUCUGGGCAUGGUGGAUAGUAAUGGCCGACAAAGAAGAGUCCCUCCCCACAGUGGAUAGUUUUCAGGUAGCUAGGGUCGAGGCCAAGAGCUUCCGACAGUAAUUCAAAUAUGGUAUCUGCCAAUUCCAGAAUUCUGUCCUUGUACUCAAUUAUUACGUCUCUGCAAGUCGAUUGGUUACAGAGAACAGGUGAUUAGUCAAAUGCCGUGGAACAUCAGAAGAUCAAUCUUUAUCUCACUCUCUCAAAGACCAGGUCUAUUUACUCUGCAUAAAAAAAUCAAGCUUCUAAAAUACAAGUCCAUAAUUCGUGUAACAGAGCAGCCAUUCUUGCAGACCAAAGAGGAAGAACAGAAAAAGGAAUUAGUUUUUCCAUUUAAACUGAAUCUAUCGGCACUCCGACUCCGAAUCCCCCAAAGAUCUACGCCCCACAUGAUCGUUUGCUUCAACUGAUCUAUGACCCCAAAGCCCCUUGAGAAAAUGGCAAGAACUCCGGCUACACCGGGCACUUGUUUCGCCAGGGCCAAGCAGCAGCUCCAUCUAUUCCCAAAGCCCCAUUUUUUACUUAAUUAUCAGAUCUUAAAUCUUAUUUAGGCUAGAGCUUCUUCCCUUUCUUUCUUUUCUUCCACUGAAUUGCUAUGCGUCAAAAAAAAAAACUAUCAUGGAACUUUCAAUUCGUCUCACACAACACAAGUGGGUAUCGCAAAGCUAAAUUUGAAAGCUUUUGUAUCGAAUGUCCCAAAACUAGAAUUAGUUUCAGCCCUUCAAGCGCGCACACCCAGAGAUUACCGACAGACAGCAGGCAAUUCCUGAGGAUCCGGACUACGGGGAGCCAAGACGCAGCUCAGCGUGUCCCUCCAGUUCGCCGCCGGGGCCCGGUACAGGUCGAAGUUGCUGUUGUACAGCACCUUCCUCCCGCCGUAAUCCCGCGAGUACCACUCCCGCUUCGCCUCAAGGUCCUGCUCGUGGAACCUCCGGAUCCCUUCCACCAUCUCCUCCGUGAGAGCCGCCGGCACGCCGUGGUUCACCACCUGGAAGAAACCCCACGUCUCGCAGGCCUCCCGGACCAGGCCGACCGUCCGCUUCCUCUCACCGGGGCUCCAGCCCCGGCCCACACCUCCCAAGUCCACGACCGGAACGCUCGGGCUCGGUCCUAGCGACUCCGAGGCGCGGUCGAGCUCGAGGUCGAGGUGGUCGUGGACGAAGAAUCUUGGUAUCUUGGUCAGCCCGGCGUCGGCGAGGCCCUUGACGCCGGCCUUCGAGUCGUCGAAGGACUUCAGCUCGGCCUGCCGGUCGUAACCACCGUCGGGGGCGAGUAUCAGCUCCGGCGCCAUUUCUCUUUUCUUCCGGCACAGGAGUCAGCGGCAGCGCAAGCGAAGCGAGGCAAAGAGAACGAGAGAAAUCUCAAGAAGACGAUAUUGGAAGAUAAUUUCCGACGGCGGAGUGCUCGGAAAUGCGUCCGCAUCGAGGCUCUUGUCGUUUCUGGCGAAUAUCUGUGGAUUCAUAGAACUCCAUUGUCAACACAAGCCUGCGUAGGCCAGCCAGCCAUUGCGAUAUGCAGUAAAGGGAGGGAAAAUGAUACGUAUAGUUUCUAAUUUUGACUUGAUACGUAAGAUACUCUCUGAAUAAUUCAAUAUAGUCCCUAAAUUCUUAAAUUAUUCAAUAUGAUCUGAAUUUUUAAUAUAUGUUCAAUUUAAUUCAUGGACGAUAUGGAAAUAUUUAAUGUUGUCCUUCCAUCAAUUCAAUAUUGAAUAUUUUCAUAUACUUUAAGGAUUAAAUUGAAUAUGUAUAAAAUAUUCAAUGACCGCAUUAUAAAUUAAGUUAAAAUUUGAGACUAUUUAUGUCUUUAUCUUGUAAUCGUAACCAUACAUUCCGUAGUGGAUGUUUCUAGUGCAAUGAUUAUGAGAUUUUUUUAUGUAACGUGAGUCACUAACACCAAUCACCCCUUAUCAUCUUUUUUAUUAAUCAAACCGCUAUUGUCGUCUUGCGAUAUUGAGCACGACAAGAUAUGCAAAAAUUGAGAAAUAUUAGAAAAGUAAAAACACAGGUGAGAAGCCACUGCUGCUGGGUAGAAGAGACAGCGCUCUUCAAUAUUCUAUUUUUGUAAUGAUUUGAGAGCAUUUGUCACGUUGUUAAUUGUAAUUCUCAAAUUAUCUAAGUUGAAAUAAGUGGCACGUCUUACUUCCUAAUAUGAAUUUUAUGAUAUAUCGAGCAAAGUCUCAUAAAAUACUUGUGUUGAGCGACUUCAUCAAAUGACAUCAUCUCUGUAUUGGAAACACUUAAAUAUACCUAUCUUGAGGUGAAAAAAGAAAAAGAAAAAAAGAAAUGUGAGAUAUAAUUUGUAACAUCUAAUUUGCAUGUUAACUGAAAUUAUGCACACGAUUUAGCUAUUGUCUCUACAAGUUUGCGUCAAGUUCCCUGUGCCACUUAAGUUUCGUGGAGAACCAUGCACUCAAACAACAUUGCCGGGAACUAAAACUUUUCUAAUUCUUAUCAUCGUCCUAUACUCGAUUUACUUUGGAAAACAAAAGACACAUUGUUUAACUAAUGGAUUAGUAUCACCCAAUAACUCAAAUUAGUACACAUGAACCAAAUUUAUUGUCACGAGAACUCUUGAACUGGUAGUCUUGUGCCACAAAAGAUAUACAUAUGCCACAUUUAUUCUAAAUCAAUGCAUCUUGCCAUACUUACCAAGAAACUCAAAUUUAUCAAAUAUACCAAUUUUGGGUAAAUAUGACAUGGAUGAACCGGUUUGGAGUUUUUUAUGGCACAAGUGUAUUAAUUUGGAAGUUUCUACUAGGCACAGGUGUAUCAGUUCAAGAUUUUUUGUGACAUAAAAAUUAAUUUGGAAUAAAUGUGAUGCAUAUCUAUCAGUUAGAGAUUUUUAGUAGUAUUAUAUGUAAUACCCGGUUACUCAAUUUUUAUUUUAUUUUUUUCUUUGAUAUUUAUGCAUGGCUAAUCUAGUUCAAAGUAUUAAGAGAGGCUGAUUCUUUUUUUUUUUUUUGUGCCAUCAAUGACAACAAAGACACGCUAAGUCAGGUAAGAAUAUAACGAAGACGAUGCUAGGAAUUGUGCAGAAGGCACCGUUGGGAGAGGGAGGGAGGGCAGGAAAGUUCGCGCAAGCCGUAAACCCCUAAAAAGACCUUCAAGGCCACUUCUGUCACUUAAGCAAAAGAAACCUGCGCCCGAAGCUAACUAAACCGCCGGAAUGGCUCUUCCUCAGGGUUAAAUCUGCACCCAUCUUUCUGCAGUGUGUGAGUACGCAUUGCCAGUCCCGUCUAUAAUCUCUCGGUAGGUCUUGCGGACUUGCAUAAACAUAGCAGCAAAACUGAAACAAGCUCUUUUUGUAAUAGAGUCGAAGUACUCCCCUACUCCCCCUCCCUCAGCCAUCCUACGUCACCGUUUUUGGUGAAAUUCUUGUUUGUUAAUUCAUGUAACGUUUUCCCACCUUUUAACUAUAGUUUUGGAGAUGAUAAGAGAGACCGCUUCCUGCAUUAUAAGAGAUUUUUGUUACUUCUGUGACAAACUCAUUGUUGUUACUUGAUUCAUUGAUCUACUCAUGCUAGAUAACCGUGAUCACUCCGUGAGAUGAAGAAGAAGAAGUAGGGUAACAAAAAAAAAAAAAAAACAUUGUCUGGGCGAAAAACUGAUAUUUUUGGAAGAACAAGUUCACAAGAAUAUAGGACUUUCAGGCACUGACGGAUGACUAGGAUUCGAUAUUAGGAUUUGGAUUUGGUUUUCUACUUAAGUACACAUCAGGAAGAAAUCUAAAAUAUUGUAGAUUGAAUUGUUGUUCCAACACAUCUCUUUAGUUUAAUAGUGCAGGCGCAAAUCUGUCCAUGGUAACAUGGGAUUCACAUGAUCAUCAGUUGAGAUGGACUUGACAUUGGAGCUUCAUGCUCUGAUCAUAUCGUCGUCAAUUGAUGAAGUAUUUUGCAUGUGAAAGCCAAGACAUAAUAUGAAUAUGAAAAGUUAUAAACUAGCCAGCAAACUUGUAUCACGCUCGGGUUUAUUUUCUGCUAAUGUAGGCGUUCCCUUUCCAAUUUGUAGCACCAGUUGUACACUGCCAAGCUCACAGCUUGAACUGCUGCGGUGCCGAAGUCCCAUCGCUUCUCGUGCUAAAGUGGGAAAUGUACUCCAUGACGGUGGUUUCUCUGUACUUUGCCGGAUCACCCACGGAAAUCAACUCCUUGUUGGGACCAUACAGUUUUGGCAAUGGCGGCGUCACCGUGUAAAAGAAGCACACUGCAGACACUCUCGGCCCCAUGUUUUGCCACAACUCUGUGCUCAGAGCUCUUGAAUAAGCUGAAAAAAAAUGGUCUGGUUUGUGAUUAGAAGUGCACACUCACCUGCUGGAUAAAGAGCUCAGGCAUAAAAUGCUUUGUUUAGUGAUUCAUUCAUGUGCCUAGCAGGGUCUCUGGUGAUAAGACGUAGGGAGGGAGAGUGAGUAAGGUGAGACUUGCCUGAAGCAGAUCUCCACUGUUAACUACCCGCACUCCUGGCACAGGGCUCACGUCGAUCCACUGAUUCUGAUGAAGAACUUGGAGACCUCCUACAUGGUCUUGCAGGAGGACGGUGAAGAAGUCGCUGUCAAUGUGCUUGCUGGCUCCUAGAGUGAGCUCUGGUUGUGGGCAUUUGGGGUAGUACUGGCUCAGAAGGAUGAGUCCGUCGGUGCAUUCCAUGUCCUUCAAAUGGUUCGGCUUCAACCCGAGCGCCUCCAACAGGACCUCGGACGAGGUAAUUCCCAAAUUUGUCACUUGCUCCGAGAAUUCCAGCAUUAUGUCACUGGGGGUGUUCAAGAAAAUUUAGCGGGUCAAAUCGUCGCAAAUUUUUAAUGUGUUAGAAGAAAAGACUACAAGAAGUUAUUGCAAGAGAUUGCGGUUGAAUAUUCUGCAGAAUCACUUACCAGCAUACUGCUGGCAAGUCCUCUGCCUCAGGAGCAUUAGGUGCCAUAACACAGAAUAAGGUGUCCCUCCAAUUAGCCACCUCUGCUCUAUACAGGUUGAAAUUGCUAUGGUACACAACGCUUCUCGUGAAAUCUCACGAAUAGAACCGUCUCUGCUCUCCAGCGCCUUGCUCAUGGAAGUGGCACACUCCGUCCAGCAUCUCCUCCAGAACAGCCAUGGGGAUCAUUGAAAGCCUUUAGCUUGCAUUGACAAGGCCCUUGAUACCUUUCUUUGAUUCAUUGAAAAUCUUUAGCUCACAUAUCCAAUCGUACUUCUGUUUAUUUUUAUUUGCUUCAUCUCUGCUGAACAUUUCCAUUUUUCUUCCUUAGUGAAAACACUUGAGUUCCAAGUUCUGAUCUUAUAUUAAACGUUGAAGAAUUUGAAAGACAACGGUCCUGUGGUGUCCCAUGACUGCAUCAAGAACAGUGAGAAGAAAGAAAAAGUACAUACGUUGCAUCACCAUGAAAGCGAUUGGCAUUCAAGAGCAAGGCCAAGAAGCGACAGGCUAUUAUUGUGCAGCCAGUUCGUCUGACUUUCAAGAUUUUAGUUUGGCAUUUUCUAAGUAGUGCUGGUCAAACGCAGGUAUAUCGGAAAAGCAUUUGGGAAACGAAUGGCUUCAAAUACAAGAAGUGAUGAAGUUGAAGAAGCAGUCAGAAAAUUGUAAACAGGCUCAUCAUCUUUGACUGCGCAAAGUCAUGAGAAAAUUAUCAGUUAGCCAACUCAUCUUCUGUAAUUGAGUAAUUCGAAAACUCAAUGAGCAUCAUCUAUAUCUGUGUCCGACAGGCCAUGGCCAGUUCCGAAACUGAUGUCCAAGUGCACUCCCCAUUUGCAAAUUAUUACCGAAUCAAGUUCUACAGAUUAAAGUAUGGUAUGUUGGUACAAUGGUAGCAUGAAAAGGAAUUUUAUUUUAUAGACAAUCAAUACGAAGCUACAGCGACAUGGCUAAUACACUGCAAGCAAAUCGAAAUUCUAAAAUUUGUAGCGAUGCCAUUAAUUGUUCAAGAAGGAUUGUGCAUCUCUUCCUUAGAAGAAAAAUGUAGAGUUUACAGCUUGAAGUGUCUCAGAGGGGAAGUUCCAUCAAGGCCAUGUUCCUUGAAGUAGGCAAGAUAGUCCCUCACUGUGGUCUCUCUGUAGAUCAGAGGAUUGUCCUCAGACAACAGUUCCCUAAUCGGCCCGAAAAGCUUCGACGACGGUUGGAAGCUUGUGCUGAAAAAGCAGGCCACUGAGAUCCUCGGCCCCACCAGGUUUGCUAACACUCUGUGCCCCACGCUUUUGAAUUUUUCGUUCGUUAUGAGCUGAAAGGAAGAAAAUAAGAGGGACAGACUGUUGGAGAAAUCCUCGUGAAGAGUUUUGAAGUUGACAAAACGUUUCCAUCAGUCUAGUCUGAAGGUCUGCAGACUCUGUUAGUUAAAGUCUGAAGACUUCCGUACAGCCAGACUCAAGACUCAAAGUCUAUCCUCAUUGACAGUCUCUGAUCCGUUGAAGAAAGGUUAUCCCGAACUGGAUGUUUUGUUCAGGAUUUAACCUUAUUAUCUGGAGAAGAUCUCGUGGCUGGAGAAGACGUAUCAGAAUCCUUUGAUUGAUCAAGUUUGAUUCAAUGACUGAAGAUUCGAUGAUUGUCUAAAUAUUAUUGGAAGGUUCUACUUAUGGAAACCGAGAUCCUGAUUGUAUGGGCGAACAGGAUUGAUGGGCUAUCAACACGUUCCUUUAAUAGCUCGAACGAUCUUCCUAAUUGAUUCCGUCCAACGGGUAGAUUGGAGGAAUUCCUUUGGUAAGUGCCAACGGGUAUGAUGGCAUAAAGGAUUAUAUAAGGAAGACGUCCUUAGUUGUUCGAGGUGUGCGCGAUAGAAGAAUUCCAAAGUCUGAAGCUCCUAUUUGUUUAGAUAAAUCCUUUGAGCGAAUACUUGUAUACAAAAGAGAGUCUAUAUUUGUGAGAGACCUUGAGGAGGUGUGGUAGUACAUCUACACUGUGGAAUCAAGGUAAAGCUGUGCUGUAACUACUCUUUUGAUCAUAGUGAAAUCCAGCCGGUAGGCUGUCAGUGCGGAAGAGUGGACGUAUGCUUGGAAUAAGCCGAACCACUAUAAUUCCUGUGUUCCAAUUUCUCUCUCUCUACCUCGAUCGUAUUUCAAUUUGUUAAGAAUUGCUUCCGUAUAUCGAAAAACUGUUUGUGCGCCUAUUCACCCCCCCUCUAGGUGUUUAUACUAGCAAUAUCAAUUGGUAUCAGAGCCUUUGUACUUACUUUAUUUGAAGUGUUUUACUUCAUAGUAAAAGAUCCAUGGCUAGUAUGCUAGCACCAGGGCUGAUGGAAGGGCAAAGCAAUACCAGACCACCUUACUUUGAUGGAAAGGAUUACAACAUCUGGAAGAACAAGAUGAAAGCUUUCCUACGAUCAAAGGAUCCUCUGGAAUGGGACGUUGUAGAAAAAGGAAUUACUCCUACCACUGCAUCAGUCUCUGAAAGAGGAAAAGAAAAUGAAGAAUCCAGCGGAAUGUCUCAGGAAGAAAUAAUCAAGAGACAAACACUCGAUGCAAAAGCAAUUUACUCCUUAUAUUGUGCUUUAUCACCAACUGAAUAUAAUAGAAUAUCUUCUUGUGGUACAGCAAAAGAUGUUUGGGACAGAUUGCAUAUCACCUAUGAAGGAACAGAUCGAGUGAAGGAAACAAGAAUCAACAUUCUUCUCGGUCAAUACGAAGCCUUCAGAAUGAAACCAGGAGAAUCAAUAUCUGACAUGUUUAGUCGUUUUACAGAUAUUGUGAAUGGUCUUGAAAAUCAAGGUCAACCAACUUCUAAUCCCAUGAAGGUAAACAAGCUAUUGCGUGGACUCUCCAGGGAUUGGAAUCACAUAAAGACUUCGAUAAGAGAGACGCAGAGAAUUAUGCCUCUAUCUGUUGACGAGCUGAUUGGAACUCUUCAGUCCUAUGAAGUGGAAAGAAUCAAUGAAGAUGAAGAUCCAAAAUGUAAGAAAUCCAUUGCAUUAAAAUCAAAUGAUGAUUCUGAUGAUACAGAUUCUGAAGAUGAUAUGGACGAUGAGGAGCUUGCUCUCAUGAUAAGAAGAUUCAGGAAACUAAACAGAAAAGGAAGAAGGUUCAACUCAAAGAAACAAGGCUUUCAAAGACAGCAGACCAAGUCUGUUGAUGAUGAGGAACCAAAUAAAGAUGUAGUCUGCUUUGAAUGCAAGAAAAAGGGACACAUCAGACCCAACUGUCCUCUUCUGAAGAAGAAGAAAGGAAAAGCUGAAAAAUUUCGAAAAGCUCUCAAAGCUGAAACCUGGAGUGAUACUGAGUGUGAAGAAAGUGAUAAUGAAUAUGCCAAUCUAUGUCUGAUGGCACAAUCGGACUCAGACUCAGACAGUGAAUUUGAGGCAAGUAAUUUUAAAAUUCCUGUCAAAGUUUCUAAAUAUAUUGAUGAACUAUGCUUCAGUCUUAAGACUUCUCUCAAAAGAAUUUCCAAACUGAAAAAAGAAAAUUCAGCUCUAAAACAAAAGGAAAUUGUUUUAGCAGAAAGAGUUAAAAGUCUAGACUUGUCUGUUUCCAAUCUUAAAGAAAAUGAAGAAAAUCUUUUAAAGGAAAAUGUUUUUUUAAAAACAGACUUAUCAAAUAUAUCAAAGAAAUUUUCUAUAGGGUUUGAAAAACUUGAAAAAAAUCUUUCAGCGCAAAGACCUUCCUUCAAUAAGUCUGGUCUAGGUAUGACAGAAGAAACAAUUCCCUUGAUUGAUUUUCCUAAAGUAAAAGAAAGAAUCAAGAAAAGGCUUUCGAGUGAGGUUUACAAAAAUCACUUCAAGAAAGUUUUUGUUAAACCCAUAGGAAGAAAUGCUCUCAGAUGUUCAAAGUGCAACAGUCCAGAUCACUUUGAAAAAGAGUGUCCUAUGGUAUGGAGACCUGUUAAGAAAGUAUGGGCUAAUACUGUUUAUCUUACUAACACCAAAGGACCCAAGAAAAUUUGGGUACCAAAGAAAGCUUGAGACUUUAUUUUAAAUGCAGGUCUCCGUCAAGAAACAGGUAAAGUGGUAUCUUGACAGCGGAUGCUCAAGACACAUGACAGGAGACUCAAAUUGUUUUAUAAAGCUUGCUCAAGUAAAUGGUGGAAAAGUUUCAUUUGGAGGAAACAGCAAAGGAAGUAUUGUGGGAUUUGGAACCGUGAAAAUUGGUACUCUCACAAUAAGUAAUGUCUCCUUAGUGGAAGGACUCAAUUACAAUCUUCUCAGCAUUAGUCAAUUGUGUGAUACUGGUUUCAAGAUAUUCUUUCAAGAAGGAACAUGUUCUGGAAUCAAUAAAGACACUACUCAGUCUUUCAUGGGUCGAAGACAUGGAAAUAUCUAUCUUCUGGAUGUGAAACCAAAUGAAUCGCAAUGCUUUAUCUCAAUUCAAGACGAAGCAAGCUUAUGGCACAAGAAGCUUGGUCAUGUCAACAUGAAGCAAUUAGCCGAAAUCUCAUCAAAGCAGCUUGUUCGAGGUCUACCCAAAUUGCCAUACCAAAAGAUUGAUUCAUGCACUCCAUGUAUUCUGGGAAAACAGGUAAGAAAUUCUUUUAAGCCAAUAAAUCAUGUCUCUACUAAUCAUGUACUACAGUUGCUGCAUAUGGAUCUCUUCGGACCAACCAGAACUCAGAGUAUUAGGGGUAAGAAGUAUUGCCUAGUAAUUGUUGAUGAUUACUCUCGUUUUACUUGGGUAUAUUUCCUCUCAAGUAAGUCCGAAACCUUUUCGUAUUUUGAAAAAUUUGCUAAAAAGGUUCAAAAUGAAAAAGGUUGUGUUAUCUCUAGUAUAAGAACAAAUCAUGGAGGUGAAUUUGAAAAUCAAGAUUUUACAAAAUUCUGUGAUGAAUCUGGCUGUAAGCAUAUGUUUUCCUCUCCGUAUACUCCUCAGCAAAAUGGAGUUGUGGAAAGAAAGAACAGAUCUUUUCAAGAAAUGGCUAGAACUCUUUUAAUUGAAAGUAAAAUUUCUUCUCGAUUUUGGGCUAAAGCUGUUUCAAAAGCGUGCUAUAUCAUCAAUAGAGUCUUCUUAAGAUCUAUUCUUCAGAAAACCCCUUAUGAGUUAUUCAAAGAAAAGAAGCCUAUUGUUUCAUACUUUCAUGUAUUUGGUUGUAAAUGUUUUAAAUUGAAAAAUGCAAAAGAUCAAGUUGGUAAGUUUGAAGAAAGAUCAGAUGAAGGUAUCUUCCUUGGAUAUUCCACAUCAAGCAAAGCUUACAGAGUCUAUAACAAGAAGAGCCAAUCUGUGGAGGAGUCAAUGAAUGUCAAAUUUCAAGACUCAACGCAAAAUGAAUCAAGUCAGACUCAUCAAGAAGAGUCUGAACCUGCUCCAGACCCCCCAAAGUCUACAACUCAAGAAGCAUCUCAGACUCUGGAAAACCAGCAUCAGGUUGUUAGUGAAGAUCCAAAAAGAGAUCAUCAACCAGACAAAUCAACAAGUAACUGGAAGCAUAAGUCCAGUCAUCCCAAAGAUCUUAUAAUUGGCGAAAUUAAUGAAGGAAUUCGCACAAGAUCCAAAAGGCGAGAAGAGUCUAGUGUUGUGGCACUCGUUUCUGAAAUUGAACCAAAGAGCAUAGAAGAAGCUUUAUCUGAUGAAAGCUGGAUUGAAGCUAUGCAAGAAGAGCUCAGACGGUUCAGCAUAAAUGAUGUCUGGGAAUUGACAUCCAAACCAAAAGGUAAAACUGUUAUUGGAGCUAAAUGGGUGUUCAGAAACAAGAUGAACGAGAAAGGAAAAGUCGUACAAAAUAAAGCAAGACUCGUGGCCAAGGGAUAUACGCAAGAAGAAGGAAUAGACUAUGAUGAGACUUACGCUCCAGUGGCAAAGUUAGAAGCUAUUCGACUUUUACUUGCGUUUGCUUGUUAUAAGAAUUUCAGGUUAUUCCAAAUGGACGUCAAAAGCGCCUUCCUAAAUGGAUUUAUCCAUGAGGAAGUAUAUGUGGAACAACCACCAGGGUUUGAAGACUCAAAGAAGCCAGACUCAGUCUUCAGACUGAAAAAGGCUUUGUAUGGUUUAAAGCAAGCACCUCGGGCUUGGUACGACAGAUUAAGUAAGUUCCUAAUACAAAAUGGUUUUGUCAAAGGUAAAGUAGAUACGACUUUAUUUAUCAAGAAGGAAAACAAAAGUUUCUUACUUGUUCAAAUAUAUGUGGAUGAUAUUAUUUUUGGAUCCUCUAAUGAAAGUCUGUGCAAGAAAUUUUCAAAGUCUAUGUAGGAUGAGUUUGAAAUGAGUAUGAUGGGAGAGUUAACAUUCUUUCUUGGUCUUCAAGUAAAACAAUUGAAGCAAGGUACUUUUAUUUAUCAAGAAAAAUAUGUUAAUGAUCUUGUCAAAAGGUUUGGACUGGAGAAGUGUAAAAAGACCGACAUACCUAUGUCAAGUUCUUCGAAGAUAGACAAAGAUGAAGAAGGGAAGAAAGUUGAUCAAAAGCUGUACAGGAGCAUUAUUGGAUCACUUAUUUAUCUUACUGCCUCUAGACCUGAUAUUUUGUUGAGUGUUUGCAUCUGUGCUAGGUUUCAAUCAGAUCCUAGAGAAUCUCAUCUCAGUGCAGCGAAACGCAUCAUUAAAUACGUCGCUUCAUCAUCAAGCAUCGGUCUUUGGUAUCCUAAGAAGGGAGACUUUAAACUUCUGGGAUAUUCAGACGCAGAUCUGGCCGGUUGCAGAGUUGAUAGAAAAAGCACUUCAGGAACUUGCCAGUUGCUUGGAAGCAGAACAGUGUCUUGGUUUUCAAGGAAACAAAGUACUGUGUCUCUUUCAACAACAGAAGCAGAGUGUGUAGCUCUUGGAAGCUGCUGUUCGCAAAUUCUAUAGAUAAAACAACAGCUAAGAGAUUUUGAAAUUGAAGACUCAUGCACGGAGAUUAAUUGCGACAACACCAGCGCUAUCAACCUCACCAAAAAUCCAAUUCUCCAUUCAAGAGCAAAGCAUAUAGAGAUUCGACAUCACUUUAUUAGAGAUCAUGUUCAAAAUGGAGAUGUUUCAAUUCAAUUUGUUGACUCAAAGAAUCAACUGGCUAAUAUUCUCACAAAGCCUUUGGAGAAAAAUCAAUUUGAGUCUAUACGGACCAGACUCAACAUUUUGAGGUAUGAGGAUAUCAAAGUCUAAAGACUCUCAGACUCAGACUUACAAGACUUUAUCUACAGUCUUGGUUCGUCCUUCAGACUGUAAGUCUUUCUCUCUCCAAUCUUAUAUUGAAAAGGUACGAUCAUCAGACUUGUUUAAAUUGUUGCUAUAUUUAAUUGACGUAAAUAUUGCAUCGAUUCAUUUUCAAAAGGGAAGUUAUUUUUGAAAUAGCUAUUUUUGCGGAUAAGGACAGUUAUUUUGAAAAGGCAUAUUUUUAUUUCCUUUGUGACGGUUCGUUUACUCUUCUUUUUAACUGAACGAACACUGUCAAUUUCUCUUCACUUUUCUAAUCACUUCUCUCUCAAAAACCCUAGAAAGCAUCGAUCCUCCAUUCCCGUUUGUCUUCUUCACUAAAUCUUCAAAAAGUUGUCAUCUUUUCUAGGAAAGUCAAGCAAGGAAUCUUCCAAACACUGAGAAAGAUGUCUUCUUCACGAAAGUCGUCAAGAAUCGCAAGCAGGGGACCACAGAGAAUGAGUGAGGGGCCUACGCACUUCGAUCUUACUGAAGAUGAAGUUACUCCAGAUCAGCAACCGAGCCCACAACAUUCUCAGCAGCGUCAUUCUCCACCAUCUAGUCCUUAAGGCGUUGUUAAUCAGCAUUAGGAAGAAAUCGUCGAGGAUGCAGACCCCGUAAGAGUUCAAAAACCCGUUUUUAUUUACAAGCUAUAUCGUGCUUUAAAAGGAAUUCGUACUCCUUUGAACUAUGUUGAUGAUUUUUUCAAAGAAAAAGGAUAUAGGAACGAGUAUAUCUUUCUGCGAAAAAUGGAAAGUUUGGGAAUCGCUCGUAAAGGGGUGGCUGAGGAAACCCUUGCGAAUAUCCCAAGUGAUCCUCGUGACUGGGGGCCGAAUCUUGUAGAUGGGAAUGACGAUGUCAGUCUAUUUCAACCGAAAAUGGGUAUUGCGGCUGAAAUUCAAGGAAAAAUUGGAGAUUUGUUCAGAUCAAAGGAACAAAAAGAUCUGUACUCGAAAUUGCUUAAGCGUGGGGUAAUAAACCCUAGGAGUGUGGACUUUGAUUUUCUGGAUGCUGUGAAAGUGAACUUGAGGGAAAAGUUCAGUUUUCUACAACUUGAAAAGUUCUGCUCCGACUCAACUGAGGCUUAUGCUAAAUUGACUGCAUAUUUCUAUUCAAAUCUUAACUUUUUAGAUGCGAAUAGAUUCUCCUUCAGUGUUAAAGAACAAGAUUAUGUUGUGGAUAUGAAUAUGCUGACAGACGUGUUAGAAGUUGAGAGAGGCAGAUAUCAACCAAUCAAAGUUUCCAUUGCUCGGGCCACACUUGAACUGGUGAAGGACAGGAGAACGGAUGAAAAGAUCACCUACUCAAGGAUGAAUGCAUUCAACAUCCUGCUUCACAAGAUUGUGAUUAAUUGCCUUCGGCCGAAAUCCACUUCCAAAACUGAUGUUUCAAGCUCAGAGGCAAAGUUGAUGUAUGCAAUCCUCUGUGGAAAAAAGUUUUCUCUCCCUCAUACUGUUAUGUUUCACAUGUAUAAAGCAGUGAUGAAGGACAGAGGUCAACUCCCUUACCCAAGCCUUGUUACGAAGUUAUUCAGACAUCUGAAUAUUCAGCCUCCGCAAAUCUUUUGUGUUCGACCAUGCGAUCAUAUGGUGGUAGGACUGAAGAUGGUAACCAAAAUGCGUCUGAAGGAACUGAGCAAGGAAUUGGAGAAAUUCAAGGAGAAGACUCCUGCCAAAUCUCAUCGACUCUCUUCUGCUGCUAAGAGAAAAGAGAAGGAGCCCAUGGUUGCUCCAUCAAAGAGAAGAAGAGCUCUCCUCGUUGAGGAUGAAGAUGAUGACGAUGACAUCACCAUCUCUGCAAUGGCUUUGAAGAACUUAAGUCGUCCUGUUCCACAGAAAGAAUCAGAACAAAAGACGACAGAAGCAGAGGAGAAGGAAGAAGAAGAAAGAGAAGCAGAGCAAGAAGCAGAGGAAGAAAGACCUAAAGAAGAAGAAAGAAGAGAAGAAGGAGAACCUGAGGAAAUCUCUUCUCCACCUAUAGGCAUGGAAACAGGGGGAGAUCAGGAGAAAUGAGUGACGUCUUCAUAUCCUAAUGCAAGUGAAGGAGUCAGUCGCUCACCUGCAGACCCAGAAGAUGUUUAUGCAUCUCAAUUUCCAGAGGAAGGUCAUGAAGCUUCAUCGCCAAACCUGCGAGAUUAUGCUGAUCCAUCAUCGUCUACUUUUACUCCAGAUCGAGCCGAAGCAAGUACUCAGACUAAUAAUGGAGCAGAUUUUCGCAGAAUCAUGGAUAUUCUCUUGGAGAUGAAAGGUCAGAUUUAUGCCUUGGGAUGCGAAGUUCAAAGCUUGAAGAAUGAAGGUCAAGCUUCUUCCUGUUCAUUGAAUGAAAAGAUGCAAGCCCUCUCUAUUCAGAAUCAGGCCAAUGCCAAGAGUGAGGAGGUUGUACAGCUGAAGGAAGACUUUAAAAGGCUGGAAGGCAUUGUUCAGUCUAUGGAAGAUUUCCAGCUUGUCCGCGUUCCCAAGCAAUCUUGACUUCAUCUCAUCCUUUUUAAUGAUGACAAAAAGGGGGAGAGAUGCAAGAUUUGAUUCAAAAACUUUUCAUUAAACUUUUUGUUGGACUGUUUUGAGGUUUAUGGUUUGAACCUGUUUUUUGACUUUGUUUUGUGUCUGGAUAAGAACUGCCUAGACUUGGACUUGACUUGACUGCUUCUAUUAAUCAAUAUUGAUAUCUUAUGAAUGGCUUAAUCAUAUACUGGACUAACCUAUUUUCUGUGGUUGCAGAUUCUAGUGUUAUUCUAUUAGUCAUUUAUUUCUAUAAGAUAUGCAUAUGUGUUUGAGAAAUGUUUUGCAGGUCAAAGUUAUCCAAAUCUGCAGGAAGGUUUUGUCACCAUCAAAAAGGGGGAGAUUGUUGGAGAAAUCCUCGUGAAGAGUUUUGAAGUUGACAAAACGUUUCCAUCAGUCUAGUCUGAAGGUCUGCAGACUCUGUUAGUUAAAGUCUGAAGACUUCCGUACAGCCAGACUCAAGACUCAAAGUCUAUCCUCAUUGACAGUCUCUGAUCCGUUGAAGAAAGGUUAUCCCGAACUGGAUGUUUUGUUCAGGAUUUAACCUUAUUAUCUGGAGAAGAUCUCGUGGCUAGAGAAGACGUAUCAGAAUCCUUUGAUUGAUCAAGUUUGAUUCAAUGACUGAAGAUUCGAUGAUUGUCUAAAUAUUAUUGGAAGGUUCUACUUAUAGAAACCGAGAUCCUGAUUGUAUGGGCGAACAGGAUUGAUGGGCUAUCAACACGUUCCUUUAAUAGCUCGAACGAUCUUCCUAAUUGAUUCCGUCCAACGGGUAGAUUGGAGGAAUUCCUUUGGUAAGUGCCAACGGGUAUGAUGGCAUAAAGGAGUAUAUAAGGAAGACGUCCUUAGUUGUUCGAGGUGUGCGCGAUAGAAGAAUUCCAAAGUCUGAAGCUCCUAUUUGUUUAGAUAAAUCCUUUGAGCGAAUACUUGUAUACAAAAGAGAGUCUAUAUUUGUGAGAGACCUUGAGGAGGUGUGGUAGUACAUCUACACUGUGGAAUCAAGGCAAAGUUGUGCUGUAACUACUCUUUUGAUCAUAGUGAAAUUCAGCCGGUAGGCUGUCAGUGCGGAAGAGUGGACGUAGGCUUGGAAUAAGCCGAACCACUAUAAUUCAUGUGUUCCAAUUUCUCUCUCUCUACCUCGAUCGUAUUUCAAUUUGUUAAGAAUUGCUUCCGUAUAUCGAAAAACUGUUUGUGCGCCUAUUCACCCCCCUUCUAAGUGUUUAUACUAGCAAUAUCACAGACAUCAUUAGCAUCCACCCCUUUACCAAAAUGCUCACCAAGGGCAAGAAAUCCCUUGGCAAAGAGUAUCUCCCAGGAUCCCCGAGUCAUCGCCCAUGCUGUUCACAUAAAUUUCGGGUGUUUUGAUAAUUUACUCGGUACUUUGUAUUCGGCGAUAUCAGAUCAUGUGCUAGCAAUGCUUUGUCAAUGCCCUUUGAAAUUAACUUCCAGCACUAGUUUCCCUAAAGACAAUUGACAUGGUGACGUCGUUUUCAUUUAUCCAAGGGGUUGCUUGCAAAGUGGUUAAAUGUUACAUCUAAUAUCGCUAGAUAUAAUAAUAGGGUCGAAUCAAAUCAAACAACAAGAGAAACUUGCCUGUAGGAGGUCACCGACAUUGACCACCAGAGCUCCAGGGACCGGAGGAACAUCAACCCAGCGGUUGUCAUGGAGGACUUGGAGGCCUCCGAUAUGGUCCUGCAGGAGCACCUUGAGGAAGUCGUUGUCGGAGUGCUUGCUCGUCCCCAUCGUCAGCUCAGGCCUUGGGCAUGCCGGGUAGUAGUGGCAAAUGACCACGAGGCCCUCCGCGCAAUCCAUCUCCCGGAGGCGAUCCAAUCUCAACCCAAGAGACUCAGACAAGAGCUCAAACAGCAACCCACCUAAGCUCAUCACUUGUUUGGAGUAGUCCAUCAGUAUGUCCCUACAAUUUUAGUCAUGAAAGUCAUUUAGGCUAGAUCCACUUAUAAAAUUAUGGAAUAAGUGUAUUGGAAGACAUAAAACUUAUUACAAAAAUAUAAAAAAAAAAUCAAAAAAAUACUCUUAAAUCAUAAAACUUGUCAAAUUUGUUUAACCAAGUCAUUUCGUUAAUUUCACUUUUUGAAAAUUUUAAAAUUCGAUGGUACUUUCAUGAUAUAUUUUAAAACUUGAUGCAUAAAUUUUCAUAAUAAGUUUUGCAACUUAAUUAUACUUUUUAAAAAAUUUAGAAUUAAAUUGCACUUUUCAUGAAAAAUGUUAGGAUUUUUAGUAAAUUUAUCCCUAAAUUUACUUUUUAUAUUGAGAUUUUUUAGGUAUUUCAGUGAAAUAGAAUUAGAUUUAAAAAAGAAAGUCAUCCCAAAGGUAAAAAGGCGGCUUUGUGAAAAACAACAUAUUUUGUAACGUCGCAGGUGAAAAUGGCAUCGGCGACUCCGGGAUGGACGGCACGUUACCUGCAAACCUCCGGCAGCUCCUCCGGCGACGGCGGGCUCGGCGCCAUGUAGCAGAAGAAGGUGUCCCUCCAGUUAGCCACCGCCGCCGUGUACAGGUCGAAAUUGCUGUUGUACACCACCUUCCUCGUCACGUCCCGCGUGUAGAACGCCUUCUUCGCCUCGUCGUCUUGCUCGUAGAACCGCCUCACCCCCUCCUUCAUCUCCUCCAUCGCGGCCGCCGGCACCCCGUGGUUCACCACCUGG